This 194468-nucleotide long non-coding RNA is filed under the name Eucalyptus grandis. RNAcentral's name for it is "long non-coding RNA (EGRA_LNC001925)". The record is from RNAcentral. Lineage: Eukaryota; Viridiplantae; Streptophyta; Magnoliopsida; Myrtales; Myrtaceae.
GUGGCAGCGUCCCCUGGAUCAGCAAUGAUCGCCACCUCCUCAUCUUCCUCCUCCUCUUCCUCUUCGAUCUUCACCACCUGCGCGGCCAGAGCCGAAUGGGGUUCGAGCCGGGUCAGGCACGAACGCAAGAGCGGCCCAGCAUCAAUUCCGCCGUCGCCGAUGGCUAAUUUUGGGGACGGAACCGAAUGGGGAAGCGACCCUAGGUCGCCGGGGUCACCGUUGCCAACAGCAGCAACGGACGCGAUCACUUCUCGCGAUCUCGCGAAAGGUUCCGCCUUCUCUAGCUGAAUACUCGACUCUCGAAAGAGGGUGUCGAAAGACGACGCGCGCGGUUCAUCGGUACGGCCGCCUCCGGGGGCCGCCGUAGUCAUUUUGACCUCGAGCUCGAGGUCCCAAGGCGGAGAUGGCAUGGGAGAAUUUCGAGCGAAUGAAUGUACAUGGCGGGUGAAUCUCCUAUCGAGAGAGCGAGGGAGACAGGGCUCGAGACUGUCGAGCGUGCGAGUGACAGGGGGGGUAACGAUUACGGACCGUUGGAUCCGACACGGGAUGCACCUGGUACGAGGAGGGGGCGCCUUUUCGUCUUGUCGGAGGGUCCCGUGCGGGAGUGCCACGUUUCGAUGUGCUGCUUGUCUAUCUAAGCAAAUUUCAGUUGGCUUGUGUGAACGCCGUUUUCAUAGUCCAUGGCCUACAAGGCAUCGACCAGCGAAUUGGAACUGCCGGGAUAGCGAUGCUUUGCAUAAUUUUCCAUGGCCUCCAUCGGAAAAAUAUUGAGCCAGAUGUACCAUUUAUAUAAUUGUCAAAACAUACUGUUCAUGUUUGUGUUAACACGUUUUUAAAAUAAUAUUCAUUUUCAAAAAAAAAAUCAUAUACGUCAUGGAAAGAAUUUCAAACCUUUUCUUAUCUAGCUAUUAGAGCUUUUUAUAAUAUAGGGAAAAAAAAGAGGACGAGUGCCUUAAAAGUACUCACAAAGUAUAUUAUCAUUGUCAUAGGAGUUUUCGAUAAAAACAUUUAUUAUUGUUUGACAGGGAUUAAUGUAGGAUAAACAUGUCGGGGAGCUAAAUGUAACAAAGUUGUGUGAAAAACUAAAUGUUGAAUUACAAGGAUUGUGUCUCAAAAAAUGUGAGAGAAUUUAUUACAAGUAUAAAGGAAUUUGCGAACCUUGGCAUUUAAGGUUAAUACCACGCAAUAUUUUAGGAUUUCGUGCAAAAUAUUUAGAAGAACCACUCAUUUUCCAUUACAAAAUUCACUUCAUCAAUAACAAUGGUGUUACACAUGCCAAGGCAAUAAUUACUGUGAUACGUCACAUGACAAGAGAAAGAUACUCAUUUUCCAUCACAAAAUUCACUUCAUCAAUAACAAUGGUGUUACACAUGCCAAUGCAAUAGUUACCGUGAUACAUCACAUGACAAGAGAAAGAUAAUAUUAUCUAAUCAAUUCUUAUCUUAUUGUUUUCUCAUUAAGUACAUAAAUAACUUCCUUUGGUUACUCAUCUAUUUUUAGAUCCCUAAUUUGGGUUUCCUCUCUACGAAAGUAUUUCAUAUCGCUUGUUAAUGGAGUUUCAAUAGACGCCAUACUUGUGUUUGUUCACCUAUCAAUUUUAAGUUUUUAGGUUGAAUUUUCUAAUGCAGUGUUAGAGGCGGGUUCUGCCUCGAUUUAUUUUAUUUGUACAAGUAUCCCAGCGCUUGCCCAUUGAGUUUAAAGCACUCGCGUAUUCACAUUGCGGCCUACUUUUUAUUGCUAUAAACUUUCGGAUGAAUGAAGCUUUUUUUUUUUGAAGCUGUCUACCGCAUCGUCCAACGUCAAAAUGAAUAACGAAUGUUGGGUUGCUGAACUUUUAUGAGUGCAUUUGGGAUCUUCUUUGGAAAGGGACUUUUUGUGUCCAAAGUUCAUUUGGUCAAAUAUUGGUAUUUGGUAAAAAUUUUAAAACUCUUAUUGAGAGAAUGCUAACCUUUUAAAGGCUGAAAGCCCAAAAUAGGUCCUAGGCUGCUUUGGGCUUUUAGCAUUUUCAAAAGCCCAUGGGUUCCCGUUCAUCUCUUUUCCAAUGGUGUGGUUGCGUGUGACUAGUCGAGGAUGAGCUGGAGAGAGGCCAAUGAGGUCGUGGUUGAGGCUAGCGACCGUCACCAUCUAGUCGCGUGACCCCCGUGAAGGGCCGCCUGAGGUCACACUACCUUAGGCGCGACCCAAAUAUGGGUUGUUGGAGGUCGCGUGACCUUGCUGCGACCAAAUCCGUCGUCGGAGGUCACAUGACCUCAGGCGCAACCUAGAUCUAGGUCACGACAAGGUCGCAUGACCUUUGUGAAGGGCUAUCGGGGGUCGCUUGACCCCAGGCGACCCUCACCGGUUGUCUUCGGGGGUUACUUGAGGUCGUCAGCUAACUUUUUUUUUUCUUUUGAUAUUUUUUUUUAAAUCACAAAAAUUCUUUGUAAAUAUAAUCUCUCCAAACACUAUUUUAUUUAAAAGUAUUUCAUAAUGAACUUUCAAAUUACAAUUCAACAAAUACAAUUUACAUUUUGAAAAAACCCUUUUAACUUAAAAUCAUUUGUAUUUUUCCAAAGGCUUUCUCUAAAUGUCCAACCAAAUGCACCUUAUGUGGUCUGAUGAAAGAGAGCGAGUGAGGGGGAGACGCAUGAAGACGGGAGUGUAAGUUUGCCCAAUGAGCGAGUUCAGGAGGGUGCAUUCGCGGGAGAACGAAAAGACAGAAAAGACCACAAAGGUUUGGGGGAAAGGAAUAGUUGCAAAAGUUGUUCCUCUUUACUUUGAACUUUGCCAAGAUUUUGGGAGAAGGGAGAUGGACAGCUGCGCAGCGGUACAGGUUUUGAUAUUUUGAUUAUCACUGUAAAUGUGUGUUAUUGACACGUGGACCAAUCAUUGGUUACUUUCGUUGCCAUCUCGAUCUUGUCUUUACCUAACUCGCAUUCUUGCUUGGACAUGACAACCGACAGCCUUGUAGUACUAUGGUUUCUCAUAGGGUCAUCGCCCUUGCUUAAGACACAUGAGCAAUCGUACUAAAGGUGAAUUGGAAACAAGGCCAAAGCAAACGCUACUAUAUGUAGUUGAACCGAUUGCAGAGCCCAUCGUUCAUUCUCAUGAUGUUUAGUAGUCGCUGAUCUAUCUUGAGGCCAAGAUUAGAAAGGUGCAAAAAGCAUAGAAAGUUGACUAAGAGCUUGUUUGGUAACUGGCCAAACAACAUUUUACUUUACUCUCUCUUUUUUUUUUUUUUUUUUUUUUUUAUGGUAACCUCGUAAGCCGAAAGAUGGUGAGCAAACCUUAGAAGGUGAGGGGGUUCAAAUCCCCACCUUCUUAGGGGGGGAUGGGGGGAUAGGGACGCGUAAGUUUCGAGAGUGGGUUGCGACUCCCACGCCCUGCAAGAGGUAGGGCACAAGUCUGCGAGUGAGUGUAGAGUAGGCAUAGAGUAGGACUGACAAAAAAAAAAAAAACCUUAGGAGAGCGACUGCAGGACCCACCACCACAAUAUUCCAAGUAAGAAUCACUAAUGACGCAUCUGGGAUUCGAACUUCUCAUUUUCAUGAGGGGGAGAGAGCCUGAGCUAGUAACGCCGCUACAGGCGGUGAUUUUGACUUUAUUCUUUUGUUCUUUAAAAAAAAAAAGAACAAAAAUUCAUUUGGUAGCUUUUUUGUUCUUGAGAAUAGAUUUGAAAACAUAAUAAAAAAGUAAAAAAAAGUUGCUUAUUUGUUUCUAAUAAAAACUUCUUAAUCAAGAGCAUUUUUUUUCUUUUCUUCUUCUCCUUCUUCUUUUCGCCGGUCGCAAGCUCUUGGUGAGACUUAGCCUUGUUGAUUGAGCCUCAUUGGUGGCUGGGCAAAGCUCAGCCAUGACCAUGUACUGAUUAACAAUAUGAACAACAUGGGCAACGUUAGGUUGACUAAAACCAAGACAUAUAUAAGACCGACAAUCAACUGUUGAUAGAGUGUAGGAUUAUAAAGAGGAGUCUCAUUGUUGGCAUCAAACUUGGAUUUUGUCUCAAUAAGAACUGUAGUGACUUUGUUGUCAUUAAGUUUGGCUUCAGAAAAAAAAUCAGCAGCAUAUUUUGCUUGUGACAAAUAAUAACUAGAGAAAUUCAAAUUAACCCCAUGUCUAAAAAGUAGCUAAGUCAUCUAAGAGUGAUCGGUUCCAAGGUGAGAUAGUUCCAAAGUUGGAACCUAGAACAUGCUAUGUUAUAAUCAAUUCUCAAUUUUUGGAUCUUGGAACCCAUUCCAUUUGCUUGAAGCCGCAUCUAGAACCCCCCUUGUUUUUCGGGUUCAAUUCCAAAGUCCAUCUGAAAGCCUAUUUUUUUCAUCCCUUUUUUUUUGUUUUUUUUUUUACAGCAAAAUCACAUGAGGUUAUUGGCAACAAAAUAGUUUAAAGUAAAAGAUGAACAACAAAAAUCCUUAUUUGCAAGAAAAAAUGAUCUAUAAAAUGAACACGUAGUCACGUAUAAUUAUAAAUAAUAAAGAACAAAUGUGUAACAUAAAACAUAAAUUAUGAAACUCCGUGUCCUAUUCAUCCUUAAAAUUUAGGGGAAGGGGAAAGACUAACAAGGAGUUCCGAAGAAGGACAAAUGACGAAUGAGUACCGAUAUUAGAAUUUAAGAGAAAAAAUUAGGGUUUUAGCUUUUUAACUUAUAAAACUAAUUUUGAAACUAGUUUCAAAGCAGGGUGUUUGGUUCAACUCCUGGAUAAGUAUUUACCUAGAACCAAUUCCCAGACCAGUUUUAACUUGUUCCAAAAUUUUAGAAUCUAUUCCUAGACCAAUUUCAACAGGAAUCGGAUCUCAGACUUGUUUUUUAGGCGGUCCAGUUUGAUCCAGUUGCACACUCCUAAUUAUAAUUAAAAAUGGGAAAGUAAGCUCGCUCUUUAAUGCAAUUUGUAUUUUCUUGGACUUUUCGCUACAAAUUUGUUGUGCAUCUUGUCAAAUGAAAUGACGGGACUUUGGAAUUAUUCAUAUUGGUAGAGACUAGGGAGAAGAUUAGUUCUCUUAAAAGAUUCACUUGGAAAGUUAAGAAUGCACUUAUUUCAUGAAAGAUAAAUUAUCUAAAAAAUAUUGUUUAAAAAGAUAAUCACUUUUUGUUGCUUGAAAAAAAAAUGAAUGAAUGUUAAAUAUUCUCUUCAUUCACGAAAACAUUUUAAUAUAAAUUAUAAUCGAUAAUGAAAAUAUUUUAUUGAGUAAUUAUUUCAAUCAAUAUGAACAAUCACUUUUAGAAAAAUACUUUCAAAUAAUUCAUUUUUUUAGAUAAAUGAUUCUAAGAAUCAUGAUGAAAAUCAAUAGAAAAAACUUUAUAUAAGCCAAUGUCAUGUCGGAUUUUAACACUCUUUUGAAGGGUUAAAACUUCAAUGCUAAAGCAUAUGCCCUUCAUCCAAUAAACUCGUUUAGCUUCUAGUUGAAUGAUUACUACCAUUGACUAAGCAAUGUUGUCAUGAAAAAGUUCCAAUCACGAUGUACCAUCAAUCAACUGAAAAAAAAUAAAAAAAAUUCAUCUUCUCCUUUCUUGACAUGUGGAAGCUGAUGAGGCUAGAAAGUAUCGUUUAGAGGAGGGCUAAAUAGGUGAAUAUAUUUUGACAAUUUAAAGCAGAUAAGAAUGAGUUAAGAUUAAAAUCUGAACUAAGGUUAGAUUUUGGAAUAAGGUUCAGAAUCUGAUAUGCAGUAAAAUAGACUUUAGAUGCAUCCAGCGAGUGUGCACUAGAUUAUAGUAAUAAACAAUAAGAGUUAACGGAAGAGAGAAAUUGCACACAAAGUUUAUAAUGGUUCAGUUUAAAUCAAGCCAAUGUUCACUUUUUUUACAUUGAUAGCUUACUGGCUAGAUUGUACUAGAUAAUCAAUAAAAAAAUUACAAUAUCGACGGUACGCAUUUAGUGAUAAAUCACACUAACUCACUUAGUAACUCUUUUUAUAUUUCUCUCACAAUCACAAAAUUGAAUCUCCCAAAAGAUAAGUGCAUAAUCGAAGUUCACUAAGACUUUUGAAUUCUAGAUUCUAGACCUCGUCUCUUAGAUGCUUAUUGGCACCUUGGUCUCCUUAUAUACUCAUCUACUUCCAAAUUGGCCAUUGGAUUGUCUCUAGAGGAUCAUAUUCCUAUCUACCAUUGGGCAGAUCUGUAUCAAGAAGAUUGGAUGGUCGGUGAGUGACAAAACUUAAAUCCCCACUUGAUUUUGACUGUCCAUAGGACCAGAGUUUUAGUUUUCAUAAGUAGAGAUUCUCCAUCUAGAUAGAACGUGUCUUGGGAUUGCUUUUUCAAUCAAAUAAGAUUGAGUCAAUCAAAUCUUUCUAGGUGUGAAAUCCAAACUAGAUCACCAGCUAUUCAUCCUGAACUGAUCAUGUUCUGGAUUUUAGUAGACUUUUGAAACGUGAGAGAUCUCUAAGAAUUUUUUUUUUUGAACAGCUCUAAGAAUUAAAUUAGCAUAUUUUAUCAAAUUCCACAAUCUUGAUUCAUAUUCUUCAUACACAGCUUACCCAUCAUGACUUUUUAUUUUCUUUUUUCUUUUUUUUGAUCAUAAUAAUGUUGUUUACGAGACCCAUUUAUGUUGUAUUUCCACAUCAAAUCCUCAUCACGCCUAUCAUCCGACUUGUUUGAGAUUUUUUAUGAUAUGUAAACUAAUUUAGAGUGUAUGCGAUAUGAGUGUAUUGGUUUGAAAUUUUUUAAGACAAAAAAAAAUAAUUGGAGAAGGAUGGGGCACGAUGUACAUAUUGUAUGAGGCCAUUAACCAUUAAACUGAAAUUGAACUUUGGCACUAUAAACGGCUUCUCUUAUACAUAACUAGUUACAAAAAGAGAGAAAAGAAAAAGAAAAGCUUAGUGCAAACUAAGAAAAAAGAACCCAGAGAGCUCUUUGUUACAAUGGAGACCAAGGAAGAAACCACAACAUAUAUAAUAAGUAUUGAGCAUUUACCAUUGACAAAUGAGUUCAAUGGCUGGAUUCAAUCACUUCACUUCAGAUACUCCCUCCGACUAUGCAAAGGCUGCUUUCUGUGACCUGGAUCACAAAAGAUAGCAGCAGCAUAUAACAGUAAGAACAGAGCUGGAGCAGCAUGGAAAUUUUUAGGGCGUUAGUCCCGCUGCUUGCUUCUCCAGCCCACUUGUGUACUCACUCCAACCACACGACUUAUCAGUCAGACCCUCCAGCUCAAGAUAGAUUCCUGGGUCAUCCAUCGCAUCGUUGCCCACGACCAUGUUGUCUCUGACGAGUUUCUCCGACAUCUCAUGGAAAACCGAAGGCAAAUCUGACGGACUAUCUCCGGCGAACUGAUUGGGUGUCUGACCCUGCAUAACCCUGAAAUCCGCACCACCCAUUGGAGGAGGCCAGAGGUUGUGCAUCCGAACGGUCUCAAGCUCCACCUGUAAAACAUUAUUUGACUGAGACUCCAUCUGUGCCGAAUCAUCACCGAUUCUCAGGCACUCAAAAUUCGGGUUUUGAAUCUUGUGAACCGUUACUUCGAGCAAGCAUUCGGUGGCUUUGUUAUUGGGACCAAUCAAUUUGGUCUUAUUGCGCGAUUCACAAGCCUCUGAUUCUCUCUUCUGCCUCCUCUCUUGGAUUACAUGCUGGACAGAGUUCGGUCUUUUGGCUGCUUUGGAGAGGAAGAGGAGCAUCCGCUGAUACCCUGCUCUUGGCAUAGCAAAUCCGCUCGACGACCUGGUUGAUCUCAUGCUGCGAGUGCUUCCACUCUUCUCUUAGUUUCAGGAUCUCGGCCUUCAACACUCCUUGGUCCUUCUUGAGCAUUUCAAGUUCAGCUUCCUUUCCAGCCUCCGGGUAAUCAGAAGCAACAGUACUACUCGAUGUUUUCGUAUGAUCGCUGAGUUUGUGUCUCCUCCUUAUGUUCUUCGGCAAGUGCUUCUUCCCUUCCUAAAAACCUUGGUUCACAAACUCCCAUCGAUCUGUAUCGAUCUUCCUAAAACCCUGCGACUUAUCUUGGAUCGUGAUGCAUGAAGAAUGGAAGAUAGGAGGAAGCUGGGUCGAGGAGUUUAUUUAGUCCCAUAUAGAAAACCCAGGUUACAAAGCAUCUCAAGGACAGAUCGUUUGCAAUGAUUCAAACACCGGUACUAAGAAUGUAUGGACAAUCUAAUGACUCAAUAUCAAUCCGUCAACUUCAUAAAUACGAAGACAUGAGUGCAGAAUUAUGCUUUUGGUCUUGCCCAAAAAGAAGAGAAGUGUCAGAAGGCUUUACCAAAAUAUCGGAUAGAAACAAAGCGAUGGCCAAGGAAUCUCAUUUUCAGCUAGAAAGUGCAAAAUUGAGCAUCAAAACAGUAAAAAGAAAAACAUUAACAAGAAGAUGCUGUAGUGUAUUUCUAAUCCAAAUUAAAAUUUACCAUUGGAGAAAGCACUCAAAUACAAAUCCGGUGAAGAGAUAAAUCUUUAAUGGGUAUUCUGACGUCAUGGUUGACAUGGUAGUUUCUGCAAACUACCAUCAAAAGCAUCAUCACUUGAAUAUGAUGAUGGGCCAUUGUAUGUACCACGAGCAAAACGUCAAGAGUGGAGUCCCUUGGAUCCUAGCCUCUUUGCCCUGGGGACUAUCCGUUGGUCCAAGAGGAUCACACUCUGGACGACAUAAAAAGAAGCAGAGCCGAAACAGAGUCAAACCAAAAAAACAGAGCUGAAACAGAGUCAAACCAAAAUAAAUAUGCAGACAUUAUACGCAUUCAUACGAAUAGUUUGCUCUCACGUAUGGGGAAAGCUUCAAGCAAAAACAAGGUCAAAAACAACAAUCCCGUUCGAAGGAGUACCCACGUAAGUGUUGAGCUGCCUGAUGAAGCUGGAGACGUUGCAGUGCUUGAAGUAUCGAGGCAGGACCUCCUUCGAGAACUCGUGUGGGUCUGACACCACCGUGUCCGUGCUUGGGUCCGACACCAUCUCGUAUGUCUUCCUCAGGAAGGGCGCCAGCCCUGCCUCCCCCAGCCCUUGCAUUGGUCUCACCACUUCGUCCACCGCUGCCUGCAACGAGCACGAUGGCGAUAGGCGGCAGCCUCCCUGGGAUCAGCAAUGACCGCCACCUCCUCAUCCUCCUCUUCCUCUUCGAUCUUUACCACACGUGCAGCCAGAGCGGAAUGGGGUUCGGGCCGGGUCUGGCAGGAACGCAAGAGAAGCCCGGCAUCAAUUUCGCCAUGGCCGAUGGCUAUUUUUGAGGAUGGAACUGAAUGGGAAAGCAACCCUAUCUCGCUGAGGUGACCACCGUCAAGAACAGCAAUGGACGCGAUUUCUUCUCGUGAUAUCAUGAAAGGUUCCGCCUUUUCUAGCUCAACACUCGAUUCUCGAAAGAAGGUGUCGAAAAAUGACGUGCAUGGUUCAUCGGUACGGCCGCGUCCGGGGGGUGCCGUCGUCAUUUUGACCUCGUGUUCAAGGUCAAAGGCGGAGAUGGUAUGAGAAAUUUUCGAGCAUUCUAUUGAGAGAGCAAGGGAGACAGGCCUCGAGACUGUCUAGUGUUUGGGUGACGCGGGAGGGGAUGGGUAUCCGGCUUUAUAUACGUGGGAAAAAGUCCAAAAGUGUCGCCGCGUCUCUCCUCCCUUACAUGAGAACCGAAACCCUUGGAAAAAACUAUGAUUACUUGCACUUGGUCAAGCUUUCUUAAAACAUGCGAGCAAUCAUGCUUAAGGUGAAUUGGAGACAAAGGUCAAAGCAAACCCUAAUAUAUCAGGACCUCGCAGAACCAAAAUCGUGCAAUUUCCGGCAGAAUGAUUGGACCAAUUUGGAAAUUCCAGUUCUCCGUUCAAAGCUCUCCUCUGCUCUUUGGGUUCUCUUUCUUGAGUUUGGCUGUGGCGUGAUACGAGUCAGCAAGAAAAUUUAAAAAUAUCGACUAGACAGGAACAUCUUUGCACUUUCUUCGUGUGGAAAUGAUGGAAGCAAGCUUAUUUUCCUUACGAGGAAACACUCAGUCAAAGCCACUCGAAAGGGUUUUAAUAUAACCCACAACCUAAAUUACAAGAAAGCUAAUUUCGAAGAAUAGCGUACCAAUUGGGAGUCUGAAAAUCUUUCCUUCCUUUUGCGGCUUCAAACAUGAGUAUUUGUAAGGUUCAUGUUGGAAUUCAGAGGAUCGAUGCUAUCGUCGUUCUUUGCAUCACUUGGUUGCAUUGCACCCCAAAGAUUCCAACAUUCCUGUCUGAUGCUUGAAAUGUUAUUAUAGAUUGUCUGCAAUGAUUCAGCAAUUUUGCAACCAAUCCCUACAUCAUUCGCCGGGAAACUUAUAAAAUCCAUAUGUGGUCAGACUCCAAUGAGGAAAAACAAUUUACGCAACCAUAAGUUUCUUGAUUGUUGGCAAAUGGCUAGAUCUUACAUGAAAUAUUAGCUUUCUUCUGAUUAGCUGAACCAACAAUAGCACAAAAGGCGAAGCCAGUUAUGUUAUGACAAUAUAUUUCAAUGUGUUUGGUGCUUUGAUGGAACGUGUCAUUAUGUGAUAUUUAGAUAGCACUUCGGUUGUUGCGAUAAUGACUUUUCCGCUAUUACGACACACUCCAAUAUCUCCUAGUAGCUAUUGCAACCAUAGUAACUCUAAUGUGGUAUUAGCAAUAGCUUGACAUUCUUUUUUUGUACUAGAGUGAUCGACAAUGGUAUGUUUUCUGCUAGACCAUGAGAUAAGUGAUUUUUCCAAAAAGAAAUAGCAGUUCAUAGUGGAGCAAAAAUAUUGAGGGUCAUUAUUAGAAUAAGCUAUCAAAUCUAAGAUUGAAUGAGUAGAAAAUUGAAGGCCUUGAAAUAAUUUAUUCAUGACAUAUUGAAGAAUUCGAAACACUACAGCAAAAUGGGUUGCACGAGGCACGAUCAUGUACUAACUAACAAUGUGAACAUUAUUAGCGAUGUUAGGUUGAGUAAAAGUGAGAUAUAUAAGACUGCCAACCGACAAUUAAUAGAGUGUAUAAUUCAAAAUAGGGGUCUCAUAUCUGGCAUCAAACUUGGCUUUGGUCUCAAUAAGAGUCGUAGUGACUUUGUUUGGCUCAAAAAAAAAAACCAUAGUUUGCUUGUGACAAAUAAUAACUAGAUGAAUUUGAACUAAUCUCAUGCCUAAAAGUAGCUUAGUCACUUAGAGGUAAUCGGUUUUAGGGUGACUAGGUUCUAGAGCUAGAACCUAAAACCUACAUUAUUAUAAUCAGUUCCAAAUUUUUGGACCUCAGAACCUAUCCUAUUUGCUUCAAACCUACCAUUUUUAGCGGGUUCGACUCCAUAGUCUACCCAAGAACCUGCCUUUUUUGUUUUUUGCUUCCUUCCUUUUUUUUUUUUUGUUCAUCUUUUUUAAAAUCAUAUGAGGUUAUGAGCAAUAAAAUGAUUCAAAGUAAAAGAUAAACAACAAAAAUCCCUAUCAACAAAAAACAACAAUCUAUAAGAUGAACACAUAGUCACUCAUAAUUAUAAAUAAUAAAAAAGUUCAAACGCAUAACAUAACACAAAAGUUAUGAAACUCUAAUUUCCAUUCAUCCAUAAAAAUUUAGGGGAAAAGGCGAAAGAUUGGUAAGGACUUCCAAAGAAGGAUAAAUGAUGAAUGAGUGUUGAGGUUAGAAUUUAUGGGGAAAAAUUAAGGUUUUAACUUUUCAGCUUAUAAAACUGAUUUUGAAACAAGUUCCAAAGCAAGGUGGUUUGGUGGUGGGUAUUUACUUAGAACCCACUCUUGAAUCAGUUCCAACAAGUUCCAUUCUAGGACCUAUUUUCUGGGCAAUUCGGCCUGGCUCUAAUAGAACUGGUCCAGCUGCACACUCCUAAUUAUAAUAAAAUUUAUUUUCAUAAUUAUGAAAGUAACCUCCCUCUUGUAAGCAAUUUGUAUUUUCCUAGACUUUUUGCUUCAAAUCUACUGCACACCUUUUUAAUUAAUGUGAUGGGACUUCAGAAUUAUCCACUUCGCCAGAGACUUGGGAGAAGAUUAGUUCUCUUAAAAAAUUCACUUGGAAAGCUAAGAAUGCACUUAUUUCAUGAAAAAAAAAACUCUAUUUAAAAAUAAUUAUUUUUAAAGAUAAUCACUUUUGUUGCUUGAAAAAAAAAUGAAUAAACGAUAUAUAUUCUCUUAAUUCACAAAAAUAUCUCAAUAUAAAUUAUAAUCGAUAAUGAAUUUUUUUAUUGAUUAAUUAUUUCAAUUGAUAAAAACGAUCACUUUAUGAAAAAUACUAUCAAAUAAUUUGUAUUUUUAGAUAAAUGAAUCCUAAGAAUCACAAUGUAAAUCAGUAGAAAAAACUUGUAUUAGACAAUGUUGUGUCGUAUUUUAACACCGUUUUGAGGGAUUCAAACUCCGAUGCUAAAGCAUAUGCCCUUAUUUUAAUAAACUCCUUUAGCUUCAACCAGUCAAAUGAUUACCGCCAUUGACUAAGUAGUGUUGUUAUGAAAAAGUUUCAAUCACAAUGUACCAUCAAUCAACUUCUCAUUUGAACCAAAAAAAAAAAAAAAUCAACUUUUCCCUUCUUGACAUGUGGAAGCGGAUGAAGUUAGCAAGUAUCACACAGAGGGGAGGUUAAUAGGUGAAUCUAUGAAAUCUUGACAAUUUAAAGCAAAAUUGAAAGAGUCGAGAUUAAAGUCUGAAUAAUGGUCAGAUUUUGGAACAGGGUUUAGAAUUUGUUAUGUAGUAGAGAAACACUUAGCGAGUGUGCAAUUUAUUAUAACAAAAAUAGUAAAAGUUUAGAGAAAAAAAGAAAUUGCACACAAGGUUUAUAAUUGUUCGAUUUAAAUCAAGCUUACGUCCACUUUUCCAUCUGACAACCUAUUGACUUGCUUCCACUAGAUGAUCUAUAAGAGAUUAUAAUAUUUAGUGUAAGCACUUGGUGAUAGAUCACAUUAUUUCACUUAGUCAUUCUUUUUGUAUUUCUCUCACACUCACAAAAUUGAAGCUCGUGAAAGAUAAGUGUGCGAUCGAAAUUCACUCAAACUUUAGAAUUCUAGAUCCUAGGUAUUGUCUCUUACAUGAUUCUCGGUAACUUGGUCUCCUUGUAUAUUCAUCCACUUCCAAACUAGCCAUAGGACUAUCUUUGGAGAAUCGUCUUCCAAAUGUAUUCAUUGGACAAAUUUGAAUCUAGAAGAUUGGAUGUUUGUUGAGUAACACAAAGCUGAAUUUCCACUGAUUAUGGCCAUCCGUACAAUCAUAAUCUUGAUUUUCAUAAGUAAAGCUUAUCUAUUUCGAUAGAACUUGUCUCAAGAUUGAUUUUCUAAUCGAAAAAAAAAAAUUGACUCAUUUAAAUAUUUCUAAAUAUGAAAUUCAAACUAGAUCAUUAGCUUUUAUUCAUCAUGGAAUGAUCACGUUUUGGACCUAUCACAUUAUGGGCUUGCUUUAUUUUAAACUUCUCACAUUUUGAACUUGCCGUGUUUUGAACUUGCAUCAUAUGGGGAAUGAAGGUAACUCUCUUGGUCCUUAUCUUCAAUAAAAGAUCUAGACUUAAGUCUAAGCUUGUUCAAUCUGAAGUAGACUUUGUAAUUCAUACUAGAGCAAUUUUCUAGAUUAACAUACUUCAAGACAAUUAUCAGACUUAAAAUUUUAUGACCAAUUUUGUCAGCAAAAUCUACUAGAACCUUGUUGAUUGAGAACGGUAUCUAUGACAUUCUAAAUUUCAAGUUUUCUUUUCAAUUGAAUAAAUUGGGCUUUUUUAUCGACUCGCUUAUAGUUCUUUUCUCUAAGUUGGCCACUCGAGAUAACUAGUCUAUCAGGUGAAGCCGUUAAGGAAUCUAAAUGCAAUAGACUUGAGAAUUCAACUAGGAAUCAAUUGCUCGACCGUGCUAAUAUGCAAGGGUCAUUACAGCACUAUCAAAAUUGAUCAAAGACCGGAGAUAGGUCGAUUCGAUAGAGGUAUGUGAUUAGUAUGUGAGUGAUUCCACCUAAUUGCAAAAUUUCUGUUGAACAGCACUAGAUCGAUUUUUCUGUCAUUACCCUGUGUCCGUAUUUGAAAUCUCGAGAUUUUCACGACAACCGAGAGUCGCCAAUAUGUCAAAGAUGUACAAUGUGGCUAAAAAAUAAUCGAUCACGAGUCAAUUAUACUAAAAAUUCCUAAAAGCUACUCGGUAGGUUAGGUCAUGCUAAAAUCGCACCUAAUUGAAAUUAACCGUGAAUUUGAACCUGAUUUCAGAAAUUGAAAAUUCUGUCAUGUUACAAUUCAUUUUAGAAGUGUCGACUCGCCUUCCGAAGAUUUUUCUGUAAACCAAGAUUUUUGGCAAAAAUUCAAAGUAGGGUUUUUUUUACCAAGAAAAUCAUAGAAUCAUUUUUGGUCGCAUUUUUGAGAUUCAAGUUAGAUAAAUUGACGAGGAAAAAUGUGAAUUCAAUGGGCACCUUGGUUGGAUUUAUGGACUCCAAUUUAGGUCCAAUUGGAGAGGGAUUGAAUGGAAUUGAAUGGGGAUUGCACAAAAUUCGUAGGCCUUCGUGAUGUGCAACAUUUGGACCCUUGGGAGGCUUGCCAAGGAAGCUUGAGGGCUGCAAUAUGGCAAAGGAUGACAACCAAGGAGUGGUGGGUCAAUAAUUCAAGUGUUUUAGAUAUUUGUGUGGCCCCUCCUAUUGCAACAGCCAUCUUUUCCCUUCAGCAGCCCACUUUCCCCAUUGUUGAAGCUCUAGCAAGCUGAGAAAAUUGUACAGAAACCAGCUCUCCCUUCCCCCUUGUCGUCGCACGCCUGCCUACCAUCGUCGCGCCUCACCGCGCUGCUCUUAAGCCUGUUGUGCCACCGCUGUCCCAUGCGCGCCACUUCGCUCAUCCGGCCUCCUAACGCCAACAUCUGCUUCUGUUUGCAAGUCCAACAAGCCUUCCAACCAUUGUAUGUGACCGUCCAAGUUGCCGAAAGUCCCGCCUAGGCUACUGUAGCCAUCGCUGUCUAGCCUUGCUGUUUCCAGCCGUCAGUCCAACCUUUUAGCUCGGCUAAGAGCUUCGUACGGCUUUUUCAAGGCCAUCUGGACCCCGCUUGGUGUCGCCGUAGGGUUGUUUAUUGCUUGCCUUCGCAUCGCCGUCGCCAUCGCCGUGAACUCAUCAGAACGCUAAACUGGUGAGUUUACUUGCUAAACUCUGCUUAGAGAGUUAAUGAUACUUAAGAGAUGAUUAGUUUAGGCUAAUUAAGGUUUAGGUGGAUAGUUAGAAUAGAUUAGUGAUUUAAUUAUCCAUUUGUGUAUGUUAGGUGGUUAGAAUGGAUAGAUUAGGGACUAGAGUAGUCAUACUAUUUAUCUAGAUAGGUUCGAAAAUUUUCUCGGCUCGUUCGGGCGGUUAAUUAAGCAUUUUCGGCCUAAGUUGCUAUUUAUUGCAUUUAAAUUAAAUUAUUUAAUUAAUUACGGCACUUAUUUUAUUAAUUAAAAUUUUCCAGAAAUUAUACCGGGAUAGCCGGUGACCGAAAUUUCGCACUGAUUGCAAUGGUGUGAUUAAUUUCUGCAAUUGAGCGUUAAAUUGUGCAAAUUGAGUGGUAAUUGCAAUUUUGAGUAUUUAGUUCAAAAUUUGAAAAUUUCGGUAAUUAUUUAAAAAUUAUCGGGUGUCGGGUUUUGACAUCGAAAAUGGUUUUAAAUACUAUAUCCAAUAAAGAGAUUUGAAAAGGAAAAAUAUCAAUUUUUCUAGUGUGAAUUGACCGUGUACCCACAGAUGACUAUUGUAUCGUGUAUUUCUAAUACAAAGAAAAUAGGUCAGGUUCACCAUUUUAAUUAAAGCAUUUAAGUACAAUACACAGUAUCCUGGGCCGAGAUUGAAUGUCGUGUGUUGGUUAAGAGAACUCGUCCCGAGCUAUUGAGCUGGACGUACCCCUAUAUGGGAUGCCCCUAGACAAUGGAAGCUGGUUGCAGUAGAUUCUAAACCCAUGCUCCUUUGGGAAAGCCAUCUAGUAGAUAUGUUGCCGUGCUCAAUGGGGUGAGACGAUGCCUGGCCACGCCAAAAGACCGUCGAACAUCGAGUAGGCCGUGCCGUUGAGCUAAGAUCAAAACUAGGAAUGCAUGAGUAAUUUAGUUAAAUGCAUCAGGUUAUGGGACAAAAUUGUGUGAUACGGUAUGGAACGUGUCAUAACGAUUCGGCCUUAUAACUAGGACCCCUGUGCUUGGUUGAAAUUGAGUGUGGCAUUCCAGUUGAUUGAGCUUGAUUGCUACUCAUGUUUUUAUGGCCGUCUAAGAUAUGAAUUGUGCUGACAUAUAGGGUGGAUAUGAGACGAGGUAAGUCUCUAUAAUUGUGUGGUUGUAUGGUUAGGACGCCUUUAGGCGUAUUAUUCUCCUAAUCGGGAUUUAAAGUGUGAACUCACUGAGAUUUAUAUCUCACCUCGUCGUGGACUCAAUUCUUUUCAAGACCGUAGAGUGGAGGACUAGAGAUAAGGACUGGAGAGCUUGGAGUUUAGAAUCUCCGUUGUUCCGUUUUGACCUAGACUUUCGGGUGUAGAUCUUUUUGGUAGAUUUUUGUAUAGUAUAUAGAAGAGAUUUUUGUUUGUGAAUCUAUUUUCUAUUUUUCUAUCCCAAGUUGUUUACUAUCAAGGGAUAUUUAUUCGCUUCCGCAUGUGCAACAAAAUGAAUGGGUCGGCGACGCAUCCUGAGACGUCACAAUUUUAUCGACCACCGAGGGAUGGGCACGCGCUUCGAGGUUCAAGGCGUGACAGUAUCACUAGCUAGUUUUCUCAACAAAAGCUUGCAAUAAAAACACAUUUAAUACACCACCGCCCGUGGUGGCGCGGUUGGCUUUAGGCUCUCUCCCUCUCACAAAGGGGAGGAGUUCAAAUCCCAGAGGUGUCGCAUUCACGCGACUCACUCACGGUUGGGUCUGUGGUGGCAGCUCAGUAUGCCUCGGGUUUACGCUGUCGGCUGCCGACUGUACGGUGGUUCCCGGGUCACAAAAAAAAAACACAUAUAAUAGAGAGAGAGAGAGAGAGAGAGAGAGAGAGAGAGAGAGAGAGACGUUUCUCUUUAGUGAAUAAAUGGAGAACUUGUGACUUGUGGUUAGAAUUUGGUCAUGUCAAACAUUCGGAGAGAGAGAGAGAGAGACGUUUCUCUUUAGUGAAUAAAUGGAGAACUUGUGACUUGUGGUUAGAAUUUAGUCAUGUCAAACAUGUAAAUCAAGGGUUAAUAUCUCUUAACAUUUUAAUGUGGUAUAAUUGUGAUACAUUCAUCUCAUAUCAAUUUUACAAUGUAUUCAUGCCACAUUCAUCCCAAAUUAAUCUUUGUAGUGAGAAAAAAAAAAAUGCAAACCGGCAUACCCAUGAUAUUACCAAAAUCUUAAAGUGAAAUUUGGACAAGCUUAGGGAUUUUAGCGGACUUUCGAAACGUAAGAGUGCUCCAAGAAUAAAAUUAGCAUAUUUUAUCUUUAUGCAAUCUCGAUUCAUUUUCUUCAUACCUAGCUUUCCCAUGACGACAACGUUGUUUUUUUUUUUUUUCCUUUUCCAAUCAAAAUGAUGUUAUUUAUGAGACCCAUUUAUGAUGUAUUUCCACAUCGGAUCCUCAUCAUGCCGAUCAUGGUUACAAAAAGAGAAACCGAAAAAAAAGCCUAGUGCAAACUAAGAUAAAAGAACCCAGAGAGCAUUUUGUUGCAAUGGAGACAAAGGAAGAAACCACAACAAAUAUACCAAGUAUGGGCAUUUACCAUGGACACAUAAGUCCAUUGGUUGGAUUCAGUCACUUCACUUCAGAUACUCCCUCCGACCAUGCAAAGGCUGCAUUCCGUGACCUGGGUCACGAAAGAUAGCAGUAGCAUAUAACAGAAAGAACAGAGCAGGAGCAGCAUGGAAAUUUUAGGGCAUCAGUCCCGCCGCUUGCUCCCCAGCCCACUUGUGUACUCACUCCAACCACACGACUUCUCAAUUAGACCCUCCAGCUCAAGAUAGAAUCCCGGGUCAUCCAUCGCCUCAUCGCCCACGACCAUGUUUUCUCCGAGGAGCUUCUCCGACUUCUCAUGGAAAACGAAAGGCAAAUCUGACGGACUAGCUCCGGCCAUCUGAUCGGGUGUCUGACCCUGCAUAACCCUGAAAUCUGCACCACCCAUCGGAGGAGGCCACGGUGUGUGCAUCUGAACGGUCUCAACAUCCACCGGUAAAACAUUGUUCGACCGAGACUCCAUCUGUGCCGAAUCAUCACCGAUCCUCAGGCACUCAAAAUUCGGGUUUUGAAUCUUGUGAUCCGCUACUUCGAGCAAGCAUUUGGUGGCCUUGUCAUCGGGACCAAGCAAUUUGCUCUUCUUGCUCGAUUCACAAGCCUCUGAUUCUCUCUUCUGCCUCCUCUCUUGGUUUACAUGCUGGGCGAAGUUCGGGCUUUUGGCUGCUUUGGAGAGGAAGAGGAACAUACGCUGAUACCUGCUCUCGGCAUAGCGAAUCCACUCGGUGACCUGAUUGAGCUCAUGCUGCGAGUGCUCCCGCUCUUCUCUUAGUUUCAGGAUCUCGGCCUUCAACGCUUCCUGGUUUUUCUUAAGCAUUUCAAGUUCAGCCUCCUUUCCAGCCUCCCAAUAAUCCGAAGCAACAGUACUACUCGAUGUUUUCAUAUGAUUGCUGGGUGCGCGUCUCCUCCUUAUGUUCUUCAGCAAGUGUUUCUUCCCUUCCUGAAAACCUCGGUUCGCAAACUCCCAUCGAUCUGGAUCCAUCUUCCUAAAACCCUGCGACAUAUCAUGGAAAACGAUGCAUGAAGAAUAGGAGGAAGCUGGGUUCAGGAGUUUAUAUUGAAACAGAAGUCCCAAAAAGGGUAUGGACAAUUUAAUGACUCGAUAUCAAUCCGUCGACUUCAUAUAUACAAAGACAAAAGUGCAGAAUUAUGCUUUUAGUCUUGCCCAAAAAGAAGACAAGCGUCAGAAGGCUUUACCAAAACAUCGGAUGGAAACAAAGCGACGGCCCAAGGAAUCUAACGUUCAGCUAAAGUGAAAAAUUGAGCAUCAAAACAGUAAAAUAUUAACAGCUAUAAAGGAACUGCUGUGGUGCUAUUCUAAUCCAAAUUAAAAUUUACCAUUUGAUGAAAGCACUCAAGUACAAAUCCGGUGAAAAGAUAAAUCGUUAUGAUUCGUGAUGAUUCACAUAGAAUCCAUAUAUCUCGCCCACCGUUCCAGAUUUCUUCGUUCCUCGUCCCCUAAUCUAGGAUAAAGCACAAUUAAUAACCAAGCAAAACGUCGCGAGUGGGUUCCCUUGAAUCAUAGCUUCUUUGCCCCGGGGACUAGAGGAUCGCACUCUGGACGACAUAAAAAGAAACAGAGCCGAAACAGAGUCAAACCAAAAAAACCGAGCGGAAACAGAGUCAAACCAAGAUAAACAUGCAGACAUUAUAUGAAUUUCUACGAAUAGUUUUGCUCUUUACCAAUGGGGAAAGUUUCAAGCAAAAACAAGGACAAAAAACACAAUCACAUUUGAAGGAGUACCCACGUAAGUGUUGAGCUGCCUGAUGAAGCUGGAGAAGUUGGAGUGCUUGAAGUAUCGAGGCAGGACCUGCUUCGAGAACUCGUGCGCGUCCCACACCACGAAUCUGCCCCCGCUCGAACUCCACGACACCACCGUGUCCGUACUCGGGUCCGACACCAUCUCGUACGUCUUCUUCAGGAAGGGCGCCGGCCCUGUCUCCCCCAGCCCAUGCAUCGGUCUCACCACUUCGUCCGCCACUGCACCGGCGGCAGCGUCUCUGGGAUCAGCAAUGAUCGCCACCUCCUCAUCUCCCUCUUCCUCUUUGAUCUUCUCCACUGGCGCGGCCAGUGCCAAAUGGGGUUCGGGCGGGGGCAGGCAAGAACGCUGGUGCAGCCCGGCAUCAAUUUCGCCAUUGCCGAUGGCUAAUUUUGGGGACGAAACCAAAUGGGGAAGCAACCCGAGGUCGCCAGGGUCACCACCGCCAACAACAGCAAUGGAGGCGAUCUCUUCUCGCGAUUUCGCGAAAGGUUCUGCCUUUUCUAGCUCAACACUCGACUCUUGAAAGAGGGUGUCGAAAAAGGACGUGCACGGUCCAUCGGUAUGGCCACCUCCGGCCCCCGCCGUCGCCAUUUUGACCUCGAGUUCGAGGUCAAAGGCGGAGAUGGUAUGAGAAAAUUUCAAGCGAUUGUAUUGAGCGGGAGCAAGGGAGACAGGCCUCGAGACUGUCUGAGUGUUUUGAGUUACGGGGGAGAGGAUGGGUGUCCGGCUUUAUAUACGUUGGAAAAAGUUCACAAGUGUCGCCACGUCUCUCCACCUUUUGCCUUUUCUCAGCGGGAUUGAGAGGCCUCAACGAUUACGGACAGUUGCAUCUGAUUCUGGAUGAACUUUGGUACGAGGAAGGGGCGGCCUUUCGCCUGGUCGGUGGGUCCCAAUGCGGGAGUAUCACGUUUCGAUCUACUGCUUCUCCAUCUCGGCAAUCCCACUUGGCUUGUGUGUACGCCGUUUUCAUUGUACAUGACAUACAAUGCAUCGACUGCCGAAUCGGAACUGCCGGGAUAGCGAUACUUUGCAUAAGAUUUCCUUGGCCCUCCAACGUGGAAAGAAUUUCGAACCUCUUCUGAUCUAAUUAGAGCCUUAAAUUAUAUAGCCCAAAAAAAAAAAAAAAAAAAACUGACGCUUGCCUUAAAAGCAUUCAUAGAGUACAUUCUUUUGUCAUUGUCAUAAGAGUUUUUGAUAGACAUUUACUAUCGUCUGGCAGGGAUUAAUAUAGAAUAACACGUCGGGGAGCCAAAUGUAACGAAGUUGUGUCAAAACCUGUACAUUGUAUUAGAGGAAUUCCAUGUAAAAAAAAUGGGAAAGAGAAUUUGUUAAAGAUAUAACAAUAAGGAAGUUGCAAACCUUGGCAUUUAAGGAUAAUACCACAUAAUAAUUCCAUGCAAAAUAUUUAGAAGAAUAAUAAAUUCCUGUCAUUUAACUCAUUUUCCAUCACAAAAUUCACUUCAUCAACGACAAUGGUGUUUCACAUGCCAAGGCAAUAAUUACCAUCAAAUGUUGCUUGAUGAAAGAAAGAUAUUAUUGUCUAAUCAAUUUUAUCUUAGGCCUUUCUCAUUAAGCACAUAAUUUUAUUUUAUUAUUUAUCUAUUAUUAUAUCCCUAAUAUGGUUUUUAUCAUAUCUUUUGUCAAUGGAGUUUCAACGAACUUUAUCUUCUUGUCUCAUCUAUCUGUUUUAGUAUUUUGGGUUGAACUUUCUAAUGUGAUAUCACAAUCAGACUCCGUGUCUCAAGACUUGUUCGUGGAGCUUUAAUGCUCAUCUUAUUCAAAUUGUGGCCCACUUUUUAUCGGUUUAAAUUUUCGGGCAGGGCGUUUUUUCAUUCUAAAACUGUCCUCAGCAUUUUCCGAGGUUGGGCUGAAUGAGGAAUGCCGGGUUGCUAACGUUGAUGUGGCCCGAUGAAAGAGAGCGAGAGACGGGGGAGACGCAUGAAGACGGGAUUACGGGCCGCCCUAUGGACGAGCUCAAAGGCGGUGCAUUCGCAGGAGCACUAAAAGACAGAAAAGAUCCAAAGGUUGGGCAUGGAACGGUCGAAAAGCACUCCCUUUUCCCUUUUCCCUAUGAUGUUCGCCAAGGUUUUGGGGGAAGGGAGAUGGACUGCGGGUACAGGUUUUGAUAGCUUAGACAUCACUUUAAUGCGCGUUAUCCACACGUGGACCAGUCAUCAUUUACUUUCGUUACCAUCUCUAUCUGUCUUUUACUUCACCUGCGUUCUUGUCUGGAUGUUGACAACCGAAAGCCUUGGAAAACUACGAUUACUUGCUUAUGGUCAAGCCUUCUUAAAACACACGAGCAAUCAUGCUUAAGGUAAAUUAGAGACAAAGGCCAAAGCAAACCCAAAUAUAUCAUAACCUCACGGGACCAAAACCGUGCAAUUUCCUGUAGAAAGAUUGAAUCAAUUUGGAAAUUCCAGUUCUCUGUUCAGAGCUCUCCUCUGUUCUUUGGGUUCCCUUUCUUGAGUUUGGCUGUGACGUGAUGCAGGUCAGCAAGAAAAUUUAGGAAUAUUGACUAGACAGGAACAUCCUUGCACUUUUUUAGGGUGGAAAUGAUGGAAGCAAACUUAUUUUCCCUACAAGGAAACACUCGGUCAGAGUCCCUCAAAAGGGUUUUAAUAUAACCCACAACGAAGCUAAUUUCGAAGCAUAGCGUACCAAUUAGGAGUCUGAAAAUCUUUCCUUUCUUUUGUGGCUUCAAACAUGGGUAUUUGUAAGGUUCGUUUCAAAGGAUCGAACAUUCCCCUUUGAUGCUUGAAACAGUACUGUAGAUUGACUGCAAUGAUUCAGCAAUUUUGCAACCGAUCCCCACAUCAUUCGCUGGGAAACUUAUAAAAUCCAUACGUGGUUAGACUCCUAUAAGGAAUGCAAUCAUAAGUUUUUUUUAUUGUUGACAAACCACUGGAUCUUACAUAAAAUAUUGGCUUCCUUUAGAUUAGCUAAACCAACAAUAGCACAAAAGGUGAAGCGUUACGUUACGACAAUAUCUUUCAAAGUGUUUGGUAUUUUGAUGGGACGUGUCAUUAUGUGAUAUUUAGAUAGCACUUUGAUUGUUGCAAUAAUGACUUUUCCACUAUUAUGAUGCACUUCAAUUUCUUCUAUUAGCUAUUGCAACCGUAGUAAAACUCUGAUGUGGCAUUGGCAAUAGCUUCAUAUUCUAUUUUUGUACUAGAGUGAUCAACAAUGGUAUGUUUUCUGCUAGAUCAUGAGAUAAGUGAGUUUUCCAAAAAGAGAUAGUGGUUCAUAGUGGAGCAAAAUAUUGAGGUCACUAUCGGAAUAAGCUAUCAAAUCUAAGAUAGAAUGAGUAGAAAAUUGAAGACCACGAAAUAAUUUAUCCAUGACAUAGUGAAGAAUUCAAAAGACUACAGCAAAUGGGUUGCAUAGGACGCGGUCAUUUAUUGACUAACAAUGUGAACAACAUAGGCGAUGUGAGGUUGAGCACAAGUGAGAUAUAAAAGACUGCCAACCAACUAUUGAUAGAGUGUAGGAUUCAAGAGGGGUCUCAUCUUUGGCAUCAAACUUGGCUUUGGUCUCAAUAAGAGUUUAGCUCGAAAAUAAAAUAAAAUUCAGUAGCAUAUUUUCCUUAUGACAAAUAAUAACUAGAGGAAUCUGAAAUAACCUCACGCCUAAAAAAUAGCUGAGUCACCUAAAGGUGAUCAAUUUUAGGGUGGGUAGGUUCUAAAAUUGGAACCUAAAACCUAUCUUGUUAUGAUCGGCUCCCAAUUUUUGGACCUUGGAACUUAUUAUGUUUGCUUGAAACCUGUUUUGGAAUGUGACAUCUAGAUUUUCGUAACAAUAUUUAUGUGACAUUGGAAGUUUUCGGCGUUGAUAAUAAUAUUUAGGUCAUAAGGCUAAAUAUUAUCUCGCUUAGAAAUCUGGUGGACAUGUAGAAAUAGUAAUUGGAUCGUAAAUUUUGUAAGGUACAGAAAAUACAGAGAGUGAUUUUUAUGAUCUUGAUCGUCCUUGGUUGAUUAAAUUAGUAAAUGUUGAUGUGUUCGCAGAUGGUAACGGUAGAUAAUGUACCAUAGUCUUAGUUGUCGAGGGGAACGGAUAUUAAGCAUUCUUGAGUUUGAAUUUAUUUAAUCGAGAAUUUUGUAGUGCUCGGCCUAGUUUACUCAUAAUUUUGAAUUUAAAAUGUCAUGAGUUAUAUUAUUAUUUGGACCUUGGUUAAUUAUUAUUGGUAAUUAGUUAAUUACACUAACGGUAUCAAAGGUAAAGAUUUCCUUCCUCAUUAAUGAUGUCAUAGAUUUUGUUAUUAACAUUGAUAAAGGUUUUCUCAUGUACGUGGCUACAGAAGAAUGAGUUCUUCUCGUAAUAUUGUUAUAAGCCAUUGGUCUAUUAAAAUCAUUUGCAUAAGAGGUCUCAUAAUACUUCUUUGUUAUUCUAAUAUUUCUUAUAGGAAGAGUGUCCUUCUCAAAUUAUUUCUCUUGUCACAUAAUGCCCACAUGUUCUUGCAAUGUCUCAUGCAUGCCCAAGUGUCCUCUCAAGAAGAGGUCUCAUGGAUAAGCUUGACACCUUAGACUUGAGCCACGAUUUCUCCUCAAAUGAGUCAUUCUCUCUUGGAUUUUUCUUUGGCCACGUAUAAAAUGAGAUAUUGUAAGCAAGACACCUCCCAUAACCAUCAUUACACUUUGGAUUAGUUGUCACAUCCGGAAAUUUUGUACAGGUAAUCAUGUAACAUUCGGAAUUUUCCGUGUAUGAUAAUGAUACUUAGAUUAUGAGCUAAGUAUUAUUUAUCUUAGUAUUCAGAUGAAUAUGCAGAAGUUUUAGACAAAUCAUAAAUUUCAUGAGACUCGGCGGAUAAUUUUUCCGUAAACGUAAUUGCCCCGCGUCUAUUGUGUUAAGUCAAAUUGAUAAAUGUUGAUGUGUGCAUUAAUAGUAGUAUGGAUUAACUAACUGUCGGCUUAGUUGAUAACAUGUAGUAUUAUUUAUUUGAAAUCUAGUUAAUUAGUGCUGAUGAUUAAUUAGUUUCACUAAUGGCGCCGAGGAUAGAUAGAUUUUGUUUAUUUUUCUAAUAAUCCACCUUUCUCUUACAUUAAGCCACCCACAAGACACUUGUCCUUAUAUUAUCCCUUGCAUGACCGUGUGUUGCAACCAAGAUGAGGUUUUAUUCUAUUUUGACACCUAAGACUAAGUGGAAACUUACCCUAAGUGAGUCAUUCUCUCUUGUUUCAUCUAGGGAAAAACCACGAAAAAUCCUGAACUUUACCUAAAGUGACACAUUUACCCCAAACUUUUUUUUUGUGACGUGAAAAACUCUGAACUUUGCCAACCGUGACACAUUUACUCCAAAUUUUUUUUUUAUGACACAAAAAAUCCUGAACUUUUGUUAUAUGACACAUUUACCCCAAAAUUAUAAGACAUUUUGGUAUUUUCAUUUUUUUUUCUUCUAUCUUCCCUCUGCCGACUGGGAAGCCAGCGUCAGGCAAGGGUGGCCCUUGCCGGCAUCGGGCUAGGGCGGCCCUCGCUGGCGUCGGGCAAGGAUGGCCCUCACCAGAUUUGGCAAGGGCACCCUUGCUUGCGUCAGGCAAGGGUGUCCCUACCGUCCUCGCCCAUCGCCGGCGAGGGCUGCCCUCGCCUACGUCGGGCAAGGGUGUCCCUACCCUCGCCAACGCCAGGACGACCCUUGCCAGAUCUGGCGAGGGCGGCCCUCGCCCGACGCUAGCGAGGGUCGAGGGCGACCCUCACCGGACACCGGCUUCCCUUCACCGACUCCACCAUGGCCGGCGGAGGGAAGAAGAAAAAUAAAAGAGAAAGAGGAAAAAAAAGAAUAAAAAGAUAAAAAUGCCCUUGAUGGAACAAAUGUGUCACGGUUUGAAAAGUUUGGGGUUUUUCAUGUCACAAAAAAAAAAUUGAGGUAAAUGUGUCAUUUUAGGCAAAGUUCAGGGUUUUUCAUGGCUUUUUCCCUUUCAUCUAUGACCAUGUAUGGGAAGAGGUUUUGUAAACAAGACAGAUGCUCAUACUCAUUAUUUCAUUUGGGUAAGUCAUCUUUAUUACACGCAACUCCUUGACAUCUGUUCUUAUCUCAAGAUUAAGUAAGCUUCAUGUAGAAGGAAUAACCAAUGCUCACUAAAACACUACUUUAAACAAAACAUUCUUUUAACUUUGGAGAGAACUUGAGACCCAAAAUCUAUCCAACAAUAUCGUGCAAUUCUGCUCAUUCCGAAACAAAUACUUCUUUGAAUUCUAGUUUCCAUGAGUGAGGAGGUGGUCACGACCCUUAAUUGUUCAAGCUUGUUUGAGAUAAGUAAAGUUUCUAGGUAUUGAGUUAGUUUAAAUCUAUUUAAUACUUUUAUCUUGGUCAGUUUGUUUAGAUGUGGGAAUUAAAAUAUGCAUGUUAUGAUUAAGGUGGUUGUUGGAUAACCUUGAUGGUAUAUUACAUGUUCGUUCUGUCAGAAUUUAUCCAGACAUAAUCUAUUCUUUUUGCUCAUUUUGCUUGAUUUGCUAAAACUUAACUAGUCAGAGUUAUGUUUGUUAUGCAUCAUUAUAUUUCAUUCUGAAUAGUCAAAAUAUGUUCAUUCUGCCAUAUUUAUCUUGACGACUUCUUACAUGUUUAUUCUACUUCGUUAUGUUUUGUUUUGAGUAAUCAGAAUAUAUUUAUUCGUUUUACUAGAAUUUAUCGAGUCAAAAUUUGUUCGUUCGUUCUACUAGUUCUACUAGAUAUUUACUAAGUCCGAGUCCAUCCAUUUGUAAAUUUGCUCUUUUAUUUAAUCAUUUUCACUAAGUUUGAAUGUACCCAUUUGAUUGUCUAGACUUUAACAACUAUGACAUGUUCAUUUAUAUAUAAGAUUUUACUUAGUCUGAACAUAUUCCUUUGUACAAUCAAAUUUUACUAGGUCUGGAUGUAUUUAUUUAUACAAUCAGCCUUUAUUGAAGUCUGAACCUAUUUCUUUGUAUAAUCAUAUUUUAUUGGGUUUGAACGUAUUUAUUUAUAUAAACAGAUUUGAUUGAAAUCUGAACUUGUCUCUUUGUACAAUCAGAUUUUAUUGGGUCUAGACGUGUUUAUUUAUACAAUCAAAUUUUAUGGAAUUUGGACUUUUUCAAUUGUACAAUCAGAUUUUAUUAAGUCUAAACAUAUCCAUUUGUAUGAUGAGAUUCUUACUGAGUCUAAGCAUCUUUACCUUCUAAGUCUGAACAUAUAUUUACUCAAUUCGAGUAUAAUUACUUUCCAAAUUUGACACGCUUUAUGGGUCUGGUUUCCCUUUAAAAUAAGGAUUACCAAAUAACAUAUUCGCGCUCUGAGCAUGAUCAUAAGUUGCUUCUUACCUUUCGUUUCUUUGAAAAGCAUGUGACAAAGUAACAACAUGGAUGUGAGUAUUGGAAUGCAUGUGUAAGUUGCUUCUAACAAAAUGGAUGUGAUCAUAAGUUGCUCCUUACAUAAGUUGCUUCUUACUGAUCCAUGAUUCCUCGCCGAUUGAACCAAUCGAUCCAUGACCAAUUCAUGAUACCUCGACCAAUUCUUGGACCUAUUUUUUGGACAGUUUGGCCUAGUUCUAAGUAGAACCAGUCCAGUUGCACACUCUUAAUUAUAAUAAAAUUUAUUAUCACAAUUAUGAAAGUAAGCUCUCUCCUGUAGGCAAUUUGUAUUUUCCUAGACUUUUCGCUUCAAAUCUGCUGCACAUCUUGUUAACCGAUAUAAUGGGACUUUAGAAUUGCCCACUUCGCCAGAAAUUAGGGAAAAGAUUAGUUCUCUUAAAAAAUGUACUUUUAAAUCUAAAAAUGCACUUAUUUUUUGAAAAAUAAUUUAUUUAAAAACAUUUUUAUAAAGAUAAUCGCUUUUGUUGCUUGAAAAAAAAAUGAAUGAAUGAUAAAUAUUAUCUUUAUUCAUGCAAAUAUCUUAAUUUAAAUUAUAAUCAAUAAUGAAAAUAUUUUUUAUUGACUAAUUAUUUCAAUUAAUACAAAUGAUCACUUUUAGAAAAAUACUUUCAAAUAAUUCAUUUUUUUAAAUAAAUAUAUCCUAAGGAUCACAUUGUAAAUCAAUAGAAAAAAAAAAUUAUAUAAGCCAAUGUCAUGUCAUUUAUUAACGCCGUUUUGAGGGAUUCAAACCCCGAUGCUAAAGCAUAUGCCUUUAGUCUGAUAAAUUCCUUUAACUUCAACCAGUUGAAUAAUUACCAAUACUGACUAAGCAGUAAAGAGUUUUAAUCAUGGUGUACCAUCAAACAACUUCUCAUUUGAACCCAAAAAAAAAAUCAACUUCUCCCUUUUUGACAUGUGGAAGUUGAUGAAGCUAGCAAGUAUCACCUAGCAGGUGUGAAUAGUUGAAUCUAUGAAAUGUUGACAAUUUAAAGCGGAAUAGAAUGAGUCAAGAUUAAAGUUUGAACGAAGGUCGGAUUUUGGAAAAGGAUUCAGAAUUUUUAUGCAAUAGAACAAAUUUUAGAAGCACCCAACAAAUGUGCAAUAGAUCAUAGCAAUAAAAAAUAAGAGUUUAGAGAAGAGACAAAUUACACACUAGGUUUAUAGUGAUUCGGUUUAAAUCAAGCUUACGUCCACUUUUCCAUGCUGACAGCUUACUAGCUAGUUUCCACUGAAUAAUCAACAAGAGAUUACAAUAUUGAGUAUAAGCAUUUAGUGAUUGAUCACACUAUCUUACUUAGUCACUAUUUGUAUUUCUCUCACAAUCACAAAAUUGAAGCUCACGAAAGAUAAGUGUGUAACUGAAGUUCACUUGGACUUCGGAAUUCUAAAUCCUAGGCCUCAUCUCUUACAUAAUCCGCAGCACCUUGGUUUCCUUAUAUACUCAUUCACUUCGAAACUAGCCAUUAGAUUGUCUCCUGAGGAUCGUCUUCCGAAUGUACUGGUGGGACAACUCUGUAUUAAGAAGAUUGGGAGGCCGUUGAGUGACAAAAGCUUAAUCCCCACUUGAUUCUAGUCACUUGUACAACCAGAGUUUUGAUUUCCAUAAGUAGAAUUUCUUUGUUUAGAUAGAACUUGUCUUAUGAUCAAUUUUCUAAUCAAAUAAGAUUGAGUCAAUCAAAUCUUUUUAGGUGUAAAAUCCAAAUCAAAUCAUUAGUUGUUAUUCAUCAUAGACUGGUCACGUUCUAGACAUGUCAUACUCUAGGCUAGCUUCGUUCUAAACUUGUUGCAUUCUGAACUUCUUGUGUUCUGAACUUGUGUCAAGAUGGAAUUGAAAGUAAUUCUUUUAAUCUUUAUUUUUAAUAAAAGAUCUAGACUUAAGUCUAUGCUUAUUCCAUCUAAAGUAGACUCUAUAAUUCGUACUAGAUUGAUUUUUUACAUCAACAUAUUUCAAGAUAAUUAUCAGACUUGAAAUUUUAUGAAUAGUUUUGUCAACAAAAUCUACUAGGAGCUUGUUGAUUGAGAAUAGUAUCUAUAGCUAGUUUUAUCAAGAAAAGUUCGCAAUCAAAACUCAUUUAUAUAAAGAGAGAGAGAGAGAUGUUUCUCUGUAGAGAAUAAAUGGACAAAUGGUAACUUGUGGUUAGAAUUUGGUCAUGUCAAACAUUUCGAAAAAUUCCUUUCAUUAAAUCAAGCGUUAAUAUCUCUUAAUAUUUUGAAUUGGUAUAAUCGUAACACAUUCAUCUCAUAUUAAUUUUAAUGAUGUUUUCAUACCACAUUCAUCCUAAUAUAAUUUUUGUGUGAGAAAAAAAUCCAAACCGGCAUACCUUGAUAUUACCAAAAUCUUAAAGUGAAACUGGGACAAGCUUAGGGAUUUUAGCAGACUUUUCAAACGUAACAGUGCUCUUAGAAUAACAUUAGCAUAUUUUAUCAUUCCGCAAUCUCCAUUCGUUUUCUUCAUAACAGGCUUUCCCAUAACAACGUUGUUGUUGUUGUUUUUUUUUUUUUCCUUUUCCGGUCAAAAUAACAUCAUUUACGAGACCCAUUUAUGUUGUAUUUCCAUAUCGGAUACUCAUCACACCGAUCAUUCGACUUGUUUGAGAUUUUUUAUAAUAUGAAAAUUAUUUUGGAGUGCACGCCACAUGAGUAUACUGAUUUGAAGUUUUUCGAGAUAGGAAAAAAAGUAAUUGGAGAAAAAUAUGCCAAAAUGUACAGCAUCACGAUAUUAACCCUUAAACUGAAAUUGAGCUUUGGCACUUUAAACUGCUUCUCUUAUACAUAACUGGUUGCAAAAAGAGAAACUGGAAAAAAAAGCCUAGUGCAAACUAAGAGAAAAGAACCCAGAGAGCACUUUGUUACAAUGGAGACAAAGGAAGAAACUACAACAUAUAUGCUAAGUACGAGCAUUUACCAUUGACACAUAUGUUAAUUGGUUGGAUUCAUUCUCUUCACUUCAGAUACUCCCUCCGACUAUGCCAAGGCUGCAUUCUGUGACCUGGGUCACAAAAGAUAGCAGCAGCAUAUAACAGAAAGAACGGAGCAGGAGCAGCAUCGAAAUUUUAGGGCAUCAGUCCCGCUGCUUGCUUUCCCAGCCCAAUUGUGUACUCUCUCCAACCACAGGACUUCUCAAUCAGACCCUCCAGCUCAAGAUAGAUUCCUGGGUCAUCCAUCGCAUCGUUGCCCACGACCAUGUUGUCUCCGAGGAGCUUCUCCGACUUCUCAUGGAAAACGGAAGGCAAAUCUGACGGACUAGCUCCGGCCAUCUGAUCGGGUGUCUGACCCUGCAUAACCCUGAAAUCCGCACCACCCAUCGGAGGAGACCACGGGUUGUGCAUCUGAACGGUCUCAAGAUCCAACGGUAAAACAUUGUUUGGCCAAGACUCGAUCGGUGCCGAAUCAUCACCGAUUCUCAGGCAAUCAACAUUCGGGCUUUGAAUCUUGUGAUCCGUUAUGUCGAGCAAGUAUUUGGUGGCUUCGUCAUCGGGACCAAGCAAUUUGCUCUUCUUGCUCAAUUCACAAGCCUCUAAUUCUCUCUUCUGCCUCUUCUCUUGGAUUACAUGCUGGACAAAAUUUGGGGUUUUGGCUGCUUUGGAAAGGAAGAGGAACAUCCGCCAACACCUGCACUCGGCAUAGCGAAUCCGCUCGAUGACCUGGUUGAUCUCAUGCUGCGAGUUCUCCCGCUCUUCUCUUAGUUUCAGGAUCUCAGCCUUCAACGCUUCCUGGUCCCUCUUAAGCAUUUCAAGUUCAGCUUCCUUUCCAGCCUCUGGGUAAUCCGAAGCAACGGUACUACUCGAUGUUGUCCUAUGAUCGCUGAGUUUGCGUCUCCUCCUUAUGUUCUUCAGCAAGUGCUUCUUCCCUUCCUGAAAACCUCGGUUUGCAAACUCCCAUCGAUCAGUAUCAAUCUUCCUAAAACCCUGUGACAUAUCUUGGAUCAUGAUGCAUGAAGAAUAGGAGGAAGCUGGGUUGAGGAGUUUAUAUUGAAACAGAAGUCCCACAGAGGGUAUGGACAAUUUAAUGACUCAAUAUCAAUCCGUGAACUUCAUAUAUGAGAAGACAAAAGUGCAGAAUUAAGCUUUUGAUCUUUCCCAAAAAGAAGUGUCAGAAGGCUUUACCAAAACAUCGGAUAGAAACAAAACGAUGGCUCAAGGAAUCUCAUCUUCAGCUAGAAAGUGCAAAAUUGAGCAUCGAAACAGUAAAAGGCAAAAUAUUAACAGCUAUAAAGGAAAUACAGUAGUGCAUUUCUAAUCCAAAUUAAAAUUUAUCAUUUGAGAAAAGCACUUAAAUACAAAUCGGGUGAAAAGGUAAAUCUUUAAUGGGUAUUCUAACGUCAUGGUUGACGUGGUAGUUUCUGCAAACUACCAUCAAAAGCAUCAUCACUUGAAUAUGAUAAUGGGCCAUUGUCCCCUGACCGCUGGAUGCAAAUUCUGGUGGACAUGUGCCAUGAGCAAAACGUCGUGAGUGGAGUCCCUUGGAUACUAGCCUCUUUGCCCCGGGGACUAUCCAUUGGGACAAUGAAGAGUAGCUGGAUGCCCCAAGAGGAUCACACUCUGGACGACAUAAAAAGAAACAGAGCCAGAACAGAGCCAGAUCAAAAUAACAGAGCUGAAACAGAGUCAAACCAAAAUAAACAUACACGGACAUUAUACACAUUGAUACGAAUCGUUUGCUCUUACCUAUGGGGAAAGCUUCAAGGAAAAACAAGGACAAAAAACACAACCCCGUUCGAAGAAGUACUCACGUAAGUGUUGAGCUGCCUGAUGAAGCUGGAGAAGUUGGAAUGCUUGAAGUAUCGAGGCAGGACCUGCUUUGAGAACUCGUGCGGGUCCCACACAACGAAGCUGUCCCGGCUCGAACUCCACGACAGCACCGGGUCCGUACUCGGGUCCGACACCAUCUCGUAUGUCUUCCUCAGGAACGGCGCCGGCCCUGCCUCCCCCAGCCCCUGCAUCGGUCUUGCCACUUCGUCUGCCGCUGCCCGCAACGAGCAUGACGGCGAUACGGCAGCAGCAUCCCUGGGAUCAGCAAUGAUCUCCACCUCCUCAUCUUCCUCUCCCUCUUCGAUCUUCACCACCUGUGCGGCCAGAGCAGAAUGGGGUUCGGGCCGAGUCAGGCACGGACGCAAAAGCAGCCCGGUAUCAACUUCGCCAUGGCCGAUGGCUAAUUGUGGGGACGGAACAGAAUCGAAAAGCGACCCUAACUGGCCGGGGUCGCCACUGUCAAGAACAGCUAUGGACGCGAAUUCUUCUUGCGAUUUCGUGAAAGGUCCAGCCUUUUUUAGCUCAACACUCGACUCUCGAAAGAGGGUGUCCAAAAAGGACGCGCACGGUCCAUUGGUACAGCCGCCUCCGGGGAGCGCCGUCGUCAUUCUGACCCCGAGUUCGAGGUCAAAGGCGGAGAUGGUAUGAGAAAUUUUGGAGCGAAUGAGUACAGAUGGUGGCCAAUCUAUUGAGGGAGAGAGGAGGAGACAGGCUUCGAGACUGUCGAGUGUUUGACUGACAGGGGAGGGGAUGGUGUCCGGCUUCAUAUACGUGGGAAAAAGUUCACAAGAAUCGCCACUUUCCUCCGCCUUUUGGCUCCUCGGAAGGUUUUGAGCUCCUCACUGUUAUGGAUGGCGUGAUUGAGAGGGUGGCGACGAUUACGGACCGUUGGAUCUGAUUCAGGAUGAACCUUGGUACGAGAAGGGGGUGCCCUUUCGCCUGGUCGGUGGGUCCGACGCGUGAGUAAAAACGUUUGCUGCUUGUCCGUCUCGGCAAAUUCCACAACGCCGUUUUCAUUGUACAUGGCGUACAAUGCAUCGACCAGCGAAUUGGAACUGCCGGGAUAGCGAUUCUUCGCGUGAUCUUCAUUGGUCCUCCAUUGUAGAAAGAAUUUCAAACCUUUUCUUAUCUAGUCAUUAGAGCCUUAUAAAAAAGAAAAAAGAAAAAAAAGACAAGUGGCUCAAAAGCAUUCAUGAAGUACAUUCUUUUAUCCUUGCCAUAAGAGUUUUCAAUGAAAAACAUUUGAUUUCUUGUGGCAGGGUUUAAUAUAGGAAAAACAUCUUAGGAAGCCAAAUGUGACGAAGUUGUUUAAAAACCUCAAAAUUGAAUUAUAUGGAUUCUGUGUCAACAAAAAAGGGAAAGAGAAUUUAUUAAAAGUAUAACAAUGAGGAAAUAUAAGCCUUGGCAUUUAAGGAUGCGAAUGAUAAUCAUAAUAUUUCAUAAAUCAAUUUCUAGCAAUAAAUUACUUUUUCAAUUUGUUCCUUGGACGAAUUUUCAAGGCAAAAUAGAUGUUUGAUAAUAAUACAAACUUUUUGUUCUCAAAAUAGAUUUCGUUUGACAACAACAUAAAAUUUUCCCUCUUGAGUGGCAGUGGGAGAAUGUCGGCAAGGAGGGCCAUGGUGGGAGGCAAAUGGCUGGCGAGGGGAAAUGGGCAGUAAUGAGAACGAGUAAUAAGAAAAGUUUUUGUUUUUCACUUUUGUUUCAAAAAUAAAAAGGUAAAAAAAUUUGACUUCUGAUUUCUAUUUUAAACCUGUUCCCAAAAAUAGACAAAUAGAAAAAUAGAGAAACAAAAUAGUUAUCAUACACAUCCUAAAGAUAAUACCACACUAUAUUCUAGAAUUUCAUGCAAAAAUAUUUAGAAAAAUAAUGAAUUUCUUUUUAGAAAUACUCAUUUUAUUGCAGUUACUGUUAGACGUCACAUGACGAGAGAAAUAUAUUAUUACCUAACCGAUUCUCAUCUUAUUUCUUUCUCAUCAAGUACAUAAAUAUUUUUUUUUUAUUAUCUGUUUUUAGAUCCCUAAUUUGGCUUUCCUAAUAUCACUUGUCAAUGGAGUUUCAAUGAACCUCAAACUUCAUAAUUGUGUCUGUCCACGUAUCAAUUGAAGUUUUUGAGUUGAACUUCAAGUACAGUAUUAUGGUCAGGUUUCGCCUCAAUUUAUUUCACUUGCACCAGUAUCCCAUCGCUUGUCUGAUGAGUUUUAAUGCACCCCCUAUUCCCGCCACGGCCUGCUUUUCAUCGGUUUAAAUUUUCAGGUGGGACUUUUUUACUUCUAAAACUGUCUACGGCAUAGUUCGAGGCUGGGUUGAAUGAAGAAUGCCGGGUUGCUAACGUUGAUGCGGGCCGAUGAAAGACAGCGAGAGAGGGGGAGAGACGCAUGGAGACGGGAAUGCGAGCUGCCCAAUGAGCGAGCUGAAAGCUGAAAGGCGGUGCAUUCGCAGGAGCACUAAAAGACAUCGGAAGGUCGGGCAAGGAACAGUGGAAAAGUUGUCUUCUUUUCCCUACGAUGUUUGCCUAGGUUUUGGGGGAAGGGAGAUGGACUGCUGGUACACGUUUUGAUAGGUUAAGUGUCACUUUAAUACGCGUUAUCCACACGUGGGCCAAUCAUCAUUUACUCUGGUUGCCAUCUCCAUCUGUCUCUACUUCGCUUGCGUUCUUCCCUGGACGCCACAGCCCUAGGCCUUGGAAAACAAUGAUUUUUUUUUUUUUUUGUGGUCAAAAUUGGAAAACAAUGAUUACUUGCAUAUGGUCACGUUUUCUUAAAAUACGCGAACGAUCAUAACCUCACAGGACCAAAUUGCGCAAUUUCCAGCAGAAAGAUUGGACCAAUUUGGAAAUUCCAGUUCUCUGUUCAAAGCUGUCCUUUGUUCUUUGGGUUCUCAUUCUUGAGCUCAGCCGUGACGUGAUACGGGUCAGCAAGAAAAUUUAGGAAUAUUGACUAGAUAGGAACAUCCUCGCACUUUCUUAGCGAGGAAUGGACGGAAGCAAGUUCAUUUUCGCAAUUUCCAGCAGAAAGAUUGGAUCAAUUUGGAAAUUCCAGUUCUCUGUUCAAAGCUGUCCUUUGUUCUUUGGGUUCUCAUUCUUGAGUUCAGCCGUGACGUGAUACGGGUCAGCAAGAAAAUUUAGGAAUAUUGACUAGAUAGGAACAUCCUCGCACUUUCUUAGCGAGGAAUGGACGGAAGAAAGUUCAUUUUCACAAUGAGGAUACACUUAGUCAAGGUCGCUUGAAAGGGUAUUAAUAUAACUACCAACCUAAAUCACUAGAAAGCUAAUUACAAAUCGUAGUGUAUUGUUCAUGAGUCUGGAAAUCUUUCCUUCCUUUUGUGGCUUUAAACAUAGGAUUUUGUAAGGUUUGUGCUCAAAUUCAGAUGAUCGACCCUAUUGUUAUCCUGUGUCAUUUGAUUGCUUACCUUGUUUGCACACCAUAUGCACCCUGUGGAUUCUACAAUUCCCCUUUGAUGCUUGAAACGGUAUUGUAAAUUGACUACAAUGAUUUAGAAAUUUUGCGUCCAAUCCCCACAUCAUUCGCUAAGAAAUGUAUAAUAUCCAUAUGUAAGGAAAAAUAAUUUACACAGCUGUAAGUUUAUUGAUUGCUGACAAACAAUUGGAUCUCACAUGAAAUAUUGGCUUCCUUCUUAUUAGCUAAAUGCACAAAAGCAGAGUUGUUUAUGUUAUGACUAUAUUUCAAUGUAUUUGGUGCUUUGAUUGGAAAGUGUCAUUAUGUGAUAUUUAAAUAGAACUUCGGUUGUUGCGAUGAAUGACUUUUCCACUAUUACGAUGCACUCCAAUAUCUUUUAGUAGCCGACACAACCAUAGUAAGCGAGUUAUAUUAUUAAAAAAAUGUCAUAUAGGAUUUCCUAUCACCUUCAUUGGACUUGGCACUCGAGUAUUCCAUUUUUCAAAACAAAUAGCACUUAAAUGUUACUUUCAUAACUUUUAACACUUAAGUGUCCCUUUGUGUCAAAUUUUGGCACUCCAAGUGUCCUUUUGUCAUACAUUUUUAUAAGGCAAAGGAAAUGAAUCUAACCAACCAAAUUUAAAUGUAAUGAUAACUUUGGGUUAAAAUCAUUAUAUAUGAGAGUAUCAUGUGUUCCAAUAGAAAUGCUACAAUCCUAAGUAGGUAGUUGUAAACGGUCCAAUGGUCCAAUGAAAUUUUCCCACAAGAGGAUAUUUUGAUGAAAAUGAAGAUAAGCUCUUCUUCUUUGGCCAAGUGUAUACAUGAAUCGCCAAAACAAUCAUGAACUAUAGGCAUGAAUCAUUCAAAGCAUUGAUGAACUAUAGGGAUGAGUCACCCAAAACAUUAAUGAACAAUAGUUGAAUUUAAUGAUGUCAUGCAUGAUGUCAAAACUACCAAUUCAACAUCUCAAACCAAAACAUAGGUUUAAAAAUUUUGAUAGAGAAAAGAGAAGUGGUGUGCCAAAUUGAGAGAAAUAGAAAUUUAGGAAACCAUCAUUUUAAGCAUCAGAUUCUGAAUAUUCGUGCGUUUGAAAAUAUUUUUGUUUAGAACAUCUUAUUCUAAAAAUUUGUGCAUCUAACAGUAUUUUCAUUUUGUUGAUGAAUUUGAAAAUAUUUUGAAUCCAUUAAAAUCAUCAAAAAAAUCAAAAAUUAGGAAAUUCUCAGUUCAAUUCAUAAACUAUGAAACUCAAAGUAUAAUGGCCGUUUUCUACAACUCCUAUGUCCGGAAAUUAUCUUUAUUUUACUCACCAACAUAGUGAUGAUAUCCAUCCACUUAAUCUCAAAGCAUCAUAUUCAGGGUAAUUGCGGUCACAAAAAUCAUACUAUACUAUUGCAAAAUGUAGAAAAUUUAGGUUGUCAUAUCAUAAUAUAUUCUAUCUUCAUAAAAGUUGCACCUUCUCAUAUUCUAUCUUUAUAAAAGUUACAACUUAUCAUAGCCUUUUUAGCAUUUAAAUAUUUACUUAAUAUUAAUAAUAUCAUGUGUGCCAAUGCUGAGGGCUACUAGUAAGUGUGAUAACUUUGACUAGACCUACGACCUACUUCAGUAAAGAGCACCUGACAAUUUGGAUCCCCGUCAUUUUAGCCUUCAACAGUAUAAAUUGACUCUAUGGUUCAGUUGUGUCAACUUUAUGGUUGAUUAGUUCCUGUCCUACUAGGGAGAAAUGUUUUUUUCGACUCCCUCUUCGAUACAAUGAGAUGUGCCUAAUGGGGGAUCUUGUCUAUUGUCAAACUGCUCAGUAGUGCUGCAUUAGCAACAAAAGAAACUAGCUUAUGAGACAACGAUAAAGAUGGGAGAGUACACUAGAAGUGUCAAAAGUUACGUACAGCACUGAUUUCGGUACCAAAAGUUUUCGUCGGAUUACUUAAGUGUCAAAUCAGAGAAAAAAUGAUUAAUUUGGUGCUACCAUCGAGAGAUUCUGACCAAAUUAGUUACAUGCUUUUAUAUUAAAAAAAAACAAUUGACGUGCCUUUUAAAUGACAUCAUUUUUCAUCCUCCUUAAGAAACGACAUCGAUUUGCCGUCACACAUGGACAGCCUUACAAAAAAAAAGAAGAAGCCAUAGCUCAUAUAGGAACUGAAAUUAGGGUUCUUUAUUCUAUCCAUGCCCAACACCGACCAUAGCUAGCUUGCCCAUCAUCACUUGCCUGUUGUCACUCGGCCACCAUCAUAGUUGCUUGACCAGGUGAGUGACGAAAGGCUAAGGUUGUUUCUUAGGCAAGAAGCAAUGGGAAGACUAGGAGGCAAGGGCGGAGGAGGAGGAGGAGGAGGAGGAGGAAAAAGGGGGAUUGAAGGUGGAGAGAGGGAGACGAGGAGGGUGAGGGAGACGAGGAGGUCACAGAUGGAGAUGGAGGAUUUGGCUUUGCUUAGGAAGGAGCUGAGGUGGGUCCUUCUAAAGGGAGAAGGAGAAGGAGGAGGAGGAGGACAAGAGCUUGGGCUUGUCCACAAUGUCAAACGAAUCGGAGGCGGAGCAGUGUUGGUGUUGGUGUUGUUCUUCGGGGAAAAAGACAAGGAGGAAGCUCAUGCUCUCUCUCUCUCUCUCUCUCUCUCUCUCUCUCUCUCUGGCGAUUUGGGGUUCUUACUUUUGGGAAAGAUGCUAAACGGCAUCAUUUUGUUAUUUGGAUGCCGAUUAUACUCCCCGGUGAGCCACAUCAACUUCAAAAAUUAAUAAAAAAAAAAUGUCAUAUCGGAUUUUCAAUUAAUCAAAUCAGCGUUAGUACUGAAAUUAUUGUUUUUUUAAAUUUUUUGAUACUUAAGUGAUUCAAAAUAAACUUUUGGUACUUUUAAUAUACUUAUCCCAUAAUAAAGAAAUCCACAUCGGUGGUUACGGCUGGAGAUGCUGGAUUUUUUUUCUUUUGUUCACAUGCAGCAUGACCGAAUCAGACUCGUUCGUUUGCAGAGGCCCCUACAUGACAUUCUCACAAGGUUGCCCCAGACGACAUUUUGCUUGUGCUAUCCGCUGCACGUGUGUGCGGUGAUGAAAGUCACGGAUUGCUGGCACAUUGUAUAGAAAUUUUUUGUGAGAUCUGAUCUCGAAACUGGAACUCUAGAGAAAGGCUUGCCUCAUGCUAUCUUUGACGAAGGAGGGCUAUACCAAUGCAUAUGCACUUCACCAUGCCUGAGCAUGCUGUGCUGCGGAGACCAUGACCCGAAUUUCUUGAUCUCGGAAUUGCCGAUGUGAAUCAUAAAAAUGCAAGAGGCUUCACAGUUUUGUACGUCGCUGCGAUGAGGAAAGAGCCAAAGAUUAUAUUGGCUCUCCUAACGAAGGGAGCACAGCUUUCUUAUGUCACUCUGGAUGGUAGAAAAGCUCUUCACCUGUAAGAGGCACACAAAAGCUGCAGACUGCUUGGAGUUGUUGGAGAAAUCCUCGUGAAGAGUUUUGAAGUUGACAAAACGUUUCUGUCAGUCUAGUCUGAAGGUCUGCAGACUCUGUUAGUUAAAGUCUGAAGACUUCCGGACAGCCAGACUCAAGACUCAAAGUCUAUUCUCAUUGACAGUCAUUGAUCCGUUGAAGAAAGGUUAUCCCGAACUGAAUGUUUUGUUCAGGAUUUAACCUUAUCAUCUGGAGAAGAUCUCAUGGCUGGAGAAGACGUAUCAGAAUCCUUUGAUUGAUCAAAUUUGAUUCAAUGACUGAAGAUUCGAUGAUUGUCUAAAUAUUAUUGGAAGGUUCUAUUUAUGGAAACCGAGAUCCUGAUUGUAUGGGCGAACAGGAUUGAUGGGCUAUCAACACGUUCCUUUAAUAGCUCGAAUGAUCUUCCUAAUUGAUUCCGUCCAACGGGUAGAUUGGAGGAAUUCCUUUGGUAAGUGCCAACGGGUAUGAUGGCAUAAAGGAGUAUAUAAGGAAGACGUCCUUAGUUGUUCGAGGAAGUGCGCGAUAGAAAAAUUCCAAAGUCUGAAGCUCCUAUUUGUUUAGAUAAAUCCUUUGAGCGAAUACUUGUAUACAAAAGAGAGUCUAUAUUUGUGAGAGACCUUGAGGAGGUGUGGCAGUACAUCUACACUGUGGAAUCAAGGCAAAGCUGUGCUGUAACUACUCUUUUGAUCAUAGUGAAAUCCAACCGGUGGGCUGUCAGUGCGGAAGAGUGGACGUAGGCUUGGAAAAGCUGAACCACUAUAAAUCCUGUGUUCCAAUUUCUCUCUUCCUACCUUGAUCGUAUUUCAAUUUGUUAAGAAUUGCUUCCGUAUAUCGACAAAUUGUUUGUGCGCCUAUUCACCACCCUCUAGGUGUUUAUACUAGCAAUAUCAAUUGGUAUUAGAGCUCGUGUACUUACUUUAUUUGAAGUGUUUUACUUUAUAGUAAAAGAUCCAUGGCUAGUAUGUUAGCACCAGGGCUGAUGGAAGGGCAAAGCAAUACCAGACCACCCUACUUUGAUGGAAAGGAUUACAACAUCUGGAAGAACAAAAUGAAAGCUUUCCUACGAUCAAAGGAUCCUCUGGAAUGGGACGUUGUAGAAAAAAGAAUUACUCCUACCACUGCAUCAGUCUCUGAAAGAGGAAAAGAAACUGAAGAAUCCAGCGGAAUGUCUCAGGAAGAAAUAACCAAGAGACAGACACUUGAUGCAAAAGCAAUUUACUCCUUAUAUUGUGCUUUAUCACCAACUGAAUAUAAUAGAAUAUCUUCUUGUGGUACAGCAAAAGAAGUUUGGGACAGAUUGCAUAUCACCUAUGAAGGAACAGAUCGAGUGAAGGAAACAAGAAUCAACAUUCUUCUUGGUCAAUACGAAGCCUUCAGAAUGAAACCAGGAGAAUCAAUAUCUGACAUGUUUAGUCGUUUUACAGAUAUUGUGAAUGGUCUUGAAAAUCAAGGUCAACCAACUUCUGAUCCCAUGAAGGUAAACAAGCUACUGCGUGGACUCUCAAGGGAUUGGAAUCACAUAAAGACUUCGAUAAGAGAGACGCAGAGAAUUAUGCCACUAUCUGUCGACGAGCUGAUUGGAACUCUUCAGUUCUAUGAAGUGGAAAGGAUCAAUGAAGAUGAAGAUCCAAAAGGUAAGAAAUCCAUUGCAUUAAAAUCAAAUGAUGAUUCUGAUGAUACAGAUUCUGAAGAUGAUAUGGACGAUGAGGAGCUUGCUCUCAUGAUAAGAAGAUUCAGAAAACUAAAUAGAAAAGGAAGAAGGUUCAACUCAAAGAAACAAAGCUUUCAAAAGCAGACCAAGUCUGUUGAUGAUGAGGAACCAAAUAAAGAUAUAGUCUGCUUUGAAUGCAAGAAAAAGGGACACAUCAGACCCAACUGUCCUCUUCUGAAGAAGAAGAAGAGAGGAAAAGCUGAAAAAUUUCGAAAAGCUCUCAAAGCCGAAACCUGGAGUGAUACUGAGUGUGAAGAAAGUGAUAAUAAAUAUGCCAAUCUAUGUCUGAUGGCACAAUCAGACUCAGACUCAGGAUCAGACUCAGACAGUGAAUUUGAGGCAAGUGAUUUUAAAAUUCCUGUCAAAGUUUCUAAAUAUAUUGAUGAACUAUGCUUUAGUCUUAAGAUUUCUCUCAAAAGAAUUUCCAAACUGAAAAAAGAAAACUCAGCUCUAAAACAAAAAGAAAAUGUUUUAGAAGAAAGAGUUAAAAGUCUAGACAUGUCUGUUUCCAAUCUUUUAAAAGAAAAUGCUUGUUUAAAAACAGACUUAUCUAAUAUAUCAAAGAAAUUUUCUAUGGGGUCUGAAAAACUUGAGAAAAUUCUUUCAGCGCAAAGACCUUACUUCAAUAAGUCUGGUCUAGGUAUGACAGAAGAAACAAUUCCCUUGAUUAAUUUUCCUAAAGUAAAAGAAAGAAUCAAGAAAAGGUUUUCGAGUGAGGUUUACAAAAAUCACUUCAAGAAAGUUUUUGUAAAACCUGUAGGUAGAAAUGCUCUCAGAUGUUCUAAGUGCAACACUCCGGAUCACUUUGAAAAAGAGUGUCCUAUGGUAUGAAAACCUGUUAAGAAAGUAUGGGCUAAUACUGUUUAUCUUACUAACACCAAAGGACCCAAGAAAAUUUGGGUACCAAAGAAAGCUUGAGACUUUAUUUUAAAUGCAGGUCUCCGUCAAGAAACAGGUAAAGUGGUAUCUUGACAGCGGAUGCUCAAGACACAUGACAGGAGACUCAAAUUGCUUUAUAAAGAUUGCUCAAGUAAAUGGUGGAAAAGUUUCAUUUGGAGGAAACAGCAAAGGAAGUAUUGUGGGAUUUGGAACCGUGAAAAUUGGAACUCUCACAAUAAGUAAUGUUUCCUUAGUGGAAGGACUCAAUUACAAUCUUCUCAGCAUUAGUCAAUUGUGUGAUACUGGUUUCAAGAUCUUCUUUCAAGAAGGAACAUGUUCUGGAAUCAGUAAAGACUCUACUCAGUCUUUCAUGGGUCGAAGACAUGGAAAUAUCUAUCUUCUGGAUGUGAAACCAAAUGAAUCGCAAUGCCUUAUUUCAAUUCAAGACGAAGCAAGCUUAUGGCACAAAAAGCUUGGUCAUGUCAACAUGAAGCAAUUAGCCAAAAUCUCUUCAAAACAGCUUGUUCGAGGACUACCCAGAUUGCCAUACCAAAAGACUGAUUCAUGCACUCCAUGUAUUCUGGGAAAGCAGGUAAGAAAUUCUUUUAAGCCAAUUAAUUAUGUCUCUACUAAUCAUGUACUACAGUUGCUGCAUAUGGAUCUCUUCGGACCAACCAGAACUCAAAGUAUUGGGGGUAAGAAGUAUUGCCUAGUAAUUGUUGAUGAUUACUCCCGUUUUACUUGGGUAUAUUUCCUUGCAAGUAAGUCCGAAACCUUUUCGUAUUUUGAAAAAUUUGCUAAAAAGGUUCAAAAUGAAAAAGGAUGUGUUAUCUCUAGUAUAAGAACAGAUCAUGGAGGUGAAUUUGAAAAUCAAGAUUUUACAAAAUUCUGUGAUGAAUCUGGCUGUAAGCAUGUGUUUUCCUCUCCAUAUACUCCUCAGCAAAAUGGAGUUGUGGAAAGAAAGAACAGAUCUCUUCAAGAAAUAGCUAGAACUCUUUUAAUUGAAAGUAAAAUUUCUUCUCGAUUUUGGGCUGAAGCUGUUUCAACAGCUUGUUAUAUCAUCAAUAGAGUCUUCUUAAGAUCUAUUCUUCAGAAAACCCCUUAUGAGUUAUUCAAAGAAAAGAAGCCUAUUGUUUCAUACUUUCAUGUAUUUGGUUGCAAAUGUUUUAUACUGAAAAAUGCAAAAGAUCGAGUUGGUAAGUUUGAAGAAAGAUCAGAUGAAGGUAUCUUCCUUGGAUAUUCUACAUCAAGCAAAGCCUUCAGAGUCUAUAACAAGAAGAGCCAGUCUGUGGAGGAGUCAAUGAAUGUCAAAUUUCAAGACUCAACACAAGAUGAAUCAAGUCAGACUCAUCAAGAAGAGUCUGAACCUGCUCCAGAUCUUCCAAAGCUUACAACUCAAGAAGCAUCUCAGACUCUGGAAAACCAGAAUAAGGAUGUUCGUGAAGAUUCAAUCAAAGAGAGAGAUCAUCAAUCAGACAAAUCAACAAGUAACUGGAAGCAUAAGUCCAGUCAUCCCAAAGAUCUUAUAAUCGGCGAAAUGAAUGAAGGAAUUCGCACUAGAUCCAAAAGGCGAGAAGAGUCUAGUGCUGUGGCACUCGUUUCUGAAAUUGAACCAAAGAGCAUAGAAGAAGCUUUAUCUGAUGAAAGCUGGAUUGAAGCUAUGCAAGAAGAGCUCAGACAGUUCAGCAUAAAUGAUGUCUGGGAAUUGACAUCCAAAGCAAAAGGUAAAACUGUUAUGGAGCUAAAUGGGUUUUCAGAAACAGAUGAACGAGAAAGGAAAAGUCGUACGAAAUAAAGCAAGACUCGUGGCCAAGGGAUAUACGCAAGAAGAAGGAAUAGACUAUGAUGAGACUUACACUCCAGUGGCAAGGUUAGAAGCUAUUCGACUAUUACUUGCGUUUGCUUGUUAUCAGAAUUUCAGGUUAUUCCAAAUGGACGUCAAAAGCGCAUUCCUAAAUGGAUUUAUCCAUGAGGAAGUUUAUGUGGAACAACCACCAGGGUUUGAAGACCCAAAGAAGCCAGCCUCAGUCUUCAGACUGAAAAAGGCUUUGUAUGGUUUAAAGCAAGCACCUCGGGCUUGGUACGACAGAUUAAGUAAGUUCCUAAUACAAAAUGGUUUUGUCAAAGGUAAAGUAGAUACGACUUUAUUUAUCAAGAAGGAAAACAAAAGUUUCUUACUUGUUCAAAUAUAUGUGGAUGAUAUUAUUUUUGGAUCCUCUAAUGAAAGUCUUUGCAAGAAAUUUUCAAAGUCUAUGCAGGAUGAGUUUGAAAUGAGUAUGAUGGGAGAGUUAACAUUCUUUCUUGGUCUUCAAGUAAAACAAUUGAAGGAAUGAACUUUUAUUUAUCAAGAAAAAUAUGUUAAUGAUCUUGUCAAAAGGUUUGGACUGGAAAAGUGCAAAAAGGUCGACAUACCAAUGUCAAGUUCUUUAAAGAUAGACAAAGAUGAAGAAGGGAAGAAAGUUGAUCAAAAGCUGUACAGGAGCAUUAUUGGAUCACUUCUUUAUCUUACUGCCUCUAGACUUUAUAUUUUGUUGAGUGUUUGCAUUUGUGCUAGGUUUCAAUCAGAUCCUAGAGAAUCUCAUCUCAGUGCUGCGAAACGCAUCAUUAAAUACGUUGCUUCAUCAUCAAGCAUCGGUCUUUGGUAUCCUAAGAAGGGAGACUUUAAUCUUCUGGGAUAUUCAGACGCAGAUCUGGCCGGUUGCAGAGUUGAUAGAAAGAGCACUUCAGGAACUUGCCAGUUGCUUGGAAGCAGGACAGUGUCUUGGUUUUCAAGGAAACAAAGCACUGUGUCUCUUUCAACAACAGAAGCAGAGUAUGUAGCUCUUGGAAGCUGCUGUUCGCAAAUUCUAUGGAUAAAACAACAGCUAAGAGAUUUUGAAAUUGAAGACUCAUGCACGGAGAUUAAUUGCGACAACACCAGCGCUAUCAACCUCACCAAAAAUCCAAUUCUCCACUCAAGAGCAAAGCAUAUAGAGAUUCGACAUCACUUUAUUAGAGAUCAUGUUCAAAAUGGAGAUGUUUCAAUUCAAUUUGUUGACUCAAAGAAUCAACUGGCUGAUAUACUCACAAAGCCUUUGGAGAAAAAUCGAAUUGAGUCUAUACGAUCCAGACUCAACAUUUUGAGGUAUGAGGAUAUCAAAGUCUAAAGACUUUCAGACUCAGGCUUACAAGACUUUAUCUACAGUCUUGGCUUGACCUUCAGACUGUAAGUCUUUCUCUCUCCAAUCUUAUCUUGAAAAGGUACGAUCAUCAGACUGUGUUUAAAUUGUUGCUAUAUUUAAUUAACGUAAAUAUUGCAUCGAUUCAUUUUCAAAAGGGAAGUUAUUUUUGAAAUAGCUAUUUUUGCGGAUAAAGACAGUUAUUUUGAAAAGGCAUAUUUUUAUUUCCUUUGUGACGGUUCGUUUACUCUUCUUUUUAACCGAACGAGCACUGUCGAUUUCUCUUCACUUUUCUAUUCACUUUUCUCUCAAAAACCCUAGAAAGCAUCGAUCCUCCACUCCCGUUUGUCUUCUUCGCUCANNNNNNNNNNNNNNNNNNNNNNNNNNNNNNNNNNNNNNNNNNNNNNNNNNNNNNNNNNNNNNNNNNNNNNNNNNNNNNNNNNNNNNNNNNNNNNNNNNNNNNNNNNNNNNNNNNNNNNNNNNNNNNNNNNNNNNNNNNNNNNNNNNNNNNNNNNNNNNNNNNNNNNNNNNNNNNNNNNNNNNNNNNNNNNNNNNNNNNNNNNNNNNNNNNNNNNNNNNNNNNNNNNNNNNNNNNNUGAUCAGCAUCAAGAAGAAAUCAUCGAGGAUGCAGACCCCGUAAGAAGUUCAAAAGCCCGCUUUUAUUUACAAGCUAUAUCGUGCCUUAAAAGGAAUUCGUACUCCUUUGAACUAUGUUGAUGAGUUUCUUAGAGACAAAGGAUAUAGGAACGAAUAUAUCUUUCUGCGAAAAAUGGAAAGUUUGGGAAUCGCUCGUAAAGGGGUGGCUGAGGAAACCCUUGCGAAUAUCCCAAGUGAUCCUCGUGACUGGGGGCCGAAUCCUGUAGAUGGGAAUGAUGAUGACAAUCUGUUCAGUUUAUUUCAACCGAAAAUGGGUAUUGCGGCUGAAAUUCAAGGAAAAAUGGGAGAUUUGUUCAGAUCAAAGGAACAAAAGGAUCUGUACUCAAAAUUGCUGAAGCGUGGGGUAAUAAACCCUAGAAGUGUGGACUUUGAUUUUCUGGAUGCUGUGAAAGUGAACUUGAGGGAAAAGUUCAGUUAUCUUCAACUUGAAAAGUUUUGCUCUGACUCAACUGAGGCUUAUACUGAAUUGACUGCAUAUUUCUAUUCAAAUCUUAGCUUUUUGGAUGCGAAUAGAUUCUCCUUCAGUGUUAAAGAACAAGACUAUGUUGUGGAUAUGAAUAUGCUGGCAGAUGUGUUAGAAGUUGAGAGAGGCAGAUAUCAACCAAUCAAAGUUUCCAUUGCUGGGGCUACACUUGAACUGGUGAAGGACAGGAGAACAGAUGAGAAGAUCACCUACUCACGGAUGAAUGCAUUCAACAUCUUGCUUCACAAAAUUGUGAUCAAUUGCCUUCGGCCGAAAUCAACUUCCAAAACUGAUGUGUCAAGUUCUGAGGCAAAGUUGAUGUAUGCCAUCCUCUGUGGUAAGAAGUUUUCUCUCCCUCAUACUGUUAUGUUUCACAUGUAUAGAGCAGUGAUGAAGGACAGAGGUCAACUCCCUUACCCAAGCCUUGUUACGAAGUUAUUCAGACAUCUGAAUAUUCAGCCUCCGCAAAUCUUUUGUGUUCGAUCAUGCGAUCAUAUGGUGGUAGGACUGAAAAUGGUAACCAAAAUGCGUCUGAAGGAACUGAGCAAGGAAUUGGAGAAAUUCAAGGAGAAGACUCCUACCAAAUCUCAUCAAUUCUCUUCUGCUGCUAAGAGAAAAGGGAAGGAGCCCAUGGCUGCUUCAUCAAAGAAAAGAAGAGCUCUCCUCGUUGAGGAUGAAGAUGAUGACGAAGACAUCACAAUCUCUGCAAUGGCUUUGAGGAAUUUAGGUCGUCCUGUUCCACAGAAAGAAUCGGAACAAAAGACGAAAGAAGCAGAGGAGAAGGAAGAAGGAGAAAGAGAAGCAGAGCAAGAAGCAGAGAAAGAAAGAUCUGAAGAAGAAAGAAGAGAAGAAGGAAAACCUGAGGAAAUCUCUUCGCCACCUGUAGGCAUGGAAACAGGGGGAGAUCAGGAGAAAGGAGUGACGUCUUCACAUCCAGAUGCAAGUGAAGGAGUCAGUCGCUCGCCUGCAGACCCAGAAGAUGUUUAUGCAUCUCAAUUUCCAGAGGAAGGUCAUGAAGCUUCAUCACCAAACUUGCGAGAUUAUGCUGAUCCACCAUCGUCUGCUUAUACUCCAGAUCGAGCCGAAGCAAGUACUCAGACUGAUAAUGGAGCAGAUUUUCGCAGAAUCAUGGAUAUUCUCUUGGAGAUGAAAGGUCAGAUUUAUGCCUUGGGAUGCGAAGUUCAAAGCUUGAAGAAUGAAGGUCAAGCUUCUUCUUGUUCAUUAAAUGAAAAGAUGCAAGCCCUCUCUAUUCAGAAUCAGGCCAAUGCCAAGAGUGAGGAGGUUGUACAGCUGAAGGAAGACUUUAAAAGGCUGGAAGGCAUUGUUCAGUCUAUGGAAGAUUUCCAGCUUGUCCGCGUUCCCAAGCAAUCUUGAUUUCAUCUCAUCCUUUUUAAAUGAUGACAAAAAGGGGGAGAGAUGCAUGAUUUGAAAACUUUCAAUCUUUUUUAAUUGUUUGUUGGAUUGUGUUUAAACUGUCUGUUUGUUUUUGACAGACUUUGACUUUGUUUUGUGUCUGGAUAAGAACUGCCUAGACUUGGACUUGACUUUACUACUUUUAUUAAUCAAUAUUGAUAUCUUAUGAAUGGCUUAAUCAUAUACUGGACUAACCUAUUUUCUGUGGUUGCAGAUUCUAGUGUUAUUCUAUUAGCCAUUUAUUUCUAUAAGAUAUGCAUAUGUGGUUGAGAAAUGUUUUGCAGGUCAAAGUUAUCCAAAUCUGCAGGAAUGUUUUGUCACCAUCAAAAAGGGGGAGAUUGUUGGAGAAAUCCUCGUGAAGAGUUUUGAAGUUGACAAAACGUUUCCAUCAGUCUAGUCUGAAGGUCUGCAGACUCUGUUAGUUAAAGUCUAAAGACUUCCGGACAGCCAGACUCAAGACUCAAAGUCUAUCCUCAUUGACAGUCACUGAUCCGUUGAAGAAAUGUUAUCCCGAACUGAAUGUUUUGUUCAGGAUUUAACCUUAUCAUUUGGAGAAGAUCUCAUGGCUGGAGAAGACGUAUCAGAAUCCUUUGAUUGAUCAAAUUUGAUUCAAUGACUGAAGAUUCGAUGAUUUUCUAAAUAUUAUUGGAAGGUUCUACUUAUGAAAACCGAGAUCCUGAUUGUAUGGACGAACAGGAUUGAUGGGCUAUCAACACGUUCCUUUAAUAGCUCGAAUGAUCUUCCUAAUUGAUUCCGUCCAACGGGUAGAUUGGAGGAAUUCCUUUGGUAAGUGCCAACGGGUAUGAUGGCAUAAAGGAGUAUAUAAGGAAGACGUCCUUAGUUGUUCGAGGAAGUGCGCGAUAGAAAAAUUCCAAAGUCUGAAGCUCCUAUUUGUUUAGAUAAAUCCUUUGAGCGAAUACUUGUAUACAAAAGAGAGUCUAUAUUUGUGAGAGACCUUGAGGAGGUGUGGCAGUACAUCUACACUGUGGAAUCAAGGCAAAACUGUGCUGUAACUACUCUUUUGAUCAUAGUGAAAUCCAGCCGGUGGGCUGUUAGUGCGGAAGAGUGGACGUAGGCUUGGAAAAGCUGAACCACUAUAAAUCCUGUGUUCCAAUUUCUCUCUUCCUACCUUGAUCGUAUUUCAAUUUGUUAAGAAUUGCUUCCGUAUAUCGACAAAUUGUUUGUGCGCCUAUUCACCCCCCCUUUAGGUGUUUAUACUAGCAAUAUCAGGAGUCUGUGGAGCAAGGAAAGCCCUCUCCGAAAGAUAAAAAUUAUAGUCAAGAUACUGGAACAAGCCGAACGAAGAGAACCAUUACUUGGAGAAGCAUUCUUUUCUCUUGCUAUGGCAGGCGAUGAUCUGCGAAUGAGAUUGUUGUAUCCUGAAAACUAAAGGUAAAAUACUUGGAUUCUAUUUUUCCUUCCUUGACUUCAGUGAUCCUUUUUAAUAUGCAGAUUGAGAAGCCCAGUUUCUUUUCCUUGCUAUACCAUCGGUUAUUAAUAAAAUUGCAUGUACCUAUGAAGAACCUUAUGUAAAAAACCUCCUUGGAUUGAUUGCUAUCUCCUAAGAAGUUCUUUGUUUGCAUAAAUGCACUUUGCGAGGUCCAGCAUAUUAUUUGUUUAGCGCUCUUAGCGUUCCUUAUGGAGUCAUAGGUGGAAGGUGCAUUGGCAUUGAUCUCAGAUGUGCAUAUCGACAGAGCUGUGGUGCUUUGGAACUUAUUUGCCACUUUCUUCAUGUUGUCAAUGGCCAUCACCUUUCAAAUUUGUAGGGAGUGCGUGUGUGCGAACAAGAGAGAGACAGAGUGACUUCUAAGAUGAGCUUUCUUGAAGCAUAUCUUAUUCAAACGGUCCCUUGUUAUAAUACCACUAGUCCGGUUGAGGCUCCAUUGCUUCCUUUGCAACUUGAAACUUCCUCAAUGAAAAAUUUCCAGUGUCUAGCAUAACAACGAUCACAUUGAUCAUAUUAAUAAGGAAGAUCUUGCAAGUUAUCCCCACUUUUAUGAUUUCAUUUAGGUGUUUGCUGAGUUCAACGUUAUCGGCUUACUCUUUUUAGUUGGGUUCCUAGGUUAAUCUUCAUUAUUUUCCUUGUUAUAUAUCAUCUGAGUUUUGUGGCAAAUGGAUCAGCUGGCAGCAGAGGCAUUUGCUAACUUAUGUCAGUGCCUCCACCUUUUGCAAAAUAAAUUUUUCAGAUGAACUGGUCGUUGAUUUCUUAUUUGAAGAACGAUCUAUGUGAGGCUGGUAGUCUCAAAACUAAGAAGCCAUAUCCAUCUCUGAUUUAACCAAGUUAAAUAGGAUUUGGGAAAUAACUUUCCUUCUUUGCCGAAGGAAAUUAUGCAACCCAAGCAAUUGAUAUGUUGAUGCUGGAGGAAAGCUGAUUCUUGUGUUAAAAGAAAAGCACAAAUUGCGUGAUUUUCAAUCAAGAUGCCCAGAAUUUUUAUACUACUACUUGUGACAUUCACGCACACUUUACACAAAAUUUGUUCUUGUUUUGUACACACUUACCUGUUUCGGGAUUGUUCAUGGCCCCUCUUUCUUCCCGCAACUGAUAUUGCUUGGAGGCGUUUGCUGUUACACAGGUGCAAAGCCAAUAAAAAAAAAUCACAAAAUAUCCCAAAUUAGGUUAACCUCAAACUUUUCUUUGUGAUAUAAAAAAAAAUCCAACCUGGCAUUAUUUAAUGGAUUCCAUAGGAAUUUAAAAAGCUUGGGAUCACGUAAGAAGGAUCCAUCAAAUAAGGGAAAAGAGACGCAGAUAAAUCAGCUGGAAAUGUCUGAUGUUGACUCAGGACUUUAUGCUUAGACUAAGGUAGUACAUUAGGGAGUGACCCCUCUUUUCCGAAGGUUCGUGGAAGCUGGUGCAUUCGUCUUGUCGGGCCCAUUUAUCUGUGUCGUUUUCCGCUCUAUCUAGUGAGAUCUUGUCUGAAUCUAGUACGAACCCACAAUAUCUGCAAGCGAUUCGUGUGCUCAAAGGGCGUCCCGAAUGGAGACGAAAGUCUCUUGAGGCAGGCUUUAACAGGACACUGGCCUAACUUCGGUGGGCAUUGGUACGAGCCACAUCUUCUAGUAAUUGAUGUAUGGUCAAAGAUGCAAUGAAUGUGGUGGAUAAGCUCUCUCUUCGGAGGACACCUGUCCGAACUCGGUCGUCAAAGGUCUGUCUCAUGUGAGGGAGAAUCGGCCGGAGCCCAUAGGGCAAGGCAGUAGUCUGUUUGUCUAGCGUGGAGAGCGAACCAGGUCGAAAAAACAUCGGCCAGAGCUUGACAGCAGUUUGUCGCAAGGUGCAGCAAUUCAAAGGAGGAAGUUAGAAUCCCAAACGUCCGAUCUCGUACGACCCCACAAUCCAAAUGGACUUCAUGAAUUAUCCCCUCCGCAAUAUCUGCGAGCGAUUCGUGUGCUCAAAGGGUGUCCCGAAUUGAGACGAAAGUCUAUUGGGACAGGCUUUAACAGGACACUUGGCCUAAGUUCGGUGGUCAUUGGUACGGGCCUAACUCGGUCGUUAGGCAAAGAUGCAAUGAAUGUGGUGGAUAAGCUCUCUCUUCGGAGGACACCUGGCCUAACUCGGUCGUCAAAGGUCCCUCUCAUUUGAGGCAGAAUCGGCCAGAGUCCAUAGAGCCAGACAGUUUUUUUUUUUUUUUUUUAUUCUAUCGUAUAGAGCGAAUCUAGGCCGAAAAAACAUCGGCCAGAGCCAGACAGCAGUCUGUUGCAAGGCGCAACAAUUCAAAGUAGGAAGUCAGAUGGCCAAACGUCCGAUCUCGUACGACCCCACAAUCCAAAUGGAUGUCAUAAAUUUUCCCCUCAAGCUGUUGUCUGGAUUUCCUUAAUGCCAAAGCUUGUUUGCAAUAUAUUCGGAAGUCUUCCUUCUCAUUGCCGAGCUGUAAUCUCGUAGGCGCGUAGCUUGGCUUCACAGGUCGUUGUUGCAUCUUAUCUCCGACAGGAUGAUAAUCAAGUUCUAUGUAUCUUGUACGGUGAUUGGAAACUUGGUUUUGCUGCAAUUUUUGUCGUAAUAUGCCUGUAAUUUCAAAUCACUCUUUGGUAAUAGAAAAAUUUCUCGACCGAUAGGAAAUUUUAAAUGUCAAAUGCCCUUCUUUCGGUUUUUCAAAAAAUGACUCCGUACAUUGAAAAAUCUUUGAUAAUUUAAACUUUUGAGCUUUAUUGGGAAAUUACUAAGUUUGCUCUCUGUCAUUCUCUCAUCCUACUUCCUAUUGAUUAAAAGAAAGUUCCACUUUUAUGUCUUGCAACUUAAAUUCCUAAGAAUCACAAUUUUAAUUAACAUAAAAACAAACUUUGCAUAAGUCAUCCUGUAUCGUAUAGUAACACUGUUAACUUUGUAUAAACUUAUUUUGUCAUGUUUUAACAUUGUUUCGAUAAAAUAAGAACUACAAUGCUUGAACUUAUACCCUUCAUCUAAUCUCCUGUAAUUUCGACCGAUUGAAUAAUUUCCGCCAUUGACUAAAGCACUGUUCUCACUGAAAAGGUCCAAUUCCGGUGUGCCAUCAAUCAACUUCUCCCUUCUUGACAGGGGGAUGCUUGCAAUAAGAGCCCAUGUUGGAUUUAGAGCAUAUAGAGUAAUUCUCGGUUGAAAACGUCGGCCAGAACCGGACAGCAGUCUGUUGCAAGGUGCAACACACUUUUCUUGCAAAAAGGAGGGGAAUUUUGUUUAUGUUGACUGCUUGAUUAACCUCUAAUUUAAGCUUUUGCUCCAUCUUCUUAUGUGGUAAAUGUGAGACUACCUCCAAGAAUUUUCACUUUGAGCGUUUGUCACUUCAUGAUAACAUAAAAUAUAGUAAGAAUUUGGGAACCAAGACACUUCUGACUUGCAUGUAGUUCACUAACAUCAGCAGAGUCUUUCUCGUAGGGCACAAAUAACAUGGCUCUUCAAUGCGUGAAACUGAGGAUUAUGUUUCCCUAAUAUGUGUAGGGAUACACAUGCAUCGCGUGCACUCUUGUUCUCUCCAUAGGAAGAAUUUGGGGUCAAUACUAUUAAAAAUGCCAAACCACUUAAAAAAAUUCAAAUUAAUAUAUCAGUGAUAAAUUUAUUCCAAGUUGAUAUAAAUUUCCACGUACACUUAUUAUGUCAGUUGAAUUACUAUCAUGUGUCAUCUAACUCAAUAAUUUCGUACUAAAAUUUGACAGAAGUUAAUGAAAUGUAAAUAUGUCACGAGCAUAUUAAUUUAGGAUUUUUUAUAAUUCAAAAAUCAAUUUAGAGUAAUAUCGGCUUGGAAUCUUUUGUGGCAUUCACUCAAGAAUUUAUUAAGAACGGAAAGGGAUGGUUGAGAAAUUAAACCGAAAUGGUUAGCGUGGACAUGAAAUGACCUUAAGAGAGACGUCAAGGGAGUGAUUACCUUUUGGGAACAUAAUGGGGUUGGAGCAUUCAUUUGUCUUGGUCCGUCAUUCGUGUGUAUCCACUUUAUCUCAUCGCAUCUUUGUCCGACUUUGGUAGAAGUCACAUCUGUGAUGUACUAAAAAGAUGCACCAAAUGUAGAUAAUAAUAUCUCUUGGGACAAGCUUCACAACGACACCUGGCCUGAUUUCCGUGGCCAAAGUUCGAAUGCGCGCAUUUUUCUUCCUUUUGCCAAUAAUGAGGCAGGAACUUUGAAUUGAUCCCACUAUUAUUUUAUUUUAUUUUAUUAGUGCUGGAGGAACCGUCUCAACCGGUAGCUGAAGCGUAAACCCCCAGGUACUACGUAAGUGGGAGGACCCACCACCCCUGACAACACACUUAAGUUACCAAGUAACUCCGCCAGAGCCUUUGCUUUGCAAAGGUUUUGAACUCCUCAUCUCUCUCGUAAAGGUUCACUGAAGCCUACCCAGUGGAGCCAUCACGGCCGGUGGUUAAAUUGAUCCCACUAUUGUUGCAUAUUAUCCAAAGAUUCAAUAGAAGUUUUAAAUAUAGCCCUUGGAAUUAAACAUAUUCUCAAAAAGAGUCUUGAAAAUAGGCUUUAUCAUAAAUAAAUAACCCUUAGCAUACGCCGGCAAGCAUGUGCACGUGACGUAACGCUUCCCAAGGUCAUGAUCAGAGGACAUUUUCAUCAAGAGGCUUUUUAUUUAUUUAUCUAUUUUUAUUGUCUUUCUUUUUCUUUCUUCAUCAUCCUCACUACAUCUUCUUCAUUCUGCUUCCCUCCCGUCGUCGACUUCGACACUUUUAUUAGUCUCCCCACUAGCGAGCUCUUGAGCUUCAUGUCCUCGGGUAGACUCUUGUCGGUCUUAGUGACGAACAGGAAGUUUGUUAGGACUUGGAAGUAUCGCGACGAGGUGAAUGCUGAGUGAAGUCUUGAGUACUAGUGUACUCAAGAAGAAAUGGGCAGCAAUACGUAAGUUGAUUAUCAACAGGAAGUUUGGAUGGACUCAUAGAAUUGCUUAUUGAAGUAGCUCGUUAUAUCAACUGAGGAGAAAAAAAAAAUAUGAUUUUUACAUGUUUACACAAUUUGGAUUAGGAGACCUAGAGAUUCCUUUGAUUUAAUUUGUGUGUUAAAAGGAAUAAAUAGCUAAUUUCGGGGCCUAGAAUCUCAAAUUGAAGAUAUGCAUAAAAAUCAAUUUGAUUGUUACCUAUGUUACUUGAUCAAUUAGAAGAAGAGAUUAUUGAUGCAUACAACUUACUCUAUAUAGGGAAACCUCAUCAUUACCUAGAAAUUUGAUUAUAUGGAUGACUAGAUCUCACGGUAAUUGUGCAUAAUUUCCAAUUGCUAAUUGAUUCUCUUAUCUAUAACGAUUGAUUUGGAGGUUAAAAACUCGAGAUGAGUGGUUUCAAGUUUUGUACAGGUUCCUGAAACCUAUUCCUUAUUUUUUUGAACUUGCGACCUACCCUACAUAUUUUGGAAUUAUGAAACUAUUUUGUCCUAGGUUUCAAGCUUUAUCAAGGUUCUACAUGUAUUAUUAAUUAAACUAUUACAACGAAUUAUCACCCUUAAUAACCACAAUUUGCCGCUACAAUUCACUAAUCAUAACUUUAUUUAGACACACAAAAAAUAUGAAAUAUCAAUAAAGUAAAAGUUGAAACUCAGAGUAGUAGUUCCAAUUUAUACACCCAUCAUUGAACGUCAUGGAAUAUCGUAGAAUUACGUGAAGAUAUAAACCAAGAAAAACAUGAGAACUUAUUUCAGAUUCUAGGUUAUAGGUUUCAAGUUCUAGGUUUCACUAAUCUAUAACCUAGAACUUACCCGUCAAAAUAGGUCCCUCAAUUUUUAGAACCCAAAACCUACCCUACAUACCUUAGCACUUAAAACCGAACAACUUCCCACCCCUUUGGUUCUUAGAUUCUAAGUUCUAUCCUGAAAUCAUGCUCAUCCCUAUUGAAGACUAUAUAAGAAGAUUAAUACAUGUUGAAUAAAAUUUAUAAAACUAAGAAAGUCACAAAUACCGAUAUAGUCACAUUCUCUCUAUGUUGUGAGUGAUCUACUCUUUGGUGAGUUUUAUUACUCACUUUAAUUUGUAAUUUGAAGAGUGUACAAGUUAGUAGGCAGUAAUUGUUUAUUGAUAGUGGGAUCGAUCAAUUUCGAAUAGAAGCAACACGAGUUUCGUAUUAACUACUCACUAAAUUAUUAGUGGAUACUGGCCUAUCGAUGGCUAUUAGAUUGGGAGAAUGGACGUAGAUUUGGCAUAAAUCAAACCACCAUAAAAAUCUAAGUGCAUCAUGUUCUAUUUCUUUACUUACUUUAUCAUCUAUCGAGUGCCGGAUACCUGGAGUGUCAAAACUUAGCACGAAGGGACACUUAAGUGCCAAAAGUUAGAAAAGUGAAACUUAAGUGCCAAAAUGGAAGUAAAAUGGAUCAUUUAAGUACCAACAGUGAGAAUCUAGCCAAAAUGCUGAUGUGGCGAUUUUCUGGCAAGGUAAGUGCAAAACAAUGUCAUUUUGCACGCUGACGUGAUUAGACAAAUGCAAAAAUGACGUUGUUUUUAUCUUUGAUGUGGUAAAUAAUUAAUACAAAAAUUAAUUAAAUUAAAUUUAAACUAAAAUUUUUUAAAACAUUCAAAAAAAUUUUUUAAAAAAAAGGUGGGGGGUAAGAGAGGAGGCACUUGGCUGAGGGCGGGGCCCUUGCCACCGCCGCCUCCCCACCGUUGCCGGGAAGGGUCAGUGAUGGUGGGGGCAAUGUCGCCCGAGGUCGCCGGCCCUUCCCAGCGACGAGAGGGAGGGCUCGGCCCUUAGUCACCUUCUUCCUCCCUCCUCCUCAUUUUUAUUUAAUAAUAAUAAUAAUAAUAAUAAUAAUAAUAAUAAUAAUAAUAAUAAUAAUAAUAAUAAUAAUAAUAAUAAUAAAUUUAAUUAAUUUUUAUAUUAAAAUUUGAAUUCGCGCAAAACUGACGUCGGUUUUGCAUUUCUUGCUGAGUUAGCUCUCUAGCGAAUCACGUAGGUGAGAAAAAUAAUAAACAGUUGCCACGUAGGAUUUCUGGUGGAGUUCACCGAAGAUGGCAUUUAAGGGUACACAUGGUAAUACUUCUAUUCCGGGGAAUAGUUUUUUUUUUCAAAAAUAGUUCUUUUCUAUUUCUACUCUAGAGAACAAUUUAUGAGUAAAAUAACGUGUUUGGUAAUAAUAUAAAAUUUAUAUUCUUGAAAUAGAAAAAAGAAUAAAAACGUGUUUGGUACAAUUUAUAAAUUUUUGUAUUUAUUCGUUUUUUUCUUCUUGCUUAUAGAUUGCCAAUCGUCGCAUGACCGUCGCCUGCCGCUGCCUGACCGCCGAUCGUCACCGCCAACCGCCGCCGCACGACCACCGCCCACAGCCCACCGGUAGUCGAUGGGCUGUGGGUGGCGGUCGUGCGGCGGCAAUCGGCGAUGACGGUCGGCGGUCAAGCGACAAUUGUGCAGCGACUAGUGGUCAAUGGUGGUUGUUGGUCAACAAGGGUGGUCGGUGGGCUGUGGGCAGCAGCAACGACGGUCGUCGAUAGUCGAGCGACGGCGGUCGACAAUCGGGCGAUGGGGGCUGUAGGCGGCCGAAGGUGGCUAGCGGUUGGCAGGGGGGAUGGCGGUGGCUAUAGCAAGGAAAAAGAACACAAGAAAAAUAGAAAAGAAAAAAUUGAUUUAUUUUCUAGAAAUUGUUCCUGAGAACAAAAAGUUACUUUUUUUUUUGUUUCUUAUUUAUGUUUCAAAUCUAUUCUCCGACUACUUUUUUAUUCCGGGGAAUAGAAAAAUAAAUUGGCAUUACCAAACGGAUUUCUGUUCUUGGAAAUUUGGAGAAAUAGAAACGUUACCAUACAGGCCCUAAGUAUCCCACUUUUUUUAAAAAAAAAGUAGCACUUAAGUGUCAUUUUUCUAACUUUUGAUACUUAAAUGUAUUUUCGUGCCAAAUUUUGGCACGAAGUGUGUACUUUCAUCAUUUAUCUAAUAGAAGUAUCUUGCAUCUUAUAUCAUCUAUUGUUCCUGCAUUUAUCAACCUAGAUUGAGUAAUUCCGUGAAAAAUUGUUAUGUUUUGAAAAUAAACUGAACUCACCCGAUCUCGUUGUAUUAUUAGCCUCAACAGAAAGCGCCACAUGAUACGCACAUGCUCAUUGGCUAGUAAGCUAGGAGCAAUUUUGAUACUUAGUUGCCCACUUUGGGGACUAAUUAAAGACAAUUCACGUUGAGGACUCUUUUAAAAGGCUAUUUGAAAGUUUCAUGAAAAGCUUUGCCAACCAUUUUGAGGGAUUAAAACUCUAAUGCUAAAGAAUAUGCUUGUGAGAUUUUGUGAUACUACUAUAAAUUGUUAUAAAAACUUAAGCUAUUAGAUGAAGACAUGAUUUAUUAUUUAAAUUAUUCUAACACCCUCCCUCAUGCUUAGAUUGGUCCAUUUACAUUGUGCUAAAUGCGGACAUAUUUCAUUGGGAAAGCAAAUGAGACUUGUAAAGAUUUAAAUUCAAAAUCUCAAACUUUGAUAACAUAUGAAAUUUUGUGAAACCGUUACCAAUUAUUCUAAAAACUUAAGCUAUUAGAAGAUACACAAUUUACAUUACUUUUCAUUUGAUCUCCUUUAAUUUCGAGCAGUUUGAAUUAGGUCCUCAUGACUAAGUAGUGUCCUCAUGAAUAAGGUCCAAUUACGGUAUCAAUCAGCGUCUCCCUUCUUGGCACAUUAAAGCUUGCAAUAAGCACACAUAUUAGAUUCACAAGAAGCGCAUUUACUUAAAAAAAAAAAUGUUUCCCCAGUAGAGAAGACAGACAAAUCUUGUAACUUCUGGUUAGCAUUUGGUCAUCUAAAACAUUUCAGAAAGCUCUUCCCAUAAAAAGUGAACAAGAACUUUUUCGCACUAUGAACGCUUUCACUUACGCAUAACUGGCAGCUACACAAGCACAGAAAAAAAAAGAAAAGUUUCUGCAAAGGUGAGAAAACAACCAUGGGAGGACUUUGAUACAACGGUGAAAUAGUAAGAAACUACGGCAGAUGUACACAAGCAUAUUCCAUUGACCCACCAAAACCUAGUUCAUUAGUUGGAUUCUUCUUCUUUCCUGUUUCCAGCAUAUACCUUCAUGCCGUGAAGCGAAGGGUCGCUUCACUUCAGAAACCCUCUCUCCAACUAUGCAAAAGCUGCAUUAUGUGAUCUGGAUCACAAAAAAACAGCAGCAACAAUGAUUCUAAUGUCCAGCUUAAAAUAACAAAAAGGAAACCAAAAGGGCAAGAAAAUAACAUAAAGGGUAGCGCCGGAGUACAUGGAAAUUUAGGGCAUCAGUCCCACUGCUUGCUCCAUCAGUUCACUUGGUACCCCAUCCAUCAAUCAGACCCUCCAGUUCAAGAUAGAUUCCCGUGUCAUUCACUGUCAGGUUGUCUUCUACUUCUAUGUUGUCUGCAUCGUCGCCAAUAGCCAUGUCUUCCCCGAGUAGUUUCUCGGACAUCCCAUCCAAUACCGAAGACAAAUCAGACGGACUAGCUCUGGCCAUCUGAUCGGGCGUCUGACCCAGCAAAACUCUGAAAUCCUCACCAUCCAUUGAAGGCCAUGUAUUGUGCAUCUGAAUGGUGUCAAAAUCCUCCAGCACGACCAUAUUUGGCCAAUGCUCCGUCUGUGCCAAAUCAUCACUGAUUCUCAGGCAAUCAACGUUUGGGCUUUUAAUCACGUGAUCCAUUGCUUCAUUCAAGAAUUUGGUGGCUUCAGCAUCGGGACCAAGCAAUUUGCUCUUCUUGCUUGAUUCACAAGUCUCUAAAUCUCUCUUCUGGCUCUUCUUCUGGAUUAAAUGAUGGACAAAGUUGGGGCUUUUGGCUGCUUUUGUGAGGAAGAGGAAUAUCUGCUGGUUCCUGCACUCAGCAUGGCAAACCCGCUCUGCGACUUGCUCAAUCUCAUGCUGAAAGCUCUUCCGCUCUUCUCUUAGUUUAAGGAUCUUGGUCUUCAACACUUCCUGGCCCUUCUUAAGCGUGUUGAGUUCCACUUCAUUUUCAGCUUUCUGGUAAUCAGAGGUGACAGUACUACUCGAUGUUUUUCUAUGCUCACUGAAUUUGCAUCUCCUCUUUAUAUUCUUCAGCAAGUGCUUAUUCCCUUUCUGAAAACCUUGGUUCACAAACUCCCAUCGAUCUGGAUUGAUCUUCCUAAAACCCUGAGACAUAUUUUGAAUUAUGAUGCAUAAAGGAUAGAAGAUAGGAAGAAGCUAUGUCUAUGAGUUCAUAUUGAACCAAAGGCUAAAGAGUAGAAAUAAGCAGAAUGAAGGUCCAGAAAAUUUCAAUGGAAGAUGUUCACAAGGGGUAUUACUAGGCCAAUCUAGAAAGAACACGGCUUAUAAUGCAUGUCAAGGAGAGAUCCUUUACAAUGAUCCAAAUACCAGCACAAAGAGCGUGUGGAAAAAUUUAAGAGUAAAGGCAAACAACUCAAAAUCAAUCCGGAUACUACUACAUAUAAUAUGAACACAACAGGCAGAAUUAUGCUUCUGGUCUUGCCCGUAAAGAAGAAAGGUAUCGGAAGGCCUUACAGAACACUCGAUAGAUACAAAGCAAUGGCCAAAGGAAACUUAUCUUCAGCUAGAAAGUGCAUAAUGGACAAUUGAAGCAGUAAAAUGCAAAAUGCGAACCACUAUAAAGGAACUGCUGUAGUGCAUUUCUGAAUCCAGUAAGAAGAUAAUCUUAGAUGGGUGUUCUGAUAUCAUGGCUGGUACUUUCUGCAAACUACCGUCUAAAGCAUAAUCACUUGAAUAUGAUGAUGGACCGAGGACCUAGUAGGGGCCAUCGUCCACCAGCCACUUGAUGCAAAUUUUUGUGAACAUGUGCCACGUGAUUCAUGAAAUUUCACAUAGAAUCUGUGUAUCUCGCCCACCAUUUCAGGUUUCUUGGUUCCUUGUGCGCUAGUUCCUUGUCCCCUAUACUAGGGUAAAGCACAAAUAGUAACUGACAAAAUGGGUUAAAUUAAGUCUCAACACCUGAGCAAACGUUUUAAGUGGAGUCCCUUGGAGCCUAGCCCCUUGCCCCGGGGACUAUCCGCUGGAUGCUGUAAGAGGACCACACUUUCGACAACAUCCGAAAAAAGAACCGAAGAGUUAAACCAAAACACACAUACACAUACUUUAUGCACAUCAGUACAAUAGAUAACGACCGCAGCAAAUGAUAUAGGUUUGCUCUUAUCAAAACAUGAAGAAGUACCCACGUAAGUGUUGAGCUGCCUGAUGAAGCUGGAAAAGUUGGAGUGCUUGAAGUAUCGAGGCAGGACCUGCUUGGAGAACUCCCGCUGGUCCCACACCACGAAGCUGUCCCGCCUCAAACCCCACGACACCACCGGGUCCGUACCCGGGUCCGACACCAUCUGAUACGUCUUCCUCAGGAACGGCGUUGGCCCCGCCUCUCCCAGCCCCUCCAUCGGCUUCGCCACAUCGUCCGCUGCUGCCUGCCGCGAGCACGACGGCAAUAAAAUGGUCCCAUCCCUGGGAUCAGCAAUGGUCGCGACCUCCUCCUCUUCCACUUCCUCUAUGACCUUCGCCGCCUUCACAGCCAGAGCCAAACAGGGGUCGGGCCGGCUCGGGCAUGAAUGCAAGCGCGACCCAGCUCCAAUCUUGCCAUCGCCAAUGGCUACUUCUGGCAAGGGACCCGAAUGGGAAACCGACCCACAGCAUCCUAGCUCGUCUGCACGGGGCUUUGAUUGUGACCGAGCAGAACCGAUUCGGGUUAGGUUCAAGUACAAGGGCGACCGGGACCCCAUCUCGCCAUGGUCGCCACCGUCAAGAACGGUAACGGACGGUAUUUCUUCCCGUGAUUUUGCGAAAGGUUUUGCCUUUUCCAGCUCAAGACUUGAUUCUUGGAAGAGGGUUUUGGAAAACGACGCGCAAGAUCCAUUGGUAAGGCCGGCGGAAUGAUCGCCGGCGCCGCCGUGAGACGCCGUCGUCAGCUUGAGCUCGAGUUCAAGUGUUUUUGCCCUUCUUUUCUGUCAGAAGCUCUAGUUCAGGUUCAAAGGUGGAGAUGGUAUGAGAAAGUUUCAAGUGAAUAAAUACAACAUGGUAGGGUUUCGAGAGAAAGAGAGAUAGCUUGAAUAAGGGCGAUGGUAUGUUGGCCUUAUAAACGUGGGAAAAAGCCGAGGAGCUGCUAUGCGUUUGUCUUUUGCGUCUCAGAAAGGUUUUCCUGUUCCCAUGUUAGCGGCAAAUGCUUUAAUAUUGUUAAUUCUAUCUUUUAGUUUGUUAAUAUUAAAAGAUUCAUGUCGGCAUCAUUUAAUAAUAAUCAGUUCUAUUUUUUAAAAUAUGCAUAUUUAAUCACGUUCUUGCUGUAUAAGAUUAUGUGGACAAAGAAGAUAAUAGCAGCCAUUUUUGCUCACCCAACAAGAAUAACUGAUUUCCUUUUAAGUAUCUUAAAAUUGAGGUCAUUGAAUCUUAAAAUUGAUUUUUUUUUUAUGGGUCAUAUUUUAACCCUCACUUUCAAACCUUUGUCAUGCCUCUUUAUAAGGCAUCGAAACUCACAGUUAAAAUUAAAUCGUUCCCAUCCAACCUCCUGAGAAUGUGGUAUUCAAACCCUCCACCUCCCAUUUCAUAUUAGAAUGGUGGCCACUAGGACAAGUCUUAGUGGUUAUGUAAUUAUGUUUAGAGAUUCCGACCAUUUAUUAAAUAAUCGUCUAAUCAAAUCAAAUGACGUAUGGCAUAGAUAGCAUAAAAGCGUUCAAAAUUUGCCUUAAAUUAUUUCGUGAUAUCAUUGAUGCUUAACAAUUAAAAAUCGUGACAUUUUAUGUCGAUUUCAAUAUUUCGUUUUUCAAUCCAAUGGGACAAGUUAGCUUAGGUUGACUUGGACGAAUCAUGCCAUCAUAGGAUAAAGUUCAUGCAUACCAUAUUCUCGAUAUAUCAUUUCAUUAGAUUUUAAUGAGGCUGUUUACAUUUGUGUAGUGUCUAUUCAUAUAUAAAUUUAAACUUUUGAAUUUAAUUUUUUAGUACAGUAUCAUAAUCGAGGUUCAUCUUCGUUUAUGCGAGUAUUCGCACACUAGUCCAAUAUAUUUUAAUUAACAUUAUGUUUAUGUAGCCUCGGGCUACCCAUUAGACCAAUUUCUUUCUUUUUUCAAGGUUUUUUUCUUAAAUUUUGAAAGUGUUAACCUUUUUCUCCACUAGCAAACUAAAAUAGUGAGGAAGUUGCUACCGAAGGUCUCGAGAAAAACUGAGAAUAUCAAAAGAAAGAUAUGAAGGGGGGAAAAGGAACAGUUGAGAAUUUGUUCCUUUUCCCAUCGCUUUGGAAGAAAGGGAGAUGGACAGGGCAACGGUAUGGGUUCUGAUUCCUUAAUUAUCACUUAAUGUGCGUCAUCAAAACAGACCAAUCAUCAUUUACUUUAGUUGCCACUUCAAUCAUCUUGCUUCACUGGCGUUCGCGUCUGGACAUGACAACCAAAGUGUGUUUCUUCUUCAUCUUUUUUUUUCCCCUCGUUUGUUUAUUUUACUUUUAUCAAAUACACUUAGAACCGAAAAAAAGGCAUCACAAACUUUAAUCUACACUCGCUAUGAAAUAUUUAGUCUAAAUUUUUUUUCUACAUUAACGUGGCGCCACGCGAGUGCUAUAUCAAAAAGUUAAAAAGAAAGAUGAAAUUCAAUGUUACUGUUCAUCACGAAGAGAGAGAGAGAGAUCGCAGAUGGUCGGCAUGCCAUCGCCGUUCUAACUUUGCCGGGACAUCGACCACCGCGGCCAGUCGCUUCAGCGGGCAAGCAGAGCUAAACCCAAAUGGCGUUGAGCUCGAGCGGGGCCUGAGCUUGCCCAAAUCUAGCCUAAGUAACAGCAUCGGCAACGCCAAUUCAUUAUCUGCUUGAGCAAUGAUCCAAGCUUGGUUUGAGCUCAAAGAUUUGUCUUCGAAACCCAUAUUUUCAGCCCAGCGACCUCGAGUCGCCCAAGACUCAAUUCUCAAGUCUCCCUCCAGGUUACAGGCUCUUAGGUCAAGCUUCAAGCUCAAGCGACCACAAUGGCCAGAUCUGGCUUCGAAGCUCACCGCGACUAAAUCGUCGUCAAGGGACUCACCCCUCCUAAAACACUUGCCUAGAUAUGAAAUUUCAGAUCUGCGAGCAACCGGCGAUCACCGGUGAUUAAGCAAGGGCUCACGAACGUCCUCAGAGGUCUAGGCAACUUUGGGCAUUGAUGGACGAGGGACGCAGGCGUUUUGGCCAGGCAAUCGCGAGCUUGAAGACAAUGAACAGUAACUUUGAAGAUGAUGAACAGUAACUUCCCGAUAAACAGUAAGCUCGAUCUUUUCUUCUUUCUUAAUUUUUUUGUGAUGUCCCAUCAGCGCCACUUGUCUUGAAGAAAAAUUAAUGAUGUCACGUCAGAUUUUUAACAACAAUUUUUAACAUAAUUUUAAUAAAGUAUAAAUAUGUCAGUCAACUAAAAAUUUAUGAUUUUUGAUGACAGAGUUUUUCUUUUGAAUAAAUGGGUCACUCUAGACAUUCCUUACAUAAAUUAAGGUUUCUUGACUUUUAAUCUUUGGAUCAUGGUGAUUAAUUAUGCAUGUUUAUGACGUAUGAGCAACCAUAAUGAAGGUAAAUUGGAAACAAGGCCAAAGCAAACACGUACUUCAUAUAUGAUCAUUGAGUGAACGGACUGCAGAGACCAUCUUUUUGAGGCCCAGAUUAGAAGAGGGCAAACGGAAAAAAAAGAAGAAGUGUUGAAAUCUAAUAUUUUAGAAAAUAAUAAAUAAAAUAAAAAUUAGGUUUUGGAAAUUUUUUGUUGAAAAUAUAUUUUCAUUUCAAAAUUAAGUUUUUAACUUUUUAUUUGAUUUUGGAGCCUUUUUAUUGUAGGAGUCGUGGAGUGAAUAUCUCGUUUGCAAAAAUAACUCUCGAGUGCUUUCACUAUAAAAUGCGAGGCUUCAAAACCAUGUCGAGGGGGCGACUUCUCUUCGUCGAGGGAAAAAGAAAAUAAAAAAGGAAAAGUCAAGAGAAGCUUUAGCUUCUGAAGGGAAGAGAGCUUCGGUUUGUGGGAGAGGAAAAGAGGAAAAAGUAAAAAGAAGGUAGAGAGAGAGUGUGUACGAAGAGAUGGGUAGGAGGAGAGAGAGUAAAAAUUAAAAAAGGAAAAAGCAGAAGCAAAAGUUUUGGCAGGGGGAUUGGACGUUUACUGUUCAUCCUCUUCCCCCUGCACUCGCCGGAAUUUGCUGCCCACAGACCGACGGCUCCUCCUCACCGGUGCACCACCGUGCCCGCACCUGCGCCAUCGCUUUCACUCGUCCGCCACCACACCACCAUCGUGCGAACACCGCCGUAGCAGCAAGCCUGAGCCGAUCGCCGCCAGUAGCUGCCACGUCCCCUGCUCGACUCCUCCACGCUCGCGACCACCGCGCGCCCCCUACCCGAAGUGGCGCCACUCCACAUCGCCGCUGGACAGAGAUCUUCUAUUCCGCGGCGCUCGCACCAGCCCUCCUCGCCGAUCAAGCCACCGUACGCCCGAGCGACGUCAGGGCUGGUCGCUGAACUCCCCUCCGACGAAGUCACUGCCUUGCUGCACCGCGACACCAUUGCUCCGCGCCUCUGUUCUUGCCCGAGUCACUGAUCAUCAUCGUCACUCGCCCACCGUUCCAGAUUCCGCCGCCGACGCCUGUGACUCGCCCGCCGUUGGAGUCCUCCGCCUGCAACGCCCUGUCCACGAAGCCACCGCCGAUUCAGCUCCGACCGCGACACCCCUGUUUCGCCGGUUGUCCCUGCUGCCCGGGUGCCGCCCCGUUCCUGCCGAUCCGCCUUCGCCGGAGUUCCCUUUGCCAGACCAACGAUCAGUCCCCUCGGUGACCAGCCGCACGAGCUGCCGAGCUUUUCUUUUGGAAGCAAAGGAUAAAGAAAAAGAAAAACAAAACAAAAGAGAAAAGCAAAUUAGGUAGUUUGUUUUUCUUUAUUUUAUUAUUUAUUCAUUUUAAAUUUUGUUAUUAUUGUUUAAGUUAGAAUAUGGUUUGUCAAUGUUAAUAUUGGUACAUUUUGUAGGCAUUAUCCGUAAGGAUUUUGUCCGAAAUUAUUGUAAUUAUUAAUUUGAUCUGAGUGACAUCGGAUCAAUUUUUUAAUUAUAUUAAUUUUCGGGCUUUUUUAUGGUAUUUUGGUUGUUAAAUUAAUGUAAUUAUUAACUUGAUCUAUAAGACUUCGGAUUAGAUUUUUAAUUAUUUUGAACUCUUUAUCAUGAUAAUUAGGUUUAGAAUAAUCGUUAAUUUGACCUGUGAGACAACGGGUUAUUUUUUCGGUUAUUUUAAUCAUUUAUUUAUUGAAUAUCUUGAUUGUUUAUAUUUAAUGUUUAGUCGAUAAUUACUUGUCUUGGAAAAACACUAAAACACUAAAAAAAUAAAAAAAAAUCAAAAUCAAAAUCUUGCAUCAAAGCAUGUAGGUUUAAUAAAUCAGACAUGUAGGAUUAGGUUUAUGAAAUUUUCAUCAUCUAGCAAUUAUUGCUAAGUUCAUUUAGUUAGAAAUUGCCCGUCAUUAGAAUUAGGUCAUUUAAUUAAUUUAGAUUGCAUAUUUAAUUGUUGCAUUUCUUUAAUUUUGAAUUUCAUGGAAAAUACAAAAAAUUAGAAUAAAUUCAUUUCAUGCUUUAGGAUAGAUUGCAUGCUUAUUCAUGUUAUAUAUUUUAGGUCAUAUUACCACGUCAUAUCAUUUCAUGUUAAAAUUAGUAGCAUGCAUUGUAUGAUUCUCAUUAAAUAAAAUGAAAACCAAAAUUAAGUUUGCAUGUUAGGUUUAUUUAAUUAGAAUUUUUUUAUUAGUAAAAUAUUGUCAUAUCUAGAACUUAGGUACUUAGGUCCAUACACAUUUCAUAUUAAAGCAACACAUCUAGAUAUUUUUAGAUUAAGUCAAUUUUCAUUUAGUAAAACAAAAGAGGAACAAAAAAUGCUAUGCAUGCCAUAUGAGUUAUAGUUUAAUUGUUUUUUUAAUAAAAAGAAAAAUGCUAAAAGAUGAUCAUUGCACCAUUAAGUUACUUUCUUUUCAAUAAAAAACAUUAUGUCAUUAAAAAAAAAACUAAAGAUCAUUUCCUUGGUUAGUUAAUAGGUUAAUCCAUAAUUAAUCUCAUUAUUUAUCAUAUGUUGCAUAUAUGCAUUAAAAAAUGAAUCAUCAUAAAAAAAAAUCGUAAAAAAACAUGCAUAUAGAAUUAUCACGUCAUACAUCUCAUAUCAUACAGCAUAUGCAUAUUUAGGGUUAUGUAAAUUAGAUUGCACACAUGUUGUAAUGAUUUGAAUUAUGCCACAUGAAUUGUAUCUCAUAUGUCAUUAAAGUAAAACCCAUGCAUAUCAAAUUUAAAUUAAGAUUGCAUUUAAUUAACAUUUUCAAAAAGAAAAAGAAAAAUUAGGUGUCAUGUCAUUUAGAAAUCAUGUUUAGGGCAUGCAUUUUUAUUAGCAUUUUUUUUUAUUGAAUGUUAUUUUAUUGAUUGUGCACCCGCAUGACCAUUUACAUGUUAGUAGCUUAAGUUUAAAUUAAUCAACAUUGCCUGCAAAAUAUUUUUAAAAUUAAAAUAAAAAGGUACCGAAAGGGCAUUAGACUAAUCUAGCAUAAUCAUGUUCCCGGACCCACUGAAUCUCUGGUUCGCAAAAGUAAAGUAUUCUCCCAUACUUUACUUAGGUUUUUAACCAACCCUAAAUGGUUAGUGGCGGCUCCAAAUUGAAUAUAAUUGCACGUUUUAAUAGAUUAAUUUCUUAGUAUUAAGUCGCGAUUGGUAGGACUUGGGAGGGUCCGCGCCAAGUUUUCGGACUUAGUAAUCCAUUAGCCUUCUUUAAGUAAUUCACAUUCAAAAAAUUCGGGAAGGUCGCGACAAGAAGAGAGUGACUAAAAUGUUUCUAUGACUGGUACAUCAUAACCUCCCGAAACCAAAUCGUGCAAUUUUAGGUCAAUUUGGACAUUCUAAUUCAUUUUUUAAAGCCCUUAUUCUUUCUUGGUUCUCUAUCUUAAUUACAAGAAAGCUAAUUUCAAAUUAUAAUGUAUUGUGUUUAGAGUCUAAAAAUCUUUCAUUUCUUUUGUGGCUUCGAACAUGAGAACUUGAAAUUUUCGUAUUUGAAUUUAUAUUUGAAUUUAGAGGAUCCAUGCUUUCAUCAAUCUCCAUGUCAUUUUGCACACUAAAUGAGUGCCGCAACUCCUCAGAAUCCCCUCUAAUACCUGAAACAGUGCCAUAAAUUGACUGUAAUAAUUUAGUAUCCAAUCCCCAUGACAUUUGUUGUGGAAUGUAUAGAACUCAUAUGUGGUCAGAAUCCCAUGAGGAGAGACAAUCUACACAACCAAAAAUUUCUUGAUGGUUGACAAAAAAAUGGAUCUUGCACGAAAUACUAAAUUCCUUCUGAUUGAUGAACCAAUGAUAGCACGAAAUGCCAAGUCAACUAUGUUCUAUUAUGAUUCUAAAGACACGGGAAAACAAUCCACAACCAACCUUAUGGCUACUUUAGAAGUCAGCGUGAGAGAGAGAGAGAGAGAUUGACAACAUAGUGUAAUUGCUAGAGUAUUGAUCCUAUAUUAACUUAUGAUAGCCAAAGAAGUCAAUUCUAGAAGUCAAUUCUUCUAAGUCUAGGUGAUUUACCUGGAUUAUAUUGUAACAUGUGUUAUAAGUCCGCACAUGAUUCGAACGAUUCAUAACCUUUCGCAAGUAUAGAAAUUAUUGCUGGCGGGAGAGCUAGAAUCUCUUGAAACGACGUGCCAAAAGCUGCUGCAACUUAAUCAAUUGACUAAUGCAUGUUAGAAGGCUAACAAAUUUGUUUUAAUCUAAAAUUCUCAAUGAGGACCUACAACUUAAUAAAUUGACUAGUGCAUGUGGUAUGCACUUUGAAGUAGUGAUGUUACCGGAAUUCUCGGUGACACCCAAAAGGCCUCAUGCUGCUUUUGCCUGUUCUUUUUUACUUUAUUGGAUGCAGUCAUCCAGUUCUCUAGCAAUGAGUAGCAGUGUGACCUGUAAUCUGGCUUGAUUCUCUCAAGAGAUCUUGAAUAGAAACAGUUUCCUUUACCAUUUAGGUAACAAUUCAUUUAUGUCCCGUGCAAGCUCUGAUUGGUUUUAUCCCUCUUCAGAUGUUUUGAGCUGAUGAAAUGCAGCUUCUUUUUUGACAAAUAGGAUGACUCUCUAGAUGCUAACUUCUGCGUAUACAUAGAUGGGGCGAUUCUUACCUUACCCAACCACGGCAUGCAUCUAACCAAGAUCUCGUCUUCCUGUCUUGUUGCUGAUAUGAUAAUGCAAUAAUCUCAAUCGCUAGGAAUUAAAUUUUUUUCAAUGCCAUACUUAGCCCAAGAUUUUGAUAUGUUCCCUGAGUCAUUUACUCGGAAGCUGCUUUCUUUUUUUGGGGGUCUGAGAGGAGGCUGCUUUAAGGCUAAGGGUGAUAAGAAAUUCUUUUUAGUCAAAUCCAAGCUUUCCUUUCAUUGUGCAUCCUUGAGGUUUUAUGUUGGGAACUGGGGAUACAAGUGAGAGAUGAUUAAUUGAUUUUCUGAAUUUGCUGUUGAUAGUAUCAAUUUCUCCAUAAGAUUUUAUUGAUACAUUUGUUUUCUUCUGAUCAGUUGCAAUCUUAAGAGAGGUGCAGAAGCCUACUAGAUACUGUUAAUUGCUAGUGACGACCCCAUGGGCGUGUUGUAUAUAUCCUCCUCUAUCGACUUACAUGAUAAUGUAAGUUUACGAUAGAAGAUAUUCUGAGGUUUUAUGGAGCUAGAGAGGGCAAAAGCUCUCUUUAAAAUUCUCCCGUUCCGCAAUUCUCUGUUAUGCAUAUACGUGCACACGUAUGCUUGCAUUUUCUUUUGUUUUGUUUUAAUUGUCUUUUGUAUCUGCAAGUUACCUUAAUUGCAUGCUAAUGUACAUGUUCCGCAAUGCGUGAUAGAAUAUUCCGUGCUCCGUUUAGUUAUUGGCUUUCGGUUGGAGCUCAACCUUAGGAUCCCGUCCAACGCAUUCUCUUCAGAGCUGGUCUGCUGCCUCCUCCACCCAUGGUGGCAAUGAGACGCAAGAGUGGACCAUCCUGUUGAUCCCGAGAAGCAAACUGCUUCCGUCAAAGCAGAUGAAUCGACCACCUGAAGAUGCAAAUAUGCUUAAGGCGACGAGACUACACGGUGAAACUCAGUGGCUGCAAUCUCAGUUGCUUUCACUUUUCUGGAGUUCCCUGAAAAUGCGCUUCAGAUAACAUACAGCAAAAGUUAUUGGGAAAGGGACAAUUGAAAAUCUUUCUUUUUCCAAUGAAGUUGCCAACCUUCUGUGACAAGGAUGAUGGACUGCGCAACUGUACCAGGAUUUAAUUUCUUAAUCAUCAUUUAUUGCCUUGUUAUCUACACGUACACACUACGCAGAAUAUCGUUUUCUUCUGUUACCAUCUCAGUCAUCCGACUUCGCUUGCAUUCUUGUCAGGAAUGACAGCCAAAGCUUGUUUACUUUUUUAUUAUUAACUUAGAUUUAUGGUCUGUUUGCCGGAAAAAAAAUAUUUUUCUCAUUUUUUGACAUUUAAAUCAUUUAGCAAAAUGAGUAAACGGAAAUAGUUUCUUGAUUAACGGAAAACCUAUGCAUAAAUUAGGAAAAUGAUAUGUCCAAAAAAACACAUUUUAGGAAAAUUAUUUUUUCUUUAAAAUUUCGAAAAUCAUUAUAAAAAAUAUGACUACAUAUUGCGUUUAGAUUAGAAAUUUUGUGCUUGGAUACAGGAAACCUAACACUCAUUCUUAGGUACUCAACACUUGGGCUCAUGACUUGAGCUUGUGACCUUGGUCUAAGCACUUAGGACCUAGUCCUCGACAUCCAGACAGGGGUCACUUGCGGAGUCUAAGCUUGGGUCUCUAGCACUAGUGCUUUGGUCCAUCGAGUUCAGACCUAAGGCCUUAGUGCCAUGCUCGUUGCCUCAAUACUAGAGCUGAAUCCAUAAAGAUCAAGGGUAGGACCCUCAUACCUAUACUUGGAUCCCUCGCACCUUAGCUUGGGUCCAUCAAGGCAGAGCUUGAGUCCCUAGUUCCCACGCACAAAUCCUUCGCACUUGAAGCUAGGUCCAUUGAGAUUGAGGCUUAGGACCCUAGUGCCUAUGCUUGAGUCCAUCAAGGCCAACCCCAAGACCCUAGUGGCCAUGCUUGAGUCCCUAGUGCUCGUGCUUGACUCCAUUGAAGUUGGGCUUGGGACUCAAUGGCUGAGUGCAAGUCCAUAAAGGUGGCUUAGUACCCUAGUGCUCAUACUUGGAUCUCCCACACCAGAGCCUAUAUCCAAUGAGAUUGAGGCCCUAGACCCUAGUGCCUUGUCCAUCAAGGUUGGGUCGAGGACCCCAAUGCCUGUGCUUGAGUCUUCAACACUUGGACCUAGGUCUAUCAAGGUCAAGCCUCAAACUCUGGUACCCUUGCCUAAGUCUGACCUUAAUGGACCUCAGCCUGAUCAUUGAGGACCCAUGCUUAGUCGUCAAGCACCCAAGAAUAAGCAUUGGUGUAAAAGAAUAUUUUCCAGAAAUAUAAUAUUUUUCGUGAAAUAAGCAGAACCUAAGUAUUUUACACAAAAAAAAAGCCUAAGUACAUUUGAAGCAUUACAAAGUCCUAUGGUCAUGUAUAUUUGAAAUGGAUUAAUAUAAUUUUGUAGAUUGAUACAUUAACAUGUCAUGGAAAUUCGAAAUAGGUACAACAAUUGUCCCAAAUUAAUUUUCGUAUUACAAAAAAAUCCCAAAUUAGGGUGCCUCCAUCACAUUUAUCCCAAAAAUAUUUUCACAUCAUAAAAAAAUAAUAAAUCAGUACGCUAGUGUCAAACCUACCUUCCGUAAAUUGGGGAAUUUGUUAAAAUCUGCUAACUUUGCUCUCAGUCUCAAUUCAUUUUCUUCGUAUCUGGUUUCUUCAAAUCUGCGUGUGACGUGAUUGGACGAAGACUAGCAAAAGAGAGAUUAGUGCCCAUUGGGAAAUUAUUUUUCUUUGUUUAAAGCCCUUCUUCUUGGGCUUGGUCGUGAUACGUGUCGACAAGAACAUUUCUGAAUAUUGACUUGGACCACAUAAAUCUGAGGGUAAAGAAAGACACAUCAGCAGGUUUGUUUCCGCUGUGAGGAGGCACGCAAUCAAAGCUAUUCAAAAGGGUUUCAACAUAACCCCCUAACUGAAAAUGCAAGAAAGCUAAUUUCAAAUCCUAGUGUACUGUCUGAAAAUCUUACCUUUGUUUCGGAGCUUCAGACAUCAGAACUUGCGAGGUCCGUGUUCGAAUUCAGAGGAUCGACGCUUCGUCAAUCUUUGUUUCAUUUAGUUGCUUACCUUGUGCGUACGCCAGAUGCACCCUGCAGUUUCCUAUGUUUGAAACAGUACCGUAGAAUGACUACUAUCAUUCAGCAAUUGAGAGCCCAAUCCCCCCAUCUUAUGUGGUCAAACUGUAACGAGCAAAAACAAUCUAAAGCACCAUAAGCUUCUUGAUUAUUGACAAACAACUGGAUCUCGCAUGAAAUAAUGACUUUCUUUCAAUUAGCUGAACCGAUAAUGGCACAAAAGGCCAAGCUAGCUAUAUCACGGUAUAACUCGGUAGAUAGAGGAAACCUUAUUAGUCCUCUCACGCUUUGAUGGAUGAACUGCUUUGGGAUCUUGCUUCUGGGAUAAAAAAUGUCAACCGAAGACUCACCAAGCAGUCCCUGCUUAUUGGUACAGUUUGAGGUCGAGAGGCUGUGCGCUGAUAGAGCAGAGGGAAAGAUGAAGAGAGGAGGAGGAGAAUAGAGAGGGGGGGGGGGGGUUUAUAGUGGGGAGGGAGAGAGAGAGAGCAUUGAUCCUGGAUCAUCUUGUGACGGCUGGAGAAGUCAAUUUGUUUGAGUCAAGGUGAUUCGUCUGGAUUAUAUCCUAACAUGUGUGAUAAAUCCACACAUGUUUCCUGCGAUUCACAAUCUUUUGCAAGUAAAGAUGUUAUGUUUGGCGGGAGAGCUAGAAUCUCUCAAAGCUGCAAGCAAUGUGUCAAAAAAAGCUGCUGCAACUUAGUAAAUUAACUGAUGCAUGUAGGAAGGCUAACAAAGUUGAUUUCCAACAGAUCUAAAAAAUUGUCAAUAAUGACCUGCGAUGAAAUUUUUUCAAAAAACCAAGCUCUGAUAAGCUACAUCUUUGCAUACUCAAGUAAAUUAUGCUCGGAAGGGCUAAUGGAAGAAAGAAAUUUAUAUAAUCACUUGAUCCCCACACAAAUUCCGGGAACUUACUAAGUGUGAGCAUCUAUCAGAAAAAAUAUGCUCAAGAGGCUGCAGUGUAAUGAUGCUACAGGGAAGGAUUUUAAGGUCUGCACAGUCCCUCAAAAACAACUCUUUCAGUUCGACUAGAUUCGCAACAGAAGAGCAUAUUGCAAGCAUUUACCUAGAAUUCUUUCCCCAGUAUGCGGAUGCUGCUUUUACUCAGGAUUAGACCUACAAGUUUCCUGUGGCCUGUAUUGAAUGGCACCGAUGGUGGAGAGUAACUGGGCCAUUCCAGCCAUCUCAACCCAACAGGAAAGUACAUGGGAUCACCUGAAUGGUAUAUGGAAAAUUCUGAGCCUUUUCAUGUUUGUGAAGGCUUGAGCACUGAAGUGUACUUCAGGAGCAGCCAACUUGAGCAAUAUUGCUUCCACUUUAUUAGUUCCCUGGCAGCACAUAUAUGAGGAGAUGAUUUAAGUGCAAAGGUGUCUAGGUUAUGCAAGGACUCUGCUAGUAGUAAAUAAGAUUUGCCAUGCUUCUGGUGCCUUUGGUUCUUAGCUUUCAGAAUCUGCUUUUACUUUAGCAUUUGAAACAAGAGUUUUAUAAAUGACCUCAAUCAUAAAAAAAACCACAGUAUUUAAGUUCCUGCAGAUUUUUUUAUAAUUUACUUUCUGGAGAGAGGUCAAUAGUACAAACCAUACAUCUCAAGGCUGGAUAUGGAAAAAGCAACUAUUAUGGACCACCAAGGCCAUUAUCCUACUUAGCAGAAUAUAUUCACAUAUUUUUUUAGUAGAAGGCUGUUGGAAAUGGUGAUCCAUUUUUCUAGAAUUUCCUAGAGUUACUAAACUACAACCUAGAAUUCCCUAGAUGAAGUUUUGGAUAGUUAAAGAUUGUGGCUGGAACAUGUCCAGCAUGUAAUAAGCAAACAAUCUCUGAACAAGUCAGAGAUGUGGUGGUGGCUGCAAGAUGAAGCGUACGUGGACAGCAUCCAUGAGAAGUCCAGAAUCCUCUAAGGUAGUUGUACUUAGUUGGUGGAAAGGCCUAUGAAAAGGCCAUAGCUCAUUCAUGCAAAUGUGUGAGAGGAGUAUGAGAAUAAACUCCAUAUCAUGAAGCUCCUCCACUAACGGUUCCUUCAACUAUUUUAAAACUAUUUUUAUGAACUAGUGAAACUAUCCUAGUCCCAUAAAAACUUGCUUUUAUCCCUUGAACUAUCCUAUCUCAUCCCUUGUCCAUCAUAUACACAUUAUACGCAACACACACUCAAACCACAAACUAUCAUCGAUAUCAAAUCAUGUUUCCGUGCACAUUCAUAUUUCUAACAAAGGCCAAAAGUUCUUUGUAAGAGGCUUUAACCCUACCAAACGGGCAUAUAUAUAUUGUCAAAAACAUAGGACCAUGAUUCAGUUUACUAAUGUGCAUCUCCAGCUUGCCAUACUUAAUAGUGAUGAGCAACUUAUCUAUAAGAAUAGCAAUUCCACCAUCCAGGUAGAGAUCACAGCUCUCCCAAAUUUUUCUUGCAUAACUUAUACACUCUUCCAUGAAGAAACAUGCUAUCUCAGGAAAUAUGUCCUUCUCAUAAUCAUCUAGACCAUCAAAGCUCAUUCUCAGCACACAGAAGAUUUUUCCACUGAAAACUCAAUUCAAAUUAUCUAAUGACUAAUCCAUUCAAGUAAGCUUCUACCACAAAGAAAAGAACCCAAAACUUUAAUAGCUAAUGGAAGUCCUUUGGUGUUAUCCACUACGUUAUUUGAAAGCUCUUCAUAAUCUGAAGGAGGAGAAAGAUUCCUGAAAACAAUUUAACUCAAUAGCAUACUAGCAAUAGAAUGAUGUAACACUUGAACCUUGUAUAUGCUUUCUAUGUGAUGAGCAGCUAGUAAAUGUUCAUCUCUAGUCAUUAUGAGAUUUUAGCUUCCACAACCAAACCAAUCACGUCCUCCAACUAGUGUUUCGAAUUGGAUCAACUGGUUCACAUUGUCAAUGACAAUGAGGACCUUUUUAUGGUGAAGUCUACUCUUUAUCAUGUUCAUACCUCUGGGGAGAUUGCCAAGCUUGAGACUAUCAUCUCAUUUUACCUGAGAAAAAAGUGUCUCUUGAAGCUGAAGUUGGCCACCUUCUGUGGAUUUCUCGCAAGUUUCCCUAACAUUGGAAAGAAAGCUGCAACAGUAAAAUUUGCAAGCAAAAGCAUUGUAAGUAGCUUUGGCGAAAGUCAUCUUCCCUAUUUCUCCAAAUCUGCAAAUCCCGACCAUGCAAACCUCAUUUGAUUCCAUGUCUAGCAAAGUAUGCAAAUCGGACACAUGCAAAUUUAUGUCAACCACGUUUUUGGGAACAUAUAACUGCUCAUUGUUCAGCUCAGGCCUUGCUCUCUUGACAAUGCUCUGAAUGACAUAAGACUGGUGCCUGGUAGAUUCCAUGCAUAAAGCCAAUGAAGAAUACCCGAGGAGAUUCAAAUACAAUUGAUACAAGGAGUACUAAGUUGCUCUCCAGUGAGAUCAACUCGCGGUCAAUAUCUCAUGCACUAUAAACCAGAUUCAGUUCCUAGCAAUCGGCACCUAAAAUAGAAGAUAGGGAAAUCAACUUUCUGGAUACCUAAUUAAACAGAUAAAUACUCAGUCAGCCUUAAGUUUAAUCAAUAAAAAGAUCAUUACCUUCCUUUUUGAUAAACCUGCAAACCUCAAGGGGCUUGUGGAGGGACAUGGUCCAGCUGCAUGUUUAUUUACUCAAUGCACGACUUUUGAAAUUCCUCUUUUAGAGUGAAGAAACGAUACAUAAGCUUUCCUGCUCUGAUGAGAGUGAAUUGAUCUUUUUCCCCUUUUAUGCAUAAACAUUACCCUGAAUUUAUUUCCAAGGAAGUAACUGAAAUUCCUUAAUCAACAAUUGGAAAGGAAUAAAUGAGUCUUACUUGUCAAACCAAAAUGCCAGCCAGAGUUGUCUGCCGCUUUCGUCAGUGCUUCUCUCUCACCUCUUCACCUUCCCUGAAUCGCCCUUCGACUUCAACCUUUCGUCGUGACCGAUUAGGGCUUGUCCAUACCUCCCCCUCUGGUUCCUCACCUCCGACGGAUCCACCUUGUCGAACAGCGGCCACAAGAUCUGCCCCAUCGUAUCCCUGCACUCGACGAUUCUCACCAGCUCGUCCAAGCACCAGCCAGAGGACCCGUAGUUCUCCGAGAACACGACGACCGAGAUCCUCGACCCCCUAUGGCUCCAUGGAAGCUUAGGAACACGUCUUACCCGCAUGGACGGCCAGAAGGACAAGGGCGGAGCGUCGCCGGAGGCCUCCGGGCUCGAGCUCGACAUGAGCGAUGAGAGACGGAAGGGAGAGCGACCUCCUUCUCGAACAGCAGUCUGACCGUGUGAAAUGCAUCGCCUUUUGGACUGAAAUUGGUUGAUACAGGGCCGGCCAUGGUUAAACCAGUGAACAGCGUGUGGUGAGAGACGUGCCCACGAAUGAGGAAUCCUUUUACGUGCAUUAAGCAUAAUUAAAAAAAAAUCACAAAAAAUUUCAAAUUAUGCUCAUUACAGUUACCCUAAUUUUUUUCUUGCGAUGCAAAAUAUCCAAAAUUUAUAUAUGUAUUAAACAUUUAUCCUCCAAGGUCCGUUAGAUGGCUAAAGCAAUGGAAUUUGUUUUCCACUUAAGUCACGUGUGCACCAUAUCAAUAACAUUUACUCUUUUUUUAUUUCCACGUAGGCAAAUUUUUAAUGGUUUAUGUGAGAGGAUUAUUAACCCUUCUCAUUAACAUAACUUUAACUGAAAGUAAAUAUGUCAUAUAGAUAUAAGUUUCGAAUUUUUAGUGCCACGGAAAAGAGGUUCAGAAUAAAUGUGUCAUAAUGGGCAUAGUUUUGGGUUUUCGGUGGCUUUUUCCCUAAUAAAAAUUACUAAGCACAUAAAAUUUAUGAUUUCUUAUAAAAAGUUACCAAGAAACAUCAAAAGUCAUUUCAACAUUACAGAAACUACCAAACAAGUUUGAAUAUUUCGAGUGGUUGAAAAAUUACUAACCUCAUUACAUAUUUUUUUUACCUUUCUUAAGCUUAGCUUCACUUCGUAUUAUUUAAAUUACUUCAAUUUGAAAAUGAAAUUAUUCGUCACGUGUGGAUGUUAUAGUAAACAAAAAGCUACUAAUCACAUAUAAUUAAUUAUUUCCUGUAUUAAAAGUUGCUAAACAUAUUAAAAGUUGCUUCAAUGUAUGAUCAAAAACAUUUUCACAAUUACGAAAGUAAGUUUGCUCCUGUAAGUGAGAAAAUAUAGGCUUUUUUUUUUUUAAAAUACGUUGAGCAAUGUUAUAAAUAUAUGGACGAUAUAUUUGAAUGGACCAGUUACCUAUACCCUGCAAAAUAUUAAAGUGUAAUGAAAUAUAUUCUCCAUCUAUAUUAUUAUAUAAAAAACAGAAGUUUCUGCUAUUUUAUUUUUCCUCAAGCCGUUUAUAAGAAAAUAGCACAUGAGCAAACAAAUGUAAAAUCACAAACUAAUGGCCAUAUAAUUUUAAGAAAACUCUUGAAAACUCAAAAAGGGCGAUUGGCUAUUAUUUUCAUCAAGCAGCUCUUCCUUUUUCAUUCUAAACUAUAACGAGUUAUCAUUUAGUAUCUAUCUUGCAAAAUUGCUUGCACUAAUAAACAAGUAAUUCAGAAAAUUUUAAAGGAUAAUAGUUAAUAGUUUAUAUCUAUAUUGUCAUCCAAUUUUAUCGUUGCCAUUUCAUUUUGUCGUUCCUUCCCUUUUACAAUCUUAAUUUUGUAAUAAUUUGAUAAUUUUUUUGUUUGAAAUGUCAGUAUUAUUUAUAAGAUGACGCACAGGAGCUUAGGGGCAUUCCCUAACGUUACAAAGAUAACUAAGGACAUGAAAAAAAAAAUGGAGCGAGGGAGUCUCCAUAUAGUAGCCAAUAUUUCAUUUGUUUGGAAAGAUCUAAAUUUUUGUAAUAUGAAGCUUGCCCUUUGGCAAGUUUAUAGACUUUAGCCAUGAUGAUAAAGACAUUAUUUGACUUGUUUUGGAAACAUUUAUGGUUACAUUGUAUCCAAAUGCAAUAAAUGGUUACUAAGAAAAUUACAUUGAGAAGCUUCGCCGCCAAGUCCUUGCCUUUGAUAGCCCUAAUUAUCCAUUGGAGUUAAUCAUUCCAUCCUCCUAAAGAAUGAUAGAUUUUGUAUUGUGUCAACUUGGGCCCUACUGUGUAAUAUUGUCCACUUUGAACAUUGAGUCCUCAUGGACUUAAAACGUAUUACAUAGAUUAGAGGGACCUAGGUCUUAUAAACUAGCCCCAUGACUCCUCCCUAAGCGAUGUGGGACUAGAGAGGAUCCCUUCCCCUUCCUUGGGCUAUCACACUCUCCACCCCUUAAGAGCACAGUAUCCUCGCUAUGGCCCUCACACGCGGUUGAGGGUCAGCUCCGAUACCAUUUGUAACGACCUGAGUCCCGCUUUGGACACUGAGUUCUCACGGCUUUAAAACGCGUUACACAAAUUAAAGGGACCCUAAGCCUUAUAAACUAGUCCAGGACUUCCCCUCUAAGCGAUGUGGGACAGGAUACAUGCCUUGGCCUCACCCGCGUAUUGCCAAGGCGAUCUCAAUCCAUCCCUCUGUACUGCCCCGAGUCUGGGUCGUCACACCAUAUGCUUUUAGUAUAUCUGCACUGAAAUAAUAGAUGAUCUCGAUUUUCUAGGCUAGCCAAACAUAAAUUACAAUGGAUUCUAAGGUGAUACGAUGUCCAUUGUUGGUAAUCUAUCUCUACAAACUAGCCACCCAAUAAAAUUGCAUUUGUUGACCUUGCCUAUCUAUAUUAGUUGAUACCAUCCCACUAUCGAUCCCACACUCUUAAGUUCAUUGUAUAACUCUUUGCAACAAUAUCUUUGCCUAGACAUAGCUUACGCUAAAGUCAGUCUCAAUUUAAGAAUGCCAUGCCAAUGCCACACCAACUCCACGCCAUACUACCCUUGAGAGUUGCAUGAUCGAAAUGCCUCUACAUUUGGUACUGUGAACUAGCUUACUCCAUAAGGAAGAUGACAAAAAAUUUAUAAGGUCUAGAGCAUUUAGCUUAGUAAAACUUUGUUCUAUAAAUUUAAAUUGAGCAACCCUGUUCCUCCCUCCCUUUUUUGGCACGUAAUUUUUUUUUCCAAGCAACUUUAUCCAAUCUGUGGCCUUCCGUAUUUCCAACCCAUAAGAAUUGCCUAAUAUUCAUCUUCACUUCGUAUAUAGUUUGCUUUGGAAGUAAAAACAUUUGCAUCAAAUAAGUACAUAUGAAAAUAAGUAUUGAUGGCCAACUGCAGAUGACCAAGAUAGCUGAUAUGUUGCAUGCCCUAGCCUUCUAUUAUUUUGAAAAUUUUAUCAGUCAUACUCUUGCAAUUUGUGUGCUUCAAUUGUCUUGUGACAAGAGGAACACCAAUGUAUCUAAUGGAAAGGGUACCUGUGAGGAAAGGUGUGUGAUUCAAUAUAAUACCCUAUUUUACCUUGGCCAAACUAGAGAAAAAGAUUUGGCAUUUAUCUGGUUAAAAAUGUAGUCCUGUGAGACCUACAAAUUCAUCAAGUGUUUUGACAAGGCAAAUAGCAGAAUUAGCAUCUCCAUGAGCAAGAUGAAACAAAUAAUUGGCAAAGCAAAAGUGUAAUUUUUCUUAUUUUGCAGGGCCAAUGAUACUUGAUAGGAGAUAUGACCACUUUCUCAAUGAUAAUUCUAUUAAGAAUGUCCAUAAUUAAGAUAAACAUAUAAGGAGAGUCGGUCGCCUUGCCAUAGUCCAUUGGUAUCAACAAAGUAGCCAACUUGUUUGCCAUUGAGGCUUAUUGAAAACCUCAAUGUAGUUAUGUAUUGAGCCAUCAAAUCAAUCAAGUGCUAUGGUGAAUUGAUAGCUGUUAGAACCUCGAGUACUGCCACCCAUUUUACCAUGUUAAAAGCUUUCAUGAGGUCAAUUAGUGCCACACGUUUACCUUUGUUGCCCUUAUGGUAGUUGUGAAGGAGCUCCUGGCAAAGUAGAAUAUGCUUCAAAAUUUGUUGACUCGAGAUGAAAGUAGUUUGGUUGAGGUCAACAACCAAAAGAAUGAUAUAGUUAAUUCUUUCUGUAAGUAGCUUCAAUAUGAUCUUAUAUAAAACAUUGCAGCAUGAGAUGAGUCUAAAAUCUUCCAUGCGAGAUGGAUUCAAGACCUUCAACACAAGGGAUAUCAUAGUAGAAUUUAUAGUUUUCAACACCCUCCUUGAGGAGAAGUCCAUUAUAGCAUCCACUAUGUCAUCCCAUAUGGACCCAUAGCUUUGAAGUUAUUGAUGCCUUUCAGAACCUAAGGACCUCAGCUUUUUGAAAGCCUGGUGAAGCUAUGAGGUCACUUACAUCUUCCAAGAAUAAGGAGGCAUACCACUUAUAAGGGAUAUGAAUGUGUCAAGAGUUGCCAAGUAUGCGAUAGUAAUAGGAGACAAUUGUAUCCCCAAGAGCUGAGUAAUUCUGUUCUAUCAUCAAGUGAGAGCUAAGUAAUUCUGUUCUAGGCACUACUACUCAUCAUGGAGGCAAAGAAAUCUAGUUGUCGUUGGCCAUCUCCUUAAGCCAUAUAUUUCUAGAUUUUUUUCUUUAGGAGAAAUUCUUCAUGUUUGCUAAGGGUACGUAGUUGCUCCAAUUGUGCCUUUUCUUCCUCCCGAGUGCUCAUAUUGUAACAGUCCAAUACAAGAACUUGUUGUUACCAUUGUAGGUUCUCCCUGUCUUUCUUGACCUUCAUACGCAAGUCACCAAAUUGAGAUUUACUAAGGUGAUUGAGUUGUUGUUUCAAUGCUUCAAGCUUCUUCACCAAAAUAAACAUUUUCAAUUCUCUAAUUUCUUGUUGCCAGCAAGCAUGGACUAUUGGUAGAAAAUUGUCUCUUUCGGUCCAAAAAUUGAAGAAUCUAAAAAGUGGCUUCCUUCUCCCAGAGCAGUGUUGAGACAUAUCAAGGAGGGGGAAUGAUUUGAAACAUAUGGUAGCAAAAAUUCUACCAAAUAAUAAGUGUACCUGUGUGUUGCCAAUUUGCAUUUAAUGAAGACCCUGUCAAUCUUGUUCACUCUAUGAUCAUCAUUGAACCUUUUAUAUAACCAUGUGAAAAAAGGGCUUGUGGAAUGAGGCUCGAUGAGCGUAAACUCCUUGAUCGUAGUGUCUAGCUCAUUUAUUUCAAAAGUCCAUCGGAUAUUUGAUUCAAUCCAUUCAUUUGUAUCUCUCAUUUCAUUGAAAUCACCUAUUAGUAGCCAAUGCACAUUUAUGUAUUAUUAGUAAAGAAUGGGUUAAUGUUUAGACACAAAGUAAUGCAUCCAUGAAUUGCCAAAAGAAGAAAUGGGUCAUUUCUUGGAUUCUCAACAAGGAAGUGUAUGACUUGAUUGAAAACUUCCAUCAUAGUCAAGCUAAUAAUGGACGGUUUCCACAAUUUCCAUAUUCUACUGAGAUUGUUGCUUUGAUAGUUAUGGAUGCAUUUCCAGCCUCAAAACCUACUUUGACGCUAAAAGAGGAGUUGUUUCAAUUGCAUAUAUUAGUUAGGCAUAACAUGAAAAUAAUUAUGAGUUGGAAGAUUGAAAUAUUGCCCUAUGAACUCUAACAAAAUUGCAAGUUGAAAAAGUUAAAAAAAAAAGGCGAAAAUCAUAAACCCCAAAACCCUGAUUGCGCCUUGACUUCAACCAAAAGAGCGACAGUGAUUGCACUCGGUUGCUUUGUGAGUGAAAAGAAGAGAGGAGAAAAAGAAUGGUGGUUCAGAUCCGUUAAGCGAGAUUUGGGUGCAAUAAUGGGCCCUUCUAUUGGGUCAUGGCCGCUAAUAGCAAAUCUCCUCGCGACGGCAUGCAUCUCAAAGUAUUAGGAUGCCACAUUUACUCAAAUUAAUUUUCAUGCCGCAUAAAAUCUUAAACUGAUGAACAAGUACCACAUUUUUCCCAAAGUAAUUUUCAUAUAAAAAAAUAUCCACUUUGGAAGGGAGAAAAUUGAUAGAUUUUAAGGUAGAAGUCACCAAAAACUCUACACUAUGCCACUAUAAGACCUUUAUCCCAGAUUUUUUUUUUCUUUUUGUGACACAAAAAAAAUCUCAAACUUACAUCUAUGUGACACAUUUACCACAAAAUUAUACAAUGUGAUACAUUUAACCCAAAUUUCUUAUUGUGACACCAAAGACCCAAGACUUUAGUGUCACAUAAAAAAGUUUGAGGUAAAUAUGUCAUAUGAGUACAAGUUUGGGAUUUUUGAUGUUACAAAAAAUAGUUUAGGAUAAAUGUGUCACAGUGGUCAAAGUUUGAAGUGCUUUGUAGCUUUUUCCCUAAAUUUUAACAUAAGUUACUUCAUUAAAAACAAUUUUUUGCAAGUUAGCCUUUUAUAAAAUUGGUGCAACGGACAAGAUAACCAGAAGUUUCUGAGAAAAAAUUUCAUCCUUGUGUCUUCUUCCCUUUAAUUUUGUCUACUUGGUGGAACAUCUUAAGCCAGCGGACAAGAAUUUUAGGCUUGCCGCGGCUAGUCCUUUUCUAAGGACGAUAAUCCUACAAAACCUUAUGUAUGCUCUUGUGAUGUUUUGAACAGAACUGGUUUACCCCCUUUUUUAGGGAAAAAAAUGAUAGGGGAUCUUGUACACAUACUCUAAAUGCAUCUUUAUGAAUUUGGAAAGUUAAUUUGAAAUAAAUGCAACAUGAAUUUAUCAUUUUUAGGAUUUUUUUUUUUGGUAAUAUUAACCAUAUUCUUUUAAAAUAUGUGUAUUAAACAUUUCUUAUCAUUUGGCAAGGACUAAUGCAUGAAGAACAUGUUGGGGAGCCAAAUGUAACUAAGCAUUCGUCAGCCCUUGCUUGACCACUUGCCAGAUCUAGCCAUGACGGCUGCAAGCUUUGAGGUUUAAUCUAGCUUUUAAGCUCACGGCUGCCAUGGCCACUUGAGGUUGAAGCUUGGCCUAAGAGUCUGCUUCAUGGAGGAAAGUAUGUUUUUUUACUUCCUCUUGAACAAGUUCCACAAGCUUUUAUGUCAAAGAAGCCUGUUAAGGUUCAGAAGAUUUUCUGCUCUAUAUGCUUUGACCGGAAGCCACAACAAUUUCAGGUUCUCUAAUGAAAUCCUUUCGAUCAGAGACCAUACUUUCCUUCUGCACUUCCAUCUCAAUCCUGAUGGCUUCCUUUAGAAGAAGGGUGACUCAUAUAUUCUGGAUUGCGCACCUUUGACUUUUUCUCUUUCAUUUUCAUCUUUUUAUUUCUUGAACCAGUCCGGAAUGAGUCACGAAUUUCCAUAGGUAGCUUCGAGUCUGAUCUCUGGCGGGUGGUCAUGCAAGGGCCGACGAACCCCGCCAGAGGUCUAGGUGGCAGUGGGCAGCAAUGAACAUGCGCCAGAGAGCUUUGGCCGAGCAAUCCCGAGCUUGAGGACGAUGAAUACUAACUUCAAUUUUUUUUUUGUUUUUUUUUUAAAAUCUUUUUAGGUGUGUUGCUUGCGUGGGUGCCUCUUGUCCUUGAAAAGCACUAAGAAUGACACAUUGAAUCCAUGUCAGAUUUUUAACAUAACCCUAAUAGAAGAUAAAUGUGUUAUUCGGAUACAAGCUUGAGAUUUUUGGUACACAAAAAAAUAUGGUAAUUGUAUCACUGUUUGGGGUAUUUUGUAGUUUUUCCCUAAAAAUAUCAUUGUGCAGAUCAUGUGCAUAUCACUGCUACAGUCUACCGCCUCUUCUUUCAGAUCCGUCCGUCUUCGCUAGAUUGGCUUCUUAUCGUCUUCGGCAGUGUCUCCUAACCUGGUGUUUUUUCUUUCUUUGUCUUUUCCAUGCCUUGUUGGUUGUUUGGGUGAGGUUUGUGUCCUUUGGCCCUACGUGGCCUUUCUCUACCUAUUGUUUAGGCUUUUUCUCGCUUUGGCCCGCUCUUGUGGUUUCUUUUGCAUCUGGCACCCUUCCACUCACUUCGACUUGGUGUCGUGUUGAGUGCAAGUUUUGUGGUGCUAGAUCUUAUGUAAAUGUUGGCUCAAAGCUCAUUAUAUUAAUUAUUCUUACAAAAAAAAAAAAAAAACUGAGUACGUUUGUCUAGCAUAUAGAGCGAUUCUCGGUUGCGAACAUCGGCCAGAGCCGGACAACAGUCGGGUGCAAGGUGUAUCGAACUUUUCCUGGGAAAAGUAAGGGGAUUUUAUUUAUGUUGACUAGUUGAUUAAUCUCUAAUUAAAGUUUUGGCUUUAUCUUCUUAUAAGAUAAAUGCGACACCAGCUCGAGGAAUUUUUACCUUUUGAGUUUUUGUCACUUCAUGAUGACAUAAGAUAAUGUAGGGUUUUGGGAACCAAGGCACUUUUGACUUGCAUGUAAUUCACUACCACCAGCAGAGUUUUUCUCAUAGGACAAAUAACAUGGAUCUUCAAUGUAUGGAACUGCGGAUUAUGUUUGCCUGAUUGCUACCUUCAUUUGAACAGCGGAACUCGGCAAACACUCCUUCCCCCGAUGGUCGAAUGUACUCAAUAAGAUUAUGGAUGCCAAUGAUUGUCCUCGGCUGGCAUGCCUUGACAUUGGCAGUCCGGAAGAACAACUUCUAAAGAGGAGAAGGUUUGUAGAAAUUCAAGAGGCCUUUAGCUAGGCUUUCAAUGAGGAUAAGGACAAGUUCGAGAAAUCAAACGUUUCUUCCUCUUCACCAUCUUCAUCUUCAGGAGCAACGAGGCCUAAGGAAAAGCUCCAUAUGAACAACAGGUCAUUUAAGAUUUCAGAAAUGCUUGUACCGUGGUAAUAUAAACUUCUUUUCUCUUGGUUUUGCAUCUGCCAAUUUCUGUCUCUGUACCGGGGUUUUUCAACAGGUCAUUCAAAAAGAUAGGGGUAGUGUUAUAGUUUCUGUUAAAAGUUCAAUCUGGUGAGAAUCACGAGGGCCAUUUCAAUUUUUUUUGGCUGUCUUAGCAGGAAAUAUUGCAAGUAAAUGAUCAAGUGCAUAUGGGUCGAAGAAUUGUGGCCCGACUAAUUUCAACAUGGAAUAUCACAAUUCACAGGAGACUAUCUGUAAUAUAUGGGCUUUAAAGUAAGGAAAUAAAAUAAAAGAAGAGAAAAAGAAAAGGUUGAAAAGUCAAAAAAGGGAGGCUGAAGGAAAGUGGAAGAAGCUUCGGCUGAGUUUAAAAAGAGAGAAAGAGGGAGAGAAAGAGAAGAAUAUCGACAGAAGCAGGGGAACGCAAAACAGGGGAGAAGAGAGAAAGAAGAGAAAGGAAAAAGGGAAAAAGGGAAAAAAUUUGGCGCGCUCGUGACCCGGACGCCUCAUCAAGCCGACUCAAGUGUGUUUUGCAAGGCCGGUAAGAAAUUGAAGCCUUUAAUCACUUGCUUGAAGCAAUUGCCGCAAUUAAGGUUCGAAAUUCGGAUUUCUUGGGUAUUUGUGUGGCGAAGCCCAAUUUUUGAGUCGUUAAGCUGUAAUUUUUUUUAGAAAUGGUACUUUGGGAUGUUGUGAAGCUAUAGCAUCUUUUGGAUCGUGAUUUGAGCUUGCGGUUUGUUCGGAACGGAAUUUUGAAGUUGGAGGCGCAAUCUGGUACUGUAGCGAACAGUUGCUUCGAGUCUUUUUUCUUUGUUAUUUCCGGUACUGUUUUGGGGCGGCUGAGUUGGGGUUGUUGUUGUACGUUAAGAGAGCUUUCUAAAGACUAUAAGACGACUUGAAACGGAAUUUUGUGGAGGAAGUUAUGGCGUGACGAAGUUGGUGCAUGGGCCGUGCCUAGCUGAAAAUGAUGGGUUUAUGCUAAAUUGUGAACUUUUGGGGCACGUAGGUGUCGUUUAUCGACUAAUAGGCCUAGUAUAGAUGAGUCGUUAUAAGAAUAUCAUUUUUACUCGGCUUUUUGAUAUUUUCCUGUUAAUUGUUAGGAAUCCAAAUGCAUCGGUUCGUGUGAGCGUCGUAUUUGAUUGUUGGCUUUUCCCAGGUGAGUGGCACUAUUUCUUCUUUAUAUUUUAAACUCAUAUUUUGAGAAACAUGGUGGAUUAAAUACUCUAUGAGUUGAUAAAAAGCAUGUUUUGUUACAUAAAACAAGAUCGAGCUAUUACUGACAUUUUUAUUGUUCGAAAUGAAUUAUAUUUUGACGUUGAUUUGAAUGGUUGUGUGAAAAAGGGAUUUGUGAAAAUCUUUGUGAAAGAAUCUUGAAAUGUUGUAGAAAAUGCUUUGAUAUUUAUAUAUAUAUCAAAAUUUGGAGUUGUGGUAUGAUUCUCUUUCUGAUAUUGAAUUACUGGAUAUUGUAAUUGGUGAUUGGUGCUCAAUGUCGCUGUGGACCCUGAGGGGUGUGGGUAUGCGCAUACUAUUCUAGGAUAUCAUUGUGGGCCGAGCCACCGGCUAAUAAUAUGUGGAGACUUUGCCAAGGGGGGAAUCUUGGUCGUCUUGUCACGGCCGUUACGCGUGACCAUGGCUAGACAUUUGAGCAUGAAUUGGUCAAUGGAGUGGAUCGUUGACGUGUGAUUUGAGUUUGGUCGAUGGAAUGGACCAUCGAUGUGAUUUGAUGAGAUUAAUCAAUGGAAUAGACCAUUGAUGCAUGUUUUAUGAGAUUGACUAAUGGAUUGGACCAUUGGUAUUUUGGUAUUUGAGUUAUGAUUAUGUAUUUGAGUUAUGUUUUAAAUGUGCAUAGUGAUUUCUCGAUCCGCUUAGAAGAAAUGUGUUACUCACUGAGCCGUAGUAGCUCACUCCUUAUUCUUGUUUUUAGGUUCUUCAGCGAGUCGCGAGUAGGCAUGAGCGUGAGCGUUCGCUCGGGGAGGACUUUUGUGGUGGAACUUUUUGGUAUGACUUGUGCAUAGUUAAUGGGUUUAUAAGUUAGUCCUUGUAGAAUGGUUGUGUUUUGAUUUUUUUGGAUUAUAGAUAUACCCUGAUAUAGAUUUUGUAACCAAGUGCCCCUUUUUGUCAAAUAUAUAUAUGUUGAUAUUGGGUUGAAAUUUUGGUUACGUUGAGGCUGCGUUCUUUGGAAAAAGGACGGCCGUGUCAUGCCCCUUCUUCUUGUAAAUUGGGAUGUGACACUAUCUCACACCAAAAUUUGUUUAGGAUGCACAGAAAAAGCACGCAGUUCAAUAUGCAGAAGUACAGAGUACGUAUGGAUGCACCUAGAUACAUCAUACGUACUCUUGUUCUCUCGAAACUCAGAAAUAUUAUCUGGUGCAUAUGGAGUCCGUAAGAAAAAGCUCCAUUGAGAACGGAAAGAGACGCUGAGAAAUUAGCUGGAAAUGUCUGAUGUUCACUCAGGAAGACUUCAGACAGACGACAGGGAGUGAUCACUUUUUGGGAAAAUUCCAGGGUCGCUGCUUUCAUUGUCCUGGUCCAUCAUUUGUGUUUGUCCACUUUAUUUAGUCACUUCCUAAUCCGAAUUUGGUAAGAGUCACAUCUGUGAUGUACUAAAAGAUUCGCCAAAUAUAGAUAAAAAUCUCUUGAGGCAGACUUUACAACGACACCUGGCCUAAUUUCCGUGGUCAAUUUUUUUUUUUUUUUGGGUGAGGAUUGGACCGCAUUAACUUUGGAUAUGCGAAUUAUACCAAUGAUGAGAUGGAAACAGCGUAAUUGAUCUACUUUGUAAAAGAUUCUCCAAAGACUCAGUAAAUUUUAUUCAAAUAGCCCUUGUUGACACUUAAAUUUUGGCGACCCGCUUAAUCAUUUAUUGCAUUAAAAAAUUAGGGGUUAAUUUUAUUCCGGAAAACAUAGUUAAUUGCAUAGCAUAUAGUUUUAUGUGCAUUUGUUUCUUAAUUUGCAUUUACAUUAGGUUGGUGACAAAUGGGUUUGAUUUAGUAGUUCUAAGCUUUAAUUUGGCAGGUCGGACUAAGCCCACGAAGCAAGUAAAUUGGCCCGAGCCCGUUUUCUUUUAAUGACAAGAAUUACCUAAAUUGAGAUUUGAAAUAAUAUUACUGUGGAUUUUUGGAAUUUAAGAAAAUUGGGUUGCAAUCUUAUCUUUAGGUGAUAAAAUCAGGAGAUGUGGAAAAUAAAAAAAAAAAGUGAUAUUGUGUGCGAAAAAGAAAUCUUCGCGGAUGCUGAUUUGAAAAGGAAAAUAAAACCCUAAUCUUCAGCCUAUAAAAAGGUUUUCGCGUAGGGUUUCAGUAGAGGCCACACACAUUGAAUAUACGGUAGAGAAAACACACGUGAGAGAGAGGAAGGUUCGGCCAAGCAUCACGUGGCUGCAACCUUGCUAACCCCACGGCUGAGCUUCAUAUCGCGUGCACCAUGAGACAGUGACCAUUGCCGUGCCCCCUCGUCAACAACGAAGCCGUGAAGCCCUGCUCGAGUUGCUGUCCCGACGUGCCCCGAGCUCUACCCUCAUCGUUGAGUUCCAGCAGUUCCAGGAGAGGUUCUUUUGCCGAAAGUAUUCAAGUUGAAUAUUAUCCAGUCAAAGAAGACAAUUCCGCUUGCUGCAUGAAGAAGAUCCAUUCUCUGACUUGCAAAAGAUGUCAGAGCCAACGUGGUGAAGUCCGAACUCCAAAUUCAGUCGUGUGGGCAAAAAGGAUCAAUCCACAAUUCGAUGCGUUCACUCAUCAUCAAAGGCCACCUGUUCUGCCUCGCCUACAAGUCAUCCCAUACAACGUUCCUGAUUCAAGCGGCCACGAUCCUGUCGUUGCCAAUUGCGCACAAUCGCUGAUCCACGAAGUUCCUAUUUUUGCAGUGAUCCUCCUCGAUGAUAGAGCAACGGCGUUCACUUCCCGCCUGGUCGUGAUCAACUACACGAAGUUUUCGGCCACAUUGAGGGGGGGGGGGGGGAUUCCGAAUUAUACAGGGAACACACGAGAGGGGAAGAGAAAGUUCCUUUGCUUUUCCAUUGCAGGCCAACACUGAGCAGUUGUGCCCCACGUUGUUCUUGCAAUUAUCAAUGCCCGACCAUCGUCGGCAAUUUUAGGGAGAACACAUUGAAAGAAACGUCCCUGCUGCACCGCAAGUUCAUGGUGAUUCGCUGCUACCUUCUUGCAUCGUUGCCAAACUUUCUGUGACGACCAAUUGCUGCUGGGCCUGCCACCGAGAGCUGCUCAACCAAGACGACCAGCGAAUCCAAUAAACCUUAAAGGAGUCCCGGCGCACUCCUGCAUCUUCGACGUGUCUAUUCUAGACGAUCCCAGCAAGAAGCCAACACCUUUCCGAGAGCUAUUCUUCAAUUUCUAGCGAUCCCACGAUUACUUUUCAGUCCUUCCAAUUGGGAUUUGAUUCAGUUUUGCAGGUUUGUUGAAGAUCUCUCUCACGGCCAGCAAGCUCACUGUCUUCUUUGGUGGACAUCAAAGCGUCCAUCCCACACAGUGGCACCAUCAAUUGUCGAGAUUUGGUAGAAGAGAAGAAGACAAAAGCUGAGUGGUGGAUUGAAGAUUAAAAUAAAGAAGUCCAAGAACAUUCCAUCGCCUGUAGAUAAGCUGAAGUUCUCGGAUAGAAUUCCAAAGUACUCAGACUUGUGGAACACGUCCAGCGAUUACCGUGCACCCUUGCAUGCUACGGACCGUCAGUCUUCCUCACCGUGAUUCCCGUGACUCAUCAUCCAUCCGAAUUUGGAGAUGUCACCCGUGUGACAUCGUGAAUUAGGUAAGACUCUCGAUCAAUUUGAUUUUCAUAUAUCCCGCUGCCUAAUUUGUAAUAUCACAAUCUUUCUUUGAAUGUUUGAUCGAUAUUGCCACAUCCAAAAGAUCUCUUGAUCCCUCAUGAAUUAGGAAAUUUUCCUAAUUUCGCAACGUGCGUAUGAUUGACAGUCUAAUUUCAUGCUCGAAAUAUGACUCGCAAUCGCACGGAAAAAUCGCCAAUCCAAUCUCAUGCUCGAGAUUCGAUUCGCGAUUUAUUUAAAAAUUGGCCAACCCGAUCUCAUGCGCGAGAUAUGGUUCGCUGGUUUGUAGAUAUCGAUCAUAUCUUAUCUAAUUUGUCGUCACGUUAGUUGGAUCAAUUUUAUUUUGUUAAAUAAAAAAUCCAAAAAAUAUUUGAGUUAGGAUUAGGUUUGUUUUAGAAUAUUUCUUGUUAUCUUGCAUAUUUAGAAUAGAGAUUUUAUUCCAAAUUCCAAAAAAUCAAAAAAAUCAAAAAUCAAAAAUCAAAUCAAUCAAUUUAGGUUGCUAGUUUUUUUUUUUACUUAGGUUGCAUGCUUAAUAAUUUGAUAAUUCUUAAUUUCGAAAUUAAUAAAACAAAAACACAAAAAAAAUCAUCAUGCAUGUAUCAUGUAGAGUUAGAGUAGAUUUUAUACGUCAUUGCAUAUUUAAAUAGAUUGCAUGCUUAUUAGGAAAAUAAAAAUCAUGUGCACGUCAUAUAGAAUUAGUUUCAUACAAUGCACGUCAUUUAGUGAUUUUUGUUAGAUGCAUCUAAUUAGAAAUUGCCUAUCAUUAGAAUUAGGUCAUUAUAUUAAUUUAGAUUGCAUAUUUAAGUGUUGCAUUUCUUUAAUUUCGAAUCUCAUGGAAAAUACAAAAAAUUAUUUUUUAGAAUAAAUCCAUCUCAUGCUUCAGGAUAGACUAUAUGCUUAUUUAUGUCAUAUCGCUUAGGUCAUAUAGCUAAGUCAUAUUGCCAUGUCAUUGCAUAAAGCAUGAUUCUCAUUAAUUAAGUGAAAAAAAAGAAAAAAAAAGAAAUUGCGUGUUAAUUAGAAAUCAUAUCUAGGAUUGUUGAUGUGAAUUCUGAUCUAACAACGCAGAUGCUUUCGUUGCUUUGAGGUAAGUUCCUGCAAUUUAUUCAUUGCUUUAUCUGGGUGUUAAAUUGGUGGUUUGCGCACCUGUAUAUUCACCUUACAUGUUAGGAAAUAGUUUAAAAUCAAUUCAAGCUGCCUGCAAAACCCUUUUGUCAAAAUAAAAGAAAUGGUACCGAAAUGGCGUUAGAGAAAUCUGGCGUAACCAAGUCCCCGUACCCAAAUCUCUGGUUCGUAGGAGUAAAGUGAAUCUCCCGUUACUUUACUUGGGUUUCUAAUUGACCCACCAAAAAUAGAUUAGUGGCGAUUCCUAAUUAAAAAAUUACAUGUUAAGAACUUGAACCGAAAUUCGCGAAUUGGUAUGGGCUUGGGAGAGCCCGAGUUAAGUCUAGACUUAACAAUCCAUUAGCCAAACCUUAGGUGGUCCACACCCCGAAAAAAUUGGUCGUGACAGCCCUUGAAAUGGAACAUUUUCUCAUAAGAUUCUUUAAAAUGAACUUCAUUUCAAAUAAAGUCCAUAAGUAAGCGACUUAGUCUUCAAUCACCCACAACUCACCUGCUAAUCAAUUAUUUGUCAAUGGACAGGCAUGUGAAUCUCAUGUGACAGUAACCAAACCAUGACUAAAGACAUUUUCAUUUAGGAUGGAGGUUGAUCCGUGCCUUAGAGGCGAGAUCUAAGGCUCAAAUCAAGCACAAGCAUGUCAAUAUUUGACCCUUGUGGUCGCCACUAUUUAGUUCUUGAUAUGAUGAUGGCUGAUGGGCAAGGAGAGAGAUGCGCGCAGAAGAGAUGGUGGAGAGAACGCUCACAGAGGGAGACGAGGGUGAUGACGGCACACAGAAAAGGGGAAGGGCGACAACAUCAGACGAGGCAACAUAAGAUGAGGCAAUGCUAUCACGGUGAUGGCUACGUGCAGUUGCAAGAUUUUGGCGUCCUGGCGACUUCUUGUUGGCGGUCCAUUGUGGAUUUUGUUGGUAGUUUAUUUGUAAAACAAACUUGAAAGUUCCUCCUCCCACAUAGAAUAAUUAGAAGUGCGUGUGUCAAUAUAUAAGUGUGAAAGCCUUCCACUCUUUCUAAUGGAAACGAUGGGUUUAGUGGGUUGGACCCUACAAUACGCAUAUGCCAGUAUGCAAUAAGUAGAUGUACUUCGCAAUUGGGUUAUGGUUGUUUUUUAUUAAUUAAUUUUGAAUUUUAUUCCUAAAGGUAAUUCAGCAUCUUACAAUCUUUAAGAAGUCGUGUCUUUUCAGAAGUUUUAAAAUCCAUAAUUAAAAAAAAUAUUAUUAUUAUUAUUAUUAUUAUUAUUUAAUAGGAAUUCCAAAAUGUCUUUGGAGAAAGCAUCUGUUCACAAUAAUUCUAAAAGACUAUUCAUCAUUUUUUGUCUCAUAUUUUCUUUAGUCUUGUCAAUUUUCUUUCAAAAAAUUACAAACCAUUUAUUUUAAUUGUUUCCUUUUAAGAGUUAUUGGAGAAACACGGGAAUUGCUAUCCGGUAUUCUCAUUGAGAUUUUGUUGUAUCGAUUUUGUUGAAUAACUAUUAGCAAUGUUGGGGAUAAAUAAUGUUUUAAAGAGAGUGUUAUCACACUUCAAAAUCUGACUCCACUCUUCUUCCCAAUCAUAUUUCUGCUGACAGAUCUAGAGGUAGGGAAAUGGAGUUCUUGCAAGUGACUCGCUUUGACGGUGUCGACAAAGAACUCGAGGUAUUGUGGACACUAGCUUUCCUCUUUGGAGCUCCAACUUGGCUGCCUAUCGAGGUAGACCCUGUCGACUGAGGCUUGGAAGUGGCUGCCCAUGCUGAUAGGAUUCCGAAGUUGAGACCAAAGCCACUACGCACCAUUGUCUUGAUCGCGCGCGGGGCUUCCUCAUGGCAGCUAAGACUGUAAAAAGCGGGCAAUGAGCACAUCGAAGGCAAUCUUACUGGAGAUGCGGUGAUUGAGGCGAGAAACGGCGCAAAAGGGGUCGUUGAAGGCAAAACAAAACAAAACAAUGCCUUGUACGAAAAUGUCCCUAUAAUAUUUUGAAAUUGACAAAAUAUUCUAUUUCUAAUUAUAAUUUUAUAGAUGUAAAUGUUGUCUUAUUUCAAGUAAUGUUGAUAUGAGGGACGCUCUAUCGCCAUUGAUGGAAUUUGAAGCAUGAAGAUUACUAGAAGUCGAAUGGAUCAUGAUAGAGUGUGAACAGGUUUAGAAGAAUGGGAAGUUCACAAUAACUUAGAGGUAUCGUGAUAAGGUGAAUAGUGAGUGAAGUCUUGAACAUUAGUGUACCCAUGGAUAGCAAUAUGCAAGUCGAUUGCUGAUAGAAACGGCUUAUUAUAUCAGCUAUGGAGAAAAAUAUUUUUCUAGUUCAAGCAAUCUGGAUAAGAAGACCAAUGUUCUUUCACUUAAUUUGCGAGUUAGAAGUUAUAAAUAGCUAGCUUUCAAGGCUUGGAAUCUCGAAGUGAAGAUAUGGAGAGAAAUCAAUAUGAUUGUUACCUAUGUUACUCAAUCAAUUAGAAGAAUAGAUUAUUGAGCCACAUAGCUUAUUAUAUUUAGGGAAACCUCAUUAUUACCUAGAAGAUUUGAUCAUAUGGUUGACCGGAUCUCAUAGUAAUUGCGUUCAUAAUUUUCAAUGGCUAAUUAAUCCUCUUAAGGAUUCUUUAACGGUUAAUUUGGAGGCUGAAGACUAUAUAAGAAGAUUGAUACACUCUGAAUAAUUUAUGUAAAACUAAGAAAGUUGUAAAUAUCGAUGUGGUCACAUUUAUUUUAUGUUGCAAGCGUGAUUUUAUUCACUUGUGAUCUACUCCUUUGAGAGUUGUCAUUGUUCAGUGUAAUUUGUAAUUUGAGUGUACAAAUAUAGGUAGUGCUUGUCUAUUGAUAGUGGGAUCUAUUAAUUUUGGAUAGAAGCAGCACGUGCUUUGGUGUAACUACUAACUAGAAUAUUAAUAGAUUCCAGCCUAUUCGUGGUGAAUAAAGACACAAACUUGUUAUAAAUCAAACCACCAUAAAAUCUGCGAGCAUUGUAUUUUAUCUCUUUACUUAUUUCGCCAUUUAUCUUAUAGAAAUAUCUUGCAUCUUAUAUUAUCCAUUGUUUUUGCAUUUAUCAAAUCUAGUUUAAGUAAUUCCACGAAAAAGAAGAAAAGAAAAAAAAAAGUUUUGAAAAUCAGCUUAUUCACCCCCCUUUGGUUGUAUCAUCAGCCUCCGCAGAAAGUGCCACAUGAAGUGCACAUGCUUAAUGAGCGAUCAUAGUUGGCUUGUAAGCUAGGAGUGAUUUGAAACUUAGUCGUUCAUUUUAAAGACUAAUUUAGGACAAGGUUCACUUUGAAAACUUUUAAAAAGAACGACUUCCCUUCAUAAAGGCUGUUUGAAAAUUUCUCGAAAAGUUUGCCAACUCUUUUGGGGAAUUAAAACUUCAAUGCUCUAUAAAAAAAAGCCUUUCAUUUGAUCUCCAAUUACGGCAUCAAUCAACCUCUCCCUGCUUGGCGUAUUGAAGCUUGCAAUAAGAACACAUAUUAGAUUCACAAGAAGCACCUGCGAUUUAAACAAAAAGAAAAGAAAAGAAACAUGGAACAUUUCUUGUAAGUUCUGGUUGAAAUUUGGUAAUGUAAAGCAUUUCGAAAAGUUCUUCUCAUUAAAACUGAAAAUGAACUUUCGCACAAUUAACGCUUCUACUUAUACAUAACUGGUGACCACACACACACACACACACACACACACACAGAGUUUGUGCUAACUUGAGAAAAGAACACUGAAAGGACUUCGAUACAAUGGUGAAAAAGAUAGAAACUACAACAUAUGUACAAGCAUAUUCCAUUGACCCACCAAAACCUAGUUUAUGAGUUGGAUUCUCUCUUCCUUCCUGUUUCCAGCAUGUACCUUCAUGCCGUCAAGCAAAAAGUCGCUUCACUUCAGUAUCUCUCUCCAAUUAUGCAAGACCUGUAUUAUGUGAUCCGGGUCACAAAAAAACAGCAGCAAAAAUGACUCUAAUGUCCAGCUUAAUAACAAAACGGAACCCAAAAGGACAAGAAAGUAACAGAAAGGGCAGCGCGAGAGUCCAUGAAAAUUUAGGGCAUCAGUCCUCCUGCUUGCUCCAUCAGUUCACUUGUGUACCCAUUCCAUCAAUCAGACUCUCCAGUUCAAGAUAGAUUCCCGUGUCAUUCAACGUCAGGUGGUCUUCUACUUCUAUGUUGUCCGCAUCGGUGCCAAUAACCACGUCUUCCUUGAGGAGUUUCUCGGAAAUCCCCUGGAAUACCGAAGACAAAUCAGAUGAGCUAGCUCCGGUCAUCUGAUUGGGCGUCUGGCCCUGCGCAACCCUGAAAUCUUCACCAUCCAUCGAAGGCCACGGAUUGUGCAUCUGAAAGGUGCCAAGAUGCUCCGGCACAACACUAUUUGGCCGACGCUCCAUCUGUGCCAAAUCGUCACUGAUUUUCAGGCAAUCAACUUUUGGGCUUUGAAUCAUGUGAUCCAUUGCUUCUAGCAAGCAUUUGGUGGCUUCGGCAUUGGGACCAAGCAAUUCUCUCUUCUUGCUCGAUUCACAGGUCUCUAAAUCUCUCUUUUGCUUCUUCUUCGGGGUUAAAUGCAGGAUAAAGUUGGGGCUUUUGGCUGCUUUUAUGAGGAAGAGGAGUAAGUGCUGGUUCCUGCAAUCGGCAUGGCGAACCUGCUCAGCGACCUGCUCGAUCUCAUGCUGCAAGUUGUCCUGCUCUUCUAUUAGCUUAAGGAUCUUGGUCUUCAACGCUUCCUGGUCCUUCUUAAGCAUUUUGAGUUCUGCUUCCUUUUCAGCUUUCUGGUAAUCAGAGGUGACAGUACUUCUCGAUUUUUUUCUAUGCUUGUUUAAGUUGCGUCUCCUCUUUAUGUUCUUCAGCAAAUGCUUCUUCCCUUUCUGAAAACCUUGGUUUGCAAACUCCCAUUGAUCUGGAUUGAUCUUCCUAAAACCCUGCAACACAUUUUUAAUUAUGAUGCAUGAAGAAUAGAAGAUAGGAAGAAGCUAUGUCUAGGAGUUCAUAAUGAACCAAAGGCUAAAGAGUAGAAAAUAAGCAGAAUGAAGGCCAUGAAAGUUUCAGUGGAAGAUGUGCACAAGGGGUAUUACUAGGCCAAUAUAGAAAGUAAACGGAUUAUAAUGCAUGCCAAGGAGAGACCGCUUACAAAUAUCCAAAUUCCAGUACAAAGAGUGUGGAAAAUUUUAAGAGUAAAGGCAAACAACUCAAAAUCAAUCCAGCUACUACUAGAUAUAAUAUAAAUACAACAGUGCAGAAUUAUGCUUCUGGUCUUGCCCAAAAAGAAGAAAGGUGCUACAAAACACCGGAUAGAAACAAAGCAAUGGCCAAAGGAAACUUGUCUUCAGCUAGAAAGUGCAUAAUGAAGAAUUAAAGCCGUAAAUGCAAAAUACUAACCGCUAUAAGGGAAUUGCUGUAGGCCAUUUCUGAAUCCAGUACGAAGAUAAUCUCUAAUGGGUGAUCUGAUGUCAUGGUUGACAUGAUGGUUUCUGCAAACUACCGUCUAAAGCAUCAUCACUUGAAUAUGAUGACUACUGAGGGCCUAAUAGGGGCCAUUGUCCACUGGCCCCUCGAUGCAUAUUUUUGAGAACAUGUGCCACAUGAUUCACCAAAUUUCUUAGAGAAUCUGUGUAUCUCGCCCACCAUUUCAGGUUUCUUGGUUCCUCGUCCCCUAAACUAGGGUACAGCACAAAUAGUACCCGACAAAGUCAAAGUGGGUUAAAUUAAGUCUCGACACCUGAGCAAACGUCUUAAGAGGACCACGCUCUCGACGACAUCAAAAAAGAACCGAAGAGUUAAACCAAAACGCUCAUACACAGACAUACUUUAUACAGAUCCAUACAAAAGAUAACGACCACAACAAAUAACAUUGGUUUGCUCAUAUCAAAACAUGAAGAAGUACCCACAUAAGUGCUGAGCUGCCUGAUGAAGCUGGAGAAGUUGGAGUGCUUGAAGUAUCGGGGCAGGACCUGCUUCGAGAACUCCUGCCGAUCCCACACCACGAAGCUAUCCUGGCUCAAGCCCCACGACACCACCGGAUCUGUACCCGGGUCCGACACCAUCUCGUAAGUCUUCCUCAGGAACGGCGUUGGCCCCACCACCCCCAGAUCCUCCAUCGGCUUUGCCACAUCGUAUGCUGCCGCCUGCCAUGAGCAUGACGGCGAUAAAAUGGCCGCAGUGGUCGCCACCUCCUCCUCUUCCAAUUCCUCCUUGAUCUUCACCGCCUGCACGACCAGAGCCGAACAGAGUUCGGGCCGGGUCAGGCAUGAAUGCAAGCGCGAUCCAGCUUCAAUUUUGCCAUCGCCAAUGGCUACCUGUGGCAAUGGACCCGAAUGGGAAAGCGACCCACAGCAUCCUAGCUCGCCUGCACGGGCUUUUGAUUGUGACCGAGAAGAAUCGGUUCGGGUUAGGUCCGAGUACAAGGGCGACCGGGACCCUAUCUCGCCAUGGUCGUCAUCAUCAAGAACAGCGAAGGACGCGAUUUCUUCCCGUGACCUUGCGAAAGGUUUUGCCUUUUCUAGCUCAAGACUUGAAUCUCGAAAGAAGGUUUCGGAAAACCAUGGGCAAGAUCCAUUGGCACGGCCGGGGAAACAACCGCCGGCGCCGCCGUGAAACGCCGUCAUCAAUUUGAGCUCGAGUUCAUGGUUUUUUUUUUCACUUUUUUGGGGGGGUCAGGAGCGUCGAGUUCAGGUUCAGAAGGUGGAGAUAAUAUGAGCAAAUUUCAAGCGAAUGAACAUACAUGGUAGGAUUUCGAGAGACGGUAAGAAAGAGCUUAAAUUGAAAAGUGGAGCAGGCAAGGGCAAGGGCGAUGGCAUGUGGACUUAUAUACUCGUGAGAAAAGGAAAUUGAUAAGCUGACUGCACCGUUACCUUGGAAGAGUGACGGUGGUGCAAUCACUGCCACAUUUACUCAAAUUAAUUUUCAUGCCACAGAAAAUCUUAAACUGAUGAACAAGUACCACAUUUUUCCCAAAGUAAUUUUCAUAUAAAAAAAAUAUCCACUUUGGAAGGGAGAAAAUUGAUAGAUUUUAAGGUAGAAGUCACCAAAAACUCUACACUAUGCCACUCUAAGACCUUUAUCCCAGAUUUUUUUUUUCUUUUUGUGACACAAAAAAAAUCUCAAACUUACAUCUAUGUGACACAUUUACCACAAAAUUAUACAAUGUGAUACAUUUAACCCAAAUUUCUUAUUGUGACACCAAAGACCCAAGACUUUAGUGUCACAUAAAAAAGUUUGAGGUAAAUAUGUCAUAUGAGUACAAGUUUGGGAUUUUUGAUGUUACAAAAAAUAGUUUAGGAUAAAUGUGUCACAGUGGUCAAAGUUUGAAAUGCUUUGUAGCUUUUUCCCUAAAUUUUAACAUAAGUUACUUCAUUAAAAACAAUUUUUUGCAAGUUAGCCUUUUAUAAAAUUGGUGCAACGGACAAGAUAACCAGAAGUUUCUGAGAAAAAAUUUCAUCCUUGUGUCUUCUUCCCUUUAAUUUUGUCUACUUGGUGGAACAUCUUAAGCCAGCGGACAAGAAUUUUAGGCUUGCCGCGGCUAGUCCUUUUCUGAGGACGAUAAUCCUACAAAACCUUAUGUAUGCUCUUGUGAUGUUUUGAACAGAACUGGUUUACCCCCUUUUUUAGGGAAAAAAAUGAUAGGGGAUCUUGUACACAUACUCUAAAUGCAUCUUUAUGAAUUUGGAAAGUUAAUUUGAAAUAAAUGCAACAUGAAUUUAUCAUUUUUAGGAUUUUUUUUUUUUUGGUAAUAUUAACCAUAUUCUUUUAAAAUAUGUGUAUUAAACAUUUCUUAUCAUUUGGCAAGGACUAAUGCAUGAAGAACAUGUUGGGGAGCCAAAUGUAACUAAGCAUUCGUCAGCCCUUGCUUGACCACUUGCCAGAUCUAGCCAUGACGGCUGCAAGCUUUGAGGUUUAAUCUAGCUUUUAAGCUCACGGCUGCCAUGGCCACUUGAGGUUGAAGCUUGGCCUAAGAGUCUGCUUCAUGGAGGAAAGUAUGUUUUUUUACUUCCUCUUGAACAAGUUCCACAAGCUUUUAUGUCAAAGAAGCCUGUUAAGGUUCAGAAGAUUUUCUGCUCUAUAUGCUUUGACCGGAAGCCACAACAAUUUCAGGUUCUCUAAUGAAAUCCUUUCGAUCAGAGACCAUACUUUCCUUCUGCACUUCCAUCUCAAUCCUGAUGGCUUCCUUUAGAAGAAGGGUGACUCAUAUAUUCUGGAUUGCGCACCUUUGACUUUUUCUCUUUCAUUUUCAUCUUUUUAUUUCUUGAACCAGUCCGGAAUGAGUCACGAAUUUCCAUAGGUAGCUUCGAGUCUGAUCUCUGGCGGGUGGUCAUGCAAGGGCCGACGAACCCCGCCAAAGGUCUAGGUGGCAGUGGGCAGCAAUGAACAUGCGCCAGAGAGCUUUGGCCGAGCAAUCCCGAGCUUGAGGACGAUGAAUACUAACUUCAAUUUUUGUUUUGUUUUUUGUUUUAAUCUUUUUAGGUGUGUUGCUUGCGUGGGUGCCUCUUGUCCUUGAAAAGCACUAAGAAUGCCACAUUGAAUCCAUGUCAGAUUUUUAACAUAACCCUAUGUUGGGAAUAACGGAUCCCCGAAAACCAGAUUCGACACUAAAUCGAACCCCUAAAUCAAUGCGGAAGACGAAGCCCGGGAAAACACGUAUCACCGAUCGUAAAGCACACCACGGAGUCGAGCGUACCUUGUUAGCCACAAAUUAGACACCAAUGCCGAAGAUCGAGGAAGAAAUUCUGAUCUGAUGAUGUCAAUUCGCCUUGAAAAGGGAAACCGGCGUCGCCUUAAGAGUACUGUUCUUGUUAGAGGGAGAGAGGGAGAGGAGAAGACGUACGUUCAUUUGUUCCGUUCCAACGGGUGUCAUCUCUCUCUCUCACCUCCCUUUUAUACCUUCCCCCAUCCACGGGCCCUAUUCCCGUGGGCCGGGCCUUUUGGGCCCAGCAUGGGCGGACGGGCCUUAAGCCCAUCACCAAUUAAAACCAUCAUAUCCCACUCGCACAUGGUGGGCUGAACAGAAUUCUCUUUACCUCUCUUCAACAUUCAUACCGGUGAAUAAUCCAUGCGACCAGCAUACUUUGAGAGCUUGUUGCCAUACAUCUGUUAGGAAUAUAUAGCAGCUCAUAAUGGGCAUCACACUCCGAGUAGAUUUAGUAUGCAGUACCCUAGAUCGAUCGAUCACAUUUAUAUCUCUCUUAAUCUCUUUUAAACAAUGAUAUAUAUUGUAUUCACAAUUAUGAUUAUCACAAAGACAGUCAUAAUUGGUUAACCGGUGAAUACAAAAAACUACAAUGUGAUUCUCCAAAUUCGAUCUUCCUCUUUCCUUCAAACUCUCAAUUUCAGUUCAGCUUGCUUUUCUAGAAAUACCCCAUUAGAUCAAAUCAGCACAUGACCAUUGGCAACAUCCUAAGAUAGCAAACACUAAAUAGAAAUCUUGAGGAUAAGUAAGAGUCAUGAGGGGACUAAAAAUUGAGGAGCUCUUUUCCUCAAGAGCCUCACACGUCAUAAAAAAUUGAGAUCAAACUUUUUGCCACUCUUAUUAGUUGUCUCAUGCAUACGUAGUAUGAAAUAUGUAUUACGGUAUUAACUCCUUUCCCAUGGAGCGUAUGUCUACACUUUCAAUACCGUACAGAUGAUAGUUUAGACAUACCCAAUGUCUAACUUGAGUUCACGUAUCUACUCAAUCAUAAAAUUCAUCAGAACUCACAUUUGGCAUCAUAGACAGAUAAAGUAAAAUAUGUUGGUGAUUUUACUUUCGGACAUAGUUAGUAUUAUGUCCUCAUCUUAACACUUAGUUAAGGUGACAUACGUAUUUUAAGCUUGAGCUCUCGAUUAUCACCUAGAUAAUAAGCUUAAAAAUAGUCUCAUCUCUAUCUAUCACACAGUAAAUAGAGGCGAUUACCCGUGUGAGUGGGCUAAUCUUAUAUCUGUCCGACAUACUUUCUCAACUUAAAGUAAUGCACUGAGCAUUAAGAUACAUAAAGAUCAAACAAAGAUUCAUAGGCAUUAAUGAUGAAAACACAAAUUCAUCAAAUGUGAAAUUUUAGGGAAAUUACAAUAUUCAAUACAUCAUCCUCUACGCAAUCCUAGAGAUUUCAUAUGGCCACAAAAACACAUCUCUAGGUAUUGGCUUUGUCAUAGGAUCUGCUACCAUUCUAUCCGUAGUAUGUACUCUAAGUUCACAUCAUUUCGUGCAAUCAUAUCAUUGACAAAAGUAUACUUGGUAUCUAUAUGUUUGGUCUUGCCAUGAUAUUUUGGAUCUUUGGUGUACACUUUCGCUGCUUGGCUAUCACAGUUAACCAAUAACAAAUCUGCAGCACUUCCAAUAACACCUAAAUGAUCCAAUAAUCUCUUAAGCCAAACAUCUUCUUAUACUGCUAUUGAUAAUGCCACGAACUCAGUUUCCAUCGUGGACAAGGCUAUACACUUUUGUUUCUUACUGCUCCAACAUAUGGUGCCAUUAUUCGAUAAGAAAACAAAUCAAGAGGUAGAUUUUCUUUCAUUUAAAUCUCCUCCCCAAUUAGCAUCAGAAUAGCGUUUGAGUUGCAGAUCCUUUCCUUAAUAACUCAACGUAUAAUCAGCAGUUCCCUUUAGAUACCUCAGUAUUCUUUUAACGGCUUUCCAUCGUGCUUGACCUGGAUUGGAUUGGUAUCUACUCACCAUUCCAAUUGCAUAACAUAUGUCAGGUCUUGUACACAUCAUAGCGUACAUCAAGCUCCCAACAGCACUAGCAUAAGGAACAUGUUUCAUUUGUUCCUUCUCUUGUGGAGUCCUUGGACACAGUCUAUGGCUCAAUCCUUCACCUUUUGCAAUAGGAGUGUCAAUGGGUUUACAAUCUCAUAUCCUGCAAUUCAAAAUUGGAAGACAACCAACUCUUGACAGUAUUGACAAGUUCCAUAUUGCUUCCGGCAAUUAAUAUAUCAUCAACAUAUAAUAAUAUGAUUACAAAUUGAUCCUUGGAUCUUUUGAUAUAUACAUAAUGAUCCUCAUCUAUCAUUGUAAAAUCAUAUGCCAUUAUGGCAUUAUGAAAUCGUAUAUACCAUUGUCUUGACGACUGUCUAAGGCCAUAUAUCGACCUCAAAAGUCGACAUACCUUUUCUUCUUGGCCUUUCACUAUGAAACCAGCAUGUUGUUCCAUAUAUGUUCCUUCCUCUAAUUCUCCAUUGAGGAAAGCAGUCUUUACAUCCAUUUGAUGUAACUCAAGAUCCAGACUAGCCACUAUUGCCAGAAUAAUGCGAAUCGAGGUAAAUCUCACUACAGGAGAAAACGUAUCUUCAUAAUCAAUAUAUUCCUGUUGAUUAUACCCCUUCGCCACAAAGCGAGCCUUAUGCCUUUCUAUCGAGCCAUCAGCCUUUCGCUUUAUUUUGAGAACCCACUUGUUCUCAAUAGCUUUGCGUCCUUUUGGAAGAUCAACCAGUUCCCAGACUUGGUUUGAUUUCAUUGACUCCAUUUCCUCUUUCAUUGCAUAAAUCCAUUUUUCCUUACUAGGGCAUUUUAGAGCCUCAUUAAUAUUUCUUGGCUCAUCCUUAUCUCGUGGAGCAAUUAUAAAAGUUUCCCCUUCAAUGUCAAAACGUUGACGGGGAAUACUUUGGCGACUUGUUCGCUAUAUGGGAGAUUGUACACUUAGCACAUCAUUCCCCAUUAUGCUCCCACUCGGAUUAGAUUAUGACGAUAUCAUCUCAUCAUGUGGUUGUAAUUGAGAAUGCGUUGAAUUCAAUUCAUCACUUCUCAUAUUACUCCCACUUGGAUGAACUCCAUUAAUAUCAUUAUCUUGAUCCAAGCUUUCAAAUAGGGGUAAUCUUCCCCUAUUUCGCCCUUCUUAGGAAAUUCAUCCACUAAAAAUGUGACAUCCCGUGAUUCAAAUUCAGUUAUACUCCCACUUUCCUGCUCACCUACGAAUACAUACCCUUUCGAGUGUUCGGAGUAUCUCAUUAAAAUACUCUUAUUUCCUUUAGGACCCAAUUUCCCAAACUUGCGAGAUGACUCAUGAGUAUAGACAGUACAACCCCAUGGCUUAAGAAAACUUAAGUCCGGUUUUCUACCUGUCCAUAACUCAUAUGGAGUGGAACUAACUGAUUUGGAAGGCACUCAGUUAAGUAUAUAGGCAACAGUUAACAACGCAUCACUCCAAAAAGCGAUAUGUAAGUUAGCAUGCGCCAUCAUGGACCUAACCAUUUCCAGUAGGGUUCUGUUUCUUCUCUCUGCAACACCAUUUUGUUGAGGAGUAUAUGGAAUAGACAACUGUAUUUCCAUUCCCUUUUCAUCACAUAAUUUUCUGAACUCAUCAGAUAAAUAUUCUCGACCUCGAUCAGAUCUCAAUGCUUUUAUUUUAUUGUCUAAUUGAUUUUCUAUCAUGUUCAUAAACCUUUUGAAACAACUUAUGCUUCAGAUUUAUGAGAAAUCAAAUAGAUAUUUCCGAAUUGAGUAUAAUUAUCUAUAAAAGUGAUAAAAUAAACAGCCCCAUGCCUUCCUCUCACAUUCAUUGAACCACAGACGUUAGAAUGGAUUAAAUGCAGAUGAAAUUCAGCUCUUUUAUCUUUUCCAAAUGGUUUCCUUGUCGUUUUCCCUACUAGGCAAUGCUCACAUAUUGGCAAAUCGACUUUUUCAAUGUUGCCCAACAAGCCCUCUUUGGCUAGUUUAUUCAUAUGUUGUUGGCCAAUAUGACCAACUCUAGCAUGCCACACAUUCACAUCAUUAUCAUAUGAAGUAAAAGACGUGAAAUAAGGGAACAACAAACAUUGACAUCACCACAGUCAACAUUUAGUACAAUAAAACCAUCCAGAAAGUGACCAUAACCAUAGUAGUUUGUAUCCAAAUACAAAUUUAUAUUGCUAUUACUGAAGUUCACAUUAAAACCAAACUUAACCAACAUCAAAGCAUACGUUAAAUUUCGACGAAUCUCUAGAGCAUAUGGAACGUCAUGUAGGAACAAGAUGCGUCCACUACGCAUGUUCAAUUGGCAUGUGCCAAUCCCUUUAACUUCAUUUCUGGAGUUAUAUCCCACAUAGAUCCACUUAGUUCCAGUCGGUAUCGUCGGAAUUCCACGAAGGAUUCUCUAUCCUUCGCUACAUGGUCUGUCUUUCCUGAAUCUACAGUCCACAAAGGACUAGAUUUAGCCAAUAAUUCAGAACUUGACACAUAAUCAAAGUUCUCAAAUGUACAAGAGGUGUUUACCUUUUUCGGCUCACGACAGUUGCGAGCAUAGUGACCCUUCUUGUCACAAUUGUAACACCUCACCCUUGACAUUUUCUUCACUUGAGGACGUUUUCCUCUCUUGUGUUGGUUAACUCUUGAUCUCUUGCAAUAAGGACUUGAUCCUUUGCAUUCCCACAUAUUGAACGAAUCAAUACACUUGCGCUUAGAGCUCAAAGCCCUUUCUAAGCUAGAACUAGCAUUGCAAAUAUUUAUUUUCAGCUCACAUGCCGUUAAGCGGUCCUCUACCAGCUCAAGGUGGCGCACAGCAUUCUCAAGAUCUUCCAUAACAUGGUCAAGAGCUUCUAGUGCUUCUUGCUUUUCCAGCACAUAUUGAAUCUUCAUAUUCAAUAUUUUACAAUUGUAGCCGUUCAUAUCAGCAAUUACGUUCUUAAUUGCUGAAAACAUCGAUCUGAAUACAUCAGACAUACAUGCAUGAAUAAUUAAUGCCUAUCAUUUAUGCAUCCCUAUUUGCACAGACCCAUCAUAUCAAUGAAUAAUUUCAAGUAAGGUUUCAGAAUCAAAAGGUCACUACGUUUCCAAUUAUCCUCCAAAAAUCCUAACUUAAAACUAUUAUUAAUAUAAUUGUCAUAUGCAAAAUCAAUUCUAUGAAGCUACAAAAACUUCUAAACUACCCACAGCUAAUUACCCACAGCAACCAGCAAUAACAGAAAGCAACAUAUAAUAGACAUCCAAUAAAACAAUAAUGCUUUCAAUUAAUACAACAAUCCAUUACACAAAGUAAUAUAUAUAAAAAAAAAUAUCAACAUAGAAAGAGAUAUUCAACACUAAAAAACAUCUCAAACUAAUCUAAGAAAUAAAUAGGGAAAGUCCCUUCUAAUCCAUCAGUUAAAGUAUCUGAGAAAACUGAAGGCACAUUUGCCAACCAUGGAAAAAAUUUUGGAGAGCUCUCAUGUCGCCACCAAGGCGCAUUCACUCUGCGCCAUGUGGUGCUCAAUCUAAGGGUUGAAUUUUUGGCCAACUCAAUCCUAUAAUGCUCUCUUACAACAGCUUCCACUAGCCUCCUAUAAUCCGGGACCACGUUGACCUCCCAUAGCCAAUCUAACACUGCUUGCCAUUCAGGUGGAAGAGUGUUCAUCAAAGCCGGCACCUUCUCAAAAUCCGGCAUGAGAUAACCAUUCCAGAUGAUUUCCUGUAUCAUCUGAUUGACCUUGACCAUAUGUGAUACUAAAUCACCAUCAAGCCACCGAUAAUCAGCCAACUCUUUCAUCAGCCUUUUCAGUCUAGCUCUUCCUUCGUUCGUUCUUGGGAUUGCAGGUAUCCGUGCAUAACGCAACAUAGUUCCUGCAACAAAUGCAGAACUAAAAUGAAUCACUUAUAAUACAUAAUAAACAAAAUGGAAAAUACAUAAUUUUCCAUGAUCCAUGCAACAAAUGCAGAAUAAAAAAUGGAUUACCUCUAACCCACACAGACAUAAUUGAAAAAAGAAACAAAUUCCUUUUUUUUUUUUUUUUUUUUUCGGGUCAACUGUCAAAGUCAACGGUCAACGGUCAACGGUCGUAGGUCAAUGGUCAGGUCGUCGGACCGGUCGGGCCGAUCGGGCCGGGUCAGAAGAACUGACCGCACGUGCCGCGCGCGUGCGCGGGCUGACGUCACGCAGACGUCAGCCGGCACGUGCCGCGCGGGUGCCGGGCGUCCGCGAGUCGGGUCGGGUCGGGUCGGGUCGCCGGCUGGUGACCGCCCGGCGAAACUUCGUCAUGCUAACGUCAUCGAUGACGUCACCCUAGCGGUUACUGACCGUUGGGUGACGUCAUGCUGUCGUCAGCACGCGUCGGUCCGCGGAUCGGCGCGUGCCGAUUCGCCGGCAGGCGGCGAGCACGUGCCGGUUCACCAACCGGCGCGUGUGUUGCACGUGCUGGGCGAGCCAGUGCUUCUGGGCGCGUCGCGCCCACGCGCAGCGGCUUCUGGCCGCGCGUGGGGGCGCGUGCGGCGUCGCCCAGCGGCGCACGACAUGUCGCCGGACUCGCCUUGACGACCCCUUUCUCGCUAUUUGUUCAGAAAACGAUUUCGACUUACGAAAACUCAGAAAAAUGGCCGAACAGCGCUCGGGUGUCGGGAUUUCUCGCCCCGAUCCGUACGGCCAAAAUUUUUUUGCGAAAAAUCAAUCAAAAACAUCAAACAGGUCGGGAAAAACGUGAACUAGGGCUCUGAUACCAAUGUUGGGAAUAACGGAUCCCCGAAAACUGGAUUCGACACUAAAUUGAACCCCUAAAUCAAUGCGGAAGACGAAGCCCGGGAAAACACGUAUCACCGAUCGUAAAGCACACCACAGAGUCGAGCGUACCUUGUUAGCCACAUAUUAGAAACCAAUGCCGAAGAUCGAGGAAGAAAUUCUGAUCCGAUGAUGUCAAUUCGCCUUGAAAAGGGAAAUCGGCCUUGCCUUAAGCGUACUGUUCUUGUUAGAGGGAGAGAGGGAGAGGAGAAGACGUACGUUCAUUUGUUCCAACGGGUGUCAUCUCUCUCUCUCUCCUCCCUUUUAUACCUUCCCCCAUCCAUGGGCCCUAUUCCCGUGGGCCGGGCCUUUUGGGCCCAGCAUGGGCGGACGGGCCUUAAGCCCAUUACCAAUUAAAACCAUCACCCUAAUAGAAGAUAAAUGUGUUAUUCGGAUACAAGCUUGAGAUAUUUGGUACACAAAAAAAUAAGGUAACUGUGUCACAGUUUGGGGUAUUUUGUAGUUUUUCCCUAAAAAUAUCAUUGUGCAGAUCAUGUGCAUAUCACUGCUACAGUCUACCGCCUCUUCUUUUAGAUCCGUCCGUCUUCGCUAGAUUGGCUUCUUAUCGUCUUCGGCAGUGUCUCCUAACCUGGUGUUUUUUCUUUCUUUGUCUUUUCCGUGCCUUGUUGGUUGUUUGGGUGAGGUUUGUGUCCUUUGGUUCUACGUGGCCUUUCUCUACCUAUUGUUUAGGCUUUUUCUCGCUUUGGCCCGCUCUUGUGGUUUCUUUUGCAUCUGGCACCCUUCCACUCACUUCGACUUGGUGUCGUGUUGAGUGCAAGUUUUGUGGUGCUAGAUCUUAUGUAAAUGUUGGCUUAAAGCUCAUUAUAUUAAUUAUUCUUACAAAAAAAAAAAAAAACUGAGUACGUUUGUCUAGCAUAUAGAGCGAUUCUCGGUUGCGAACAUCGGCCAGAGCCGGACAACAGUCGGGUGCAAGGUGUAUCGAACUUUUCCUGGGAAAAGUAAGGGGAUUUUAUUUAUGUUGACUAGUUGAUUAAUCUCUAAUUAAAGUUUUGGCUUUAUCUUCUUAUAAGAUAAAUGCGACACCAGCUCGAGGAAUUUUUACCUUUUGAGAAUUUGUCACUUCAUGAUGACAUAAGAUAAUGUAGGGUUUUGGGAACCAAGACACUUUUGACUUGCAUGUAAUUCACUACCACCAGCAGAGUUUUUCUCAUAGGACAAAUAACAUGGAUCUUCAAUGUAUGGAACUGCGGAUUAUGUUUGCCUGAUUGCUACCUUCAUUUGAACAGCGGAACUCGGCAAACACUCCUUCCCCCGAUGGUCGAAUGUACUCAAUAAGAUUAUGGAUGCCAAUGAUUGUCCUCGGCUGGCAUGCCUUGACAUUGGCAGUCCGGAAGAACAACUUCUAAAGAGGAGAAGGUUUGUAGAAAUUCAAGAGGCCUUUAGCUAGGCUUUCAAUGAGGAUAAGGACAAGUUCGAGAAAUCAAACGUUUCUUCCUCUUCACCAUCUUCAUCUUCAGGAGCAACGAGGCCUAAGGAAAAGCUCCAUAUGAACAACAGGUCAUUUAAGAUUUCAGAAAUGCUUGUACCGUGGUAAUAUAAACUUCUUUUCUAUUGGUUUUGCAUCUGCCAAUUUCUGUCUCUGUACCGGGGUUUUUCAACAGGUCAUUCAAAAAGAUAGGGGUAGUGUUAUAGUUUCUGUUAAAAGUUCAAUCUGGUGAGAAUCACGAGGGCCAUUUCAAUUUUUUUUGGCUGUCUUAGCAGGAAAUAUUGCAAGUAAAUGAUCAAGUGCAUAUGGGUCGAAGAAUUGUGGCCCGACUAAUUUCAACAUGGAAUAUCACAAUUCACAGGAGACUAUCUCACACCAAAAUUUGGUUAGGAUGCACAGAAAAAGCACGCAGUUCAAUAUGCAGAAGUACAGAGUACGUAUGGAUGCACCUAGAUACAUCAUACGUACUCUCGUUCUCUCGAAACUCAGAAAUAUUAUCUGGUGCAUAUGGAGUCCGUAAGAAAAAGCUCCAUUGAGAACGGAAAGAGACGCUGAGAAAUUAGCUGGAAAUGUCUGAUGUUCACUCAGGAAGACUUCAGACAGACGUCAGGGAGUGAUCACUUUUUGGGAAAAUUCCAGGGUCGCUGCUUUCAUGUCCUGGUCCAUCAUUUGUGUUUGUCCACUUUAUUUAGUCACUUCCUAAUCCGAAUUUGGUAAAGAGUCACAUCUGUGAUGUACUAAAAGAUUCACCAAAUAUAGAUAAAAAUCUCUUGAGGCAGACUUUACAACAACACCUGGCCUAAUUUCCGUGGUCAAUUUUUUUUUUUUGGGUGAGGAUUGGACCGCAUUAACUUUGGAUAUGCGAAUUAUAUCAAUGAUGAGAUGGAAACAGCGUAAUUGAUCUACUUUGUAAAAGAUUCUCCAAAGACUCAGUAAAUUUUAUUCAAAUAGCCCUUGAAAUGGAAUAUUUACUCAUAAGAUUCUUUAAAAUGAACUUCAUUUCAAAUAAAGUCCAUAAGUAAGCGACUUAGUCUUCAAUCACCCACAACUCACCUGCUAAUCAAUUAUUUGUCGACGGACAGGCACGUGAAUCUCAUGUGACAGUAACCAAACCAUGACUAAAGACAUUUUCAUUUAGGAUGGAGGUUGAUCCGUGCCUUAGAGGCGAGAUCUAAGGCUCAAAUCAAGCACAAGCAUGUCAAUAUUUGACCCUUGUGGUCGCCACUAUUUAGUUCUUGAUAUGAUGAUGGCUGAUGGCAAGGAGAGAGAUGCGCGCAGAAGAGAUGGUGGAGAGAACGCUCACAGAGGGAGACGAGGGUGAUGACGGCACACAGAAAAGGGGAAGGGCGACAACAUCAGACGAGGCAACAUAAGAUGAGGCAAUGCUAUCACGGUGAUGGCUACGUGCAGUUGCAAGAUUUUGGCGUCCUGGCGACUUCUUGUCGGCGGUCCAUUGUGGAUUUUGUUGGUAGUUUAUUUGUAAAACAAACUUGAAAGUUCCUCCUCCCACAUAGAAUAAUUAGAAGUGCGUGUGUCAAUAUGUAAGUGUGAAAGCCUUCCACUCUUUCUAAUGGAAACGAUGGGUUUAGUGGGUUGGACCCUACAAUACCCAUAUGCCAGUAUGCAAUAAGUAGAUGUACUUCGCAAUUGGGUUAUGGUUGUUUUUUAUUAAUUAAUUUUGAAUUUUAUUGCUAAAGGUAAUUCAGCAUCUUACAAUCUUUAAGAAGUCGUGUCUUUUCAGAAGUUUUAAAAUCCAUAAUUAAAAAAAAAUAUUAUUAUUAUUAUUAUUAUUUAAUAGGAAUUCCAAAAUGUCUUUGGAGAAAGCAUCUGUUCACAAUAAUUCUAAAAGACUAUUCAUCAUUUUUUGUCUCAUAUUUUCUUUAGUCUUGUCAAUUUUCUUUCAAAAAAUUACAAACCAUUUAUUUUAAUUGUUUCCUUUUAAGAGUUAUUGGAGAAACACGGGAAUUGCUAUCCGGUAUUCUCAUUGAGAUUUUGUUGUAUCGAUUUUGUUGAAUAACUAUUAGCAAUGUUGGGGAUAAAUAAUGUUUUAAAGAGAGUGUUAUCACACUUCAAAAUCUGACUCCACUCUUCUUCCCAAUCAUAUUUCUGCUGACAGAUCUAGAGGUAGGGAAAUGGAGUUCUUGCAAGUGACUCGCUUUGACGGUGUCGACAAAGAACUCGAGGUAUUGUGGACACUAGCUUUCCUCUUUGGAGCUCCAACUUGGCUGCCUAUCGAGGUAGACCCUGUCGACUGAGGCUUGGAAGUGGCUGCCCAUGCUGAUAGGAUUCCGAAGUUGAGACCAAAGCCACUACGCACCAUUGUCUUGAUCGCGCGCGGGGCUUCCUCAUGGCAGCUAAGACUGUAAAAAGCGGGCAAUGAGCACAUCGAAGGCAAUCUUACUGGAGAUGCAGUGAUUGAGGCGAGAAACGGCGCAAAAGGGGUCGUUGAAGGCAAAACAAAACAAGACAAUGCCUUGUACGAAAAUGUCCCUAUAAUAUUUUGAAAUUGACAAAAUAUUCUAUUUCUAAUUAUAAUUUUAUAGAUGUAAAUGUUGUCUUACUUCAAGUAAUGUUGAUAUGAGGGACGCUCUAUCGCCAUUGAUGGAAUUUGAAGCAUGAAGAUUACUAGAAGUCGAAUGGAUCAUGAUAGAGUGUGAACAGGUUUAGAAGAAUGGGAAGUUCACAAUAACUUAGAGGUAUCGUGAUAAGGUGAAUAGUGAGUGAAGUCUUGAACAUUAGUGUACCCAUGGAUAGCAAUACGCAAGUCGAUUGCUGAUAGAAACGGCUUAUUAUAUCAGCUAUGGAGAAAAAUAUUUUUCUAGUUCAAGCAAUCUGGAUAAGAAGACCAAUGUUCUUUCACUUAAUUUGCGAGUUAGAAGUUAUAAAUAGCUAGCUUUCAAGGCUUGGAAUCUCGAAGUGAAGAUAUGGAGAGAAAUCAAUAUGAUUGUUACCUAUGUUACUCAAUCAAUUAGAAGAAUAGAUUAUUGAGCCACAUAGCUUAUUAUAUUUAGGGAAACCUCAUUAUUACCUAGAAGAUUUGAUCAUAUGGUUGACCGGAUCUCAUAGUAAUUGCGUUCAUAAUUUUCAAUGGCUAAUUAAUCCUCUUAAGGAUUCUUUAACGGUUAAUUUGGAGGCUGAAGACUAUAUAAGAAGAUUGAUACACUCUAAAUAAUUUAUGUAAAACUAAGAAAGUUGUAAAUAUCGAUAUGGUCACAUUUAUUUUAUGUUGCAAGCGUGAUUUUAUUCACUUGUGAUCUACUCCUUUGAGAGUUGUGAUUGUUCAGUGUAAUUUGUAAUUUGAGGAGUGUACAAAUAUAGGUAGUGCUUGUCUAUUGAUAGUGGGAUCUAUCAAUUUUGGAUAGAAGCAGCACGUGCUUUGGUGUAACUACUAACGAGAAUAUUAAUAGAUUCCAGCCUAUUCGUGGUGAAUAAAGACGCAAACUUGUUAUAAAUCAAACCACGAGCAUUGUGUUUUAUCUCUUUACUUAUUUCACCAUUUAUCUUAUAGAAAUAUCUUGCAUCUUAUAUUAUCCAUUGUUUUUGCAUCUAUCAAAUCUAGUUUAGUAAUUCCAUGAAAAAGAAGAAAGGGAAAUUUUUUUUUUUUGAAAAUCAGCUUAUCCACCCCCUUCGGUUGUAUCAUCAGUCUCCACAGAAAGUGCCACGUGAGGUCCACAUGCUUAAUGAGCGAUGAUAGUUGGUUUGUAGACUAGGAGUGAUUUGAAACUUAGUCGUUCAUUUUAAAGAUUAAUUUGGGACAAGGUUCACUUUGAAAACUUUUAAAAAGAACGACUUCCCUUCAUAAAGGCUGUUUGAAAAUUUCUCGAAAAGUUUGCCAACUCUUUUGGGGAAUUAAAACUUCAAUGCUCUAUAAAAAAAAAGCCUUUCAUUUGAUCUCCUUUAGUUUCGAGCAGUUUGAAUGAUUACCCAUGUGACUAGGCAGUGUUCUCAUGGAAAAAGGACCAAUUACGGCAUCAAUCAACCUCUCCCUGCUUGGCGUAUUGAAGCUUCCAAUAAGAACACAUAUUAGAUUCACAAGAAGCACCUGCGAUUUAAACAAAAAGAAAAGAAAAGAAACAUGGAACAUUUCUUGUAAGUUCUGGUUGAAAUUUGGUAAUGUAAAGCAUUUCGAAAAGUUCUUCUCAUUAAAACUGAAAAUGAACUUUCGCACAAUUAACGCUUCUACUUAUACAUAACUGGUGACCACACACACACACACACACACACACACACAGAGUUUGUGCUAACUUGAGAAAUGAACACUGAAAGGACUUCGAUACAAUGGUGAAAAAGAUAGAAACUACAACAUAUGUACAAGCAUAUUCCAUUGACCCAUCAAAACCUAGUUUAUGAGUUGGAUUCUCUCUUCCUUCCUGUUUCCAGCAUGUACCUUCAUGCCGUCAAGCAAAAAGUCGCUUCACUUCAGUAUCUCUCUUCAAUUAUGCAAGAGCUGUGUCAUGUGAUCUGGGUCACAAUAAAACAGCAGCAACAAGGACUCUAAUGUCCAGCUUAAUAACAAAACGAAACCCAAAAGGACAAGAAAGUAACAGAAAGGGCAGCGCGGGAGUCCAUGAAAAUUUAGGGCAUCAGUCCUCCUGCUUGCUCCAUCAGUUCACUUGUGUACCCAUUCCAUUAAUCAGACUCUCCAGUUCAAGAUAGAUUCCCGUGUCAUUCAACGUCAGGUGGUCUUCUACUUCUAUGUUGUCCGCAUCUGCGCCAAUAACCACGUCUUCCUUGAGGAGCUUCUCGGAAAUCCCCUGGAAUACCGAAGACAAAUCAGAUGAGCUAGCUCCGGUCAUCUGAUUGGGCGUCUGGCCCUGCGCAACCCUGAAAUCUUCACCAUCCAUCGAAGGCCACGGAUUGUGCAUCUGAAAGGUGCCAAAUUGCUCCGGCACAACACUAUUUGGCCGACGCUCCAUCUGUGCCAAAUCGUCACUGAUUUUCAGGCAAUCAACUUUUGGGCUUUGAAUCAUGUGAUCCAUUGCUUCUAGCAAGCAUUUGGUGGCUUCGGCAUCGGGACCAAGCAAUUCUCUCUUCUUGCUCGAUUCACAGGUCUCUAAAUCUCUCUUCUGCUUCUUCUUCGGGGUUAAAUUCAGGAGAAAGUUGGGGCUUUUGGCUGCUUUUAUGAAGAAGAGGAAUAGGAGCUGGUUCCUGCAGUCGGCAUGGCGAACCUGCUCAGCAACCUGCUCGAUCUCAUGCUGCAAGUUGUCCUGCUCUUCUCUUAGCUUAAGGAUCUUGGUCUUCAACGCUUCCUGCUCCUUCUUAAGCGUUUUGAGUUUCGCUUCCUUUUCAGCUUUCUGGUAAUCAGAGGUGACAGUACUACUAGAUUUUUUUCUAUGCUUGUUUAAGUUGUGUCUCCUCUUUAUGUUCUUCAGCAAAUGCUUCUUCCCUUUCUGAAAACCUUGGUUUACAAACUCCCAUCGAUCUGGAUUGAUCUUCCUAAAACCCUGCGACACAUUUUUAAUUAUGAUGCAUGAAGAAUAGAAGAUAGGAAGAAGCUAUGUCUAGGAGUUCAUAAUGAACCAAAGGCUAAAGAGUAGAAAAUAAGCAGAAUGAAGGCCAAGAAAGUUUCAGUGGAAGAUGUGCACAAGGGGUAANNNNNNNNNNNNNNNNNNNNNNNNNNNNNNNNNNNNNNNNNNNNNNNNNNNNNNNNNNNNNNNNNNNNNNNNNNNNNNNNNNNNNNNNNNNNNNNNNNNNNNNNNNNNNNNNNNNNNNNNNNNNNNNNNNNNNNNNNNNNNNNNNNNNNNNNNNNNNNNNNNNNNNNNNNNNNNNNNNNNNNNNNNNNNNNNNNNNNNNNNNNNNNNNNNNNNNNNNNNNNNNNNNNNNNNNNNNNNNNNNNNNNNNNNNNNNNNNNNNNNNNNNNNNNNNNNNNNNNNNNNNNNNNNNNNNNNNNNNNNNNNNNNNNNNNNNNNNNNNNNNNNNNNNNNNNNNNNNNNNNNNNNNNNNNNNNNNNNNNNNNNNNNNNNNNNNNNNNNNNNNNNNNNNNNNNNNNNNNNNNNNNNNNNNNNNNNNNNNNNNNNNNNNNNNNNNNNNNNNNNNNNNNNNNNNNNNNNNNNNNNNNNNNNNNNNNNNNNNNNNNNNNNNNNNNNNNNNNNNNNNNNNNNNNNNNNNNNNNNNNNNNNNNNNNNNNNNNNNNNNNNNNNNNNNNNNNNNNNNNNNNNNNNNNNNNNNNNNNNNNNNNNNNNNNNNNNNNNNNNNNNNNNNNNNNNNNNNNNNNNNNNNNNNNNNNNNNNNNNNNNNNNNNNNNNNNNNNNNNNNNNNNNNNNNNNNNNNNNNNNNNNNNNNNNNNNNNNNNNNNNAGAGUUAAACCAAAACGCUCAUACACAGACAUACUUUAUACAGAUCCAUACAAAAGAUAACGACCGCAACAAAUAACAUAGGUUUGCUCAUAUCAAAACAUGAAGAAGUACCGACAUAAGUGUUCAGCUGCUGAUGAAGCUGGAGAAGUUGGAGUGCUUGAAGUAUCCAGGCAGGACCUCCUUCGAGAACUGCUGCUGAUCCCACACCACGAAGCUAUCCUGGCUCAAGCCCCACGACACCACUGGAUCUGUACCCGGGUCCGACACCAUCUCGUAAGUCUUCCUCAGGAACGGCGUUGGCCCCACCACCCCCAGAUCCUCCAUCGGCUUUGCCACAUCGUAUGCUGCUGCCAGCCAUGAGCAUGACGGCGAUAAAAUGGCCGCAUCCCUGGGAUCGGCAGUGGUCGCCACCUCCUCCUCUUCCAAUUCCUCCUUGAUCUUCACCGCCUGCACGGCCAGAGCCGAACAGAGUUCGGGCCGGGUCAGGCAUGAAUGCAAGGGCGGUCCAGCUCCAAUUUUGCCAUCGCCAAUGGCUACUUGUGGCAAUGGACCCGAAUGGGAAAGCAACCCACAGCAUCCUAGCUCGCCUUCACGGGCCUUUGAUUGUGACUGAGAAUCGGUUCGGCUUAGGUCCGAGUACAAGGGCAACCGGGACCCUAUCUCGCCAUGGUUGCCACCAUCAAGAACAGCGAAGGAUGCGAUUUCUUCCCGUGAUCUUGCGAAAGGUUUUGCCUUUUCUAGCUCAAGACUUGAAUCUCGAAAGAAGGUUUCGGAAAACCAUGGGCAAGAUCCAUUAGCACGGCCGGGGGAACAACCGCAAGAGCCGCCGUGAAACGCCGUCAUCAAUUUGAGCUCGAGUUCAUGGUUUUUUCCCUUUUUUGGGGGGGCAGGAGCUCGAGUUCUGGUUCAGAAGGUGGAGAUAAUAUGAGCAAAUUUCAAGCGAAUGAACACACGUGGUAGGGUUUCGAGAGACAGUAAGAGAGAGCUUGACUUGAAAAGUAGAGUUCAAAUCAAGCGGGCGACGGGCAAGGGCGAUGGCAUGUGGACUUAUAUACUCGUGAGAAAAGCAAAUUGAUAAGCUGACUGCACCGUUACCCUGGAAGAGUGACGGUGGUGCAGUCCGAGAAAAUAUUGGGUGGGUUUUACCCUCCACGUAAGCAAAAUGUAUCACCAUACGCAAUUCGACACGUGGCAAUUUUCGGCCCACCUGUCAGUGCCCACUCUCCCCCAUUAACUCCGUCUCUCUCCCGUUUACCCUCUCUCCUCCCCUCCGUUUCUGCCCACAAAACCAGCUGUUAGAGGAAGGAUGUCGAAUGUCCUCUUCCUCCCUCUUUCUCUCUCGUCCCUCUNNNNNNNNNNNNNNNNNNNNNNNNNNNNNNNNNNNNNNNNNNNNNNNNNNNNNNNNNNNNNNNNNNNNNNNNNNNNNNNNNNNNNNNNNNNNNNNNNNNNNNNNNNNNNNNNNNNNNNNNNNNNNNNNNNNNNNNNNNNNNNNNNNNNNNNNNNNNNNNNNNNNNNNNNNNNNNNNNNNNNNNNNNNNNNNNNNNNNNNNNNNNNNNNNNNNNNNNNNNNNNNNNNNNNNNNNNNNNNNNNNNNNAACAAAUUUAUCGUAUGUGCUCCUGCGAGCCGAGAGCCACCACGUUUUUUCUUUUGCGUCUCGGCGAGGCUUUUCUGUCCCCAUUUUAGCGGCAGAUAUUUUAAGAUUUAUUAAUUCCAUCUUUAUGUUUUUUAGUAUUAAAAGAUUCAGGUGGUUUGAUGAUUAUUAAUUUUAUUUUUUCAAGUUUUUAAUAUUAAAAGAGUCAUGAUAGGAUUGUUGAUCACAUAAAUUGUUGUCUUACAUCGUUUGGACGAAAAAGAUAACCAAAACCAUUUUUUUUAACAAACAGGUUGUCUUAUAUAAGCGAAUACAGAAAAUCACGUGACAAUCGUGUCAUCAUAAGAUAUAGCAUAUCUUGUUCCUAAUAAAUUCUUUUCUUGGAUUAUAACAAGGCUAUUUACAUUCAUCUAGUCUCUAAUCAUAUAUAACUUUAAAUUUUUAGAUUGGAUUUUCUAAUAUAGUAUCGGAUUCAAGUUUCUUCUCGAUAUAAGUCGUUUGUGCAAGUAAUCCUCAUCGCUAAUCCAUCAAUUUUAAUUAACAUCAUAUAUAUAGUCUUGUGCUACCUAUGAUUUAAAUUCUUUUUUUCAGAAGUAAUUUUUUUUGGUUUUUAAUUUUUAUUUUUGAAAGUGUCUUCCUCACUAAUAAAAGAAAGAGAAAUGAUUGAUUCAUAAUUUUUUUAAUCUAACAAGUUUUGGGUCACAAAAAAUCAAAUAAUAAGUAAUUAUAAAUUAUUAUUAGGUCCACUCCUACAAGAAUUUGUGACUUGUAACGAAUAACUUAAAGACUAUUAUUCUAAUAAAAUUCUAAAAGAAAAUAAUGAGGGAAUAGCCACUAAAUGAGUGAAGAGCUCUCCCAAUGGUAAAUAGGGGCGAGCAAAAGGAACUAUCCAGAUUGAGAAUCGCUCAGACAGAAUCGAACUGGCUGGUUCUAGGCGGUUCCCUUGAUACUAAACCGAUUCCAUAAAAUUAGAAUAAGUGACCAAGUCAAAUCUUUUUGCUUUCUUAAAAUCUGUAUUCAAUAAAAAUAAAAAAUAAAAAAGGCCUAAUAUGGAGAAAGAGAGAGAGAGAGUAUAGUGGGAGUCUUAGCCUUGUGGAUUAAGCUUCUAUCAAAGAUAUUAUGCAUGACGAAUCAAAAAGAGAAAAAGAAAUAAGCAACCAAGUUUACUGGAUCACUUAGAAAUUGGACCAAUCAAUUCAAUUUCAAAAUCAAAUGAUCUGUUUCUCAAUUGAAAAGAAUUGAGAACUUAUCCUAUUGGUCUGGUUCUUAAGUGGAAAUUGAACCGAUGGGGAACUAAUUAUCCCUUAAGGCAUUCGCACGAAAAAUAGAAAGACAAAAACAUCAAAAGGUCUCCGGAAAAACCGAGCAUAAAACAAGAGACAUGGGGAAAGGACCAGUCGAGAAUCUGUUCUUUUUCCCCACAUCUGGGGAGGUACGGACUGGGCAACGAUACAGGCCUUAUUACUUAGUCAUGAUUGGAUGUUUGUUAGCGACACGUGGGCCAAUCAUCAUUUACUUUAGUAGCCACCUCAACAUCUUGCUUUCGUGUGACAUGACAAUCAAAGCGUGUUUCCUUUUCUUCUUUAUUUUUGUUUUAUGCAUUUGGAAGCCAUCACGAAACCUAAUUUGUACUCGUAGUUACACAUUUUUUUUUAGAGCUGCUGUGGCGCCACACGAGCACCACGUGAAAAAUUGAAAAGAAAAGGAAAAUUUCAAAUAAUAACAUCGGCAACACCGAUUCGUUAUCAGCUCGAGCAAUGAUCCAAGCAUGGGCUAAGCCCAAUGACUUUCUUUGACACCAAUAUUGUCAUGCUAACCACCUCUAAUCCCUCAAGGCUCUCAACUCUCAAGCCUCCAUAUAGAUUGUAGACUCUUAGGCCGAAGCUAUUGCUAAGGUCGGAUCUAGCUUCGAAGCUCGCCACAGCUAGAUCAUCAUAAAGGACAAUCACUCCUCCUCUCUGUCUCACCCUCUCCUAAUACACUUGCGUAGAUAUGAAAUUUGAGAUUUGAGAGCAAGCGAUGAUCAUCUCAUAGGUGGUCAAACAAGGGCUGAUGAAGGCCACCAAAGGUUUGGGCAAUAGUGGGCAUUGACAAAUGAGCGCCAAAGGAACUUUGGCCAAGGAAUCAUGAGCUUGAAGAUGAUGAAUAGUAACUUCAAAGACAAUGAACAGUAACUUCACGAUGAACAUUAACAGCGAAUCUGACGAUGCUACAUUAGUGCCACUUCCUUGAAAAGAAAUUAUUAAUGUCAUGUCCGAUUUAUGUUAGAUUUUUAACAGUGAUUUUUAAUAGAACUUUAAUGAAGUGUAAAUGUGUCACUCAAGUAUAAAUUUAGAGUUUUUGGCAUAACAAAUAAAAUUUUCAAUAGAUUUGUCACAAUGGACAUUAUGCUGCAUAGGAACAACCAAGUUAAAUGUUGAAUAGCGCUUCUAGCUAAGUACAUAUCUAUUGGGUCUUGUUUUUAUCCUUUUGCAAUUUGGAGUGGUAGUAAAUUGUUCUCUUCGUUACACGCAAGAAAGUCUAGAAAUUGAGUCAGUUGCAAUGGCAUCCUUGGAUUUUUUUUCAUGUGUUCAUUACGUAUUUGGAGAAGUAGUAAACUAUUCUCUUAGAGUGCACUUUGUUUUGAAGAAAACAUUUUUCUCAUUUUCCAGGAAAACGUUUUUCUAAUUUUCUAGGAAAACUUUUUUCUAACUUUCCAGCAUUUGAUUCAUUUAGAAAAAUGAGUUAACGGAAAUAUUUUCCUACCAAUAAUAUCCAAAUAACAUAAAAUAUUUUUGAUCAUAUAUCACCAAACAAAAGAAAACUAACCAUAUUUCUAAAAAAUGUUUUACGGAGAAGCAUUUUAUUAUAUCAUUGAGUUCUUAUGAUACAAACGCAGCCCAAAAUGAUUUUGGUUACUUGUUAUAGGUGUGUGUUAGGACUGAUUUUACAAACUCAAAGGUGGGACUAGUUGAACACAGGGUGAGGCAUUUACAACAUAGUGUGCCAAACUACUGGGGAUAAAAGUUGACACCCAAUCAGUAGCUCAUCUAUCAAUCGUCAUUUUAACUACCGAACUUGUGAGCAAACAACCUAUUUUGUGUUAAUGUAAAAAUAGAGUACACUUAUUCAAGAAAAGUGGAUUUGAACACUAACAGCGAAUUAUCUACAACAAUCAAUUGGACAAAAAACUUAUCGCUUAUUUUAAGUUCACCAAGUCUAAAGCCUUAAUGAAGGUGAAUUUUCCUAUUAGUUGCAGUGAUAAACUAAUACGAGCAAGCACAAAAAGUGAUUAAUAAUGUGGUGUUUUCUCCACACGUGUUGCCACAAGUUCUUCAGUUUGUUUCUCCUAAUAGGCUUAACAAGAUAGUCAGCAGCACCUCUCAACAUGCACCUGUACACCGUGCAUCCUGUGUAGACAUCACUGCAAAAUCCCCAUAGAUGAUAAAUAAGUCAUUCUUGGACCAUGACACCAGUAAAGAACAUGAAUCAGCGAUGCAUAGAUAGGUAAGACGUACUUAGGACUGGAAUAUUUUGCAUACGUUAUGCUCCAUAAUUAGAGUAAGAAGAGCAUAUCAAGAUAUUGACGACAAAUCCGCUUCAGUCAAUAUGAGAUCUAUGUUGUAGGUCUUUCCUUCGGUAACUCCCACGCCUUCAAAGCAUAAGGAAUAGAUGCAACUGCUCAACAAAACGAUAAAGUUGUUUCCAUUAUGAAGGUGACUCGUUAAUGCGCAUAAAGGAAAAAGAAGCUCCUAACAAGCAUAAAAAGCGAUGAAUUUAAUUCCAUUCCACAACCAAGCUUCCCAAACAGUACAGAAGAAUUCUACCUAAGUGCUUUGAUGUUCCAGUAUAAAUUCACGAACAUACUUUAUGGCUUCAUAAACGCUAAUCUCAAUCUUAAGUCUAAUGAAAGCUCAACAACCACAUCUAACUUUAAGUCUUUCAUAUGUUUUUUCAUGACCAGAUAAGUUGACUAUAAACCUCUCACAAUUACACAUAAAAGUUCAUCGACUUAUUUCUAUUUUUUUUUUGUUUUUUUUAGUCUUAGCCUUCUUCACUCCAAAUUUUUUGCCUUUUGCAUAUGCCACAUAUUUAUGAUAUGCUUCAAGUUCACUUGCAAAAACUAUUUGUUACCGUAAAUUCAAAAUCUUUUUUUAAAUCAUGAGUUACAUCUGCUAAAUAUUCAGUUUCAUGCUGCAAGCAAAGAACAAAAAGUAUUUAAUGUAGUGAUUUUACAUGAAAAAUAACAUCUCAUCAAUUUCUUGAGAAAGCAAAUAUAUUAUAAAUAGUAUGAGUUUAGGAUUACCUAUUAUUCAACCAUCAAAUAAUCUUAAACGUGCGAAUUAAUUGACUGAUUGCGAGCAAACAUCUGUUAGUAGGAGUUUUGGCAGGCAAAUCAGGGAGAGAUUCCAGAAGACGGAGCAACGUAGCACCAGCAGUUUAGGGCAUGGCCCAAUCAAGGACCAACCUUUGUGCUCGCGACCAACCUUCUUGCUCGGCCUUUGCGAGCGCGAAGGUCACAACGGUGGGGCUUAUCGAGGAAAAGCUGCCGAUGGGGCUCUGGAGGCGGAGGCGAGCGCCUUCUUACUGCGAAUCAAGACAUCUUUGACAAAAAUGAGGUUCCCGUAAAUUUACAGAAAUUAGUGGCGGAACUACACUAUAUUUCCCCAUGUCAAAUAACUGGAACAGCAUGUAUCCAGACAAUACAAUAAAUUGAAACAUGAGGCCUGUUGAAUUUAUGCAAAAUGACACCUUGAAAAAGCACAGGAUGUGUGAAUGAAAACAAAAAUUUAAGUAGAAACAUCACAGACCAAAAUAAACAUCCUAAGGAGUGGAGGUGGGUCAACAUGUCAACAAUUUCACAUAAAAAAUUUGAGAGCCUCAUGGUUUUGUCCUUUGGCGUAUAGGUAAGCACCUUCCCAAGAGGUCAUCCAUCCUAGGAGGGCUCCUUCUUGAGCACACUUAACUUUUAAGUACCAAAGCUAAGCUUUCAGUUAUGUCAAAAUGUGUCUUCGAGAAUUAAUUUCAGUUUUCAUGUAGAUAUACUAAAAUCGCUCCCUGUAUUCAUUGCACAGUUCGGUUCAAUCCCACCCUCUUCGCUAUCUUAAAAACCUGCCAGUGUUGAUACCUAAAUUUUGGCUGACAAGUCCUAAGUUAAAAAAUAAAAAAUCAAAACUUUGGGAAUUUUAAUCGCAAUGGAACCCUUUUCUUGGCUGAAGAGGGUCGUAAGAGUCCUUAGAUGUCGUUUUGCUGAAAAGUCAAAAUUUGACUUUCAAGUUAACUUUUUGGUUAAACAUGUUAAAAAAAAAAAUUGGGGCCAAGGAUCCGCAUGUGAUUAGUCAAGACCUAAGGGGUUAGAUUGCAAUUGAACCAGCAAAUUGGUUCCAAAAUGCAAUUUUCAAAGUUGGGGGACCAAUUUGCAAAAUUUAAAAUUAUGCCCAAUCCCUUAAAUCAUCAUUUUUUUUAUUAUCAUUUUGACCCCUAUUUAAGUUGAAACUGAACCUGGCCUGGCUUGGAUUAAUCUAAUCAAGCCACAAGGACCAAUUUGGAUCAAGUUGGUAAUUUCUGAGCAAGAAAAUGGCCAACUUUGAGGAAUUUUCUUACAAAAUUGGAUAGAAAAAAUUGCAAAGUUUAGUAAGAGACAAAUUAAUAUACAUGAAUGUGCCAACUGGUCAAAAAAUUGAGCUAAAUUGAUGGAUUAAAACGUUUAAAAUAGCUGCCAAAAUCCAAUCUGUGAUUUAGCCAUAAUUCAAAGCGAUUAAGUAAGCAAAUUUGUGGACACACCAUAUCCCACUUAGCUCCCAAUCAGCCUAAUCUCUGGCUAAAGUGGAAUGCUCUCAUUAAGAGUGCAAAUGGACAAAAUUGGGCUAGGGAUAAGUUGUUGAAGACAUGUGAAAAUCGUAGCCAAAGUUGUUCACUCAAUAGCUGCAAAAGUUUGAAGAUUUCACUGUCGGGGAGCUGAUAGAGCAACUCAGUUGGCAAGCUUGUCAUGUGGGCAUGGCAAGCAAAAUGUUGCUUAAUUCAGGAAAUAAUCUCUCAAAAGCAAGCUAUUUUGAGGCAUAAAAGGUUGGAGACAAGAGAGAGCCCACGAAUGUCCCCAAAGGCGCCCCCAUGAGGAACUCAAAAAGGACCUUAACCUAGAAAUUUUAGAGGGACCCUCAGAAAAAAAACGAAAUUUUCAUGAACUUCCAGCUAAAACUAGCCAAAACCCUCAACUAGAGAGUGGAAUUAUACUCAAAUAUCUUUCCAAUCAUAGGUUACAUGUCAAAAAUGAUUGUUUGGAAGGCAACGUGUUACUUUCUAGGAGGGGUGGACACCCAGGAAUUUUUUUAUAAUGUAAUAGGUAGAUGGUUACUAGCGAGGCAAAAGAAAUGUUUUUGAGGAAAAUAAGGGACAUUUGAGGCAAAAAGUUAAUUUUAGAUUAAACUACAAUACAUAUAGUUGGAGUAAAUGUCAAAGGAGUUGACAAAAUGGGUCUUCAAACCUGGUCAUGGUGGCUAACCAAAGCCUUCGUUGUUGGUUUUCGUCUCCGCGGGUCUCAUUUUCCAGCUCGAAGGGGCCAACUUCCAAGUGCCUUUAGAGGACAAUUUUUUUUGGCUUCGUCGGUCAAGAGAUACUUCACACAGAAAUUAGGAAGAAAGGUAAGGCCCCUAGAUGAGUUUUUGUUCAAUGUAGACCAUGGUUUGACCAUCGGAAAUCGAGAGGAAAGCCAGCCAGGUAAACUAAUUUCUGAGGCUGGAAUUUUUCCCAAUGUUGAAGCCUCUUCCAAAAGCCAUGCAUUUUUGACUUGGUACCCCACUUUGCAUGCAUUAUCUGUCUUCGUUAGCUUGAUGAAUGUUAUAAGUAAGUGCAAAUGAUGCUUGGGUCAGCUUGAUUUGGUCUUUAAAUCUCCACGUGAACCAUGAGAGUGUUUAGAAUUUGAACUAAAAGCUUAGCCGAUCCACGAGUUCAUGGCUGGCCAAUGUGGAAGGUUACUUUGAAAGGUUGGUUUGAUGUGCGUAUUUGACCAUUCUUUGAUGUAUUAAUCAUGUUUGAAAAUUCAUGUUACCAAAUUUCAUUCGGAUCGAGUGUAUUUUCCCAUAAGUCGUGUAUGUGAUGAGUGCCAAGGCUUGAACUUGGGCAUGCAACUUGUUUACUUGACCCUAGUUCAAACCAAGCUUUACAAAAAUUGGUUAGACCCACACAUUUAAGGCUAAUUGCAGUUGUGUUAUUGUGUGGUUUGGGCUCUAAAUUCUAUCUAAUAUUGUUCUUUGAAUGUAUUAGUAUAAUUUUAAUGCUUUAGUUCCAUUUAAGAUUGCACAUGGGUCGAGAUUGAAGGCCAUGAAUAUUGCUCAAGGAAGCUAUUUAAGGCAAUUUAAUGUGCACCAACUGUUUGACAAAUGCCCAAAUCAAGUUUUAAUCUUGAGAUGGUCAAUUGAGCUUGGUUAUUGUGGUAUUCAUAUAAUGAGUUGAUCAAACAUGGAUCAGCUCAUUGAACUGAUCUUUCUUCCCCUUUUUUCUAAAAAAAUUGAGAAUCCAUAAUGAAGGAGAAUAUAUUUAGUAGUUUGUAACCAUCGUGUGAGUGAGCUUAGUCAGCUCUACUCAAAAGAUGACACGUGUCCUCUGACAUGGACAAGGAUAGGUAUGGAAAAUAAAAAAUUAAAAUAGAAGCUUUCUUUUCUAUGACCGACAGACAAACUGGUGAGAUGAAAAUGGACAAAGCUAUAAAUGCUAACAUUUAAAGGUAAAAUAGAAAUGCAAAAGGGGAGAGAGAGCAAGUGAAGAAGCCCUUGGAAGUUGAAAAGAAAAAAAGAGUUUUAGAAACGUAAAAGGAAGAGGAAAGGGGGGGGGGGCAUAAAAGGUAGAAGCCCUUAGAAAUUGAAAAGUGGGAGUGAAUUAAGUGGGUUUUUAGCUAUUAUCAUAUAUUGUAUCGUCCUUUUUCACCUCACUUGUUGAGAAAAUAUUAGGUACCUUAAUAGCUCCGCGUCUGUCGCGACCUCUUUUUUUCGGCGUCCGCAAUUGGGUACGGCGCCUAAGGAGGUUAAUGGCUUGGCUGAAAUUAAUUAUGCUCGGAUUCUCCCAAGUCCACCAAUUUACGACUUUAAUAGUAUGAGUUUUUAACCUGUAAAUCAAUUUUUAAAAUGGAGUCGCCACUAAUCGAUUUGGGGUGGGUUGAUUAGAAACCCAAGUGAAGUAUCGGGAGAAAUACUCAUUUCUGCGCAACUAGAGAAGUUAGGAUCGGGGAUUUGAUUACACUAGUUAAUCACUAAUGCCCUUUCGGUACCUGAUCUUGUUUAAAUCUUGAGGUUUUUUGGAUGUUCGAGGAAUUUUCCAUGCAUUUUUGGGAGGAAAAACAUUUUUGAGUCUUUUUCUAAUUUUUUUUUACACAAAAGGGAUUUUUUUGGGGUUUUUUGAUAUUUUUUGGAAAAAUACAAGUCUUUUUGGCUUUUUCUGAAAUUUUUGGCUUUUUCAUGAAUUUUUGGCCUUUUUUUUUGGAUUUUUGGCAUUUUUUGGAAAAUAUGAAAUAUUUUUUGAUUUUUUGAUUUUUUUGGAAAAUAAAAUAUUUUUAAUAUUUUUCAAUAUUUUUUGGUUUUUGGGGAUUAAAAUAUUUUUUAAUAUUUUUCGAAAAUAAAAUAUAUUUUUUGAUUUUUUUUGGAUAAUAAAUUAUUUAUUUAAAAUAAAAUUUUAAAAAAGGGCCGACCCGGGUCGGAUCCGCGGGUUGGGUCUAACCCGGGCCGGCAACCCGAACGCGAACGGGCCCUCGUUGCGAGCCCGACUUGGAUUUUUUUGUCUUUUUUUUUACUUUAUUGAAACAGCGUUGUGGCUAGGCGUUUAGGGACGCUUGGCUCGGCCUGACGACCCGCUCCGACAACCUGCUCCACGACCCGGCUCCCCGGCGAAACCCUACCCAGAUCCGACCCGAACCUCGACUCGGCUUUCGCCGCCCCUUAAAUCGCGGAAUCCCUACCUGGCUUUCCAAACCCGGAUCUGCUUCGUGACUCGGAAAUCGCAAACCCUAGGGUUUGCAAAUCUGCGGCGCCAAAGGGGGGGGGGGAAACGGGAGCAUUACGACGGCGACGGCGACGUCGGCGGCUACGGUGGCGUGACGAGAACGGGACAAUGGAGAGGGCUGCGACAUCGACAGUAAUGAUGACGAGGAAGAUAGGCUACCUGGCCAAGACCGGCAACUGUGCACGGCAGAGAUGGUAGUCCCUUAACUCUUAGAUUCGGUGUGACGUUGGUGGGUCAGUCGCGGCACAGCGUCGGGGCAGGGAACAACAGCAGCAGAGCAACGGUUGCAACGGUGGCGCAGAGCUUCCAGAUCUGGUCCUCCUCUCUCCGACUCCUCUCGCUUAGGCCCCGAUCUCUUCCCUCUCCCUCUGGCCAGAUUUGAGCCUCCACUGGCUAGAUCUGACCUUCUUGAAGUCGCUCGCCGCCGGCCUUCCCCGAAGUCUCUCGGUGGAGGGUGGGCUGAGCUCUCGACUCGAGUUCUCCCCUGCGCUCGCCCUUCGAUCUUUCCCGAUGUCUCUCAGUGAAAGAUCUCCGAGCUCGCCACGCCCUUCGAUGGAGCUUGUGGCUUGCUAUUUAUAGGCGAGGGGGCGGCCGGUCGGCGAAGCUUCGACUGCUGGUCUUCACGCACCGAACGGUCCUCCUCGGCUGAAUCGGCGUCCCAUCCGAGUUUAUCUAGCGAAGCGUGCUCAGCAUUGAUGGCGCUUGAGAUCUUAUCCUUUCUGGCCGACGUCGGCCUACUCUCCUCGGCCGUAGGUCGUCCUUCGCACGUCGGUGUUGAUGCGCGUGGAAUACAGAAGCGGAGAGGGAAGGUGCGAGGAAGAAGAAGAAGAAGGAAGAGAGGCGCCGGGCCAGAAAGAAAAGCUGGGCUUGGGCCUGCGAAAAGGGAAAAAGAUGGGGGGCUGCCAAUUUUGCUUUGUUUUUCUUGUGUUAUUUAUUUAUUAUUUAUUAUCCAAAAAGACAAAAUAAAAUAAAUUAAAAACUUAUUUAAUAAAAUAAAAUAGGCCUAAAUAAAAUUAAGGCGUCAACGGUCAUUUUUACUUUGAACCACUUAGCAGCUGAUAGCUGUUCGGGCAGGUCCAUGUCGUCCCAGUUCAAACCAGCGCAGGCGAAGGGCAGAGUGUUCUCUUUCCUCUUUAUCUUCUCUCUCCUCUUUACUUGCUCUCUCUUCCUCCUCCUUUGACGCUCUCUUUGCACUUUACCCUGACGCACUAAACCUUCCCGCCUAGCGCUUCCUCCAACGACUGUCGCUCCCUCCCGAUGACGGCCUUUCUCUCUCCACUAGAUGGCCUCAUCCUCUGGGUUGCAUUCUCUCGGUGCACUCCUGUGACCUCUUUCUUCCUAAAUUGCACUCUCUCUCGAUGGCCGAUUUUGCUCGCCUCUCUCUGUCACCCUCGACUUGCGAUCGAGAAGCAAUCACUUUGCCCUGUCAUCUAAUCUUCCGUCAAUGACUUGCUUUCUGCUUUGCUCAAAGUGGUCCCUCGAGAAGCCCUAAAUCUGCGACCGCAAGUCAAGUUCGAUUUUAUUUCCUAGGUUUUUAUGUUCGCAUAUUUGUUUUGGGGGAAAAAGUACUUAGAAGCUUGUUGGUUUAUUGCUUUUGAUUCUAAGCACAGCAUCACGAGAAAGCUUGGCCUCUCCUACAUAAGCCAACAUUUACAGAUGAAAAGUCCUUAGAUUAUUCAGCUGGCCCUGUUAACUCUUUGUCUAUUGAUUAUGGAUCUAGAUGAGGUUGAUUUUUUUCUUGUCUUGAACUUAUUUAUAUGUUAGUCUUCAACCAGGGUAACAUCCUCAUGUCUCUUCUUUCUACUAAGUUUGCAAAUAUAUUUCUUCCACCAAUGGCAUCUUUUUAAAUCGCUUCUAGUUUUUCCUUAGCCUAUUUUGUAAUGUCAUUUCUAGUGUAAAAAUAUGAUUUCGGUUUUUUCUUCUGGGGAUUGGGUGUAUUAACAUACAUAUAUAUGUAAAUAUGAUGCAAAUGGACCUCUUUAAGUUUGUGCUACAUUUUUUUGGACACCCGGACCCUUGGAGUGCCAAAAGUUGGCAUAAAGGGACACUUAAGUGCCAAAAGUUACGAAAGUAAUACUUAAGUGCCAAAAUCAGAAUAAAAUAGAUCACUUAACUGCCAAUUUGGCCAAAAUGCUGACAUGUCAAUUUUUUCGGCAAAAUAAGUGCAAAACGGCAUCAUUUUGCACGCUAAUGUGGCUAGUAAAAAACGACGUCGUUUUAGUGCUGAAGUGGUAAAAAAUUAAUAUAAAAAUUAAUUAAAUUAAAUUUAAAAUUAAAUUUAUUUAAUACAUUUAAAAACAUUAAUAUUAAUAUUUAAAAAACGAGGGGGGCAGCUGAGGGUUGAGCCCUCGCCAUCGUCGCCUCCCUUCUGCCGCCUAGAAGGGUCGGCAACGAAGGGGGGAGGGUCGGCUGGGGAGGGCCUGCGAGUCCUCGCCCAGAUUCGGCGAGGGUUGGCAGCCCUCACCACCCGGCCGCGUCAAGGGUCGGUGGGCCUCACCCGGCCGGGCCAUGGGCUGUUGUCGGCUAAGGCGACCCCCAGCGGGCGAUGGCCCUUUGGCCCGACCGGGCGAGGGCCGCCGACCCUCGCUGAAUCUGGGGGAGGGUCGCGACCCUCUCCCCAGAUCUGGGUGAGGCCAUGCUGGCUGUCGCUGUCGGUUGGCUCGGGUCACUGGCCCUCGGCCAGGGCUCAACGGCCCCGGCCGACCCUCCCCCACCUUCCGGUGACGGCGGGGAGGUGGCAGCGGUGACGAGGGCUAAACCCUCAGCUGCCGGCUGCCUUCCUCUUCCUCCUCCUCCAAUACCUUUUUUUUUAAAAAAAAUUAUUAUUAUUAUUAUUAUUAUUAUUAUUAUUAUUAUUAUUUUUUUUUUUAGAUUUAGUUUAAUUAAUUUUAUAUUAAAAUUCAAAUCAUACCAAAAUGAUGUCGUUUUUGUGUGUAUUUUGCUGAGUCAACCUUCCGGCGAGCCACGUAAGCGAGAAAAUCAAUAAAAAAAAUGCCACGUAGGAUUUCUGGCGAGGUUUGUCGGAUGUGGCACUCAUGUGUCCCAUUUUUCAUAAAAAGUGGCACUUAAGUGCCACUUUCAUAAAUUUUGACACUUAAGUGUCCCUUUGUGCCAACUUUUGACACUUGAAGCAUUCUUUUGCCUAAUUUUUUGUGUAGUGUGUCUUGUUUCUGCUUUUUUAUUUAUUCCCGGGCUAUUCUUUGUUGUUGAUGUGUUUGUCUUCAUUUCCUGAAUAUGGGAAACUUUUUUAGGUCUUUAGAGUUCUGUUUUUCACAGCUGUUAGCGUGAUCCCUUGACUAGAUUCAUGCUAGCGAACUCAAAUGAGUAAAUCUGUUUUAUAUUUGUUUCACAAGCAUUCCAAAGUGUUCUUCUAUCCUAUCAUGCUUCUCUUCUUUGGGUGGGUGUUGCAUUUCGCAGUCCCUCUCUAAUUUGUUUCUCUUGCUUCAUGAAAUUUGUGGUUACAAUUUAAUUCUCUUGCUUUAUGGAAUUUGUGGUUACGUACCAAUGAUGAGAUGAUUCUUUCGCUGCAUCUUAAUGUAGGUUCAUGAAAUAGCCAUGGUCUUAGCUCCAGCUUAAGCUCCGUAGAAAAUCAUGCUUUUCCUUUUGUCAAUCAUCCUGUCCGCCACAACAACAAAGCACCCAUUAGAAACCAGGGCUGGAAAAAGUGGAGAUAGCAAUUUGGAAUAUUCUAUAAUUGAGUUACGAGUUAUAACCUCCUAUACUUUCAGCAUAUAAUCAUUAAAACUUCUAUCCUGAAUAGCUGAGACCAUUGCUAUUUCAUGGACCUACAUUAAGAUGUAGCAAAAGAAUCAUCUCAUCAUUGGUACGUAACCACAAAUUUCAUAGAGUUUGAGUAACGUAUUGUAAUCACAAAUUCAUAAAGCAAGAGANNNNNNNNNNNNNNNNNNNNNNNNNNNNNNNNNNNNNNNNNNNNNNNNNNNNNNNNNNNNNNNNNNNNNNNNNNNNNNNNNNNNNNNNNNNNNNNNNNNNGGAGAACCAAUUUGAACAAACAUUAUUUUAAAACUUUAUUUGAAGUGACUUUUGUGUUUAUGUUUAUUUUUGAGUAUGACUUGAGAACUUGAACUUGAGUGUUAGACUGAAUUGGUUGUGGAUUUUGAUGCUUGACUGGUUGCAUUUAUAUCAAGUAUUGUUACAUGGUAUUACUCAUGAAAGACUAACCAAUUUGCUGUGGAUGCAGAGUCUGGUUGUUUAUUAAUCUUUAUGAGUUAGCCAUAUUGCUUGAGAAAUGUUUUUGCAGGUCAAAGUUGUUCAAAUCUUCAAGAAAGUUUUGUCACCAUCAAAAAGGGGGAGAUUGUUGGAGAAAUCUUUCCAGAAUAUUUUGAAGCUGACAAAACAUUUCUAUCAGUCUAAGUCUGGAUAUCGAUAGUUAAAGUCUCAAGAAUUUAUAGUCUCAAGACUUUGUUAUCUCAAGACUCAAGACUCAAGACUCAAGACUCAAGACUCAAAAUUAUUCUCACUGACAGUCUUUCUAAUCCAGUGUUGAAGAAAAUCCAAAGUCGAGGUUUAUGGUUGAGGAUUUGAUUCUAUCCUCUGGAAUAGAUUCUUUGGUUGGAUAAUCAUUUCGGAUUCUUUAAUUCUUAUCUAAGAUCAAUUGAAGAUCCGAUGGUCGACAAAAUAAUCUUGGAUUAUUCUAUUCUUGGAAACCGAGAUCCUGAUUGUAUAGGCGAACAUGAUUGAUGGGCUAUCAUCAGAUUCCUUAAAUAGCUCGGAUGAUCUUCUUGAUUGAUUCCGUCCAACGGGUAGAUUGGAGGAAUUCCUUUGGUAAGUGCCAACGGCUAUGAUGGCAUGAAGGAGUAUAAAAGGAAGAUGUUCUAGUUGUUUUAAGUGUGUGAUCGAUAGAAAAAUUCCAGAGUCUGAAGAUCCUUGAUUGUUAGUCGAGACUGAGCGAAAUUGUACACAGAGAGUGUUUAUACUUGGUAACGCCUUGAGCGAGUGUGGUAGAUCAUCUACACCUAGAAAUCAAGGAAGAUCAACACUGUAACAACUCUUUGAUCAUAGUGGAAUCCAGCCAAUCGGCUGUCAGUGCUUAACUUGUUUGUACACCAAAUGCACCCCACAGCUUCUUAGAAUCCCUCUAAUGCUUGAAACAGUACUAUAAAUUGACUUCCAGUGAUUUCAACAAUUUGGCAUCCAAUCCCCACAUCAUUCACCAUGGAACGUAUAAAAGCCAUAUGAGGGUCAGACUCCAGUGAGGAAAAACAAUCUACGCAACCAUAAGUUUCUUGAUUGUCGACAAACAACUGGAUCUCGCAUGAAAUACUGGCUUCUUUCAUAUUAGCGGAAUCAACAAUAGUACAAAAGGCCAAGCCGGCUAUGUCACAAUAUGAUUAUGAAGAUAUAGGAAACCUUAAGAGUCCUCUCAUGCUUUGAAGGACAAACCACUUUGGGACCUUGCUUCCAGGAUGAAUUAUGUCAACCUGAGUCUCUCUAGGCAAUCCCGACCAGUCAGAACCUUUUACACUGGAGACACAAAGAUGAGAGAGAGAGAGAGAGAGAGAGAGAGAGAGAGAGAGAGCUCAAUUGACAGCACAUUGCAAUUGCUAGAGCAUUGAUCCUAAAUCAACUUAUGACAGCCAGAAAGUCAAUUUGUUUGAGCCAAGGUGAUUUAUCUUGAUUAUAUCGUAGCAUGUGUGAUAAGUCCACACAUGUUUCCAACAAUUCAUAAUCUUCUGCAAGUAAAGAUGUCAUGUUCUGCGGGAGAGCUAGAAUCUCUUGAAGCUGCAUGCAACAUGCCAAAAGAAGUCGCUGCAACUUAGUAAAUUGACUGAUGCAUGUGGGAAGUUUGACAAAUUUGCUCUCCGACAGAUCUAAAAUUGUCAAGGAGGACAGAAAAUGAAGAUUUUGCAAGAGCUAACCUCUAAUAAGCUGCAUCUUUGCAUAUUCAAGUAAAUUAUGCUUAGUAGGGCUAAUGGGAGAGAGAGAUUGGUAUAAUCAUUUGAUCUCCACAUAGGUUCCACGAACUUGCUAAGUUGUGAGCAUCCAUCAAUAAAAAAUAUGCACAAGAUGCUGCAGUGUAUAGAUGCUACAAGGAAGCCUUUUAAGGUCCACACGGUCCCUUAUAUACAACUCUUGUUGAUGUAUCAAGACUGCACCAUAUGUUUUUUUUUUCUUUGUUUUGUUUAGUUAGUUUGUUGAUGUCCUAUUUUCUAGGAGUUCAUUAAUUGUUGUUUUACUCAGUCAAUCUUAUCUUGUAGGAGCAAUUAGCUGCACGUUUUUUAGCUGUUCUGUUAGUUUGUUGCUGGUUUUGUGGACCAAGCAAGCUGUUAGUGGGCAACAUGGGUUUAUAGUUAAGUUCUAGUAUAUAUUUUGAACAUUUUUCAGUUUUCAAAAAAAGACAUAGCUUUUGCUGUCAACUCCUCUGUUCUUUUGAAAACAACAUUGGUAUUAGAGCUUUCUUGAUCUUAAAGGGCUGUGAGUGACUUGUGAGAUUGAUUGAGAGGUGUAUCUGCAUCCAUAGAAGUUAAAAGCAAGAUGGAGGCAGGAUCGAGUGGUCUUUCAGCAAUGGCUCCACCAGUGUUUGAUGGAGAAAAUUAUCAAGCCUCGGCAGUGAGAAUGCGAGCCUAUCUAGAGGGUUGUGAUUUUUGGGAAGCUGUGGAACAAGAUUAUGAAGUUGCUCCCCUUCCUGACAAUCCAACCGUCAAUCAAAUCAAGUUUUACAAGGAGAGGACAACAAGGAAAGAAAAGGCAAAGUCUUGUUUAUAUGCUGCUGUCUCACCUGCCAUUUUUAGCAGAGUUAUGGCUUGUGAAUCAACCAAAGCUAUUUGGGACUUCCUCAAAGCUGAGUAUCAAGGAGAUGAGAUGAUCAGAAGCAUGAAGGGGCUAAACCUGAUCACAAAAUUUGAGAGACUGCAGAUGAAGGAGUCUGAGACAAUGAAGGAGUAUUCUGAUAAGUUGAUAAGCAUUGCAAAUCAGGCAAAAGUUCUAGGCACUAACCUCUCUGAUAAUAGGCUAGUGCAGAAAAUUCUUGUCUCCUUGCCCGAAAGGUUUGAGGCAACCAUUGCCUUUUUGGAGUAUACCAAGGAUUUGUCUCAGAUUAAGUUGGUAGAAUUGCUAAAUGCUCUGCAAGCACAAGAGCAGAGGAGGUUAAUGAGGCUGGAAGGAAGUACAAAAGGAGCUUUGCUGGCCAAAGAACAACAUAAUGUAGGAGGAAAAGUCAAGAAAUGGAAAGGGAAGAAAGGAAAUGGUAGUAGUGGUUCAGAAGCUGCUGCAGGAGAGAAUAGUGCAGGCAACUCCAAGGACAAUUGGUGAAGAUAUUCCUCAUGUCAGCAUAGUGGAAAAAAGAAUCAUCCACACUUUAGGUGUUGGAAGAGGCCAGAUGUAAGGUGCAGAAAGUGUCAUAAGCUUGGACACAUUGAGAAGUUUUGCAAAGAGAAGAGAGAUCAAUAGCAGGGUGAGGUACAUGCUGCAGUCUAACAAGAGGUAGAUCAACUGUUUGUUGCCUCUUGUUUCUCCUCUAGUACUCCAUGUGACAGUUGGCUUGUUGAUAGUGGUUGCACAAAUCACAUGACAAGUGAUGAAACACUGUUUAUAAACCUUGACAAGUUGUUGAAGUCAAGAGUGAGGACUAGGAAUAGGGAGUACUUAGAAGUGAAAGGUAAAUGGACUGUAGCAAUGGAAAGUUGUGCUGGAACUAAGCUGGUUUCUGAUGUGACGUAUGUGCCUAAAAUUGAUCAGAAUUUGCUGAGUAUGGGGCAAAUGGUAGAAAAGAGAUUUAAGGUGAUAUUUGAAGAGGAGAAGUGUUUUUGAUCUUUGACUCCAGUGGUCAGGAGCUAUUCAAGAUAAGGAUGUAACAGAAGAGUUUUUCUUUGAAUCCUCUUGAGAAUGAGUAGAUGGCAUUUAAGUGUUAGGCUAAUGAUUUAGAAAUAUGGCACACGAGGUUGGGGCACUUUCAUCAUAAAAGGCGUGCUGUUCUUGCAGACGAAUGGAAUGGCAACUGGGUUACCAAGCCUGGAGGAGUAGAUCACAAGGUGUAAAGCUUGUUUGCUGGGCAAGUAGACAAGACUUCCCUUAAAGGAAUCCACUUGGAGAGCUAUAGAGAAGCUGCAACCGAUUCAUACAGAUCUAUGUGGUCCACAAGUGACUCCUUCACUAAAUGGCAGCAGGUAUUUCAUUGUUUUCAUUGAUGAUUAUACUAGAAUGUGCUGGAUUUACUUUAUGAAGCAAAAGUCAGAAGUUGCUGGGGUAUUUCUGAAGUUUAAGAAAUGGGCUGAGAACCAAAGUGGUUGCAAGAUUCAGGUCAUUAGAUUUGAUAAUGGAACAUAAUACACUUCACAGAGGUUUAAUUUUUUCUGUGAAGAGGUUGGAAUUGAGCAUCAGCUUACUACUCCUUACUCUCCACAGCAAAAUGGAGUUAGUGAGAGGAAGAAUAGAACCAUUAUGGAGAUAACGAGGUGUCUGCUGUAUGAGAAGAAUCUACUAAAAGAGUUUUGGGCAGAAGCAGCAAACACAUCCGUUUUUCUGCUGAAUAGACUAACUACGAGGGUAUUGGAGAUGAAGACACCCUUUAAGGCUUGGUUUGAUGUCAAGCCAAUUCUAAGAAAUUUGAAGGUGUUUGGCUGUUUAUGUUUUUCUCAUAUUCCAUAGGUCAAGAGAGACAAGUUGGGAGAGAAAGUUGAAUCUGGGAUCUUUGUUGGCUACAGUUUAGUGUCAAAAGCUUAUAUGAUCUAUCAACCACAUACAGGGAAUGUGAUCACUAGCAAUGAUGUUCAAUUCCUAGAAGAUGAGAAAUUGGACUGGACAAAUGAGCCACAAGGCAAGCACAAAGAGGUCUCAUUGGAACCUGAUGAGCUGGUGGAUGAUAUUCCGGUUAGAGGUACCAGAUCUUUGACUAAUAUAUAUCAAAGGUGCAGUGUGGUUGUUUUGGAACCUGCAGGUUAUGAGGAAACUAAAAGCGAUUAGAGGUGGAUGAAUGCAAUGAAGGAAGAGUUGGCUAUGAUAGAAAAGAACCAGACAUGGGAGCUAGUGAAGAGGCCUAAAGAUAGGAAGGUGAUUGGAGUAAAAUGGGUUUUCAGGACCAAAUUUAAUCCUGAUGGCUUAAUGAAUAAGCAUAGGGCCAGGUUGGUGGUGAAGGGAUAUGCACAGGUUUGGGGAGUUGAUUUCUCAGAAACCUUUGCUCUUGUGGCAAGACUUGAUACAAUUAGAAUGAUUCUUGCUUUUGCAGCUCAACAAGGAUGGAAGGUAUAUCAGUUAGAUGUGAAAUCUGCAUUUUUGAAUGGAGUGCUGUAGGAGGAGAUUUAUGUUGAGUAGCCAGAAGGCUUUGUCACACUAGGCCAGGAGGAGAAAGUUUAUUUGCUGAGAAAGGCUCUUUAUGGCUUGAGGCAAGCUCCCAGAGCAUGGUACAAUAAGAUGGAUGAGCACUUGCUGGGCCUAGGUUUCAAGAAAAGCCUCAAUGAAUCCACUCUAUAUGUCAAGAAGUUAGUAUCUGACUUAGUGGUGGUGUCUCUUUAUGUGGGUGAUAUGCUGGUGAUAGGAAGUAAUAGUGCUCAAAUUACUGCAUUUAAGCAAGAGAUGAUGAAGAUGUUCGAAAUGACUGAUCUUGGUGAGAUGUCAUAUUUUCUGGGAAUGGAGGUUAGGCAGACUCAAAAUGAAGUUUUUAUCUAUUAGAAGAAGUAUUUGAAGGAGAUCCUAAGGAGAUUCAACAUGGAGGAGUGCAAGAGUGUGAGUACUCCAAUGGAUCAUAAGGAAAAGCUUCAAAAGAAGGAUGGAUCAGAACCUGCAGAUGAAAGAGUUUAUAGAAGUUUGAUUGGUUGUCUUAUGUAUCUCACUGCAACUAGGCUAGACAUCAUGCUUCUUGUAAGUGUCUUAUCUAGAUUUCUCAAUUGUGCAAGUGAGUUGCAUAUGGUAGCUGCAAAGAGGGUGUUGAGGUACUUAAAAGGUACUCUUUCAUAUGGGAUUAAGUUUUGUAGAGUUCAAGAGUUUAAGUUGCAGCGGUACAAAAUCCAGUAUUUCAUGGAAGAACAAAGCAUUUUAAAGUUAAGUUUUACUUCUUGAGAGAAGUGCAAAAGGCUGGAGAGAUGAAACUAGUGUAUUGCAGUUUAGAAAACCAGAUUGCAGAUAUAUUCACGAAGUCAUUUCAUGUUGGUCGAUUUGAACUUCUCAGGGCAAAGCUAGGAGUGUGCAGUACUUGAUCCAGGAGGAGAGUGUUGAUGUAUUAAACUGCACCAUCUGUUUUUUUUUUCUUUGUUUUGUUUAGUCAGUUUGUUGAUGUCCUGUUUUCUAGGAGUUGAUUAAUUGUUGUUUUACUUGGUCAAUCUUAUCUUGUAGGAGCAGUUAGCUACACGUUUUUUUUAGCUGUUCUGUUAGUUUGUUGCUGGUUUUGUGGACCAAGCAAGUUGUUAGUGGGCAACGUGGGUUUAUGGUUAAGUUCUAGUAUGUAUUUUGAACAUUUUUCAGUUUUCAAGAAAAGACACAUAGCUUUUACUGUCAACUCCUUCUCUGUUCUUUCGAAAACAAUAACUCUUGCAGUUUGAUGAGAUUGUGACAGAAGAGGGUAGUUCUUCAAUGGCUGUCUCAUAAAGUGCAAGUGUUCUCAAACGUUUCACUGGUACAAGAAUAUUUGGAAACCUUGAAAGCUUUGAGCAACCUCUAAAGACCGAUUUUCAAGAGAUAUCGACUUUAGACUGCUGGGGAAACAACUAAGAUUGGACCAAUUCAUAAAGUUCAAAUAUAUGAGCUUGUCAAGAUGCCCAAGAGACUGAUGAACCUUAACAAGAUUGGUGCACCCUUGGAGAUCUAAACUCUCAAGAUUUGGUAGGGAUGUUACAUCGAGAGUUUCACUCAGCAAUUUACAAUGGUUGAAAGUAACACACCUCAAAUGUCGAAAAAGCUGCACGAUAAAUAAUGAUAUUUCAAGAUCUUCACAGUUAUAUCUUUUAUCUUGACAGGAGAAUAUAGCAAGCAUGUACCUUGAAUUCCUUCCCUAAUAUGCGGAUGCUGCUUUUACUGAGGUCUAAACCUACAAGUUUCCUGAGGUUUGUAUUGAACGGCACCAACGGUGGAGAAUAAUUGGGCCAUUGGAGCCAUCUUAAUUUAGCAGGAAGGUAUAUAAGAUCCCCUGAAUGGGAAACAUUGUGAGCUAAGAAAAUUCUAAGCCUUUUCAUGUUUGUGAAGGUAUGAGCACUGUUGACACCUAAAUUUUUGUCCAAAAAUCAUUUCCAAAAAAUGGAAACUUGUUUCUCCACAAAAAUAUUUCUUGUCUAAUUUUUGCAUAUAGAUUAUCUAGGCGUUUAUUAUAGUUUUUUUUUUUAAAUGGAAGAUGUUUUUGCUAUAAAAAGAAAGAAAGAAAGAAAGAAAGAAAAUUAAAAAAAGAAACAAAAAAGUUGUGGCCAGUGAUCUAAAUGUGACUAGCCAAGCCUAGGAGGUCAGAUUGGAAUUAAAAUGACAAAUUGGGGCCACAAUGCAAUUUCCAAAAGUUGAGAGACCAAUUGCAAAUUUUGCAAAAUCCUGAGCCCUUAAAUCGUCAUCCUGGCCCCCAAUUGAGUUGAAAUUGAACUUGGGUCAGGUCUUAUUACUCGAAUCGGGCAAAAAGGACCAAAUUCAUUGAAUUAGGCAUUCUCGAGCAAGAAAAUGACUAACUUUGAGGGACUCUCUUGCAAAAUUGGGUGCAGAUAAUUGCGAAAAAUGGUUAAGAUUUUAAACUACUAUACAUGAGCUUGCUAAUUGAUCAAAAAUUGAAGCCAAACUGAUGGAUUAAAGCACUCAAACUAGCUACCAAAACCAACCCAUAGUUAGGUCUCAAUUUGAAGCUGCUAAGUAAGCAAAUUGGUGGUCCCAUCAUUUCAUACAGCAUCCUAAUCAGCCUAAUCUUUGCACUUGAUAGAAGAACAUAAUUAGUAGUGCAAGUGGACAAAAAUUGGCUAGGGAUAAACUGUUGAAAGCACGGGAAAAUCGCAGCAAAAUCCGCACACUCAACAGCUGCAAAAGUUGAAAAAAUUGGCUAAGUCAGAAAGUGGGUGAACUAGCUCAAUUGGCAAGCUUGGUAGGUGGACAAAAGACCGACCAAAAAUCUCUUAAUUCAGGGGAUAAUAUCACUAAAGCAAGCUCUUUUGAGGGAUGAAAGGUAGGAGACAAGGAGGAGAGGAGAGAGCUCACAAUUGUUCCCCAAAGACACCCCCAGAAGCAACUCCAGAAAAGCAAAAACCCAGAUAUUCCAGACCGACCUCAACAAAGAAAAGUGAAAUUUUCACAAACUUGUAGCCAAAAUUAGUCAAAACCUUAAACUAGAGAGUGAAACUUUACUCAAAGAUAUUUCCAACCAUAGGUUGCACGUCCAAAAUGGAGAUCGGGAAGGUCUCCUAAAGCCCCCCGAAAUACACCCUCCUGGCGGGUCAAGAAAUACUGAACUUUUCUAAGUGUUAAGCACAGUUGGUCACGGGUAAGGGAAAGCAACUGCUUUUGAGAAAAUUGAGAGACAAAUGGGGAAAACCAUGAGUUUUAACCCAAACUAUGAUAUGUAUAGUUUUGUUUGGUGUUCAGUUUUCCAACAAAAAAAGUCGUGGAGUCUGGUUUUGCGAACCAACAAAAACCUUUGUUAUCAGUUCUUUUUUUGCAGAUCUCAUUUUUCAGUUGAAGAAGCCAACUUCCACGGGCCCCCGAGGAUAAUUUCUCGGUUUCCUUGGCCAAGAGCCACUUGAAAAUGAAACUAGGAAGCAAAGUAAGAAUCCUAGAUGUAUUUUUGGUCAAUUUUGAACUUGUUUCAACCAUGAAAAAUCAAGAGGAAAACCAGUUCAGAAAAUUGAUUUUCGAGGCUAGAAUUUUCCUAGUGUUAAAAUCUCUUUAAGAGUCUUGCAUGCUUGAUUUGUUAUGUCUAUUUUCGUGCAUUACUUGUUUUCAUGAGCUUGAUGAAUGUUAUAUGGGAGUACCAAUGAUGCCGAGGUCAGCUUGGUUUGGUCUCUAAAUUCCCGUGUGAACCAUGAGAUUAUCUAAAACUUGAAAAAACCAAGCAUAUCCACAUUUAUUCAUGGCUAGUCAGUGUGGACUUUGCAUGUGUGCUUCUUGGAGAGGUCAUUUCGAUAUAUUUGAUUGAUCAUUCUCUAUGAUGUUUAUUGUGAAAGUCUAUGUUACCUACUUUCCCUUGGAUCAAGUAAUGUUUCUCUUAGAUCUCGUACGUGGUGAGUGUCGGGGCUUGAAUUCGGGCAUGCAACAUGUUUGCUUGAUUUGGGUUCAAACCCAGAUUUGCAAAAUCAGCUCAAACCGCAUAUUUGAGAUCGAUUUCCGCAUGGUUCUUGUGUGUUUUAGGCCAUGAUUUCUAUAUAAUCUUGCUCUUUGCAUGUGGUAGUAUAACCUUGAUAUUUUAGUUCCACGUGAGAUUGCUUAUGGGUUGAGACUGAAGGCUGCAAACAUGGCCUAAGGAAGUUGCUUUGGGGUGAUUUGUUGUACGCUAAGUGUUCGACGAAAUGCGCAAACCAAGUUUAGAUCUUAAAACAGUUGAUUUGAGCUCGGUUUUUGUUAUAUUCAUGUACUGGGCAAUUCUAUAUUAGUGUAAAUCAGCAUAUAUCGGUUUAGGGAAUUAUUUUUAAAUAAAAAUUAAAAAAAUAUGAAAAUUUCAAAGAAAAAAUGAUAAAAAAGAUGGAUGGUAUCAAAUUAUGAUAGAAAUGACAUCUAUGAGAUUUUCCUAAUUUUAAAAGGUCAUUUUCCUAAUUUAAUGCUAUUUUGGUAUUUUAUAACUAUUUUUGUAAAUAAUCCAUUUUGCGUAGAUUAAAAUUAUUUAGAGUAAUUUCAUGCAUAUUUUAAUCCUCAUUUCGCUCAUGGGGGUCCUGUCCCGGGGCGUGAUAAUAAGGCCAUGUAAUGUUAUUUGCCAAACUUAUAUCGGGUCUUUCUUUUCCGCAUUACUUGCAAGUCAUUUCAAUUUCUUAGAUGUUUAUUUGCUGCACCACUUUUUAAUAAUUUGAAUGUAAAUUUCUUUUCUAAAUUAUGUUAGGAUUAGUCUAGACAUUAAAAAAAAAAACCUACAAAAAUAUUUGCAUGGACACUUAUUGGUUUCAUAAAAAUUAUAAUUGGCAAUUAAGAUUGUGUGGUCAUUUAGAUAAACAACAUUUCAAAUUAGUGGUACCACAAGGGUGCUAAUGGAAACAUUGGUGUAAACAAGUCCCCGUUCCUAGAAAUCUUUGCUUGCGUAGGAAUCGAGACAACACUUCCAUGUCUCGACUGGUUUCUAUCUGAUCAUAAUAGGCUAGUGGCGACUCCUAGAAAUAUUUAGGUUGUUAAGAAUUGAAAUAUGAAAUCCAACAUCACGUGAGGUAUGGGCUUGGGAGAGCCCGCGCCUAAUUUAGGGCCGUUGGUCCACCUCUUUAGACAAAUACCCCUAAACCCUCUUCCUUUUCCCCCAAACGGAAAAAAGAGAGGUCGCGACAAGCACUAAAGUGCACUUCAAGAGCAGCCAACUUGAGCAUUAUUGCUUCUACUUUAUUAGUUCCCUGGUAGCAAAUAUAAGAGUAGACGAGUUAAGUCUUUACGUUAUGCAGGGAUUGCUAGUAAUAAAUAGAUUUGGUGUGCUUAUGCUUCAGGCGCCUUUUGUUCUUAGCUUUCAGAAUUUGCUUUUACUUUAGCAUUUGACCCAUGUGUUUUAUAAACACCUCAAAUCUUAAAAAACCACAGUAUUUAAGUUUUGCAGAUUUUGUCAUAAUUUACUUUAUGAGGAGAGGUCAAUAGUACAAACCUUACAUCUCAGGGUUGGAUAUGGAAAAAGUGAAUCUUAUGGAACCAUUGGGCCAUUAUCUUUACUUAGCAGAAAAAUAUUCACUCUUUUCUAGUAGAAGGCCAAAAGUACUUUGUAAGAGGCCGUAACACUACCAAACAGGCAUUCAUAUUGUCAAAAACAAAAGAUCAAGAUUGAAUGUAUUACUGUGCCAUUUGUUAGAACAUGAAGCACGUCAUUAUAGAACCACAAUCUGCUGCGCUCCCCUGUCUCUCUGGGAGAUUCCCUCUGCACAAUUUCUCUUCCCAUUUCUUGAAUCAUAUCAUGCAUCUCCAGCUUGCCAUGCUCAAUAGUGAUAAGUGACUUAUCUAUAAGAACAUCAAUUCCGCCAUCCAGAUGGAUACACAGCUCUCAAAAUUUCUCUCGUAUGACUUAUACUCUCUCCCUUGAAGAAACAUGCUAUGCCAAGAAAAAUAUCCUUCUCAUAAUCAUCUAAAAUAUCAAAGCUCAUUAUCAACACACCAAAGAUUUCUCCAUUGAAAACUCUCUUCAAUUCAUCUAAUGUGUUUUUCCAUUGGAAAGAGCUUUUACCUCGAAGAAAAGAACCCAAAACUUUAAUAGCUAAUGGAAGACUCUUGGUGUAAAGCACCACGCUAUAUGAAAACUCUUCAUAAUCAGGAGAGGAGAAAUAUCCUCAAAAGCAAUUGAAUUGGAGACAAUACAAGCCAUUAAAAGAUCUAAUGGUUGAACCUUUUAUAUACUAUGUACGCCAUGAGCAACCAGAAAAUGUUCAUCUCUAGUCGUUAUGAUGAUUCUACUUCCACAAUCAAACCAAUAAUGUCCUCCAACUAAUGUUUCCAAUUGGAUCAACUGGUUCAUAUCGUCAAUGAAAAUGUGGACCUAUUGUUUAGCAUGCUUGUACCUCUGUGGACAUUGCCAAGCUUCAGAUGAUCAUCCCAUGUUACCUGAGAAAUAAGUGUCUCUUGAAGCUGAGUAGGUCGUCUGCAGAUUUUUUGCAAGUCUCUCUAACAUUGGAAAGAAAGCUGCAACACUCAAAUUUGUGAAAAAAAAAAAAAUUAUAAGUAGCUUUGGUGAUAGUAGUCUUCCCUACUCCUCCAAAUCCACAAAUUCCGACCAUGCGAACCUCGUUUGAUUCCAUGUCUAGCAAAGUAUGCAUAUGGGACACAUGUGAAUCCAUGGCAACAACGUUUUCAGGGACAGGUAAUUGAUCGCGAAUCAGCUCAGCCCAUAUACUCUUGACAAUGCUGUGAAUGACAUUAGACUCCCGCCUGGUGGAUUCAAAGCAUAGAGCCAAUGGAGAAUACUUUAGGAGAUUCAAAGAUGCUUGAUACAAUGAGUACUAAGUUGAUCUCCAAUAAGAUCGAGCAGCAGUCAAUUUCUCAAAUACUAAGGACCAGAUUAUUGUUCAGUUUCUAGCAAUUAUCAGAUACCUGAAAAAGAAGGUAUAGGAAUCAACUUUCUGAAUACCUAAUUAAUCAGAUAAAAAUUCAGUCAGCCUUAAGUUCAAUCAUAUACAGAUCACUCCUAAGACAACGAAAAAAUUCCCUAAUUUUUCCUUUUCCUCCUUUUAAUGGGCUUGUAGAGGGACAUGGUCCACCUGCAUGUUUAUUUACUCAGAGCAGGACUUUCUUGUCAAGAAGCAGUAGAAAGGACUAAAUGAUAGCCUUACCGUUCAACCAAAUGCCAUCCAGAGAUGUUAGCUGCCGUAGUCAGUGCUUCUCUCCACCUCUUCACCUUCUCCAAAUCGCCACCGUUCGACUUCAACCUCUCCUCGUGAUUGAUUUAGGGCUCGUCCGUACCUCCUCCUCUGCCUCCUCACCUCCGACGGAUCCACCUUACAGAACACCGGCCACACGAUCUGCCUCAUCGUAUCCCUGCACUACACGAUUCUCACCAGCUCGUCCAAGCACCAGCCAGAGGACGCGUAGUCCUCCGAGAACAGGACAAUCGAGAUCCUCGAUUCCCCGAUGGCUUUGAGGAUCGCCGGCAUGAUCUCCUCGCCCUUCCGGAGCUCCUCAUCAUCCAUGAACGUGUCAGUCCUGUUAAAUCAUGUCUCAAGUUUGAGUCCAUAUAUGAUGCCCGAUACGUGCAAAACAUUUUCGUGCCGAAACGAGAAAGAACGUGCGUGGAGCAUUUGAUGAAAAAUGGCGCAGGAUAGGAGCCGAAAGGAUCCCGCCCUCAGCUGCGCUUCACGUUGGAAAUGAAGGCCAAAAAUCCAUGUGUUGAUUUUUGUGGCCCUUCUCAUUUGUCAGCAUGAAAUCUUUCCGAAGGGUUGAUCGUCCGAAUUUCUUCUACGUCAUUAAAUGCACGCACAUGGCCAUGUGCAUGCAUGCACGUAGAAAACUUGGUCAACAUUUGCUGCCUCGGAAGCCUAUCAUGUGGGCGCCGAAUCCUUCUCUCUUCUUGGUCAUCUUUUGUGGACUUCUUUCGUCUUGUUGCGGAUAAAGAAAGAGGGAAGACAGAAGCUAUUCUACGUGUGUCAGUGCAUGCAUGGUCAUACGCUUGCUUCUCUCCAUAAACAAGAAAUUCGAAGACGGCCGCCCACCUCAGUUCACGAUUAUCUUCAAGGAUCAUAGGCGCACGUUUGUUGACUCUCUUCUGCCUCAUUAAAUGCAUGCCCAUGCACAUGCACGAUCUGCAUGCAUGCCUACAAAUAAGGUGGGCGUUUGGUGCCGAUUGUGGGCUUGUCUUGUGGGCGCCUGCGCUGCAUUUAAUGAGGCCAUUUAUUUUCAUUUUUGUCCUAUCUUUCUGCCCUCCUCGCUAAAAGGAGAAAGACGUCUGGAGCUCGGUAGAGAGCGAAAGGAAAAGAGCUCGAGAGACCGAGAGCAAGAGACGUGAGCUCAGAGAGAUUCGUGCAGAGUUGAGUCCAUUGAGUUGUUUUGUUAAACACCGUGGAUAUCGGGUAUAAAGUAAAGCUGGAAAACACUUGAGUGAAUGUGUAAUUGCAAUCCUGUAAUUCUCCAAUUUAUAGUGGAUUGAUUUGCUGGCUCUCCCCGUGGACGUAGAUUUCGACAUUCAGGAACCACGUAAAUUUCUGGUGUCUUUUUUUUUUCUUUUAUUGUUUCUCGUUUUAUUUUGAUCGAUUCCUAUAGCUCUCGACAUAAUUGCAAAAUUCCGAUCUGCUUCCGCUGCGAUGCCGUUUUCAACAAGUCCCUCCCUGGUUCAGCGUCGCAUGGAGGUGGCCAGCGAAGUUGCUGUGCGUGUCCACGCCACGGAAGCUCUGGAACACGUCGUAUCUAUACGGACGGCCAGACGCUCUGACGGCGGCUUUGAAAUUCGCCUGCAUGAUCAUCUCUACGGCCUUCUUGAGCUCCUCGUCGUCCAUGAACGCGGCUAUCCAUGCAGGGUCCUUGAAAGAGGAGCUCAGUAACACAUCGUUUUUGUCUAGAUCGUCCCAAGGCAUCUUGGUACAAGCGGUAGCGCCCUCGGUUAAGACAGUGGAGUCGUCCUCAUCAAAGUAGCUCAGUGACACUUCUUCUUCGUCAAGAUCGCCGGAGCGGUUUGGGAUCCAAGAGGUUAUCUCCUUCCAUCGGACUAGCGACUUGACCGGGAAUGGCCUCGCCUGUUGGACUGAAACUGGUUGAUUUACGGCCGGCCAUCUCUCAAUGGAAUGUAUCAGUGUAGGGAACCGUGGAACUGGAAGCAAAGUAAGACUCGUUAGGGAUUUAUACAUGUGCCCAGCAGGAAAUUGACAGUUAAAUAGACAUUUUUUUAUUUUUUAUAAAUGCCCUGUCAUAAAGAAGGCGUAACAUGGAACGUAUCAGUGCACGGAACCAUAGGGAAAUAUAAUAUCUAUUUGGGUAUAUGCUCGAAUGAUCCAAGAGCGGAGUAAAGAUAGAGCGUGCGUUUGUCCCACGAAAAAUUUAAUAAUAGAUUUUUUUUUUUCUAUGACUAGUUUUUCUUUGUUUUAUUCGGUGAUAUAUAAUCAAAAACGCUUUCGGAAGUUUGGAUCUCAUUGGAAAAUAUUUUCAAUCUCAUGACUUUAUUUUAAGAGAAAAACUCAUUUUUUAAAUUUAUUUUAUUUGUUUAAAAUUGAAUUUUUAAUUAUUUUAAUUUUAUGUUUUCUCUUUUUUCUUUUCUUUCCUUAUAAAAAAAUGGGUUAAUACCCUGAAAAACUCAAAACUGAUACACCUGUAACAAAUUUACCUCAAACUAUUUUUUUGACCAUGAAAAACCUCAAACUGGUACUUAUGUGACAAAUUUACUCCGACUAACUAUAAAAAAUUCUAAACUAGUACAUUUAUGAUAAAUUUACCCCAAAAAUAAUUUAUUCGACCGUAAAAAGUCCCAAACUGGUAAAUUUGUGACGAAUAUACCCUAUGCUAAAUUGGAUUAAUACUACAAAAAAAAAAAUUGUAAACUAUGACAAACAGAACGUAAAAUCCCAAAUUGGUAUAUUAGUCAAUUGUUACGUGUCAUUUAACUUAAUAAUUUGACAAUAAAAUUUAACGAAAAUUAACAGAGGGUAAAUUUGUCAUAAGUGUACCAGUUUGGGGUAAAUUUGUCAAAUGUUUACCAGUUUAGAAUUUUUGGUGGUCAAAAAAAUAGUUUGGGGUAAAUUUGUCACUAGUGUACCAGUUUGGGAUUUUUCAGGGUAUUAUUAACCCUUUUAAGAGGUUUAACUUAUUUUACAAUAUUUCAAUUGGGUUACAUGAUGUUAGCUCUAGGUAUGGGAUCUUCUCAAGUGGCUUGAAUAUUUUAUAAAACUCUUAAAUCCCCGAAUUUGGUCAAAAAUAAGGUAUUUGUCCUUUUCCUUUUGUAUAAAAAAAAUGUAAAAGAAAAUUCAUUAGAAGUGUGAUUAUUAAGUUUUUUGAUUUUCAAAUUAGUGAUAAGGGCAUUUUUGUGACGUCCUCAGCAUGUCAUGGCUAACGUAGUCAUCCAAUUAUUCCCAUUUUUUAAGCACGCGGAAGUGUCUUUAUACCAGUAAUAAUCGAAAACAUGGGAAACUUAAAGAACGCAUGCGUAAUGUAAACCAAGCUAACACAUUUCAUUCCUUAUUUAUUUACUUUAGGUGACAUGAUUAGUGUAUUGGGAAUUUUAAAAAAAAAGGGGUUAUCCCAAAAUACAUCAUACCCCCAUGGUACUAUCUCGACCUUGUAACUGCUUGUACAUGUCUCGCCACCUAUCUUUCGAUGCUAGCACGUCCAAAAGUUGUCGCUUGGAUCCAAAAUGUGGCUUCACCUUCCUACUCUUGCCCUAGUCGACCGUACUACUACCAUUGUCAUCUCUAUCAUCCCCGGGGUGUGGGAUUGGCCCCACGAGUUGUCCUCCUCCUCGCGUGCAGACUAUGAGGAAACCCAUGAGUACAAAACUUGCUGGGACCCCUAUGUCUAUGGUCAAAAUGGCGAUGCACCAGAUGAAGGCAAUGUCCAAAAAAUCCGGAUCCAUGAAGUCAGAAAAACGCUAGGUGAGGUCCACGGGUACCCCAUAGCUAAUGGAAGUUCAAGAAGGAAGGAUCAACAUAAUUACUAUUGAUAUGAAAAAGUAAAAUCAAUAACCGGUGAGUCUAAACCCAGCAAAUAGAAAGUCCACCGGUCUAUAUUACAUAAACCAAUCGAUGUAUUGACAAGGAAAGCCUCAAUAUAAAGAAUAUGGAAUCAUUUUCAAAUCAACUUGCUUGAGAACUUUUUUCAAAAUCAACCUAGCGGAUCAAUAAGAUAAGUAACUUUUCCAAACAAGUAAUCAGUAACUCAAAUGGGAUUUAAAGAAACUAAGACUAUAUUCAAUAUGAAUUCAUGUCGCCACCAUUCUCCAGGAACCCCGUUAUCCCCCAGGCAUCUCGCACCCAUCCAACAUCGCGAGGAUAUCUGGGAAAAUUGUGUUACACCCUACAAGUAUAUGGAGGGACUCAGUUACCCCUAGAGGCAUCCCUAAUACAAGUCAGGGUAUCGUCAUCCCAAGGAUUGAUGGUAUUCUCAAUCAUACAUCCAUACCAUGACACAACAAUUCCAUAAUUCAAUUUACAAGGCAUUGACGUUAUUACUACCAAGGAAACUCAAGAGUGAAUCCAAUGAAUCCUUAGUCAUUUAUACUCCCCCCUACACUAAUAUACACUCAAUUAGGGGUGUCAAAAACCGAACCGAACAGAACCGAAAAAGUUGGUUUUUUCAGUUCGGUUCUCCUUAAAAAUCGAAAUUAUCGGUUCGGUUUUUAUCGGUUAACCGAACCGAACCGAACCAACAAACCGAUAAGAGCUUAUUUCUUGAAAAUGAAAAAUAUAUACAACAGAAAAAAAUGAAAAAAAAAACAAAUGCAAAAUGUUGAAAACCAAAAACCGAAAAACCGAAUCGAACCGAACCGAACUGAAAUUUCGGUUGGGUUCACAUUCACUUCGGGUCUCAUUCGGUUUGGUUCGGAAGUUUUUCCUAACGGUUUAGUUUUGUUCCAUUUUUCAAAAAAACCGAACCGAACCAAACUGUUGACACCUCUACACUCACUCGUACCUACAUCAAACAAAUAGGAAGAAGGAUUCCAUAUCAUAGUCCCCAAAUUCACCAUAUAAUGGUGUUCUGCAUUCUUUGGAAACAGCAGUGGUUGCUCAAGUAAAUGCAUUUAAAAAAUUAUGAAAUCUUAACAUAAGAUAGACAAGAUCCAAAGGGACUUUUUUCAUGAAGAAAUCGAAGUACAAUUCAUUUUAUACGACACUAUAUAAAUUUUUGGAAAACCAAACUAAAACAGUAGGUCUUCUCAUAGAUAAUAGGAUUAAAAAGAACAUUGUUUCUCUGACUAAACGAUUUCAAAAAAUUCUGAAUUUUUUAUAUGUGAUAGUUUGGGAUGUACUCUACAAAUUUCAUGAGGACACUUAUUAAAAUUCUUGCUCGAAAAUUCUGUGGAAAAUGGAAGGUAGAGGAAGGUCGGUUUUGUGUCCGUGAAAAGAGAUCCUGUACUUAAUUGUUUUUUCAAAUAUAUGUUUGUCAUACAAACUCCAAAAAAUCUGAAUUUAAAGUAUGUUGUAGAAAAGCCAAUGAGGGAUGACUUUUGUGAAGGACAUCCUGUGGAAUUCGUAUCACACAAGUCAAUACAAAAUUAGAAAAAUCAAAGGCCUUGCAGGAACCAACCUGACUUAGACCCCUUCACUAAUUUAACUCAGGUUUUUGGCAUUUCCAGCCCUAGCAUACACUAGACAUCAAUAGACCAUACUCCUAUGAUCCAACCACGAACUCAAUAUUUUAGCUAGGUAAUUUGGUCGAAACUUCCAACUAGACAGGAAUCUAAGCAACGUUUAUGGAAAUUUCUAGGAAACGAAUCUCGCCAAACAUAAUUGAUCAACAUAGGAUAGAACGGAGGAUAUCCACUUGCCUUGGGUCCUAAAGGGUUGUGGUCGCGGCUCGCGGGGCAAGGGCAUGGCGGUACAUGCGACAGCUUGGGUGAGGCGUCCCUGAUGUCGACUUGAAAUGCUGAGGUUGCUUCUGGCUCACACGGAUGAAAGCUGAAGAGGGAAGUGGGAAGCUUGCUCACUGACUUUGGUGUUUGUGGUAGAGGAAGUUUGCGAUGUGUUGGAGAAAUCCUUUUGAAGUGUUUUAAAGUUGACAAAACGUUUCCAUCAGUCUAGUUUGAAGGCUUGCAGACUCUACUAUUUAAAGUCUGAAGACCUCCGGACAGCCAGACUCAAGACUCAAAGUCUAUCCUCAUUGACAGUUUCUAAUCCGUUGAAGAAAGGCUAUCCAGAACUGGAUGUUUCAUUAAGGAUGUGGCCUUAUCGACUGGAGAAGAUCUCUUGGCUAGAUAUGACAUAACGGAAUCCUUCAUUUGAUCAUAAUUGAUUUGAAGAUUAAGGAUCCGAUGAUUGGCAAAGUACACUUGGAAGGUUCUACUUAUGGAAACCAAGAUCCUGAUUGUAUGGGCGAACAUGAUUGAUGGGCUAUCGACAUGUUUCUUUAAUAGCUCGAAUGAUCUUUCUAAUUGAUUCCGUCCAACGGGUAGAUUGGAGGAAUUCCUUUGGUAAGUGCCAACGGGUAUGAUGGCAUGAAUGAGUAUAUAAGGAAGACGUUCCAGUUGUUCGAGAGGGUGCUCGAUAGAAGAAUUCCAAAGUUUGAAGCUCCUUGUUCCUAGUCAAUUCAUUUGUUGAGCAAAAUCGUGUAAACAAAAGAGAGUCUAUAUUCGUGAGAAACCUUGAGGAAGUGUGGUAGAACAUCUACACUGUAGAAUCAAGGAAAAUCUGUGCUGUAACUUCUCUUUUGUUCAUAGUGAAAUCCAGCCAGUGGGCUGUCAGUGCGGAAGAGUGGACGUAGGCUUGGAAUAAGCCGAACUACUAUAAAUCUUGUGUUCAUUUCUCUCUUCCCUAUCAUUUACUUUACUUUGAUCGUAUUUUCCUUUCUAUCGAUUGCCUAAAAUUGCUUCCGUAUCUCGAGAAUUUGUUUGUUCACCUAUUCACCCCUCUCUAGGUGCUUAUACUAGCUAUCUCAAUUGGUAUCAGAACCUGUGUACUCACUUUUGUUGAAGUGUUUUACUUCAGAGUUAAAGAUCCAUGGCUAGUAUGUUGGCUCCAGGACUGGUAGAAGGGCAAAGCAAUACUAGACCACCUUACUUUGAUGGAAAUGAUUACAAUAUAUGGAAAAACAAGAUGAAAACAUUCAUAAGAUCAAAGGAUCCUCUGGAAUGGGACGUUGUAGAAAAAUGAAUCAUUUUUAAAGCUGCAUCUGUCUCAGAAAGAGGAAAAUAUGUUGUUGAGUCUAGCGAAAUGACUCAGGAAGAGAAAAUCAAGAGACAAGCUCUUGAUGCAAAAGAAAUUUAUUCUUUAUAUUGUGCUUUAUCCCCUACUGAAUAUAAUAAAAUAUCUUCUUGUGUUACAGCUAAAGAAGUCUGGGAUAGAUUACAUAUUACCUAUGAAGGAACCGAUCGAGUGAAAGAGACUAGAAUCAACAUUCUCCUCGGUUAAUAUGAAGCCUUCAAAAUGAAACCAGGAGAAUCUAUAACGGAUAUGUUCAGUCGCUUUACUGAAAUCGUGAAUGGUCUUGAAAAUCAAGGUCAACCAAUUUCUGAUCCCAUGAAAGUAAACAAGCUACUACAUGGACUCUCUAAGGAUUGGAAUCACAUAAAGACCUCAAUUAGAGAGACCUAAAGAAUCAUGCCACUAUCUGUUGAUGAGUUGGUUGGAACUCUUUAGUCUUAUGAAGUGGAACGAAUCAAUGAAGACGAAGACCUUAAAGGUAAGAAAUCCAUUGCGUUAAAAUCUAAUGAUAAUUCUGAUAUUACAGAUUCUGAAGAUGAUAUGGAUAAUGAGGAACUUGCUCUCAUGAUAAGAAGAUUCAGAAAGCUAAAUAGAAAAGGAAGAAGAUUCAAUCCAAAGAAACAAAGUUUUCAAAAGCAACAGACUAAGUCUGUUGAGGAUGAUGAAUCAAACAAAGAUGUAGUCUGCUUUGAAUGUAAGAAAAAGGGACACAUCAGACUCAACUGUCCUCUUCUGAGGAAGAAGAAAGGAAAAAAUGAAAAGUACCGAAAAUCUUUUAAAGCUGAAACCUGGAGUGAUACCGAGUGUGAAGAAAGUGAUGAUGAUUAUGCCAAUAUAUGUUUGAUGACACAAUCGGAUUCAGAUUCAAAUUUCGAGACAGAUUCAGACUCAGAAAGCAAAUUUGAGGUAAGUAACUUCAAAAUCUCUAUUAAGGUUUCAAAGUAUAUUAAUGAUUUGUGUUUCAGUCUUAAGACUUCUCUUAAAAGAAUUUCCGAACUCAAGAAAGAAAAUUCUGCUCUAAAAUAACAGGAAAAUAUUUUGAAAGAAAAAGUGAAAAGUUUAGACAAGAAUGCUUAUUCUCUUAAAGAAAGUGAAGAUAAUUUGUUAAAAGAAAAUGCAUUCUUGAAAAGAGAUAUUUCAAAUAUUUCCAAAAGAUUUUCUUUAGGAUAUGAGAAACUGAAAAAAAUUCUUUCGGUUCAAAGACCUUAUUUUAAUAAAUCUGGUUUGGGAAUGACUGAUGAAAACAUUCAUUUAAUUGAUUUUCCUAAGGUGAAGGAAAGAAUCAAACAAAGACCCACAAGAGAUGCUUACAAAAAUCAUUUUAAAAGAAUCUUUGUAAAACCAGUAGGUCGCAAUGCUCUCAGAUGCUUAAAGUGCAAUAGUGCAGAUCAUUUUGAAAAAGAAUGUCCUAUGAUUUGGAAACCUGUUAAAAAGGUAUGGGCAAAAACCACAUAUCAUACUAACACCAAUGGACCCAAGAAAAUAUGAGUACCAAAGAAGGUUUGAGUUUCUUUUUUAAAUGUAGGUCACUAUCAAGAAAAAGGUAAAAUGGUAUCUGGAUAGUGGAUGCUCAAGACACAUGACAGGAGACUCAAAUUACUUCAUAAAGCUUGCUCGAGUAAAUGGUGGAAAAGUUUCUUUUGGAGGAAACAACAAAGGAAAAAUUGUGGGAUUUGGAACUGUAAAGAUUGGAAAUCUCAAAAUCAGCAAUGUUUCCUUAGUGGAAGGGCUCAAUUACAAUUUGCUCAGUAUUAGUUAGCUAUGUGAUACUGGUUUCAAAAUCAACUUUCAAGAGGGAAUAUGUUCUGGAAUUAGUAAAGAUUCUACUCAGUCAUUCAUGGGCCGAAGACAUGGAAAUAUUUACCUCUUGGAUGUGAAACUAGAUGAAUCACAAUGUCUAAUCUCAAUCCAAGACGAAGCAAACUUAUGGCACAGAAAGCUUGAGUACGUCAAUAUGAAGCAAAUAGCCAAAAUCUCAGCAAAGAAGCUUGUUCGUGGUCUACCCAAUUUAUCAUACCAAAAGUCUGAUCUAUGUACACCAUGUAUAUUGGGAAAAUAGGUAAGAAAUUCCUUUAAACCAAUAAAUCAAGUUUCCACUAACCGUAUACUGCAGCUUCUGCAUAUGGAUCUAUUUGGACCAACCAGAACACAAAGCAUUGGAGGUAAGAAAUACUGCAUAGUAAUUAUGGAUGAUUACUCACGAUUUACUUGGGUAUAUUUCUUGGCAAGUAAGUCUGAAACUUUCUCUUGCUUUGAAAAGUUUGCUAAAAAGGUUCAAAAUGAAAAAAUGGUAUGUUAUCUCAAGUAUAAGAAUAGAUCAUGGAGGUGAAUUUGAAAAUCAUGAUUUUACAAAGUUCUAUGAUGAAUUUGGUCUUCAGCAUGUAUUCUUUUCUCCAUAUACUCUAUAGCAAAAUGGAGUUGUGGAAAGAAAUAAUAGAUCUCUUCAAGAAAUGGCUAGAACCUUUUAAUUGAAAGUAACAUCUCUUCACGUUUUUGGGCUGAAGCAGUUUCUACAGCAUGUUACAUUAUAAAUAGAGUCUUUCUAAGGCUUAUUCUGGAAAAAAACCCUAUGAACUAUUCAAAUAAAAGAAGCCUAUUGUUUCAUAUUUUCAUGUAUUUGGAUGCAAAUGUUUUAUACUAAAAAAUGCAAAUGAUCGAGUUGGUAAGUUUGAAGAAAAGUCAGAUGAAGGCAUCUUCCUUGGAUAUUCAACCACAAGCAAAGCAUACAGAGUCUACAACAAGAAGACUCAAACGGUGGAAGAGUCAAUGAAUGUUAAAUUCCAAGACUCUAUGCAAAAUGAAUCCAUUCAGACUCAUCUUGAAGAAUCUGAACCUGCUCCAGACUCUACAAAAUCUAAAAUAGCUCAGACUUUGAAAGACCAGCAACAAGUGACUGUUGAAGAUUCAAGUGAAGGAAGUGACCAUCAAUCUGACAAAUUAACCAGCAACUGGAAACAUAAGUCCAGUCAUCUCAAAGAUCUUAUUAUUGGCGAUAUCAAUGAAGGAAUUCGCACAAGAUCCAAAAGGCGCGAAGAGUCUAGUGUUGUGGCUCUUAUUUUUUAAAUAGAACCCAAAAGCAUAGAAGAAGCUUUAUUUGAUGAAAGCUGGAUUGAAGCUAUGCAAGAAGAGCUCAGGCAAUUCAAUAUUAAUGAUGUCUGGGAAUUAACUCUUAAACCAAAAGGUAAGUCUGUUAUUUGAGCUAAAUGGGUUUUCAGGAACAAGAUAAACGAAAAAGGAAAAGUCAUAAGAAACAAGGUAAGACUCGUGGCCAAGGGAUACACACAAGAAGAAGGGAUAGACUAUGAUGGGACCUACGCACCGAUAGCAAGGUUAGAAGCAAUUCGAUUAUUACUUGCUUUUGCUUGUUAUAAGAAUUUUAGGUUAUUCCAAAUGGAUGUCAAAAGUGUCUUCCUAAAUGGAUUCAUCCAAGAGGAAGUCUAUGUGGAACAACCACCUGGGUUUGAAGACCCAAGGAAACCAGAUUCAGUAUUCAGACUCAAAAAGGCUUUAUACGGCUUGAAACAUGCUCCUCGAGCUUGGUACGACAGACUGAGUAAGUUUUUAAUUGAAAAUGGAUUUGUUAAAGGUAAAGUAGAUACUACUCUUUUCAUUAAAAGAGAAAGCAUGAGUUUUCUACUUGUUCAAAUAUAUGUCGAUGACAUUAUUUUUGGAUCAUCUAAUGAAAGUCUGUGCAAGAAAUUCUCUAAGACUAUGCAGGAUGAAUUUGAAUGAGCAUGAUGGGUGAACUAACCUUCUUUCUUGGACUUCAAGUAAAACAAUUGAAGGAAGGAACUUUUAUUCAUCAAGAAAAAUAUGCUAAUGAUAUUGUGAAGAAGUUUGGACUGGUCAAUUGCAAAAAGGCCGAUAUACCAAUGUCAAGCUUCGUAAAGAUAGAUAAAGAUGAAGGAGGAAAGAAAGUCGACUAAAAGUUAUACAGGAGUAUCAUCGGUUCACUUCUUUAUCUUACUGCUUCUAGACCUAACAUUUUGUUUAGUGUUUGCAUUUACGCCAGAUUUCAAGCAGACCCUAAAGAAUCACACUUAAAUGCUGCAAAGCGUAUUAUCAAAUAUAUUGCAUCAACUUCAAGCUUCGGUCUCUGGUAUCCUAAAAGGGGAGACUUUACUCUUCUUGGGUACUCAGAUGCAGACUUAGUCGGAUGCAGAGUUGAUAGAAAGAGCACCUCAGGUACCUGUCAACUACUUGGAGGCAAGACAGUGUCUUGGUUUUCAAGAAAGCAAAGUACAAUAGCUCUCUCUACAGCAGAAGCAGAAUAUGUAGCUUUUGGAAGUUGCUGUUCAUAAAUUCUGUGGAUAAAACAACAGCUAAGAGACUUCGGAAUUGAAGAUUCAUGCAUGGAGAUAAAAUGUGACAACACCAGCGCAAUAAAUCUCACUAAAAAUCCAAUUCUUCACUCAAGAGCAAAGCAUAUAGAGAUACGACAUCACUUCAUUAGAGAUCAUGUUCAAAAUGAAGAAAUUAUGAUUCAGUUUGUUGACUCAAAGAACCAACUGGCGGAUAUAUUUACAAAGCCUUUGGAGAAAAAUCAAUUUGAAAUUAUCUGUUCCAGACUCAACAUUUUGAGGUUUGAAGAAGUUAAAGUCUAGAGACUCUUAGACUCAAACAAGCAAGACUUUGACUGCAAGACUUUGACUGUAAGUUAUUCUCUCUCUCUAAUCUCAUCUUAAAAAGGUACGUUCAUCAACCAUGUUGAUUAUUGUUAUCUUAAUCGCUAUCUUUAAUUGACGAAAUUAUUGCAUCGUUUCCUUUAGAAAAAUAAGUUAUUUUGAUGUGACCAUUUUUCGAAAAAGGCAGUUAUUUUUUUUUUUAAAAAAAGGCAUCCUUUCACUUUCCAUUACGACGAUUGGCAUCUCCUCUUUACAACUGUCUUAUAUACAGUCGGUUUCUCCUCGCUUAACUCCAAAACCCUAAAAAGCACCAAUCUUCCAUUCCUGUUUUCUUCUCUUGUUUAAUCUUCGAGAAAGUUUUCAUCUUUCUUGGGAAAGUCAAGCAAGAAAUCUUUCAAAGACUAAGAAAGAUGUCGUCUUCAAUAAAGUCUUCGAGGAUCGCAAGCAGGGGACCACGGCGAAUGAGUGAGGGGCCUACGCACUUCGAUCUCACUGAAGAAGAAGUGUCUCCAAAUCAGCAGCAGAGCCCACAACAUUCUUAGCAGCGUCAUUCUCCUCCAUCUAAUCCUCAAGAUGUUGAUUAUCAUCAAAAUGAAGAAAUCAUUGAAGAUGCAGACCCUGUAAGAGUUCAAAGGCCCUCUUUUAUUUAUAAGCUGUAUCGUGCUUUAAAAGGGACUGGUACUCCAUUGAACUAUGUAGAUGAUUUUCUUAAGGACAAAGGAUAUGGAAAUGAAUAUAUCUUUUUUCGAAAAAUGGAAAGUUUGGGAAUUGCUCGUAAGGGGGUGGCAGAAGAAACCCUUGUGAAUAUCCCAAGUGACCCUCGCGAUUGGGGAUUUAAUCCGGUGGAUGGAAAUGAUGAUGACAAACUAUACAACGAAUUUCAACCAAGAAUGGGAGUUGUGGCAGAAAAUCAAGGAAAAAGGGGAGAGUUGUUUAGAUCGAAGGAACAAAAGGAUCUAUACUCAAAAUUGCUGAAGUGUGGGGUGAUAAACCCUAGGAGUGUGGAUUUUGACUUUCUGGAUGCUAUAAAUGUGAACUUGAGUGAAAAAUUUGGUCAUCUUCAACUUGAGAAAUUCUGCUUUGACUCCACAGAGGCAUAUCCUCAACUAACUGCUUAUUUCUAUUCAAAUCUUAGUUUCUUGGAUUCGAAUAGAUUCUCCUUCAGUGUCAAAGAUCAAGACUUUGUUGUGGAUAUGGAUAUGCUGGCAGAUGCGUUAGGAGUUGAGAGAGGAAGAUAUCAACGGAUCAAAGUUUCUAUUGAUCGUACUACUCUGGAACUUGUUAAGGACAGGAGAACAGAGGGAAAGAUUUCCUAUUCAAGGAUGAGUGCAUUUAACAUCUUACUGCACAAAAUUGUAAUCAAUUGCCUCAGACCGAAAUCAACUUCCAAGACUGAUGUCUCAAGUUCAGAGGCAAAGCUAAUGUAUGCCAUCAUCACUGGGAAAAUGUUUUCACUUCCUCACACUGUUAUGUUCCAUAUGUAUAGAGCUGUGAUGAAGGACAUAUGACAACUUCCUUAUCCAGGUCUUGUGACGAAGUUAUUCAAACAUCUGAAUAUUCAGCCUCCGCAAAUUCUUUGUGCUCGAUUAUGCAAUCAUAUGGUGGUAGGACUGAAAAUGGUGACCAAGAUGCGUCUGAAGGAACUAAGCAAGGCAUUGGAGAAAUUUAAGGAGAAGACUCCAGUCAAAUCUCAUCAAUUCUCUUUUGCAAGAAAAAGGAAAGGGAAGGAGCCCAUGGAUGCUCCAUCUAAGAGAAGAAGAGCUCUCCUCGUUGACGAUGAAGAUGAUGAGGAUAACAUCACUAUCUCUGCAAUGGCUUUGAAGAAUCUCAGUCGAUCUGUUCCAGAGAAAGAGUCAGAACAACAGACAAAAGGAAGAGUAGAGAAAGAAGCAGAGGAAAAAGAAACGGAGGAAAGAGAAGAAGAAGAAGAAGAAGAAGAAGAAAGAGAUGCUGAGCAAGAGAGAGUUGAAAAAGAAGAAGAAGAGAAAAGAGAUCAAGAAGAAGGAGAACAUGAGGAGCACUCUCCACCUGAAGGCAUGAACACAGGGGGAGACCAAGAGAAAAGAGGAAUGACCUCAAAUCCUGCAACCAGUUAGGGAGUCAGUCGAUCCCCAGCAAAUCCAAAGGAGGUUUUUGCCUCUCAGUUUCCUGAGGAAGGUCAUGAGGUUUCCUCGCCAAAUCUGUGUGAUUAUGCUGAUCUACCAUCAUUUGCAUUUACUCCAUCAGAUCGUGCUAAUGCCAGUACACAGACUAACAAUUCAACAGACUUUCGCAGAGUGAUGGAUAUUCUCUUGGAGAUGCAAGGUCAGAUAUAUGCAUUGGGAUGUGAAGUUCAGAACUUGCAGAAUGCAUGACAAGUCUCUUCGGGUUCUUUAAAUGAUCAAAUCCAAGCCCUUUCUCUUCAGAUUCAGGCUAAUGCCAAGGGUGAGGAUGUUGCUCAGCUGAAGGAAGACUUUAAAAGGCUGGAAGGCAUCGUUCAGUCAAUGGGAGAUUUUCAGCUUGUUCGUGUUCCCAAGAAUCCUUGACUUCAUUUUCAUCUCAAUCCUUUUUAUGCUGACAAAAAGGGGGAGAGUUGCGAGACUUGAAAAACUUUGAACUUAAAUUUGUCGAACUUUUGGUUUGUUUUGUGGUUUGUUUUUGACUUGACUUGUGUGUCUGGAUAUGGACUAAAUUUGGGAUUUGGAUUUGACUGCUUAUUAUUAACUACUAUUGAUAUCUUGUGGAUGCCUUUAUUGCAUUUAGCCAUUUAUCUAUAAGAUAUGCAUAUGUGUUUGAGAAAUGUUUUGCAGGUCAAAGUUUUUCAAAUCUGCAGGAAAGUUUUGUCACCAUAAAAAAGGGGGAGAUUGUUGGAGAAAUCCUCUUGAAGUGUUUUGAAGUUGAUAAAACGUUUCCAUCAGUCUAGUCUGAAGGCUUGCAGACUUUGCUAUUUAAAGUCUGAAGACCUCCGGACAGACAGACUCAAGACUCAAAGUCUAUCCUCAUUUACAGUUUCUAAUCCGUUGAAGAAAGGCUAUCCAGAACUUGAUGUUUCAUUAAGGAUGUGGCCUUAUCGACUUGAGAAGAUCUCUUGGCUGAAUAUGACAUAACGGAAUCCUUUAUUUGAUCAUAAUUGAUUUGAAGAUUAAGGAUCCGAUGAUUGGCAAAGUAUACUUGGAAGGUUCUACUUAUGGAAACCGAGAUCCUGAUUGUAUGGGCGAACAUGAUUGAUGGGCUAUCGACCUGUUCCUUUAAUAGCUCGAAUGAUCUUUCUAAUUGAUUCUGUCCAACGGGUAGAUUGGAGGAAUUCCUUUGGUAAGUGCCAAUGGGUAUGAUGGCAUGAAGGAGUAUAUAAGGAAGACGUUCCAGUUGUUCGAGAGGGUGCUCGAUAGAAGAAUUCCAAAGUCUGAAGCUCCUUGUUCCUAGUCAAUUCAUUUGUUGAGCAAAAUCGUGUAAACAAAAGAGAGUCUAUAUUCGUGAGAAACCUUGAGGAAGUGUGAUAGAACAUCUACACUGUAGAAUCAAGGAAAAGCUGUGCUGUAACUUCUCUUUUGUUCAUAGUGAAAUCUAGCCGGUGGGCUGUCAGUGCGGAUGAGUGGACGUAGGCUUGGAAUAAGCCGAACCACUAUAAAUCUUGUGUUCAUUUCUCUCUUCCCUAUCCUUUACUUUACUUUGAUCGUAUUUUCCUUUAUAUCGAUUGCCUAGAAUUGCUUCCGUAUCUCGGGAAUUUGUUUGUUCACCUAUUCACCCCCCUCUAGAUGCUUAUACUAGCUAUCUCACGGUGUAGAUAGAGGGGAAAGCUGCAGUGAAAAUGGAAGAAACAGGAAUAACUUGGGUGUGAAAGCAGGAAGAAAGCGAGCGGUUUUGUCCUUCUCUUUUCCAACUCAGCCUUCACCGUUUCUUUGCUGUUGAGGUGUCGCCGUUUAAAGAGAGCUGUUGAGGAAGGUGACACGGAGUUAGUCUCUGUUGCCGACCCCAGAGGAGAUGUGGCAAAGCGCUGGAAUUGUAGUGGCAUGAAGAGAGAACGAAGGAAAGUUGCAGCGAGCAAUUUCGAUGAUUGAGGAGGCGGCUUUGUUUAUCUCUUGCUCAAUCCUCAUUUUUCAAUCGUUGCGGUCACUAUUUUUUACUCUGGCCACCAGAGCUCUUGACUGCUGGAUGAAGAGGUGGCUGAAUUCGGUAAAACGGUGAAAGUGGAUGAGGUGGGCUUCUGGUUGUGCUUCUUGCUGCGCGACUCGUCGCGGCAAAUGGCCCCAGCUGUGGAGAUGUAGCCGUGAAUGGAGAAUUGGGUGGCGCGGCUCAUUGAAGGCUGAGUGCAGCAGCUUGAUGAUGGUGUCUUGGAUGGUUAGGCAUUUGGGCUCGCAAUACGUUGAAAAAUCCAGAUGUCACAAGUUUGGACUAUGCACAUAUGUUUUAGGGUUUUUUUUUUUUUUUUUAAGGAAGAUUAUAAAAGGAUGUGCUUAACAACACAUUUAAAACCUUGGCCUCUUUUGUUUUUCCUAUCUUCUUUUUGGAUCUUUAAAUCUUGUGACUCACCAAGUGGUUUUUUGAGAUUUUGGCUUGUAUCUUGUACUUGUUGAAGAAAGUGAAAUCCCUCUCUUCUCGAGGUUUUCCCAUAUUGGAUUUUCAUGUAUAUCUUGUGUUUUGGGUGAUCUAGAUUUUUCUUUUAUCCUUCCCUAUUUGUGCUUCGAUUGGUGUAUCUUGUGGCAUUUUUUUUCCAACAAUAACAAUGAGGAAUUUGCAAGUCUUGCGAUUCAAGAAUCAUUGCCACAUCACUUUUGAUGUUUAGAGUUCUAGGAAGAAGUACACCUAAGUCACUUUUUCAUAAAAUUGGAUACUUAAAUGCCAGCUCCAAAAGAUUUCCCAGAAAUCCAAUGUGCCAUUAUUUUAUUAAUAAAACCGUCUAGUGGCUUGCCAGAAUAUCUACUCAGCAAUCCUUGUCUCAAAACGUCAUUUUGCCCCCAAAUUUAAUUUUUAAUAUAAAUAUUUAUUAAAUUUGAUUAAAAAGACUAAAUUUAAAUAAAAAAGGGAAAUCAAUGAGGGCCUCCACGACUUUCGCCACCGCUACCCCACCAUCGCCAGAAAGGGCUGGUGAUGGUGGGGUGAGGGCCUACACAGCCUCGCCCAAAUUAUGCCAAGGGCUGUCGCUGGCGGAUUGAGCCGCAACUCCUCACCCCAAAUCUAGGUGAGGGCGUGCAAGCCCAUAAGAAUAUUCUAAAACCGGUAUGCAUAUCCACAAACUCCUCAAUGGGAUAAUAGAGACACUAAACAAAUCCAUCAACAUCAAUCUUCAUUAACCCACAACCAAAAUCAGAAACCAUAUCAACUCUAAUUCACAAACCAAAUCAUAUAAUUUCACAAUUCAAUGUAUAUGAAAAACACCUUUUUAAACCAUAUUCAUUAAUCAUGAAUUUUUUGUGAUUCUUUCUUAACAAAUUUCGUAAACCAUUUACAGGCAAUCAGCUCAAACUUUAAUCAACAGAUGCUUUUCCACUUCAAAUAAAUGCUCAAUCUAGAUUUUAUGUAAUAAAUAUGCCAUUUCAUAACUCAUAGUUUAUCUAGUUCAUAUUGCGUUUGAAAUAUGAGUUAGCAAACUCGAAAAAAAGAUAUUAUUACUCAUCGAGGAAAGUUGAAAAUUGACUUGUGAAGGUUACUCAAGUCAACUGAACUAGGUUUAUCCAUCAAUAAAAUGAUUUCUACGCGCUAACCAAGAAAUUCAUUUUUAUUCGUUACGCGUAUAAUUUGCUUCACGUAACUUGAAUGCAAAUGUUCAGAAUUUCAUUCCAAUCAAACUUUACUUCCGAAUCAAUUUUCGUCAAACCUUAUAGCUCCACAGCUCUCUUAUCUAGUGUUUACAUAUAAAUCUAAAAUUCAAUUGCUCCUCAAUCAAACCUCGCAUUUCAACUUUCAAUAGAUCCAGAUUUAAGACCUGACUUCGAAAAUUGCUCUGAUUAAAUAUAUAAUAGGCUUGAAUAAUCACAAGGUGUUGCAAUUCGCAAACUAAUUCGGCUUGUUGGGACAUCCGAAUUGGCUACGCGCGAAACUUUUUCUCUUUUCCCCUUUUCUCUUCGCGGACGAGCUCUAUCUCUCCCCUUCUAUUUCCUUUUUCUUGUUUAGUCCACCGCUUCGCACACUCACGCACGAAUCUGUGGAAGGAAGAAAGGAAAUGGGUUGGGCUGAGGGUUUGGACUUUGGGCUUGGCUAACAAAAUAUGGUCUGAAUUAAUGGGCCAUACAUUACGCUUAAAACAUACGAGCAAUUAUACUUAAGGUGAGUCGGAAACAAGGCCAAAUCAAACACGGACCAUGUAGCUGAACAUGUAGUGAACUGACUGCACAGCCCAUCCUACAUUCUCAUGACUUCAGUAGCCGCUGACCUUUGUUGAAGCCAAGAAUAAAACAGGGCAAGAGAUAGAAAGGCUGACAAGAGUGGUUUUAUGGCUGAUGUAUUCAUAAACUCACAGAAGCAAAAUCUUGCAGAAAGAUUUGAGCCAAUUUGGAAAUUCUAGUUCUUUGUUUAGAGCCCCUUCUUCGUUUUUUGGGUUCUCUUUCUUGAGCUUGGCCUUGAUAUGGGUCGACAAAUUUUUUUAGCAAUAUUGACUACAUAGGAGCAUCCUUGCACUUUCGCAGUGAGGAAAAGAUGGAAGAUGAUCACAUAAUCUGAGGGUAAAGAAAAACACAGCAGCAAGUUUAUUUUCGCUAUGAGGAAACACGUGAUCAAAGCCGCUCAAAAGGGUAUUAAUAUAACUCCCUACACUAAAUUACAAGAAGCUAAGUGUGAAUCAUGGUUUACUUAUUAAGAGUCUGAAACUGUUUCCUUCCUUUUGCAUCUUUGAACACAAGAUCUUGUCAGGUUCAUUUGAGAAUUUAGAGGAUCGACGCUUUUGUCAAUCUUCAUGUCAUUUGGUUGCUUAGCUUGUUUGUACACCAGAUGCACCCCACGACUUCUUAGAGUUCCCUCCAAUGCUUGAAACGAUAUUGUAACUUGAUUGUAGUGAUUCAGCAAUUUCGCAUCCAAUCCCCACAUCAUUCACCGUGGAAUGUAUAGAACCCAUGUGUGGUCUGACUCCAAUGAGGAAAAACAAUCUACACAACCAUAAGUUUCUUGAUUGUUGACAAACAAUAGGAUCUCAAAUGAAUUACUAGCUUCCCUUCGAUUAGCUGAACCGACAAUAGCGCAAAAGGCCAAGCUGGCUAUGUUGCAAUAUGAUUUUGAAGGUACAAGAAACCUUAUGAGUCCUCUUGUGCUUUGACGGAUGAACCACUUUGGGAUCUUGCUUCCUAGAUGAAAAAUGUCAACCCAAGUCUCCCCAAGCAAUCCCUAUCCUGCCGAACAUUUACACUUGAGACACAAACACGCUGGAGCAUUGAUCCUGAAUUAGAUUAUGACAGCCGGAGAAGUCAAUUCAUCUAAGCCAAGGUGACUCAUUUGGAUUUUAACGUAACAUGUAUGAUAAUUCCGUGCAUGUUUCAAGUGAUUCACAACCUUUCACAAGUAAAUAUGUUAUGUUCGGUGGGAGAGCUAGAAUCUCUCGAAGCUGCUUGCAAUGUGUCCAACAAAGCUGCUGCAAUUUAGCAAAUUGACUGAUGCAUGUAGGAAGGCUGACAAAUUUGUUCUUUGACAGAUCUAAAACUGUCGGUGAGGACAUGCAUGAAAUUUUUUCAAGAAACUAAGAUUUGAUAAGCUGCCUCUUUGCACCUUCAGGUAAAUUACACUCGGAAGGGCUAAGGGGAGAGGGAAAUUGGCAUAAUCACUUGAUGCCCAUAAACAGUCCGGGAACUUGCUAAGUUGUGAGCAACCAUCAAUUAAAAUGCGCUUAAGAUGCUGCAGUGUAUAGGUAGGAAGGGUUUUAAGGUCAGUGUAGUCCUUAGAUUAAACUCUUUCGGUUCAAUUAGAUUAGCAAUAGAGGAGGGUAAUUCUUCAAUGGCAGUCUCAUGGAGUGCAAGUUCUUUAAGAAAUUUCAUUUGUACAAGAAUAUUUGGAAACCUUGAAAGCUUUGAGCAACCUCUAAGAAUCAAACAUUAAAAAAUUGUGACUUCAGACUGCUUGGAAAAUAGCUAAGAUUGCAGCAGUUCAAAAUGUUCAGAUAUACGAGCUUGUCAAGAUGUCCAAGAGACUGAUGAACCUCAACAAGAUAGGUGCACUCUUGGAGAUCCAAACACUCAAGAUUUGGCAGUGAUGACACAUCCGAAUUUUCACUCAGCAUUGUACAGUGGCUGAAAUUAAUAGACCUCAAAUACCUAAAAAACUGCACAGCAAAUGGAUGACAUAUAUAAGUAGGCUUUUCAAGAUCUUGGAAGUUUUAAAUUUUAAUAUAUAUGUAGGCUUUUCAAGAUCUUCGAAGUUUUAAAUUUUAUCUUGACAGAAGAGUAUGUUGCAAGUACGUACCUUGAAUUCCUUCCCUAAUAUUCUGAUGCUGCUUUUACUCAGGUCUAGACGUACAAGUUUCCCGUGGUCUGUAUUAAAUGGCAUAAAUGGUCGAGAGUAAUCAGGCCAUUCCAGCCAUCUUAAUUCAGCCGGAAAGUAUAUGGGAUCACCUAAAUGGUAUGCAUUGCGAGCUAAGAAAAAUCUGAGCCUUUUCAUGUUUGUGAAGGCUUGAGCACUAAAGCAUACUUCUUCAGGAGCAGCCAACUUGAGCAGUAGACAAUUUAAGUGCAAAGGUGUAUAGGUCAUGCAAGGACUUAACUAGUAAUGAUAUAUAAGAUUUGGUGUGCUUUGGAUACUUGUUGCUCUUGGCUUUCAGAAUUUGCUUUUACUUUGACAAAUUAGUUUUAUAAGCACCCUAAAUCAUUGAAGAAACACAUCCUUUAAGUUCAAGGAGAUUUUUUCAUAAUUUUCUUUCUGGGGAGAGGUCAGUAGUACUAACCUUAGAUCUCAGGGUGGGAGGUGGAAAAACUGAUUCUUUUCCGAUGCUCAGGCCAUUCUCUCACUCAACAAAAAAAUAUUAAUACAUUCUAUUUUAGUAUACAAUUAAAGCAACUUUUUAAAGGCUUUAACCCUCCCAAACGGGCAAAUAUAUUGUCAAAAACAAAAUAUCACAAUUUAUUUUAUUACCAUGCCUUAUGUUAGCCCAUGAAGUGAUAACUCUAUUUUAGAUAGAGUAUUUUUACUAAUUUAAGUUUGAUAUUUGCUAAGUUUUGAUGAAUUUUGGGUGAAUUUAUGUGCUACUCAUGUAAUUUUAUUGAAUUUUGUAGGAAACACAACUUUUGGAUUUAUAAGGCAUCGGCGCAUCAUUUGCUGAAGACGUGAGGAAUGUGUAAUCUUCCCGAGUCUAUGCUGAAUUUGCAAAGUAGUCCCCGCGCCUCAAUAAUGUCCAGAAUAUUUGAAUGUCUCCAAGGAUAUUUCAAUAUUUUAAAGGAUAUCUUUAUAUCUUUAAGAAUAUUUAAAUAUUUUCCAGAAUAUCUUAUCUUGAAGAAAAAGCAAGCAAAGAUCAGUGGAUUUGACCAUAAUUGAGGCUAGGUUCAAAGAAAAUCAAGGAUAUGAAUCUCAAGAAGAAAAACUCUUGAUUUGCCGAGGAGUCCUCUUUAAGACCUAAUGGGAGGCUGACCUAGAGUAGAUUUUUGGAAGCCUAUAUAAACCCCUAUUAUGCUACAUAUUGGAGAUGGGAGGGGAGCCUUGGAGUUGCCACCGGAUUUUAGGUUUUCUUAGUUAGCUUUUAUGCUUAUAUUUUAUUAGUGGAAUUGACACAUGUCAAGGAGUGAAGAAGGAGGUAAACCCAAAUCUAUUGGCGACUCAAAUGAGUGAAUUUUUUUUAAUUUAGUAUUAUGUUAUCUUUAAUUUUUGUUGUUAGUUUAGCUUUAAUUAUGUUCUAAAUUUCUUUUGUUAGAACUACAUUGGAUCUUACCCAUUAUUAAUUGAUUUUCAUGACUUGUUCAUGCAAUAUAAUUGUUUUAUUGUGGUGUUCUCUAUCAUGACACUAAUGUUUUUAGAAGUUUGACCAACUUUUAAAUGAUUUUUGAUAUAUACAUUAUGUCGGGUGGAGAUUGCAUGCAUGAGCACUAGUGAUAUUGAACCAUAAAUUAAAUUUAGAUCAAGGUAUACUGGAUUGUUUGUGUGGUUGCGGUAGUAGAUCUAGGUUGGGACUACUUAGAUUAAAUCCGGGAACUUCCACAAGAACAUUAGUGUGGGUUAACAUACCUAAUUAGGGAUUAUUAGACCAAAGUUGGCUUGUAAUCUAACUUAGGGAAAUUUCACCAACACAAUUGGAAAUUAAUUUGUUGAAUGACAAGUUAAGAGAAUAUUAUGAUUGAUUAAGUGAAGUUGGAUGCUCUAACGCUUUGUGAUCUUGGUUAAAAUCUUGAAAUUUGCCUUGUUAAUUUUCAGUUCGCUUUAGAUUAGGUGUAUUUGCAAUUUUAAUUAGCUUUUGAAUUUUUUAAGUUUCGGCUCUUUUAUAUUUUAGUUCUUUAAUUGGUUUAGUUCACUUUUUACUUGCCUUUUUGAAUUAGUUAGUUAAAUUUUUGGAUUGAUCAUCUUUGGUAAGUAAUUGGAUAAUUAGAGACAAUCCUGGUAGAAAUGAUACUCACUCAUCACUUUAUUAUUUGUAGAUAUUGUGCUCUUGCAAUUUACCUAACAUGAAGCACAUCCUCAAAGGACCACAAUCUACUGCGCUCCCCUGGCGCUUUGGGAGAUUCUCUUCGAACAAUUUCUCUUCCCAUUUCUAGAAUCAUUUCAAGCAUUUGCAGCCUAUUAGAUUCAAUAGUGAUGAGUGACUUAUUUGUAAAAAGCAAUUCUAGCAUCCAGGUAGAGAUCACAACUAUCCAAAAUCUCUCACAUAAAUUAUACUUUCUCCCUUGAAGAAACAUGCGAUGUCAAGAAAAAUAUCCUUCUCAUAAUCAUCUCGGCCAUCAAAGCUUAUUCUCAGCACACUGAAGAUUUCUCUGUUGAAAACUCUCUUCAAUUUGUCUAAUGCACUUUUCCAUUCAAGUAAGCUUCUAGCUCGAAGAAAAGAACCCAAAGCUUUGAUAGCCUACCCUUUAUCAUGGUCGAACCUCUGUGGAUAUUGCCAAACCUCAGACCACCAUCCCACAUUACCUGAGGAAAAAGUGUCUCUUGAAGCAACGUCCGUGGAUUUCUCGCAAGUUUCUCUAACAUUGGAAAGAAAGCUGCAACACUCAAAUUUGUGGGCAAAAGCAUUGUAAAUAGCUUUGGUGAUAGUUGUCUUCCCUAUUCCUCCAAGUCCGUAAUUCUGACCAUGCGAACCUCAUUUGAUUCCAUGUCCAGCAAAGUAUGCAUGCGGGGACACAUGCAAAUCCAUGCUAACAAGACUUUCGGGGAUACGUAAUUGAUUGGGAUUCAUCUCAGACCAUACUCUCUUGACAAUGCUCCGAAUGACAUUAAACUCGCGCCUGGUAGAUUCAAAGCAUAAAGCCGAAUGUGGAUACCAAAGGAAAUUCAAAGACGUUUGAUGCAAGGAGCACUAAGUUUAUCUCCAGUAAGUUCAAGCCGCGGUCAAUGUCUCAAGCACAAUAGACCAGAUGCAUGACUUGCUUGUGAAAAAAAUUGACACAUGAGCUUUCCUCCUCCAAUUAGCGUAAAUUGAUUUUUCCCCCUAUUAUGCAUUAGCAUCACCAUGAAUUUAUUGCGAAUGAAACAAGUGAAAUUCGGUAAUCAACAGUUAGAACGCAAAUUUUGUGAAAAAAAAAAUACACACACAGUUAGCAUCCUCAAAAAGGAUUAAAUGGCAGCCUUACUCAUCGACCAAAUGCCAGCCAAAUAUGUUAGCUGUUAAAAUUAUGUCUCGAGUUUGAGCUCAAUAUAAGAUUCGAUGCACAGGAGGAGCAUUUAUUGAUCAAAGUUCGGCGCAAAUUGACAAGCGCAAAUUGACAAUGAAGAAGCAAAGCAUGAAGGCCCUCUGCAUGUGUACAUUUGUCAAAGAUGUGCACGCCUCCGAAGUCCAUUUUCUCUUCCUCUUUAAUUGCAUGCACAUGGAUGUGUGUGCAUGGCCAUAAAUGGACGUUGAAGACUAAGGCCAAGGUACAAAGUUGUGGGCUUGUUUUGUCUUCUUUUAUUAACUCCUUGUUUCUUUCCUUUGCUAUUUCAUCAAGCUGAAGCCGACAAAAGGAGAGAAAGGGUAAAUCAUUAAUUAAAGGAGUUGAAUGCCAUGGACAUGAUCUUGGAAGACGGCGGCCCAACUUUUUUUUUAUUAUUAUUAUUAUCUUCAAAGAUUAUGGGCACAUGUUUUCUACCUCAUUAAAUGCAUGCAUGCAUGCCAAUGAAUUUUGGUAGGCGUCGGUGCUGAUUGUGGGCGUCUGAAUGAGUUCACAUUUUUUGUCUUGUUUCUCCUAUAAAAGGAGGACAGCGUAAGACAAGUAAGAUAGAGCAGGACGAGAGAAGUCGUGGGAGCCUUCCCGGAGAAAAGGCAGAAGCUCUCAGCAAAGAGAAAUUUUUCUCGUUGUAAUUACAUCGAGUAUUUUUAGCCAAUUAAAUUCUUGUGAGUAGAAUUUGUUUAAUUCAUUGAGUGAGGUUUCACUAGAAAUUGAGAGGGGCUAAAUAUUGUGUAAGUUAUUGGAUGUAAUUUGGGCUGGGAAAUAUUGAGAGUGUAUUUGAGCGCUUGAGUGAUUGUAAUCUCCAGUAUAUCGCUUGUUUCUAUAGUUGGAAUUCCGUACUGUUCUCCCCAUGAACAUAAGUUCCGAUAUUAGGAGCGAACCAUGUAAAUGAGGUGUCCGAUUCCCUUUCCUUCCUUCUAAUUGAUUUUAUCUUAUUCGCUUGUCCAUAUUCCACAACAAGUGGUAUCAGAGCCCGGUUUGGCUGACUUGAAGCGAAUCGGUAAUGAUGGAAGAAGGAAAUGUGAGAAUUGACUGAUUUGAUGGGAAUGAUUUUGCUUUCUGGAAGAUGCAGAUUGAAGAUUAUUUGUACCAAAAAAAUUUGCACUUACCCUUAUCUGAGGAGAAACCAGACUCAAUGAAGGAUGUUGAGUGGGAAUUGCUGGAUAGACAAGCGGUGGGUGUUAUUUGGCUGACAUUGGCUCGUAACGUUGCAUUUAACAUCGUGAAUGAGAAAACCACUGCGGGACUGAUGAAAGCCUUGUCAAAUAUGUACGAAAAACUCUCUGCGAUCAACAAGGUUUACUUGAUGCGACAUCUAUUUUACUUAAAAAUGGGCGAAGGUACGUUAGUUGCUCAGCAUAUCAACGAAUUCAAUGAGGUCAUUAACCUGUUGAGUUCGGUUGAGAUUAACUUUGAAGAUGAGGUACGCGUGUUGAUUCUAUUAUCCUUAUUGCCUGAUAGUUGGAAUACUACUGUUACCGCUGUUAGUAAUUCCUCUAGGUUAAGAAGCUUGACAUAUGAUAAGGUUCGUGAUUUGAUUUUGAGUGAAGACAUUUGUAAGAAAGAAUCUGGUGAACCUGUACCUACUACUUUAGUAGGUGAAAGUAGAGAAAGAAUUAGUACUCGUGUUAGCAGGAACAUGAACAGCAAUCUAGGACUUGUAGGGUUGUCUGUUGGAAUUGUGGCAAUAAUGGGCAUCGUAGAAGAGAUUGUUUUAAGCUUAAAAAUGAAAAUGGUAAGGGAAUUAGAGUUGAGUCUACAGAUGAUGUUGUAGCUGUAGCUAAGAAUGAUUCUGAUGGUGUCGAUUGUGUGUUGUCUGUCACUGAGGAUUCAUCAUUUGACGGAUGGAUAAUGGAUUAUUGUUGUUCAUUUCACGCUACACCAAAUAGGAACUAGUUUAUCACUUAUCAGUGCAUGGGUAGCGGUAAAGUCCAAUUAAGGAACAACAUUGAGUGCGAUAUUAUGGGUGUUGGUGAUGUUAAAAUCGGAAUACAUUAUGGUAUUGUGAGAACAAUGACUAGAAUAAGGCACGUUCCAGAAUUGAAAAAGAACUUAAUUUGCUUGGGUGCCCUAGAUUCAGCUAGUUGCAGGUAUUCUUCAGAAUGUGGAGUUAUGAAGGUUGUUCGAUGUGCCCUAGUGAUAAUGAAAUGAAUCAAGCACAGAGGCAUAUAUAAACUUCAAGGUGAGAUAGUGACAGGUUUCACCCCAGAGACGUUGGAUGCAUUUGUUCGAGAGUCUAUCGACUGCUUGAGGAAGACUUGGGUGUUUGUGCCGAUGCACAAGUUUAAUGCUAGUGUCAAGAUCAUGCAGUCGAGAGCUUUGAUUGAGAUGGAGACUGGUAAGUUGAUCAAACGUGUGCAGACUGACAAUAGCAUGGAGUUAUACUCGGAGUUGGUAAAUAAAUUCUACAUGAAAGAGGGCAUAGUGAAAUAUCGCACCAGUGCAUGAGUAGAACAUUACUAGAGAUGGCCCGUAAAAUGAUCUCUAGUGCUAGUAUUGCUAUGAGAAUCCUAGCUGAUGUGCUUAGUAUGGUAAGCUACCUGGUGAAUAGAUCCCCAUCGACUGUUUUUGAAUGGCGGACUCUCGAGGAAGUGUGGUCAGGUAACGUUGCUGGUUAUUCUAUUUUUAGAAUGUUUGCUUGCAUGUGUUAUUUUCGAGUGAGUGAUGGUAAAAUCGAUAGGAGGGCAAUGUGCAUAUUCUAUGGCUAUGCACAAGGUGAGCAGGGUGAUCAGUUGUGGUGCUAGGAUAUAAAUUCACAUGUUGACAGCGAAUAAGUUACCAUUGAUGAGUCUCCGGUACUUCUGGCUAUGAGUGUUUAUGGCAGUGUUACUACAGAUUUAGACGGUGUUCAGCUCAAGGUAGAGUUGCAACCAGAAACUCCUGAGGUACUGGGUACUAGUAGAAUAAAUGGAUGAUGCUUGUAGCGAGGUGGAGUCCGUAGAGCCAAUGGUUGCUGUUGUUGACACCUAAAUUUUUGCUCAAAAAUCAUUUCCAAAAAAUGGGAACUUUUUUUCCACAAAAAUAUUUCAUGUCAAAUUCUUACAUAUAGAUUAUCUAGGUGUUUAAUAUAGUGUUUUAAAUGGAAGAUGUUUUCACUAUAAAAAAAUUAAAAAUAUAAAAAAAAGAAAAAAAAAUUUGGGGCCAAUGAUCUAAAUGUGACUAGCCAAGCCCAGGAGGUCAAAUUGGAAUUAAAAUGGUAAAUUGGGGCCAAAAUGCAAUUUCCAAAAGUUGAGGGACCAAUUCAAAAAUUUUGCAAAAUUUCACCCGAGCCCUUAAAUUAUCAUUUUGGCCCCCAAUUGAGUUGAAAUUGAACUUGGGUCAGGUUUAAUUAAUCGAAUUGGGCAAAAAUGACCAAAUUACAUUGAAUUGGACAUUUUCGAGCAAGAGAAUGGCCAACUUUGAGGGACUAUCUCGCAAAAUUGGGUGGAGAUAAUUGAGAAAAAUGGUCAAGAUCUUAAAUUGCUAUACAUGAGCUUGCUAAUUGAUCAAAAACAGCAGCCAAAUUGAUGGAAUAAAGGAUUCAAACCACCUACCAAAACCCAGCCCACGGUUAAGUCUCAAUUCAGAGCUGCUAAGUAAGCAUGUUAGUGGCCCCACCAUAUCCCACUCAGCCGCCCAAUUAGCUUGAUCGUUGCACAUGAUGGAAGACCAUUAUUGGUAGUACAAGUGGAAAAAAAUUGUUCAGGGAUAAACUGCUGAAAGCAUGGGAAAAUCGCAACAAAACCCGCACACUUAACAGUUGCAAAAGUUGAAAAUUUUGGUUAAGUCAAAAAGUGGGUGAACUAACUCAGUUGGCAGGCUUGGUAGGUGGACAAAAGACCGACCAAAAAUCCCUUAAUUCAUGGGAUAAGAUCAAUGAAGCAAGCUCUUUUGAGGUAGGAAAGGUAGGAGACAAGGCAGAGAGGAGGGAGCUCACAAUCGUCCCCAUAAAAGAAAACCCAGAAAUUCCUGACCGACCCUUGUAGAGAAAAGUCAAAUUUUCACAAACUUUUAGCCAAAAUUAGCUAAAACCUUCAAUUAGAGAGUGAAACUUCACUCAAAUAUCUUUCUAACCAUAGGUUGUACGUCCCUAAUGGAGUUUGGAAAGGCCUCCUAAAGUCCCCCGAAACAGUACCCUUCUGGCGGGCCAAGAAAGUCCGAAAUUUUUUCCAAGUGUUGAGCCCGGUUGGUCACAAGUGAGGGAAAGCAAGUGUUGUUGAGAAAAUUGAGAGAUAAAUGAGGAAAUCCAUGAUUGUAAUAAAAACUAGAAUAUAUAUAGUUUGGUUUGAUUUUUUCCAACAAAAGAGGUCUUGAAGUUUAAUUUUGGAGGUCAACUAAACCUUCAUUGUCAGUUCUUUUUUCUGUAGAUCUCAUUUCCAGUUUGAAGGAGCCAACUUCCACGUGCCCCCGAGGAUAAUUUCUUGGUUUCCUCGGCCAAGAACCACUUGCAAAAGAAACUAGGAAGCAAGGUAAGUAUCCUAGAUGUAUUUUUGUUUUAGUUUGAACAUGUUUUAAUAGUGAAAAGUCAAGAGGAAAAAUAGUCCAAAAAACUGAUUUUGAGGCUGGAAUUUUAUUAAGUAUUGAAAUCUCUUCAAGAGUCUUGCAUGUUUGAUUUCCUAUACCUCAUUUUCGUGUAUUAAUUGUCUUUAUGACUUUGAUUAAUGUUAUAUGGGAGUACAAAUGAUGCAUAGGUUAGCCCGGUUUAGUUUUUAAAUCUCUGUGUAAACUAUGAGAUCGUCUAAAACUUGGGCCAAAAACCAAACCUAUCCACAUUGAUUUAUGGCCGGUCAGUGUGGACUUUGUAUGUGUGCUUCUUGGAGAGGUUAUUUUGAUAUGUUUGAUUGGUCAUUCUCUGUGAUGUUUGGUACAUUUGAAAGUCCAUGUUACCUACUUUCACUCGGAUUAAGUAAUUUUUCCCUUAGAUCUCGUAUGUGAUGAGUGUCGGAGCUUGAAUAUGGGCAUGCAACCUAUUUGCUUGAGUUGGGUUCAAACCCAGAUUUGUAAAAUCAACUCAAACCUACAUAUUUGAAACCGAUUUCAACUUAGUUCUUGUGUGUUUUAUGUUAUGAUUUCUAUUUAAUCUUGCUCCUUGUAUGUGUUAGUAUAAUCUUGAUACUUUAGUUCAUAAGAUUGCUCAUGGGUUAAGAUUGAAGGUCAUGAAUACGGCUCGGGGAAGUUGCUUAAGGUGGGUUGAUGUACACCACUUGUUCGACGAAAUGCUCAAACCAAGUUUCGAUCUUGAAAUGGUCAAUUUGAGCUUGAUUAUUGUGAUAUUAAUAUGCUGUGUUAUUCCAUCUUAGUAGAGAUCGGUUUAAAGAAUUAUUAUUAAUAUUUUUUUUAAAUAAUAAUAAAAAAGGAAAAAUCUGAAAAUUUCAAAAAUAUAAAAAAAAAAAUGUUAGAUAGUAUCAAAUUAGGGCAUAAAUGACAUUUAUGAGAUUUUCCUAAUUCUAUAAAGUUGUUGUCCUAACUUGAUGCUAUUUUGAUAUUCUAUAAUCAUUUUUUGUAAAUGAUCUAUUUUGCAUAGAUUAAAAUUAUCUAGAGUAAUUUCAUGCAUCUAGAGUAAUUUCAUGCAUAUUUAAAUUCACAUUUCGCUCACGGGGGUCCUGUCUCGGGGUGUAAUAACAAGGCCAUGUAAUAUUAUUUGCCCGACUUGUAUCGGGUCUUUCUUUUCUGCAUUACUUUUAAGUCAUUUCAAUUUUUUGGAUGUUUAUUUACUGCACCUCUUUUCAAUAAUUUGAGUGUAAAUUUCUUUUCUAAAUUAUGUUACAUUAAAAAAAAAACCUACAAAAACAUUUGCAUGGACACUUAGUGGUUUCAUAAAUAUUUUAAUUGGUAAUUAAGAUUGUGUGGCCAUUUAGAUAAAUAAUCUUCCAAGUUAGUGGUACCGUAAGGGUGCUAAUAAAAACAUUGGCGUAAACAAGUCCAUGUUCCUAGAAAUCUCCGGUAGCGUAGGAAUCAAGACAACAUUCUAGCCGACCCUGAUAGGUUAGUGGCGACUCUUAGAAUUACAUAGGUUGUUAAGAACUAAAAAACAAAAUCUAACGUCGCGUGAGAUAUGAGCUUGGGAGAGCCUGCACCUAAUCCAGAGCCGUUGUUCCGCCUCUUUAGGCAAAUACCCCUAAACCUCUUCCUUUUCCCCCGAACAGAAAAAGAGAGGUCGUGAUAGCUGUAGCUGCUGAAUUUGACAAGGUGCGUGUUCGACCUUCUGUCAAAUAUGGAAGUAAUGAUGGUUUUGUUUUAUCUGUGAUACAAGAGGUUAUGUCAGAAAAUUCUUGUGGAGUAGCUAAUUAUGUAGGGGAGUUGGUGUCUUGAUGAGGUCCACGGUUAUGAGAAAGUUCAAGCACGGCUUGAACUUGGAAGUACUCUGUGGUGGUUGAGCCCACUUGGGCUGUGGGAGAAUAGUAGCAAGGUGUCCACUAAAGCGAUUAUGACUUAGCUCAAACGUCGAGUCAAGGUGGAGAUUGUUAAAAUUAUGUCUCGAGUUUGAGCUCAAUAUGAGGUUCGAUGCACACAAUGAGCAUUUAUUGACAAUGAAGAAGUAGAGCAUGAAGGCCCUCUGCAAAUGGAGAAAAUAUUAAGUACGUUUCAUUUAUCAGCGUGGCAAAUGAGAAGGGCCUCUAAAACGUGACACAUGUCGCGAUGGGCCCAAAUUGUCAGGUGAACUCUUCUCUCUCUUCUUUCCACUCUCUCUCUCCUCUCUACACGCGCUUUCUACCUCCUGCAUGUUCUCUCUCCUCUCUCUUCUUUGUCCCCAUUUCUCUCUCUCUCUCUCUCUCUCUCUCUCUCUCUCUCUCUCUCUCUCUCUCUCUCUCUCUUUUGCCUCCUUGCAUGCUCUCUCUCCUCUCUUCUCUCUUCCUAGCACACUCUCUUCGCAGGCAUGGAUGACCAACCGACCACCUCAACCUCCACAACGAGCACCUCCUCCGGCAUGUCCGGGAAGGUGCAUGAGUGCUCGAUUUGCCACAAGAGCUUCCCCAUCAGCCAAGCUCUCGGCGGGCACAAGCGAUGCCACAACAAGGCCCUCACUCCUGCCUCCUCGGCUGCAGCUGUCAUCGCCGCCUUGACUACCAACAGGGUGAGCAUCUCGAAGGCCGUGGGGUCCACUCACACGCAGAGCCAAGGGCAAGUUCGAUCCGAACAUCCUGGCACUCCCGAAGUUCUCCACCUGGUUCGCGGUCUCCAACAACUACACCUUUCCUAGAAGCCUCGAUUCCUAGCGUCGAUGAAGACAAAAGCGGCCUAAAAUGGGUCGAAUCGAAAAUGCAUAGAAACCCGCAAAAAAAAAAACCAGUGAUUGGAAUCGAAACGGGAAAUCGAUCGAGCUUUAGAUAGGAAUAGAGACGAUUGUUUUUGUUUGUCUUUUUGUUUGUUGGGUGAUGCUGGGGUUCUUUUUGAUGGAGAGAGGGAGGUGUAUAGGGGAGAGAGGAGAGAAAGGAGAGAGAACGUGCAUGAGUUAGGAGAGAGAAAUGCAAUAGAAGAAGAGAGAGAAAAGUGGGGCUAGAGAAGAGAGAGGAGAGAGAGAACACAUGCAGUGAAGAGAGAGAGAGGACAGAAGAGAGAGAAGAGUUCGCUUGAUAAUUUGGGCUAACCGCGACACGUGUCGCAUUCCCAAAGCUCUUCUUAUUUGCCGACAUACCUAAUAUUUUUUCCUCCAUAUGUGUAUAAUUGACAAAGACGUGCACGCCUCCCAAGUCUAUUUUCUCUUCCUCUUUAAUUGCAUGCACAUGGAUGUGCGUGCAUGGCCAUAAAUGGACGUUGAAGACUAAGGCCAAAGUAAAAAGUUGUGGGCUUGUUUUGUCUUUUUUCAUUAACUCCUUGUUUCUUUCGUUUAAAUCAUUAAUUAAAAGAGUUGAAUGUCAUGGACAUGAUCUUGGAAGACGGCGGUCCAACCUUUUUUUUUUAUUAUCUUCAAAGAUUAUGAGCACAUGUUUUCUACCUCAUUAAAUGCAUGCAUGCAUGCCCACGAAUUUUGGUGGGCGUCGGUGCUGAUUGUGGGCGCCUGAAUGAGUUCACAUUUUUUGUCUUGUUUCUCCAAUAAAAGGAGGACUGCAGAAGACAAAUAAGAUAGAGCAGGAUGAGAGAAGUCGUGGGAGCCUUCCUGGAGAAAAGGCAGAAGCUCUCGACAAAGAGAAAUUUUUCUCGUUGUAAUACAUCGAGUAUUUUUAGCCAAUCAAAUUCUUGUGAGUAGAAUUUGUUUAAUUCCUUGAGUAAUCUUUCACUAGAAAUUGUGAUGGACUAAAUACUAUGUGAGUUAUUGGAUGUAAUUUGGGACUAGAAAAUACUUAAAGUGUAUUUGAGCGCUCAAGUGAUUGUAAUCUCCAGUGUAUCACUUAUUUUUAUAGUUGGAAUUCCAUACUACUCUCCCCGUAGAUAUAAGUUCCGAUAUUCGAACCGAAUCACGUAAAUCUGGUAUCUGAUUCCCUUUCCUUAUUCUAACUAAUUUUAUCCGAUUCACUUGUCCAUAUUCCACAACAAGCUGCUUUGGUUAGUGCUUCUCUCCACAGCUUCACCUUCUCUGAAUCGCCGUCGUUCGACUUCAACCUCUCCUCGUGAUCGAUUAGGGCUUGUCCAUACCUCCCCUUUUGCUUCCUCACGUCCAAUGGAUCCAUCUUGUAGAACACUGGCCACACGAUCUGCCUCAUUGUAUGCUUGCCCUCAAGGAUUCUCACCAGCUCGUCCAACACCAGCCGAAGGACACAUAGUCCUCCGAGAACACAACGAUCAAGAUCCUCGACUCCCCAAUGGCUCCAAGAGUCACUAGCGUGAUCUCCUUGCCCUUCCCGAGCUCCUUGUCGUCCAUGAAUGCGACGAUCCCCCGCUGAUCUUGCUCGUGUUCUUGCCGCGGAAGCUUAAGAAUGCAUCGUAUCCAUACGAGCGGCCGGGGGAGAGAGAUGAAGGUGGAACGUCAUCGGAGUCCUUUUGGCUUAGGCUUAGGCUUGGCCUCGACAUGAGUGAUGGGAGAACAAAGGAGCGAUCGAACCACGGGAAUGGCCUCACCGAUUGGACUAAAACGAGUUGAUUCAACGCCUGCCAUGGCUGCACUAGCGAAUAGCUCAAGAUGAGAGACGUGGUACAUAAUAAUUACUAAUCAAUAAUCGGGAAAAUUCCAAAUAAAGUCCUGAAAUGCACUCAUUUUCUCAAACAAUAGCAUGAAAUGGACAUUAUUUAAAAUAAGGGCAUUGCCCUUAUUUUCUCAAAUAAGAACCUGAAAUGGACCUUAUUUUAGAUAAGGUCCUCAAGUAUAAAUAUCAAUUUUAAAGAAGGGCAUGAAUUCACUAAAUGUAAAGGGCAAUUUUGUCUUUAUAUAUUUUUUUUUUUUAUUUUUUUAUUUUUUCUAUUUUUAUUUUUAAAAAAAAAACAAAAAAAACUAUAUAUAUAUACAAACACAAGCGCGAGGGUGCUCCCUCUAGCCUGUGGUUGCUACCCCAUCAUUAGUGGGGCAACAAUGAAGGCUGGCAAGGUCACUGGCGCAUCGAGGAGGGCUAGCAACCUUAGCCAACCAAAGGUGAGGCCUGACAGGCCUGCGUGAUGGCUAGCAACCCUCACCCAAAUUGGGCAAGGGUGGGUGACCCUCGCCUAGAUUUGGAAGAGGGUCGCCACCCCCUCCAACCUCUAGUGAGGGUUGGUUGGCCAGGGUCGCCGGCUUGGCCGACUGGCCCUCACCUAAGAGCCGGACCUAAGAGCCAGCGACCUUGUCGACCUUCACCGUCAUCCCACAAGUGAUGGGGCGGCGGCCACAGGCGAGAGGGAACGCCCUCCCACCAGUGUUUCGUCUUCUUUUCUUUUUUUUUCCUUUUUUCUUUUAAUUUUUAAUUUGUAAUCUAAUCUAAUUUAAUUUAAUUUGUAUUUGGAAGAAAAUACCCCUAAUUGGUCGGAAUUUUUUGUUGGUUGGCAAGUCGGUAGGGCUAGGCCCUUAUUUGAAAUGAGUAUAAUCACUUUAGGUCCUUCUUUGAUAUUGAUAUGAGUAUUUUGGGCCAUUAUUUGAAAUAAGGUUCACUUCAAGCUCUUAUUUGAGAAAAUAAGGACACUUUGGGUAUUUGUUUGGAAUUUUCCCUAAAAAUUUAUAUGUUUCUAAAAUAAAAAAAUAUUUUUAUUUUUCUGAAUAAAUGGACAUCUACUAUCCAUAUUAGUUUUUCAUGCUUUUCAAUAUUAAAAAUUUGCAAGCAUUAUAAAAAUUACUAAGCACAUAAAAGUUAUUACUUCUUAUAGAAAGUAAUGUUACGAGUGACUAGAAAGUUUCUCACCAUGUUACAUAUAAUUACUUUCUAUGCCGAGAUUUACUUUGUAUAAAAAAGUUACUUUGAUUUGAAAUAAAAUUAGUGGUAAACAUAUGGAUGUUAUGGUAAAUGAAAAGCUACAAUUUGUGUCGUUCCUACAUCGAAAGCUACUUAAAAGUUACCUGGGUGUUAUAAUAAAAAUUAUUUUCACAAUCAUGAAAGCAAACUUGCUUUUAUAAGCAAUUUGUAUUUUCCUAGACUUUUUAGUAAUUUUUGUGUCAAAAGCGCCACUUUUGUAGAGAGAAAAUUAAUAGAUUUUUAGAAACGAUUCUCUACAAGUUAGCAUUUUAUAAAACCAAUAAGGAAACAUGUUAGAAAAGUUCUAAACACUAGACCUUUUGAAAAUUAAAUAAAAAUAUUUAAAAAUUUAUAAAAAUAUUAUUAAAAGUUGUCUAUGUUAGAAUUAGGCCCGCUUGUGCUAUGUAAGUUGGCUAGCAUCUAUAUCAGUAAUAUCUGGCCAAAAUUAGUAAAAAAAGAACUCAAUUGGCAUUAGAUCAAAAGAUUAAUGACUAAACAUGCACUGCUAAAAAGGUUUAGGACUAAAAUAACACAAGUAAUAGGUUUAUGACAAAUCAAAGCCCUAUCCUUGUAAAGCUUCAUCUGUUAUUUUUCCGGCCCAGGGGUUCUAACAAUUUUCCUCAUCGAUUUUAUAAAAUGCUAACUUGUAGAGAAUCGUUCCUAAUGAAGUAACUUAAAAUCUAUUAAUUUUCUCUCUUCCAAACUGGAGUUUUAGAUGCAAAAACUAGUGAAGUUAAGUUACUUCAUUAUAAAUGAUUCUCUGCAAUUUAGCAUUAUAUAAAAUUGGUGCAACAGACAAGAUAACUAGAAGUUUCCAAGGAAAAAAUUUUCAUCCUCACGUUCUCUUCCCUUAAAUUUUGUCUUCUUGACGGAACAUUUUAAGCAUGCGAACUUGAAUUUUAAGCUUGCCGCAGCUACUCCUCUUUCUCGGAUUAUAGUCCUACAAAACCUGAUCUCCAUUCUUGUGGUGUUUUGAAUAGAAUUGGUUCAUUCACUUGACAGGGGAUCUUGUGCGCAAUUUCUAAAUGCAUCUUUAUGAAGCGAGAAUGAUUUCUUUUUUGCUUUUUUUUGUUUUCAGUGUGAACCCCAUUCAUUAUUAUUAGAUGGAGUCCAUACUGACUCGAAAAGCACGUGGAUCACCUAAGAAGGAUCCAUUGAAGAAGGGCAAAGAGGCGUAAAGAAGUCAGCUGCAAAUUUCCAAUGUUGACCCAGGACUUCGCCCUUGGAAAAAGACGCCAUCAGGGAGCGACCCCCCUUUUUCUGAAGGAUAGCGGGAGCCGGUGCAUUCGUGUUUUUGCGUCCAGUUGUCUGCCUCUCCGGCUCUACCUAUCCAGUAAGAUCUCGUCCUAAUCUAGUAUGAACCAACAGCAUCAUCGAGCGAUUCAUGUGUUCAAAGGGCGCAUCGAAUGUCAGAUGAAAGUCUCUCGAGGCAGACUUUUUAGCAGAACACCUGACUUAACCUCGGUCGUCAAAGGUCUCCUUUAAGGGUAAAUCGGCCCACUCAUUCAGUUCGAACCUGCUGCGCAUCUCGUCAAAUGAUCGAGACGGAACCUCGGCCCUCACAGUCUCGAUUCAUUUUCUUCGGAUCUUAAAUCCUCAUGACGACGUCAUGACCUAUGAUGUGUUUCCGCAUUAAUUUUUAUGACGUGAAAACUAACUGGAAAUUAAUGUGGUACGGUGUUGACAUCUAAAUUUUGGCAAUUUAUUUAGUCAUUUAUCACAUUAAAAAAUAAGGGAUUAAUUUUAACUCCUAUAAAAAAAUUAAUUAAUUGCGUAGCAUAUAAUUUUAGAUGCAUUUAUUUAUUAUUAUUGCAUUUGCAUUGGGUUGGUGACGAAUGAGUUCGAAUUAGUGGUUCUGAGUUUUAAAUUGACAAGCUGAACUAAGCCUUCAAAGGCAGCAAAUUGGCCCAAACCCGUUUUUUUAAUGAUCGAAAAUUAUCUCGUGAAAAAUAGAGAUUUGAAAUUUUUCUAGAAUAUGUUGACAAAAAAAUAUUACGAGCUCAUCUUUGCAGAGUUUGAAAUUUGAGAAAAAAUCCUUUUGCAAUCUUGAAUCGUAUCAAAAGUAAUAUUGCGUGCGAAAAAAAAAUCUUCACCGACAUUUUUUCGAACAAGAAAUCCUUCGCCUAUAAAAAGUGGUGCGAUUUAUGUUUUACGCGGGGGGGGGGGGGGGGGGCGGCUUUUUCUCUCGGUUUCGAGGUAAAAGAAAAAACCUAAACAAAAGGGAAAAAUUCUUUUCUUUGGGUUUUCCUUCUACUUUCUUCGAAGUCAACAAAGGGGGCUGAAGAAAGUACAAAGAAUAGAGAGAGGGAGACGUGAGGGAGACGUGCAGCAGGCCAGCAGGGAGGAAAAAAGAAGAAAAAAAAAAAGAAAAGGGGGGAAAACUGUUCAUCUUCUUCGCAUCGAUGCCGCUGCCCGUCUGGGCCAGCCAUCACCACCCGUUCGUCUCGCUUGCAGCUCUGCCAGUCACUGCCGUUUGGAAGAUAUGCAGCUUGACAAAAUAUUUAAUUGAUUCUGAUCCGAUUUGUACAAAUCAAUUAGAAUUAAAUCUAGAAUAGAUUGAUUUGUAGGAUAUUUAAUUUCCGUGUUUAUUCAUACUCUUGUAUUAUAAUUGCAGAGGAUGUACAUCAAUACAAUUCAUUGAAGAAAAUAGAAUAUACAAAAGUCUUCUCUCCAUUCUCGAGUUCUUCAAUCUCUUUACUUUUUUCUUCAUCUUCUUACAUGGUAUCAGAGCGGUAGAGGAUUCUGUUGCUUCCGCAUUCUUCACCUCAUCGCCUUCUGUCAAAAUCUCUUUCAUUAUGGCAAACAAUUUGCCUUCAGUUUCUGGUGAACAUCCGCAGCAUGAAGAUCCCGCGCAAAUCACAGAAAGCCGGGACACUGUCUCCUCUGUCGAUGUCGCCCAGAUCUCACGAACAACCUGUUCAAACUCGAGAAAAUCGUAAUACUCUAGCUCAGUCAAUUAUGGGGCAACCCUACUCGGUUCAGCUCAUUCCGGGCCAACCAAUAGCGAACCAUCCUUACCAGUGGCCACUGUUUCAAAUGCAGCCCAACCUGUGGCUGUUUGGGCCUAACCAGAAUGCAUCAUCGCCAUUUUUUCAAGGGACAUGGGCCUCUGGCCAACCCGACGGCAGCCCACCAACCGUAAGCGGGGCAAGCGUGACCGACGAGUCGGGCGGAGCAAAUGCGGGGCAACCAGAUGGAUCCAAUGGUUCGGGCAAUGGAGGAAAUCCAUACCCGACCAAUUUCAAUGCGGAUUAUGGAACCGGUUCGAAUCUAGGUAUGGGAGUGAAUCCCUACCCGGGUUUCUCACUCAGAUUUUUGCUGUUUCUAGGAUCGAUCUUCACCGAACGGCCAGAAUCCAGCGACCCCCUGUUCGUUUCCACCGCCGACGGACCUAAACUAAAGUUAAUUAGCCAGCAACUUAUCGAGCACGAAAACUACUCCAGGUGGUUGCAGGAAUUCCGGCGCGCGCUGGUGACUAAGGACAAUGAUGGAUUCCUCGAUAGAACCAUCUCUGUUCCUUUAGAUGAGCGCCUGGCAUGACACUGGAGGAAGUGCAAUCAGCUUGUUUGAACCUGGAUCGGCAAUUGCAUAUCUCCAGAAGUCGCGGUCGGACUUCCACCCACAGAAGACGCUCAAAGGAUGUGGGAGAAUAUCAAAGAAAUGUACGACAAACUCGACCGUGCCAAAUUUUGUUCGCUCAUGCAGGAAUUGAGCAACUUAAAACAGGGGAAUAUGAUGGUCACAGCUUGUUUCAACAAGCUAUCAUCUUUAUGGAAUGAACUAGAAGCCGUUGAAGAAAAGCUUGAGGGGCUAGAAUCGACAUUUAAACAGUAUCAUUCCAUCAAAGAGAGGGAAAAGGCUACGCAUUUUUUACUGAUUUUGAACGAAAAUUACAUUACCUUUCGCUCACAGAUCCUGGCUAUGGACCCUGUUCCUCCGAUCGGACGAAUCUACCAGUUGGCUGUGUAGUAGGAAAGAUAACGUCUCGUGUCGCCGGAGCAUGCAAGGAACGGCGACAGCAUCGCUCUCGCAGCCCGUGGCGAACAGAGAGACGGAUUCGCGAAAACCCUAAAUUGAGAGAGAAGAGGAGGAUUAGGGUUUGGAGGAGAAGAUGUCGCACUCUCCUUUAAAAGGGAUAGCAUCAACGGCCGAGAUUCAAUGUGCGGAUCGGACGAGCCAGAUCAUGCGCACGGAUCGGACUGGCCAGAUCGCGCCCGCAGAUCGGACGGUCUUCUUGUGCUUGAAGGCGCGGAUGAAUCUGACGGUGGAUAUGAUUCCGUGACUAAAGGAGUCGACGGCCAGAUUCUUGCCACGUCGUCAAAGAAUUUCCGACCGAAUUUUAAGGCAAAACGUAAAAUGUUUUGCGAUUAUUGCAAACGUUCUAACCAUAUGAUUGACAGCUAUUGAAAAUUACAUGGAAGGCUUGGAGAAAAGGAGAAAAAAAUAUCAGCUGCUUAUCAAGUGACUGGACCUAUCGGCCAAAAUGCUAACCAACCAAUCUCUUAUGGUCAAUAUCAACAAUUGAUGCAUGCUCUACAGAAAUUGGAAACCUCCAAUAAAGGAGGAAGUUCCUCAGGUAUCUCACAUUGCCUCAUUAAUUCAAUUUCAAGAAAGGCAUGGAUUAUUGAUUCAGGUGCAAGCGAUCACAUUGUUUGUGAUAAGGGAUUAUUUACAAGUCUAAAUGAGGAAUUAAUUCUUCCUGUUACCGUGCAAUUACCCAAUGGAAGUAUCACACAUGUGAAUGUGACAGGAACAGUAAAGAUUAGUCCUCAAAUUACACUUGAGAAUGUUCUUUAUGUCCCGGAAUUCCAGUUUAAUCUUAUUUCUGUCUCAAGAGUAUGCAAGGAGAAUUCAUGCCGGGUAUUUUUCGAUGCUGACGCAUGCUUCUUUCAGGCCCCUUCGACUGGCAGACUGAUGGGCUUGGGUAGUCUUUAUGAAGGCCUUUAUUUCUGGACACAUUUCCCAAGUAAUUUCAGUUUUUCUAGUACACCUUUCAAUAAGAAAUCAUUGUGUAAUUUGACUAUCAAUGAAAAGAAUUUCAUUAUGCACUUAAGGAUGGGUCAUAGUACUUUCUUCCCCUAUGCACAAUGCCCCAUAUGCCCCCUUGCCAAACAGUCACACAAUCCAUUUCCUUUAGGGAAUACUCAUGCAAAUGAAAUAUUAUCAUUGAUUCAUGUGGAUAUCUAGGGCCCUUAUCAUACAACAAAUCAUGAUGGGGCUCGUUAUUUUCUCACCAUAGUAGAUGAUUGUUCUCGUGCAACAUGGAUUUUUUUAAUGCAGUCUAAGGGCCAAGCUUAUUCUCAUUUGAAGACAUUUAUUGCUCUUUCAAAAAAUCAAUUCAGAAAGCCCAUUAAAAGGAUCCGAACUGAUAACGGAAAGGAGUUCUUCAGCCAUGAUUGCAUUUCAUUAUUUUCAUCUCAUGGGAUUCAACAUGAAAGCUCUUGUAUAUACACUCCACAACAGAAUAGGGUGGUUGAGCAUAAACACAGGCAUCUUCUGGAAGUUGCUAGAGCUCUAAAAUUUCAAGUAGCAAUUCCAGAUGAGUAUUGGGGAGAAUGCAUUCUUACAAUGGCCUAUCUUGUCAACCGAAUGCCUACUCGGGUAUUAAAUGGGAAAAUGCCUUUUGAAGUAUUAUUUGGCAAGGCGCCAGAGCGGACACACCUCAAAGUCUUCGAGUGUCUCUGUUAUGCAGCUAUAGUGGGCCCUCGAGACAAACUGGAUUCUCGUGCACGUGCUGUGUCUUCAUGGGGUACCCUAACCUACAAAAGGGAUACAGAGUCCUGGAGCUAUCUACAAAAGAAUUCUUUGUAAGUAGAGAUGUUUUAUUUCAUGAAAAUGUCUUUCCUUUCAAUGAAAAAACACUAUCCCAUGAAGAAUCUGAUACUCUGAGCAUUCCACGUCGGCUUGUGACAGAUGAUACAACAUAUCAGGAUCCUAAUUAUAUACCAUUAGCAAUAUUUACUCAUGAUCAUUAUGUAUAGAUGAAUCCUUCAGUGGUAGGACCGAUUUCUGAUGAGAAUCAGGUUCCUGCAAAUGCCUCAAGGAAUUCACUUGCAGAUUCUUCUGCUAAUGAAGAAGUUGAAGAAACCUUUCCUACAUCAGCCGGGGAAUCAACAUCUUCACCUCCGAGAGUAGAUCCUCCACGACGUUCUAGUCGAGCUACACGACCUCCUACCUGGACCAAAGAUUAUGUAUGUGCUGCUCUCAACUCCCCAGGUAUCAAAUAUCCAGUUUCAUCCUAUGUUUCCUUCAAUAAUUUAUCAUGAGAACAUAGUCUAUAAGUAGAUUGUCAGAGGAUAAGGAACUUGCCAGUUAUAAUGAGGCAUCUGCUGAUCCAAGAUGGUAGAAGGCCAUGGAAGCAGAAUUGCGGGCCUUCAUUAACAAUAAGACCUGGGAUCUUGUCACAUUGCCACCAAAUUGUAAACCCAUUGGCUGUAAGUGGGUGUACAAGAUAAAAUAUCGAGCUGAUGGCUCCGUUGAAAGAUUCAAGGCACGAUUAGUUGCCAAAAGGCUUCACUCAGCGGGAAGGGUUCGAUUAUCACGAAACAUUCUCACCCGUUGCCAAAGACGUCACAGUACAUUCAUUUUUUACAAUUGCAGCUAUUCGUGACUGGUCUUUACACCAGAUGGACGUUCAUAACGCUUUUCUCCAUGGAGAUUUAGAUGAGGAGAUAUAUAUGGACGUUCCUCAGGGAUUACGAAGACAAGGGGAGAAUAAAGUAUGUCGUCUCCGAAAAUCCUUUUAUGGGUUGAAACAAACCUCCAGGCAAUGGUACACGAAGUUUACAAGCGCUCUUACAACAGCAGGGUUCCAACAAUCCCGACAUGAUUAUGCUUUAUUCACGCAAACUGAAGGUAUGUCAUCUAUUUAUCUGAUGAUAUAUGUUGAUGAUAUUCUCAUUACGGGAAAUGAUGAAGCUGCCAUCGGAGAUUUUAAGAAGUAUCUGCAUGCAAUUUUUCAUAUUUUAGACUUAGGAGCACCUAAGUACUUUCUUGGCAUUGAAAUUGCCCGUUCUGAACAAGGGAUUUCGCUUAGUCAGCGAAAAUUCAUAUUGGAGAUUAUUUCAGAAAUAGGUUUAUCAGGUUGCAAGCUAGCUGUUAUUCCCAUUGAACAGAACACGAAAUUGACCACAGCAGAUUAUGAUAAGGGAACUUCUCAAGAAGAUGACUUUGUUUUGGAAGAUCCUUCAAGCUACCAAAGGCUUGUCGGAAAGCUCAUAUAUUUGAUCAUGACUAGACCUGACAUCUCUUAUGCAGUGCAGACUCUUAGUCAAUUCAUGCACAGUCCGAAGCAGUCACACCUAAAUGCUGCAUUUAAAGUCAUGAAGUAUCUGAAGAAGUGUCCAGGUCUUGGAAUACUCUUGUCCAGAAGAUGCAACAUGGAGAUGACAACAUAUUGUGAUGCAGACUAUACAACUUGUCCCAUGAGUCGAAGAUCUGUUACUGGAUAUUGCAUCAAGUUAAGAGAUUCUUUACUCUCCUGGAAGACCAAAAAACAUCCUAUUGUUUCUCUAUCUUCAGCUGAAGCAGAGUAUCGAGCUAUGGCCAAAACUGCUUGUUAGAUAGUAUGGAUUUAGGGUCUUCUUAAGGAUCUUGGAAUACAAGUACAAGGGGCAACAAAGCUAUUCUGCGGCAAUGAUGCAGCUCUUAAAUUUGCAGCAAACCCUAUAGUGCAUGAGAGAACCAAGCAUAUAGAGGUAGAUUGCCACUUUACACGAGACAAGAUCUUAGAAGGAGUCAUUAAAGCAAGAGGAAUUGGGACAACUGAACAGCUUGUAGACAUUUUCACCAAACCUCUAUGUCAAAGACAGCACAUGUAUCUUCUGAACAAGCUAGGUAUCUUAGACAUAUACAAGCCACCAGCUUGAGGGGGAGUGUUGGAAGAUAUGUAGCUUGACAGAAUAUUUAAUUGAUUCUGAUCCGAUUUGUACAGAUCAAUUAGAAUUAAAUCUAGAAUAGAUUGAUUUGUAGGAUAUUUAAUUUCCGUGUUUAGUCAUACUCUUGUAUUAUAAUUGCAGAGGAUGUACAUCAAUACAAUUCAUUGAAGACAAUAGAAUAUACAAAAGUCUUCUCUCCAUUCUCGAGUUCUUCAAUCUCUUUACUUUUUUUCGUCAUCUUCUUACACGCCGCUCCGCCAUCGUCGACCCUGCCUCACCAUCCGACCUGUCCGCCGCGCCUCCAUAGUCGCCGAAGCCCCUCGCCGCGCCUCCGCCACCGUUUGUUCCUUGCAACGCCGCUACUGCUCUUGCUCUGCCCAUUCGCUCAUCCCCGUGUCUGCCGUCGUUGACCCUCGCUGCGCCACCGCUGUCCUGCAGCAGCCGAGCCUCCACCCGUGACGUGCAACUCUGUCGUAGACCACCGCAGCCACUGCAUCGCUCGCCUGAAGCUCUGCCCCGCCGUCGCUGCUUCCGUGCCUUCUGCCUGAGCUUCUGCUUCGCUGAUCACCGUCGUUCCUGCAUCCGACCCCGACGUCAGUAGCCACGACCCAGAACCGACGCUUGCCACAGCCACUACCCAGCGUCUCUACUUGCACCUCCGCCUAGCUUUGCCGCGUCGACGUCGCUGCCGCGACUUGCGGUAACCCACGAGCACCGCUACACCUCCGAAUCGUUGCCGAUGCCCGCGGAUCCCAAACCGGCCAUCGCCCGUCUCUCUCGCCGCGGCUCGCCGUCUCUGCCUGUCGUCCGAACACCAGUCUCCCUGCAUGCCAGUCCGAGCCACCCCCCUCUCCGAGUGACGACAGCUGCUACCGUGCCUCCUGCUGCCCUCUGCCCGGGCGCCGCUACUGCUCCACCUCGCGUGCGACGCCGUUCCUUGUUUGUUGCUGCUCUGCCUGCUGCCGGUCCACCCUCGCCGGAGCUCCGACGACCACCCCCCACUCUUAACGGUUGUUCACCAUCACCGGGACACAUCCUCUUGCCGAGCCACGUCGAGCCACCAUCACAAGCUGUUGUUCAUUAACCCGGAUUUCUAAUUUGGUAGUUUUAUUUAUUUAUUUAUUUUUUCUUUCUUUACUUGAAAUAUUCCUAGAUGUAAGAUUGAAAUUCCCAAUAUGAAGUAGCCUGAUAUCCGACUGGCAAUCGCUUGAAAAAUCGCCAAUCUGAUCUCACGCUAAAAUUGACCAAUCCGAUCCCAUGCACAGGAUAUGAUUCGUCAAUUUUUUGGAUAUCAAUCUUAUCUUGCCUGAUUUAAUGUUGUGUCGUUUGAUCGAUUUUGUUUUCGUAAAAAGAAAAAAAAAUGAGUUAGAUUAGGUUUAUCGUCUUAGGGUUAUCUUGCAUAUUUAGAAUAUGAGUUUUAUUUCAAAUAUAAAAAAAAAAUCCAAAAAAAUCAAUUUAAGAUGCUAGUUUUUUUUUUUUGAACUUAGAUCGCAUGUUUAAUUGUUUGACAAUUUUUAAUUUAGAAAUUUUGUAAAAAAAAACACAAAAAUCAUUAUGCAUAUGUCAUUAGGGCAUUCUUUGUACGUAAUUGCAUAUUAGGAUAAAAUUGUAAGUUUAAUUUAAGUUUAGAUAGAUUUUCUUUAUUAGAUAGAUUGCAUCGUAGGUUAAAGAUUAUCAAGUUAAGAUAAUAUCCUAGUUUAAAUUAAGAUUUGGCCUAACCCAAUUCUUAAUAUAAGUUGGAUAGAAUCUUAGUCUAGCUAGAUAAUUUUUGCAUUUUUCUAAUUUCGAAUUUCAUGGAAAAUACAAAAAAAGUUGUCUUAGAAUAAAUCAAUUUCAUUAUUUAGGAUAGACUGCAUGCUUAUAUUUUAUUUAUGUCAUAUAGUUUAGGUUAUAUUGCCAUGUCAUAUCAUUUCUGUUGGAGAAAACUUCCUUGACCGUUUUGAAACUGACAAAACGUUUCCAUCAGUCUAGUCUGAAGACUUACAGAUUCUUCCAUUAAAGUCUGAAGACCUCCGGACUGCCAGACUCAAGACUCAAAGUCUAUCUUCAUUGACAGUUUAUAGACCGUCGAAGAAGACUUAUCCAGAACUGGAUGUUUCAUCAAUGAUUUGACUUUAUCGACUAGAGUAGAUCUUCUGGUUGGAUAUAGCUUGUCGGAAACCUUUGUUCUAAUCAAGAUUGAUUUGGGAAUCGUGGAUUUGUUGAUUGACGAAGUAUACUUGGAAAGUUCUACUUAUGGAAACCAAGAUCAUGAUUGUAUGGGCGAGCAAGAUUGAUGGGCUAUCGUCAUGUUCCUUAAAUAGCUUGAAGAUCUUCCUAAUUGAUUAUAUCCAACGAGUAGAUUGGAAGAAUUCUUUUGGUAAGUGCCAACGAGUAUGAUGGCAUAAAUGAGUAUAUAAGGAAGACGCUAUAGUUGUUCAAGUAUGUGCGCGAUAGAAGAAUUCCAAAGUUUGAAACUCCUUGUUCUUAGUAAAUUAAACUAUUGAGCGAAAUCUUGCACGCAAAAGAGAGUCUAUAUCAUUGAGAGACCUUGAGGAAGUGUAGUAGAGUCUCUACACUGUGGAAUCAAGGAAGAGUCUAACUGUAACAACUCUUUUGUUCAUAGUGAAAUCCAGCUAGUGGGUUAUCAGUGCGGAAGAGUGGACGUAGGCUUGGAUUAAGCCGAACCACUAUAAUCUCUGUGUUCAUAUUCUCUUAUCUACACUCUUUUACUUUGAUCGUAAUUCGCUUUGAGAAUUUCCUUUUCAUAAUCUACUGUUGAUUAGCACUGCACAUAUCUUGCAAAAUAGUUUCUACACCUAUUUACCCCCCUCUAGGUGCUCACACUAGCUUUCACAAUUGGUAUCAGAGCCUGUGUACUUACUUGAAUUGAAGUGUUUUACUUCAGAGUUAAAGAUCCAUGGCUAGUAUGUUGGCUUCAGGACUGGUUGAAGGGCAAAGCAAUACCAAACCGCCUUACUUUGAUGGAAAGGAUUACAACAUAUGGAAAAACAAGAUGAAGGCAUUCCUAAGAUCAAAGGAUCCUCUGGAAUGGGACGUGGUAGACAAAGGAAUCAUUCCUAAAGCUGCACCUGUCUCAAAAAGAGGAAAAGAAGCUGUUGAGUCUAGAGAAAUGAAUCAAGAAGAGAUAACCAAGAGACAAGCUCUUGAUGCAAAAGCGAUUUAUUCUUUAUAUUGUGCAUUAUCUCCCACUGAAUAUAACAGAAUAUCUUCUUGUAUUACAGCUAAAGAAGUCUGGGAUAGAUUACACAUCACCUAUGAAGGAACUGACCGAGUGAAAGAAACCAGAAUCAACAUUCUGCUCGGACAAUACGAAGCUUUCAAAAUGAAAACAGGAGAAUCUAUGACUGACAUGUUUAGUCGUUUUACAGAGAUAGUGAAUGGUCUUGAAAAUCAAGGUCAACCAAUUUCUGAUCCCAUGAAAGUAAACAAGCUACUGCGUGGACUAUCCAAGGAUUGGAAUCACAUAAAGACCUCAAUAAGGGAGACUCAAAGAAUCAUGCCACUCUCUGUUGAUGAGUUGGUUGGGACUCUUCAGUCUUAUGAAGUGGAGUGAAUCAACGAAGAUGAAGAUCCUAAAGGUAAGAAAUCCAUUGCAUUAAAAUCUAAUGAUGAUUCUGAUGUCACAGAUUCUGAAGAUAAUAUGGAUGAUGAAGAGCUUGCUCUCAUGAUAAGAAGAUUCAUAAAGCUAAACAGAAAGGGAAGAAGAUUCAAUCCAAAGAAACAGAGCUUUCAAAAGCAACAGAGUAAGUCUAUUGAGAAUGAUGAAUCCAAUAGAGAUAUAGUUUGUUUUGAAUGUAAGAAAAAAUGACACAUCAGACCCAACUGUCCCCUUCUGAGGAAAAAGAAAGGAAAAACUAAGAAGUAUAAAAAGGCACUCAAAGCAGAAACUUAGAGUGAUACAGAAUGUGAAAAAAGUGAUGAUGAUUAUGCCAACAUUUGUCUCAUGGCACAAUUAGACUCAGACUCCGAAACAGACUCAGAUUCAGACAGUGAAAUCGAGGUAAGUAACUUGAAAAUCCCUACUAAAGUAUCUAGAUAUAUUGAUGAAUUGUGUCUUAGUCUCAAGACUUCUCUUAAAAGGAUUUCCGAACUCAAAAGAGAAAAUUCUGCACUAAAACAACAGGAAAAUGUUUUGAAAGAAAAUGUCAAAAGUUUAGACAAAAGUGUUUCUACCUUGAAAGAAAAUGAAGACAAUCUUUCAAAAGAAAAUGCAUUUUUGAAAAAUGACAUCUCAAAUAUUUUUAAAAGAUUUUCUAUAGGAUACGAGAAACUUGAGAAAAUUCUUUCAGCACAAAGACCUUACUUCAAUAAAUCAGGUUUAGGAAUGACUGCUGAAACCAUUCCUCUAAUUGAUUUUCCUAAAGUAAAAGAAAGAAUUAAGCAAAGACCUACAAGAAAUGCUUACAAAAAUCAUUUCCAAAAAGUGUUUGUAAAACCAAUAGGUCGCAGUGCUCUUAAAUGUUCUAAGUGCAAUAGUUCAUAUCAUUUUGAAAAAGAAUGUUCUAUGGUUUGGAAACCUGUUAAGAAGGUAUGGGCAAAGUCAGUAUAUCAUACUAACACCAAUAGAUCCAAGAAAAUAUGGGUACCAAAGAAAGCUUGAGUCUCUUUUCUAAAUGCAGGUCACUAUCAAGAGAAAGAUUAAAUGGUACCUGGAUAGUGGAUGCUCAAGGCAUAUGACAGGAAAUUCAAAUUGCUUCAUUAAACUUGUUCAAGUUAAUGGUGGAAAAGUUUCAUUUGGAGGAAACAACAAAUGAAGAAUUGUGGGAUUCUGAACUGUAAAGAUUGGAAGUCUCACAAUCAGUAAUGUUUCUUUAGUGGAAGGACUCAACUACAAUUUGCUUAGUAUCAGUCAGCUGUGCGACACCAGCUUCAAAAUCAACUUUCAAGAGGGAAUAUGUUCAUGAACCAGUAAAGAUUCCUCUCAGUCUUUCAUGGGUCAAAGACAUGGAAAUAUCUACCUCUUGGAUGUCAAACCAGAUGAAGCCCAAUGUCUAAUCUCAAUUUAAGAAGAAGCAAACUUAUGGCACAGAAAACUUGGGCACAUCAACAUGAAGCAAAUAGCCAAAAUUUCAACAAAGAAGCUUGUUCGUGGUCUACCCAAUAUGUCAUUUCAAAAGACUGAUCUAUGUACACCAUGCAUGUUGGGAAAACAGGUAAGAAACUCAUUCAAAUCAAUAAAUCAAGUUGCCACUAAUCGUGUACUGCAGCUUCUGCAUAUGGGAUCUUUUUGGACCAACCAGAACUCAAAGCAUUGGAGGUAAGAAAUAUUGCCUAGUAAUUAUGGAUGACUACUCAUGAUUCACUUGGGUAUAUUUCCUGGUAAGUAAGUCUGAAACCUUUUCUUACUUCAAAAAGUUUGCUAAAAAUGUUCAAAAUGAAAAAUGGUAUGUUAUUUCAAGUAUACGAAUUGACCAUGGAAGCGAAUUUGAAAAUCAAGACUUUACAAGAUUUUGUGAUGAAUAUGGUUUUCAGCAUGUGUUCUCUUCUCCAUACACUCGAGAGCAAAAUGGAGUUGUGGAAAGAAAAAAUAGAUCGCUUCAAGAGAUGGUUAGAACUCUUUUAAUUGAAAGAAACAUCUCUUCACGUUUUUGGGCUGAAGCAGUUUCUACUGCAUGUUAUAUCAUUAAUAGAGUUUUUCUAAGGCCUAUUUUGGAGAAAACUCCCUACGAGAUAUUCAAAGGUAAGAAACCCAUUGUUUCAUAUUUUCACGUGUUUGGAUGUAAAUGUUUUAUUUUGAAAAAUGCAAAUGAUCGAGUUGGGAAGUUUGAAGAAAAAUCAGAUGAAUGGAUCUUCCUUGGAUAUUCGACCUCAAGCAAAGCUUAUAGAGUAUACAACAAAAAGACUCAAUCUGUGGAGGAAUCAAUGAAUGUCAAAUUUCAAGACUUUAUGCAAAGCGAAUCAAUUCAAACUCAACUUGAAGAAUUUGAACCUGAUAUAGACUCUACAAAGUGUAAAUCUCUAGAAGCAGCUUAGACUUCAGAAGACCAGCAACAAAUAAUUGUUGAAGAUUCAAAUGAAGAAAAAGAUCAAUAGUCUGACAAAUCAACCAUCAACUGGAAGCAUAAGUCCAGUCAUCCCACAGAUCUCAUUAUUGGCGAUAUUAAUGAAGGAAUUCGCACAAGAUCCAAAAGGCGUGAAGAGUCUAGUGCUGUGGCUCUUAUUUCUGAAAUAGAACCCAAAAGUAUAGAAGAAGCUCUAACUGAUGAAAGCUGGAUUGAAGCCAUGCAAGAAGAACUCAGGCAAUUCAGUAUCAAUGAUGUCUGGGAAUUGACUCCUGAACCGAAAAGUAAAUCCAUCAUUGGAGCUAAAUGGGUUUUCAGAAACAAGAUGAACGGGAAAGGAAAUGUUGUAAGAAACAAAGCAAGACUUGUGACCAAGGGAUAUACGCAAGAAGAAUGGAUAGACUAUGAUGAGACUUACUUACCAGUAGCAAGGUUAGAAGCAAUUAGAUUAUUACUUGCUUUUGCUUGUCAUAAAAAUUUCAGGUUAUUUCAAAUGGACGUCAAAAGUGAUUUCCUAAAUGGAUUUAUCCAAGAGGAAGUCUAUGUGGAACAACCACCCGGUUUUGAAGACCCAAGGAAACCAGACUCUGUUUUCAGACUGAAAAAAGCUCUAUAUGGUCUAAAGCAAGCACAUCGAGCUUGGUAUGAUAGACUAAGUAAGUUUUUAAUCCAAAAUGGCUUUGUCAAAGGUAAUGUAGAUACUACAUUGUUUAUCAAAAGAGAAAGCAAAAGUUUUCUACUUGUUCAAAUUUAUGUUUAUGAUAUUAUUUUUGGAUCUUCUAAUGAAAGUCUGUGCAAGAAAUUCUCUAAGUCUAUGCAAGAUGAAUUUGAAAUGAGCAUGAUGAGUGAACUAACCUUCUUUAUCGGGCUCCAAGUAAAACAACUGAAGGAAGGAACCUUUAUUCAUCAAGAAAAGUAUGCUAAAGAUCUUGUCAAAAAGUUUUGAUUGGAGAAUUGCAAAAAGACUGAUGUACCAAUGUCAAAUUCCUUGAAGUUGGACAAAGAUGAAGGAGGAAAGAAAGUCGACCAGAAGCUAUAUAGGAGCAUCAUUGGUUCACUUCUUUACCUUACUGCUUCUAGACCUGAUAUUUUGUUUAAUGUUUGCAUUUGUGCCAGGUUUCAAUCAGACCCGAGAGAAUCUCAUUUAAGUGCUGCAAAACGUAUUAUCAAAUACAUUGCCUCAACUUCAACUUUGGGUCUCUGGUAUCCUAAAGAAGGAGACUUUACUCUUCUUGGAUACUCAGACGCAGACCUAGCCGGAUGCAGAGUUGAUAGAAAGAGCACCUCGGGCACCAAUCAACUACUUGGAAGCAAGACAGUGUCUUGGUUUUCAAGGAAGCAAAGUACAAUAGCUCUUUUGACAACAGAAGCAGAAUAUGUAGCUCUUGGAAGUUGUUGUUCACAAAUUCUGUGGAUAAAACAACAGUUAAGAGACUUUGGAAUUGAAGAUUCACGCACUAAAAUCAAAUGUGACAACACUAGCGCAAUCAAUCUCACCAAGAAUCCAAUUCUUCACUCAAGAGCAAAACAUAUAGAGAUUCGACAUCACUUCAUUAGAGAUCAUGUUCAAAAUGGAGAAGUUUUGAUUAAGUUUAUUGACUCAAAGAAUCAACUGGCGGAUAUAUUUACAAAGCCUUUGGAGAAAAAUCAAUUUGAAGCUAUUCGUUCCAAAAUCAAUAUCUUAAAGUCUAAGGAAGUUCAGACCCAGGACUGAAAGUCUAAAGACUCUCAGACUCAGAUGAUCAAGAUUUUUGACUGUAAGAUAUUUUAUUUUCUCUUAGAUCAAAUCUCGAAAAGGUACGAUCAUCUAUUCGUAAUUGAUUGUUGCUAUUUUUAAUUUCCGUGAUUAUUGUAAUCUUUCCUUUUCGAAAAAGAAAUUUUUAAAAUGACAGUUAUCUAAUUUUUGAAAAGGCAGUUAUUUUUUUAAAAUGUAUCUUUAUAUUUCCUUUUUACAGCGUUCCGUAUACAUCUCUUCGACCGUCUUAUAUACUGUCGGUUCUUCUUCAUUUUACUCUCAAAAACCCUAAGAGAGCACAAAUCUUCCAUUUCUGUCUUCUUCUCUUGUUUAAUCUUCGAAAAGUUGUCAUUUUUUUUUUGAAAACAAGCUUGGAAUCCCUCCAAAUACUGUGAAAAAUGUCUUCUCAAAGAAAGUUUUCGAGGAUCGCGAACAGGGGACCACAGCAGAUGCGUGAGGGGCCUACGCACUUUGAUCUCACCGAGGAAGAUGAAUCUCCUAAUCAGCAACAGAGCCCACAACAUUCUCAGUAGCGUCGAACUCCUCCAUCUAGACCUCAGAAUGUUGCACAUCAAGAAGAGGAAGAAAUCGUUGAAGACGCAAAACCCGUAAGAACUCUUAAGCCUGGCUUUACUUAUAAGCUUUACCGUGCUUUGAAGAGGGGUGGUACUCCUUUAAACUACAUUGACGAAUUUUUGAAAGAAAAAGGGUAUCGAAAUGAAACCUAUAUUCUACGCACGAUGGAACGUUUGGGAAUUACCCCUGCUUGUUCGGCGGAAGAGGCAUUCGCAAAUAUCCCAACCGAUCCACGUGUUGGAGGGCUGAGUCAGCCAGAUGGGAAUGACGAUGACAGGAUGUACAGUCAGUUUAAACCGAGUAUGGGUGUUGGAGCAAAAAUCCAAAGCAAAAGGAUAGACUUGUUUAGAUCGGAUGACCACAAUCAACUAUACUCUAAGUUGCUGAAGCAUGGGGUGAUAAACCCAAGAAGUGUGGAUUUUGAUUUUCUUGACUCUGUGAAUGUCAAUCUGCGGGAAAAAUUCAGUUUUCUUCAACUCGAACAGUUUUGUUCUGAAUCUACAGAAGCCUAUGCUGAACUUACUACUUAUAUCUAUUCGAAUCUUAGUUUCUUGGAUGCGAAUAUAUUCUCUUUUAGUGUUCGAGAUCAAGACCUUGCGGUUGACAUGAAUACAUUGGCUGAUGUGAUUGGGGUUGAAAGAGGGAGAUAUCAACCUAUCAGUGUGUCUAUUGCUCGUGCAACGUUGGAACUUGUUAAGGAUCGAAGAACGGAAGACAAGAUUUCCUAUUCGAGGAUGAAUGCAACCAACAUUCUACUUCACAAGAUUGUGAUUAACUGCCUCAAACCAAAAUCUACUUCAAAGACCGAUGUUUCAAACUCGGAGGCAAAGUUGAUGUAUGCCAUCAACACUGGGAAAAAAAUUCUCUUUUCCACACACUAUUAUGUUCCACAUGUACAGGGGUAGUGGUGAAGGACAAGGGACAACUUCCUUAUCCAGCUCUUGUGACCAAGUUAUUCAGACACUUAAAUAUUUAGCCUCCCCGAAUUCUUUGUGGUCGAGCAUGCGAUCAAAUGGUGGUGGGACUGAAAAUGGUCUCUAAAAUGCAUCUGAAGGAACUCAACAAGGAGUUGGAGAAGUUCAAGGAGAAAACUCCUGUCAAGACUCAUCAAAUAUCUUCAGCUGCAAAAAGGAAAGGGAAGGAGCCCAUGGUUGCUCCAUCCAAGAAAAGAAGAGCUCUCAUCAUUGAGGAUGAAAAGGAUGAGGAAGACAUUACCAUUUCUGCAAUAGCAUUGAAGAACUUGAGUCGUUCUGCACUAGAAUCAAAGGAGAGACAGGAAAAAGACUCGGCUGAAGCAGAACAGAGGACUGGAGAAAGUGAAGAUUUUGAGAAAGAAGCAGAGGAGAGAGAUGCAGAGGAGGAAAGAAUUGAAGAAGAAGAAGAAGAGGAGAGAGUGGAAAAAGAGCAUGAAGAACACUCUUCUCCACCUAAAGGCAUGGAAACAGGGGGAGUUCCUGAGAAAAGAGGAACAUCUUCAAUCCCUGCCACAAGUGAAGGAGUAAGUCGCUUUCCAGCAGAUCCAGAGGACAUCUAUGCGUCACAAUUUCCUGAGGAGGGACACGAUGUUUCAUUGCCCAAUCUGCGUGACAAUGUUGAUUUGCUAUCAUCUGCUUAUACAUUGUCUGAUCGUGCGGAAGCAAGUACUCAGACUGAUAAUUCAGCAAACUUUCGCAGAAUUCUUGAUGUUCUUUUGGAGAUGAAAGGUCAAAUCUAUGCUCUUGGAUGCAAACUUCAGAAUAUGCAUAAUGCAGAACAAGCUUCCUCAGUUUCUUUGAAUGAUCAACUCCAAGCCCUUGCUCUUCAAGUUCAGACAAAUGCUAAGGGUGAAGAAGUAGCACAACUGAAGGAGGACUUAAAAAGGCUGGAUGGCAUUGUUCAGUCAAUGGGAGAUUUCCAGCUUGUCUGUGUUCCCAAGCCAUCUUAAUUUCAUUCUCUUUUCAUCUCUACCUUUUCAAUGAUGACAAAAAGGGGGAGAGAUAUGCAGAUUUGACUGUUUGGAUUUAAAACUUUUUUGAUUGACUUGAUGUUUGUGUUUGGCUAUUUGGAUUUGGACUGGAUUUGGAAUUGACUGUUUGAACAUCUGUUUAUCUUAAGUAUUAUUGAUAUCUCAUGGCCUUGUUCAUAAGACUAACCUACUUUAUGUGGAUACAAAUUCUAGUGUUAUUACUAAGCCAUUUAUCUUUAUGAGAUAUCCAUAUAUGCUUGAGUAAUAUUUUGCAGGUCAAAGUUAUCCAAAUCUGCAGGAAAGUUUUGUCACCAUCAAAAAGGGGGAGAUUGUUGGAGAAAACUUCCUUGAGUGUUUUGAAGCUGAUAAAAUGUUUCCAUUAGUCUAGUCUGAAGACUUGCAGACUCUUCCAUUAAAGUCUGAAAACCUUCGGACUGCCAGACUCAAGACUCAAAGUCUAUCCUCAUUGACAGUUUCUAGACCAUCGAAGAAGACUUAUCCAAAACUGGAUGUUUCGUCAAGGAUUUGACUUUAUCGACUGGAGUAGAUCUUCUGGUUGGAUAUAGCAUGUCGGAAUCCUUUGUUCUAAUCAAGAUUGAUUUGGGAAUCGUGGAUUCGUUGAUUGGCGAAGUAUACUUGGAAGGUUCUACUUAUAGAAACCAAGAUCCUGAUUGUAUGGGCGGGCAGAAUUGAUGAGUUAUCGUCAUGUUCCUUAAAUAGCUCGAAGAUCUUCCUAAUUGAUUCUAUCCAACGGAUAAAUUGGAAGAAUUCCUUUGGUAAGUGCCAAUGAGUAUGAUGGCAUAAAUGAGUAUAUAAGGAAGACGUUCUAGUUGUUUAAGUAUGUGCGCGAUAGAAGAAUUCCAAAGUCCGAAGCUCCUUGUUCUUAGUCAAUUAAACUGUUGAGCGAAAUCUUGUACACAAAAGAGAGUCUAUAUCAUUGAGAGACCUUGAGGAAGUGUAGUAGAGUCUCUACACUGUGGAAUCAAGGAAGAGUCUAACUAUAACAACUCUUUUGUUCAUAGUGAAAUCCAGCUAGUGGGCUGUCAGUGUGGAAGAGUGGACGUAGGCUUGGAUUAAGCCAAACAACUAUAAUCUAUGUGUUCAUAUUCUCUUAUCUACACUCUUUUACUUUGAUCGUAAUUCGUUUUGAGAAUUUCCUUUUCAUAAUCUAUUGUUGAUUAGCACUGCACAUAUCUCACAAAAUAGUUUCUGCACCUAUUCACCCCCUCUAGGUGCUCAUACUAGCUUUCACAAUUUCGUCAUUAGGUUAAAUUGCAUUGCAUAAAGCAUGAUUCUCAUUAAAUAAGUGAAAACAAAAAAAAAAAAUUAAGUGUUAAUUAGAAAUCAUAUCUAUGACUGUUGAUUUGAAUUCUGAUCUAACAUCGCAGAUGCUUUCGUUGCCAUGAGAUUUGGGUAUUAAAUUGGUGGUUUGCGCACCCGCAUGAUAACAUUACAUGUUAGGGAAGUAAAUUGAAAUUAAUUCAAGCUAUUUGCCAAAUAUUUUUUCAAAAUAAAAGAGAAAGGUACCGAAAUUACGUUAGAGAAAUCUGGCAUAAUCAAGUUCCCGAACUCAUAAAUCUCUGGUUCAUAGGAGUAAAGUAAAUCUCUCAUUACUUUAAUCAACCCACCGAAAAAUAAAUUAGUGGCGACUCCUGAUUAAAAAAUCAUUUGCAUGUUAAGGAUUUGAACCUAAAUUGUGAAUUGAUAUAGGCUUGGGAAAGCCCGAGCUAAGUCUAGGCUUAGUAAUCCAUUAGCCAAACCUUAGGUGGUUCACCCGAAAAUUUGGUCGCGACAUACGGAAAUAUCAAUUUAAAGUUUUUCGAGACAGGAAAAACAAAUAAUUUGAAAAAAAAAUGAUCCGAUUACUAGUUUGGGAUUUUUGGCGAUACUAACUCACCACAAACGCUUAUCUUAUAUAAAACUGGUUACAGGAAAAAAAAAAAAAAAAGAACAGAAAAAAAGCUUAGUGCAGACUAAGAGAUAAAGAACACCAAGGGCACUUUCUUACAGUGGAGACAAAGGAAAGAAACUACAACAUAUAUACUAAGGAUGAGCACCUUUGACACAUUAAAAAAAAAAAAAAAGGUUUAUUGGUUGGAUUCAGUCCCUUCAGUUCGGAUACUCCCUCUAAUUAUGCAGAGACUGCAUUAUGCGAUCUGGGUCAUAGCAGCACCAUAUAAGAGAGAACAGAGCAGAAGCAGCAGCAUGGAAAUUUUAGGGCGUCAGUCCCACUGCUUGCUCCCACAGCUGACUUGUGUAAUCACUCCAACCACAGGACUUCUCGAUCAGAUCCUCCAGCUCAAGAUAGAUUCCUGUGUCAUCCAUUGCCAGUUCUUUUGCUUCUACAUCCAUCGCAUCAUCGCCCAUGACCACGUUGUCUCCGAGGAGCUUCUCCGACUUCUCAUGGAAAACCGAAGGCAAAUCUGACGGACUAGCUCCGGCCUUCUGAUCAGGUGUCCGACCCUGCACAGCCCUGAAAUCUCCGCCAUCUAUAGGAGGAGGCCAUGGGUUGUGCAUCUGAACGGUCUGAAAAUCCACUGGCGCAACAUUGUUCGGCCAAGACUCCAUCUGUCCUGGAUCAUCGCCAACUCUUGGGCAAUCAACGUUCGGGCUUUGAAUCUUGUGAUCCAUUACUUCGAGCAAGCAUUUGGUGGCUUCGCUAUCGAGACUAAGCAAUUUGUUCUUCUCGCUCGAUUCACAAGCCUCUAAUUCUCUCUUCUGCCUCCUCUCUUGGAUUAAAUGGACAAAGUUUGGGCUUUCGGUUGCUUUGGAGAGGAGGUAUAUUUGCCGACACCUGCACUCAGCAUAGCGAAUCCGCUCGGCGACCUGAUUGAUCUCAUGCUGCGAGUGCUCCCGCUCUUCUCUUAGUUUCAGGAUCUCGGUCUUCAAUACUUCCUGGUCCUUCUUAAGCAUUUCAAGUUCAGCUUCCUUUCCAGCCUCUGGGUAAUCCGAAGCAACCGUGCGACUCAAUGUUUUCCGGCUGAGUUUGCGUCUCCUCCUUAUGUUCUUCAGCAAGUGCUUCUUUCCUUUCUGAAAACUUCGGUUCGCAAACUCCCAUUGAUCUGUGUCCAUCUCCCUAAAACCCUGCGACAUAUCUUGGAUCAUGAUGCAUGAAGAAUAGGAGGAAGCUGGGUUGAGGAGUUUAAAUUGAAACAGAAGUCCCAAAGAGGGUAUGGACAAAUUUAAUGACUCGAUAUCAAUCCGUCAACUUCAUAAAUACGAAGACAAAAGUGCAGAACUAUGCUUUUGGUCUUGCCCAAAAAGGAGAAGUGUCAGAAGGCUUUACCAAAACGUCGGAUAGAAACAAAGCGAUGGCUCAAAGAGUCUCAUCUCCAGCUGGAAAGUGCAUAAUGGAGCAUCAACACAGUAGUGCAUUUCUAAUCCAAAUGAAAAUUUAACAUUUGAGAAAAGCACUCAAACACAAAUCCGGUGAGAAGAUAAAUCUUUAAUGGGUAUCCUGACGUCUUGGUUGACAUGGUAGUUUCUGCAAACUACCAUAAAAAGCAUCAUCACUUGAAUAUGAUGACGGGCCAUUGGCCCCUGGCCGAUGGAUGCAAAUUUUAGUGAACAUGUGCCUCAUGAUCCAUGAUAUUUCGCAUAGAAUCGAUGUAUCUCAUCUGCCAUUCCAAAUUUCUUCGUUCCUCGUCCCCUAAUCUAGGUAAAGCACAACUAAUAACCGAGCAAGUGGGUAAAACUGAAUCUCAACACAGGAGCAAAACGUGGCGAGUGGGUUCCCUUAGAACCUAGCUACUUUGCCCCGGGGACUAUCCGUUGGGACAAUGAGGAGUAGUUGGAUGCCCCCAAGAGGAUCACACUCUGAACUGCAAAUAAGAAGAAGAAAAACAGCCGAAACAGAGGGAAAAAUAAAAGACAGCUGAAACACAGUCAAACCAAAAAAAACAUACAGACAUUAUACGCAUUUGUAUCAAUAGGUGUUGAGCUGCCAAGGGGUAAGUUUCAAGCAAAAACAUGGACAAAAAACACAAUCCCGUUCGAAGGGAAUACCCACGUAAGUGUUAAGCUGCCUGAUGAAGCUGGAGAAAUUGGAGUGCUUGAAGUAUCGGGGCAGGAGCUGCUUCGAGAACUCGUGCGGGUUCCAAACCACGAUGCUUUUCCGGCUGGAACCCCACGACACCACCGGGUCCGUACUCGGGUCCGACACCAUCUCGUACGUCUUCUUCAGGAAGGGCGCCGGCCCCGCCUCCCCUAGCCCCUGCAUCGGUCUCGCCACUUCGUCCGCCGCUGCCUGCAAGGAGCACGACGGCGAUCCGGCGGCAGCGUUUCUUGGAUCAGCAAUGAUCGCCACCUCCUCAUCUUCCUCUUCCUCUUCGAUCUUCACCACCUGCGCGGCCAGAGCCGGAUGGGGUUCGGGCCGCGUCAGGCACGAACGCAAGAGCGGCCCGGCAUCAAUUUCGCCGUCGGCGAUGGCUAAUUUUGGGGACGGAACCGAAUGGGGAAGCGACCCUAGGUCGCCGGGG